RNAcentral lists this long non-coding RNA (214641 nucleotides) under Gossypium barbadense (sea-island cotton). RNAcentral describes it as "long non-coding RNA (GBAR_LNC001273)". Lineage: Eukaryota; Viridiplantae; Streptophyta; Magnoliopsida; Malvales; Malvaceae. The record is from RNAcentral.
GUUGGCGGUAUUGUUGCUAUUCAGCAGCUGGACUCAUCGCUUUCAUUCAAUAAGCCGUCUAAUUACAAGAUUGUUUACUUCAGGAAAUUAAAUUCCAACCUUUUUGUGAUGAAAAAGGUUGAGAAUGCUCGACCGAUCGCAAGUUCCCAAAGGCGGCUUUUGGGGUAUAAUACAUCAGAAGCGAAACGGGCAGCAUUGAAGAAAUUGGAAGACGUUCUUCUUGAACCACCAAGAGCAUCCUCAGGGACGUCCAGAACUUACCUUAAACGAACGAAAUAUUUGCCAGAUCUAUUGGGGGACUCACUCGAAAGCUACCCCCGUCGGGUUUUCAUUGAUGUAGGCUUGCCUAAGAAAGAUGGCGGCAGUGCCACCACCUGGUUUGUCAAGAAUUAUCCCACAAGGAAUCUGAAGUUCGAGAUGUACAAGAUCGAGACACUAACCAAGGACUCUAAAGAGGUGCAGCAGACUGGGGCGGAGACUGGGAUGUCAGAUUGGCUGCGGAAGAACGUGAAGGACGAAGAGUAUGUAGUGAUGAAGGCUGAGGCUGAAGUGGUUGAAGAUAUGGUGAAGAGCAAGGCUAUUAGAUUGGUUGAUGAGCUGUUCUUGGAAUGCAAACCUAAAGGACUUGGUGGAAGAAAGAACAUGAGCAGAAGGGCUUACUGGUAAUGUUUGGCUUUGUAUGGGAAGUUAAGGGAUGAAGGUGUCGCAGUGCAUCAAUGGUGGGGUUGAAGGGAAGUUUGAUUAAGCAGAGUGAAACAUGUUUAAAGUGUGAGAGAGAGAUCUAUAUGUAUAUAUAAUAUUAUUAUGUUCCAAUACGAUUUCAUGAACAAAAAUCCAAUUUUUAAUUUCUUAUAUAGGGUUAUGUAUAAAUGAAGCCUAUUUUUCUGAAAUUUUUUACGAAAAUGAUUCGCUUCUAAAAGUAAUUAUGAGUAUAGACUGAAAAUUUAAAAAUACGCUAACGUGGACACGUUUUCAAGAUAGAAAAAUGCUUCACAUCAAUACAUUUUUCCUUGAGCCAGGUAAAAGCGUGUUGACAUGGAUGUGCUUUUGCCUGUGUUAGAAUUAAAUUUUAAUUUUUUUUUUAAAUGUUACAAAAAUAAACCAAAAUUUUAAAAAUUUACGAGAAUAAACUUUUAUAAAAACCCAAAGUGACAAUACUAUCUUUUUUUUAGUGCCACCAAUUAACGUGGAAAUAAAAUUUAAAAAAUAGACAAUGUAGGAUUCCUUCCUCUUUUAACUAACAACGGAAGAUUAAAGACUAUUCUAUAUUUUAUAUUUUUUACAAAACAAUUUCUAUUUUUUUAUAUUUUAUUAACAUUUUCUCAUAUUAUAAAAUUAUCUUUUGAGAUAUUUAAUCUUAUUGCAUUUUAGAAUUGUUAGCAUAUACAAAAGACCAUUAAAGAAAAAAGAACAAAUUGCACAUAUGAAACUUAUAUAUGUAGUAAUCUUCUAUUCAACUUUAAAUGUUUGAAGUUAAUAUCCAUGCAAUUCUAAUUUUUAAAAUAAUUUUUCAUUUUUCAGUUUAAAAGAUAUACUUUUAAUUUUUAUUAGUUUAAUUUUAUUUUAUGUUAGGAAUGAUUAAUAAAUAUAUGGCGAGUAUUUGGUACUCAAAUAGUAUAUAUAUUUUUUGUAAUUCUAAAAAAUUGAUAUAUCUUUUUUUAAUAUUUAUUUUUUUAAUAUUUUACUAUACACAUUAAUUUUUUAAUCCUAAUUUUAAUUUAAUUUUUAUUACCUAAUGAAUGUUGAUAAAUUUAUUUCAGACGUAUUUUGAGUAGAUAGAUAAUCUAUUUAAACAUAGUAUAUAAUUAUAUUAAAUAAUUUUUUUAUAGAAAUAUAUAAUAUACAUAAAAUAUAAUAAUCAUUUUUCAUAUUUUUCUAUCUAGAUUAAAUUACAUUAGUAGUCACUUAACUAUGAUUUUUUGGCUAUUGAAUUAUAAAAACUUACAAAAUGAUCACCUAACUAUUAGUAAUUUUUUUUGGUCACCUAAUUAUCUUGAAUUUUGAGAUAUAUAACAAAAAAAAAAGAAGAAAAAAGAGACAAAUUAGAAUAGUUGAAUGACAAUUUUGUAACUUUUCAUAAACAGAUGAUUAAAAAAAUAAUUAAAUAACUAUUUUAGAACUUUUUAUAAUUAAGCGAUAAAAAUUACCUUAAAUACAUAAGAAUAGACAGCUUCAUAAUAAAUUUUUAUAUUAUAUAUGUAUAAAAUUCUUUAUAUGUAAAUGAUUUUUGUUUUAAUAUAACUUUCAUUCAUUUGAAAAGAAAACAAAUGUAUAUAAAUUGAUUUAUUAAUAGUUUCAUACCUACACAUUAUAUUGAUUGUUCACAUAAAAUUUUAGUGUUCAGUAAAUAAAUCUAUAUAAUCUUUUUAGUGAAUAUCUAAUAAUAUUGGUAUUGAAGUAUAUAAAAUGAAAUUGCUUCAAAAAAAAAUGAAACAAAACAAGAUUGCAUUAAUGGAAAAUACUAUAUAAUCUUUUACACAUCCUCCAAACACCUUUAUUUCAAACCCAUUUGGUUCUUUUCAAACAAGAAGAGACCAAAUCCCACAUCAUUUUAUAUGUUAUAAUUUUUUUACUUAUAGAGUUUAAAAUUUUUAUUUAUAAUGUAACAAAUGUUAGCUUUUUGUAAAAAAAAUUAAACUCUAAGUAAAAAAAUAAAAUAAAAUAUAAUGUAACAUUUAAUAUUAUAUUGUUAGUUAAAAGAGGAAGGAAUCCCACAUUGUCUACGAACAAGCUGCAAACCUAUUCAUCAGUCUAUAUAUACACAUGUCUCACAUCUCACAUUGCUUAAGAAAACAAGGGAAAUGAGACUUUGGGUCUAUACAAAUAUCUGUUUUGUAAGUUUUAUUUGGUGGCACUAAAAAAAAAAUUGUGCUGCCACUUUGGGUCUUUAUAAAGACUUAUUCUCGUAAAUUUUUAAAAAAUUGUUCUAUUUUUGUAAUAUUUUAUAAAAAUAACCUUUUUUGAAAAUUUAGUCCGAGCACGGGCAAAAGUGCGUCUAUGUCAGCGCGUUUUUGCCUGACACAAGGAAAAAAAACAUUGAUAUGGAAGCGUUUUUCUAGGUUAUCCCAUGAAAACGUGUCCACGUCACCUCAUUUUUAGGUUUUUGGUCCAUACCUAUAAUUUUUUUUAGAAACGACUCAUUUAUGUAAAUAAUUUUAGAAAUUGGCCUUUAUUGGUACAUUACCCUCUUAUAUAUGUAUACAACAAAAGUUUAAAAAAAUCACACAAACAAGCAAAAUUUAAUAGCUUUUUUGUUCUUUGUAUUCCAAUUUUGAUAAUUUAUUUUUGAUGUAUUUUUCUUUCUAUAGUUUUGAAAUUUGAUGAAAUGAAUUUGUAUUAUGAUCGAAUUUGGUUGAGUUGUAGGGUUUUCGUUUCUUCAAAGAUUUCAUCCUUUUUGGCUUUCUUGAUGAAGUAUUUAAGCUGGUUUCAAAUUUUUGCAAAUUGAUUAAACCGAAUUAACAAAGGGUUUGUCCCAAUAUGUAGUUAAUAAUGGUUAGUAUGAAAGGUGAACUACCAAAAAGGUCAUUUUUUUACAAAAUAUUAUCGGAUUAGGCCUUUUUUUUUUCAAAAUUUAUCGGGUUAGGCCAAUUUUGGAGAAAGAAAGAAAACGCGUUGGACGCAUUUUCAGUAGAUUUGGCAGGAAAACUAUUCUAGUUGGAUGUGUUUUCUUGCUCAGUUAGUAAAAGGGACACGUUUUUCCCAACGGCUACCCCACAACGACUAUUUCCAAUGGCUUUCCCCUCCAAAUAGUAAGAAAUCUCCUGUCACACCCCAAAUCUGGCAAAUCUAAGAAGAAGGCAUGCAGAUGUGAACUUAUCUAUUUAGCGUAGCAUGGUCCACCAAUUAACAGUCUUCUAAUGGAUUAGAGUUUGGCAAAAAGUAUCGGCUUUAGAGUUAAUUAAAGAUUUUAUCUUAGGGUAUUAUGCUAUUUAAGAAAAGAGUGUGACAAGCGAAGAGUAAGCUUGGUGAGAAUUACCUCCAAAUGUAUAGUACACCCAGUUUGCCUAAAAACUGUCUUAUUUGGGUUUUUUAACAUGAUCUAGUUAGGAGCCAACUGAAUUGAUUGGUCAAAUAACAUUUGUACAAAUUCAGGAUACAAUCAACACUUGUCAAGUUCCACUAAGGGGAAUUAGGUGUAUAUAUAUUUUGUCUGAAUGGUUUUUCUUGCUUCAAUAUUACUCUCUAGUUCUUAUUUUAAAACUAUUAUGUUAUUUUCUCCUUUAUUAAGUUGAAAGCUAAGGUUUUUGAAUAACCAGGGGGUGUUCCACCUCUUAGUAAGAUUGAUAGCUCUACAUGUUCAGUUUUUGAAAGAAUAAGGCUGUUAAGAAGCAUUAAACAGUAUGAUAUGAGUAAGAGUCCCUGCAUGAGGGUCAUCUGUAGAUGAGAUGAUAGAAAAUUAUCUGUAAAUGAGAUUUUAUGGUUAUUCCAUUUUCUUUUUAGCAGUUGCUGCUACUAUUGGUUCGGGAAGGAUGUUCUAGUUUGGAACUCCAAGCUACAUUAUAGGUGGGUCUCUAUCGUGGCUCCUGCAUGUGAACUAUUCAAGUAGAGGUAUACAUGAUGAUAGCAUCUCGGAUAGUUGGUAAACGUGUAUGCGAAGUAUGGUAAAGUUCUGCAUGUGUAAGAAUGAUAUGUGUGAAUUACUGUUUUAAUAAGAUGUUAAAUGGUAAGUAUACAUGUGAAAUCUUAUAUGAGAAAGUAAGAAUCAGUCAAGUAUGUGAACAAAUCUGGGCAAGUAACUUCUAAGUAAAACAUCCCUUUGUGAUGCCUCUGGUAGCGUAGUUAUAUUGCUAACCAGAUAGAUAGAUCACGAUAAAAAGAUAUGUGUAAUUCUAUGUGGAAGAGACCCAUGGCAUUAUAUGACAACGAAAACACUCAUGGUGAUGCCUCUAGUAAGAUGAAGACUGGAUUGAUAGCUCAUGACAUGAGGAUGUGUAAGUCCAUAUGGCUGAGACAUAUGACAUAAUAUGAUAAUAAGAAUAUUCAUGGUGAUGCCUUCGGUAAGGUAUAAACCGGACUGGCAAAUCACAACAUAAAGAUAUGUAUAAGUCUAUGAGGGGAAAACCCAUGGAACCUUCUGUGAAAGUCUGCCGAGACAGUAAACAUGUGACUUUGUCUGAUGCCUAUGUGGCGUGAUCUGCUAAGCCUUAGUACUGUGUUUUAUAUUACCUCUAUGGUGAAUCCUAUAACGCCUAUGUGGUGUAUUCAGUGAUGUCUGUGUGAAAAAAUCUGGUUAUCUGCCUUUUUAGCAAUAUCUGAGUAAGUUUUGAGAUUUAUUUGGUAGAUAAUUCUAUAAUAAGGAUCUGAUACGUUUGAAGUUCACUUGGUUGGUUAGUUUAGUGAUGAAAUUAAAUGAUUUUUAAAGGGCAUUUCCUAAAAGAAAGUAUGUAUCUGUAUUUAUAAAGAGGGAAUCCACCAUAGUAGUCUAUCGGUAUAGGAUAUUGGCAUAUUCAUAGUUAUGAAAGGUAUAAGUGUUAAUUGGUUUGAGUUUUUCUAUGCUAUUUAAGGAUGAAAUCUGAGUUAUCUGGUAUCCGCCAUCUCUGAAUAGUUUCAUGUCUCGUUCUGAGGUUAUUUGGAAUCUGAGUUGUUUGUCAAUUUGGGAGUUCUUGUGUUAUGAAACAUAGACAUUUGGAAUUCUUUUGAAUGAUCUAGAACAUUUCAUAAUCAGUAUUAGUUUUAUUUGGGUUUGAUUCGGGAUAUGAUCUAAUUGGUAGUCUGUUAGUUAUCAAAUUCAGUAUGGGAAUCCCCCAAAUUUAAGAUCAGUUAAUACUAUCCACCAAAGAGUGGUAUUUAUGAAUAACCAUUUUGGGAAAAAUGAUAAGUGUUUGUUUAAAGAGGAAUUCGUUGAAAGUAGGCUCUGUAUAAAUAUUCUUCUGAGAAGUACCUGGGUUGUUCUAAAAAGGAAUAAGAUCUAUAUCAAUUGAUAAGAUAUAAAAUCAGAUGAGUGAAAAAAUAGUUUGCACGUUAAGUUUGGUAGUCGACGUAUAAGUAUAUAUUCGAUAUUAGCAAAGUAUUUGCCAAAGAUAGAAUAGUAAUCCAAAACCUGCAAGAGGAGGAACUCAACUAGAAAAACUACAAGGUAUUUUGUAUUAAAACUCACUAAGUUCGCAAGAACUUGCAAAAUCUUUGUUCUUGUUUUAGGUCCUAUUGUGAGAAUGAGUAUGCUGGAAGGGGCCAAGCCAAGGGUGUUCCAAAGAAAAUGAAAAGCUUGGAAUAUUGUGCAUACAGAAGACAUAUUAAGGGUAUGUCGUAUAGUUCCCUACGUCAAGAAGAGUCCGUUUUUAACGAACUUUUGUGUUGUAAUGUAUUAUAUUAUUUUUUAAGAGUCUGUUGUAUUCUUGGAAGUGAAGAAGAAGAAUCUUAAGGACGAACAACCUUAGGGUUUCUACGUUUCAAACUCAAUUUGGUUAGUUCAAUCUAGUAAUUUUCUUGUAACUUUUAUGUUUUCGGAAUCUCGGUAGCUUAAUCUAGCAAACCCAUACUAUAUUUUUUGGUACUGUUAAAGAUUGUGAAUGUUUCCAUUGAUGGAUAGUUAAAUUUCUAGUGGUUAAUUUAAUAGAUUGAUAGUUUAUAGUUGAAAAAAAGACUAACUUGGAAAGUAAAAUUAUGGUUUUGUUCAGUAGGUACUAAAGUGAAUAGAUUUGAAAAUUAGUGGUAAAAAUGAAAAUUAGGAGGUCUUAUAGGGACUUUAGUAUAUUUGGCAUAAGAAAUUGGGGUUAAAUGUGAAAGUUAUUUUAGUACUGGUUUUAGGGACUAAAUUGAAUAAAAUGUAAAAGUUACAUAAAUUAGAAAUUGAAUGUAAUUUUGGUUUGUGUAUUGAUAAUAUUAUAUCUUGUUUUAAUCUGUAGCGAACAUCGACUUGGAUCCCUCGUUAAAUAAAGGAAAAGAUAAAGUUGUCGAUGAAUAGCUCAGAGUUCACAGUUUGUGUUUGUAUAAUACGAAGUAUUUCAAUCAUUACAUUUUUAUAUUGCAUUGUAUGGUAAGUUAUAAGGUAAGCUACAAAUCGAUUUAGUGAGAUGUAUUGAGGUGGUUGAAUUGGUUAUUUGUGCUAAGGAUUGAAUUGAAUAGAUUCAAAAAUAUUGAAUGUUAUUUGAAAUGUGAAAUUGGACUUAUAUUGUGAUGAACUAUGUUGUUUAUAUAUAUAUAUAUAUGUAUGAGAAUAAUAGAUUUGUUUGUUUGAGAUUAUUAUAAUGAAAUAGGAAUUGAUUGAAAAUAAAUGUGAGAAAUAGUUACUCUAUUAACUGUUUGGAUAAGGUCGGGUAUAAUUUGCAUGUCAUAGGAUAGGAAGAGUUUAGGUUUUUACGACUAAAUGUCGGGGAAUGCUGGGCACCCUAUUUGUGCUGGGCACCCUAUUUGUAGAUGACACCAACCAGUGUUGGACACUUUAUUUGUCGAUUUUUUUCGAGCAGUGCAGGGUGCAAUUUAUUAUUACGAAUUUACCAGUCAGGCACUAGGUGCCUUGUUGUGUUGGUUGGAUCCGCAUAUUCAUCCGAGUCCAAGUCAAGUUAAUAUGAUAAAUAAAUAUGAGAAUAAAAAAACAUGGUGGUGAAACAAUUGAAUUAAAUAUGAAUAUGAUCUUUGGAUGCAUACAAUGGUAAAUUAUGAGAAUGGAAUGGAAAUGAGAAAUGGGAAAUGAAACUGUGGAAUGAGUCAUGAACAUAGAUUGAUUAUGUUAAAUGAAGUCAUGAAAAUUGAAAGUGAGAUUGAAUGUGUUAUUUUAUGAUUUGAAUUACCAAAUGACAUAUGAAAUGAAUUUGUCAUGUCCUAGUAUUGGUAAUAAUGUGAUAGUUGUGAGCAAUGAAUAUGUAGAUUAGUAUAUUGGAUUUUUUAUAUUGCAUAUCAUCAUCUAUUUUACCUUAUGCAUUUUUCUCGACUUAUUUUAGAUUUCAAUAUUUGAAUUAUAGAAAAUGCCAUUGAGUUAUACUUAGUGUGCAAUUUUGUUUUCUAUGAGUAGAUUAGGUACCUUUGAGUCAUUCGUCAAUUUCAGCAUCCAAUGGCAAUCCUAGACUCAAGUGUUGGUGAUGCUUUUAGUUUGGUCAUGACAUAUUCCUAGGUAAUCUUAUGUUUAUGCUAUAUUAUAAAUUUUAAUGAGUUUGGAACUUUAAUUAUGAUGUGUAUAUAUUAUAUGUAAGUGUUGGUAAUGAUGCUGUUGAUGGUGAUCUUGUGAGGUAGCUUAGGUAUGUAUGCUUAUUGCUCAAGUGGUGAAUAAGUAAUGUGUUUUGAUCUAGGUGUGGAAAAGUGAUUAAUAUGCUUAGGUUGUGCUUGAUAUAGUUGGUAAGUUUGAAGCAUGCAUGUGUGGUUGAAAUUGAGUUAUUUUAUGAUGUUUUAUAAUGUUAAAUGGUGCAUGCUAUGUUGAUUGUGAAUUUUUAGUAAUGCGAUAAUGUUUGGUUACGAAAUGUUUUUUAGGUAUAUAAUUGUAUUUAAAUGGUACCAUUUAAGUUCAAUUGAGUUUGGCAUGAAAUAAACAUAUUUUAAAUUGGAUUUUUAUCAUUUUUGAGCUUUAGUAUCGAUAUUUUGGCAUUUGGUAUCGAUACUUGACCAUAUGAACAAUUUUUAAAACAAAUAGAAUGUUAAAAUGGUAUCGAUUUUUAUAUGAGUAUCAAUACCCUUGUUUUACAUAACAAACAAAAUCGUGAUUUGGUAUUGUUAUUCAAAUAUGGUAUCGAUACAUUAUUGAUACCCAGUAAUUAAAUAUUGAUACCAACUUUAAAACUUUGAAAUUUUAUAAAUCAAUCAUAUUUCAUGCUUGAAUUUCAUAAUUAGGUCCAUGUAGACUUCAAUUUAUUUUGUUUGCAAUGUAUGCGAAUGGUAUUUAUAUAAAUUGUAUUUAAGUUUGGAUCAUUUGACGAAAGUUUCCCUAGAAACAAAUAUGACAUUCCGUUAUUCGGAUUCGGUGAUCGGGUUGGGUAAUAGGGUGUUAUGAUUUAUGAGCAUUCUCCUAUCUCUUUCUUUAUUCUUUUAUUUAUGAUUCGUUAACUUGAUCAAUUAACUAUCAUAUGAAUAUUAGAAUAAUUCUUUGUGCUUCAUUUAUAUUUUGCAUGAUUCGAUUAUUAAACUAAUUUAUUUGUUAAGUAAUUAUUUAUCUGAAAUUGAUUAUUUAUUCAAGGCUACUUAGUACAAUAGGGAUUGAAGACCCUAAUAGAAUAUCGAGAUAGGCAAGAUCGAAAGGGUAUCCUGUCGUGUAUAACUUGUGUCAGUAGGUGAGACCGGAAGGGUAUCCGUAUGCCUAGGAAGAGAUCAGGAGGGUGACUUAGGUGGUAAUCCUUAAUGAAGAUGAACUGGGAAGGUAGUCGUAGGUAAGGGUGAUAAAUAACUCAAUCUAGGAUAAUUAAUUUUUUAAUUAGAUAAUUAGGGAUUUAAUCGAUCAUAGGCUAGAGGCUCGUGUUGUCAACACUAGGAAUAGGAAAGUCCAUUAGGCUAGUUUAGGGUAGUUAAUUUAAUUAGUUUAAUUAAAAUAUUAAUUUUCAUUUACACUAGUAAUUCGUGACUCAAUUAGAUUAGUAAUUGUUUUUUGUUAUUGAUUUAAUAUUAAUUACUCCAAUCUGCAAUCCCUUGGGUACGAUCCACAGUAUACUUACUGGUGUUUUGUUGUAACAUAUACUAUAUUACAAUCUUAACUCUUAUAUUUUUAGUGUGAUAUUUAUUCUAUAAACGAUAACAUGUUUAUAAGUAGUCACUAGUAAAUAAAAUAUUCUACUACAAGUUGGGGCCAAUUAUGGCAAUUUCCCAUGUGACACCCUAAAAUUUGAACGUUCAUUUGUUAAUUCUGUUAAUAAGAUAUGUAUUUGCUUCAGUGGUUUAGGGCCUUGAUUAUGUGUUUGAGAUUGGUGAUUCAAGUCUCCCUUUUUGAAAUUUUUUUUAUUUGUUUUGAUUUAACCUUUAUCCAUGAACUUUUGACUUAAGUUUAAUUCCGUGUUAACUUGUGUCAAGAAUGAGCCUGGUGGUUCAAUGGCUAGGCUUUUGUGUACCCUCUGGUCCUGUGUUUGUGUCUUUGCAUAAGUGAAUAAGGAAUGUAUUUGUUUUUACUAUUCCGAAAGAAAUAAAAUAGUUAUUUUAAAUUUAUUAAAUUGUUUCCUUCUUUCCUCUUUCUUUUGACUUUUUUUUAGUUCUUUUCUUCUUCUUUUGUUGUUACUUUCUAUUGUCUUACUUCGACGGAAGGAGCGACGCACUGUCCCAAGUCAUGCUUCGUGUUUUAGAGAAGGUCGUUGAGACCCAUUCUGGAUCUGAAGGCCGAGGGUUGGUCACGGAAUGACUUCGGUCGAAUGGUGAUGAGGUGUUCAAGGGAGUCACUAGAGUCGCCCCUACAGUGGUUGAGUAUUGGUUAGAGGCCACUGAGUGCAUCAUGAAUGAUAUCGACUUCACUCCGACACAGAAACUAAGGGGCACAAUAUCUUUGCUCUGGGAUUAGGCAUACCAAUGGUGGUUAACAGUUGAGGAAGACACCCAGUUUGAACACAUCAUAUGGGAUUUCUUCAGAAAUGCCAUCUACAGUAAGUAUGUGGAGGUGAAUUAUGUGGAGGCUCAUAGACGCGAGUUUAUGAGCGUAGUUCAGGGUGAGAGGUUUGUGGCUGAGUUUCUGAGAUUAAGCAGGUAUGCUUGUAGUUUGGUUUUGAAUGAUUAUGAAAAGAGUAUCCGGUUCAAGGAGCGAUUGAGAUACAAUUUGAGGGUUCUGCUAGCUCCUCAGAGGGAGCGAGUGUUCGGGGCCUUGGUUGACAAGGCGAAGAUGGCCAAGGAGGUGAAGCGCACUAAGCACGAGAGGAAAGAUUGAGAAAAGAGCCAGAGUAAGCUUAAGAGGGAUUUGAGUCCCUCUAGUUCUGUUCAAUGACUUAAGAAACGAGCUAAAUUUGAUGGGCCUUCGAGGGCUGAGGCACCAACUGCACCGACUGAGAUAUAGACCUGUAGUGACUGUGGAAGAUGCCAUCUGGGUGAGUGCUGGAGGAGGUUGAGAGCCUAUCUACGAUACGGGUUGAUAGAGCACCACAUUAGGGACUGUCCUUUUCGAUCCAAUCCGAUGCAAGCUCCUGCACAGGCUUCAGCUCUGGGUCUAGUUCAGCUUCCGAGGGCAGCACAACAACCAGGAGUGUUCACCAGUUGAAUAAGUUGACGGUAAAAAAUAGAUAUAUGCUUCCCAGGAUCUAUGACCAAUUCGAUCAGUUCCGUGCUCUCUAAGCUCGAUCUCUGCUCUGGGUAUCAUCAACUGAAGGUUAAGGAUAUUGAUGUGUAUAAGACUACUUUCAGAACUUGUUAUGCACACUACGAGUUCCUAGUCAUGCCAUUCGGGUCUACGAAUGCUCCGACUGCAUUUAUGGACCUAAUGAAUCGGGUAUUUUAAUCGUGUUUGGAUCAAUUUGUUGUGGUCUUCAUUGAUGAUAUUCUGGUAUACUCUAAGACUGAGAGUGAACAUAAUGAACACCAUAGAGUAGUUCUAAAAAUAUUUCGUGAGAAACAUAUCUACGCUAAGUUGAGUAAAUGCGAGUUGUGGUUAUGAUAGGUUACUUUUUUAGGAUAUGUUGUUUCUACUGAGGGGAUCUGAGUUGAUCCUAAAAAAGUUAAUUAAGGCUAUGAUUGAGUGAAAACAGUUGAGGAAUGUGUUUGAGAUUCGAAGUUUCCUAGGUUUAUUAGGUUACUACCAGAGGUUUGUUGAGGUGUUCUCACUUAUUACAGCCUCUCUGAUUCAGUUGCUGCGUAAGAAUGUGCCUUUUGUGUGGUCUGAAGAGAAACAAGUGAGCUUUGAGAAGUUCAAGUUUGUUCUGACUCAGACAUAUUUUCUAGUACAACUUUAAUCUGUUAGAGAGUUAGUAGUCUACAAUGAUGCUUCGCAUGUCAGAUUGGACUGCGUUUUGAUAUGGGAAGGUAAGGUAAGGUUGUGGCUUAUGUGUACAGACAACUUAAGUCACAGGAAGGCAAAUAUCCCACACAUAAUCUUGAGUUGGCUGCAGUUAUCUUGACUCUGAAAAUCUUAAGGCAUUAUUUAUAUGGUGAGAGGUGUAUCAUUUACACAGAUCACAAGAGCCUUAAGUAUUUGUUGACUUAGAAAGAGUUGAACCUUAGGCAAUGUAGAUAGGUUGAGUUGCUUAAGGAAUACGAAUUCGCUAUAAAGUACCAUCCUGAUAAGACCAAUGUUGUGGCCGAUGCUCUUAGUCAUAGAGCGAUGUCUGAUUUGAGAGCCAUGUUUGCUUGCUUGAGUUUGUUCACAACAAUAGUCUAUUGGCCGAGUUACAUGUUAAAUCGCAUAGUAGCCUUUAUGCUAUGCAUCCUAGGGGAAAUAAGAUGUACAGGGAGCUUCGAGAGUUAUAUUGGUGGCUCGACUUGAAAUAGGAGGUAACUACCUUUGUCUCUCAUUGUAUGACGUGCCAGUAGGUUAAGGCUAAACACCAACUCCUUCAGGUCUGCUAUAAUAGGUUAAGAUUACUAUUUGGAAGUGGGAGCAUGUGACCACGGAUUUUGUUUGUGGGUUGCCUCUGGCACCCAUUAAGAAAGAUUCUGUUUGGGUCAUUGUGGAUCGAUUGACCAAGUUUUCUUAUUUCUUACUUGUUAGGAUGGAAUAUUCAUUACAGAAGCUAGCUAAGUUGUAUGUCUUUGAAAUUGUAAGACUAUAAGGAGUUCCAGUUUUGGAAUAAUCUUUAUGAGGCAUUGGGCACUCAUUUGGAUUCUAGUAUUGCGUAGCAUCCUCAGACCGAUGGACAGUCAACUUAAGUUUAAUUCCGCAUUAACUUGUACCAAGAAUGAGCCUGGUGCAAAGAGGAAACGUAUUUGUUUUUACUACUUUGAAAGAAAAAAAAUUAGUUUCUUAAAUUUAUUAAAUUGUUUCAUUCUUUCCUCUUUCUUUUGACCAUUUUUUUCCUUUCUUCUUCUUUUGUUUUUGCUUCGUGUUGUCUUCUCUAUUGCUUUUUUAUAUUUCUUUUUGUUAAAUUUUCACUGUUAUUUUUUGGAGAAGUUGCGUGGUUCGUUGUAUUUCGAUUGAAAGGUUAAUUGUGUAAGUUUUGUGGUUGAAUUUCUGUAACGUUCGCUCUCGGUCAUUUAUGUCAAAAUUGGUUUUCUAUUUAUGUUGCUCAAAUUAUUUGUGAAGUGUUUGAUUAGUCUUCUUUUAAGUGAAGAUCUUGAGGAUAACAAUCCUCCAAUGCAUUAGGUCUGUGAAUUUGCUGUAUAGUGUGAAGGUAAGUGUUGAUUUUCGAGUUUAGGGUUUUUGCGUCGAAAGUUUUUGACAUAUCUCGAUUUUGUGCGUUAAUUUGAGAAUUUUGAUUAGGGAAUAAUUGUUUGCUUGGUCAUUUUUUUAUCAUCUUUAGGUUCUGGGUCACUCUGUUACUUCUACUUCGAAUCUAUACCAAGUGUGUAACGAAAACUGAGAUUUCUAUGAAUGGCGGAAGUCAGAAUCUAUGUCUGUUGACCACCACAUGGCUGUGUGCCAAGCCAUGUGGUAGGCCAUGUAACUCUCUGACUUAGGCCACACGAGCGUGUGUCUAGGCUAUGUGAGGGACUAUUUUGAUUGUGAGUCAUACGAGUGAAUGACUCGGGCAUGUGUCACGACCGUGUAACUCUUUGCCUUGAGUCACACAGGCGUGUGUCAGGUUGUGUGCCAGACCGUGUAACUCUCUUACUUGGAUCACACGACCGUGUGAUAGGUUGUGUGAGGCAUUGAGAUAAGCUAAAAGGCCGUGCGCUAGGCCGUGUGGGCCACAUGGGCCAACCAUGUAGGCCGUGUGAAUCCAUAUGGGCAUGUGGGCCAAAAAAUUGGAUUUUUCAUUAAGGCCGUAAGUGUUAUUCGAAUCAAACAUAGGCCUUCUGUAGGGUUCGUAUGAUUUAAAUUAGGCUAUAAAACUUAUUAUGUGAUGCUCUGUUACUGGAAAAUCUGUUAUAUGAACAGUAAUCUGAUGUGUUAUUUGAAAAGUGUCGUGUGUGAAUAUGAUAUGCGAAUUGUGCAAGUAUACAUGUCAAGUCAACUAAUAAAGUGAUAAGUGAGAUCGUCUCCACAGGGAUCAGAUUAGGUAUAGAAAUGGUCAAGUUAUGAUAAAGAUUAAUGUUAUGGAAAAACCGAGUUAAGUACGCAGUGGUAAAUUAAAAUAAUAAGGAUAAGUGCAAAAUAUAUACUGACUAAUAUUGGAAAAUGUUAAGGAAAAACAAGAGUAAAAAUGUAAUGGCAAUUACAAAAAUAAUUACGUGAAUAAAAUGCAAGCGAAUAAAUAAAUAACUAAGAAUGAUAUGAAAAAGAUACUAUGACAAAGGAUAGAAAUUCUACGAUGUUGAUUGAAAGGUUGGGAUUACUAAGACUUUGCCUUUACUUUCAAUAACGCUUUAGCAAAAUCAUACUUAACCUACUGCUCAAAAGAGACCUAAAGUGACCUACUUCCUUCGAGAUCAAGAUCUCAAGUUAACUGGUCUGUGUUUAUAGGCCAUAGUAGGGCACCUCCUGCACUGUUUUAUCUUCAUUCAAUACAAAUGCUGCUCUAUGUCUAGAGUUUACUGCAGGUACUCAAUUGAAUACCCACUUGUAUCAUUCAAUUUUAGUUCAGUUAAUCCAACCUUUUUAGAAUUAGAUUCAGUUUAUGUGCAUAUUGCACACUCAUCUAUGUCUAGAGAAUGUAUGCAUACAGUAGGAAAUAAAAGCAAUUAAAUGAAACAAUAGAUUAAAUCAAAUAGAUGCUUCAACCAUUAAAGAAAAUAAAAGUUUCAUAAUGUAAUCUCAACCCUAUGAAGUUUAGUUCAUGGGUUGGCGAUUAAAAUUCAAGUUCAAAAUAACAUUCAAUAUCAUUUUGAUUAAUUUGAUUCAAGGUAGAACAUGUUAAGAAAUAAUGGAAGAACUUAGGAAGAUGGUUGUAGCCAAAUCAAUCCACAAUCCAGUAGCACAGUGUCCUGUGGUGGCUGAGAGGGAUUGCCUUCAACUUCUUUUUCCGUCUCUACUCAGCUGCUAUCAUCUACUGUUGCCUCUGAAUCUCCACACCUUUUAGGGUUUCCACCUUUGGCUUUUUAAAAGCUUUUCUUCCUAGGAUAGCUCUAACAGCCCACAUCCUCUCCUCUUUUUUAGGUAGAUUUUUCUGGUACAAGUAGAGUUGGGCUUAGACUGGUAUACAUUGAAUACAAGGUGGCAAACUGUCCAACCUUUUUCCCUGGAAAACCUUCACUCCUUUAUUUCUUUCUCCACAUCUUACACCUACCGAACCACCAAACACAACCCUUCCACAUGAAAUUAAAAGUAUCUAACAUGUAAACACAAUUCAAGCUCCUAAUACAAAUGAUAAAAAUACUAAUAAAAUGUCCUAACAUGCCAUUAAAUGUACCCAAGUACAAGCAAUUAGCUAGGUUGAAUGGCACAAAAUAUAACUCUUUUCAAGAGUUAUCGCACCCCCAAACCUAAAUUAUUGCUUGUCCUCAAGAAAAAUUUGUAUAAAUGCAUGUAUACGGCAGUAUUGCGAAUGCAUGUACCCAUGUUGUAUUGUCAAUCUAUUCGGAGACCAAUAUAUACAUUAGUUUUCAGACAUCUUCUCUCGUUAAAAUCCUGUUUGAAUUUCGACGGUUUGACUUAACAAAGGUAGUGCAAAAAAUUGCUAGCUAAAAAUAAGAUUUCUUAAGUUUCAUGUAUGUUUUGGCCAUAACAAAUAUCUCCUAGCUUAAUCAAUUCGUUUGUUACCUAAACUCAAAUCACUCUUGCUUUAAGCAUACUUGUAUAAACCAUUUACAUUUGUGUUUUUUGUCUUGUUUUUUUAAUGAAAAAUUAGUAAAUUAAGAGAUUUAGCAUGUCACAAAAUUCUUUGACUUGAUAAUCACAAUGGAGUAUACACCGAAUUACCGAGUACUCAAUCAUGUCACAAUUUAAACAGAAAUCACUCUUGAAGCUAAGGCUUUUGUAAUAUCCUGAUUUUGGGCCUAGUCGGAAUAGUGGUUUCGUGACCACAAAAUCCGAGAUAGAAAUAAUUAUUUUAUGAUUAUUUUAAGGUCUAUGAUAUGAUUGCAUGAUUGUGUGAAAAUUUCGUGAAGAAAUUUUAUGCAUAAAGUACUUAAAUUGAAAUUAGGGACUAAAUCAAAUAAUUUACAAAACUUGCAUUCUAGAAGUUAUUAGUAUGAAAUUGUUUUGAAAUAUUAAUUAGGAGGUCUUAAAUAGCAAUUUUACCAAUUUCUAAGUCUAUGGACAAAAAUUGGACAUGGAUGGAAUUUUUGGAAAGUUUAGUAGUAAGGGCAUUUUGGUCAUUUAGGGGUAAAAUGAAUUAAAAUACAAAAUUAAAAGCCAAUUUUGCUCAUCUUCAACCCCAUGGCCGAAUAUAGCAAGGAGAAACCAUGGCUAGGGUUUUUCAAGCUUCCAAGCUCGAUUAGCAAGGAAAACUAAAAUUCGGUCUAAAAUGGGGAAAAUACCAAGUUGUGGAUGAAAUGGUAAAAGUAGACAUUUUCGCAUACGAUGUAAGUUCAUAUGUAAAUGUUGGUAACAUAGUUAUUAUUUUAAAUGUUUUAAUGUUAUUUAAAUGAUAUGAUAAUUAUUAUGAAAUAUCAUACUUGUGACAAUUGUUUGAUAAUAUGUCAAAUUAUGUGAUAUACUUGGAAAAUGUGAAAUACUACCGAGUAUCGGUUCAGCAUUCCGUAGAAGAUGGUUGAGACACAUGAUUGGGAAAAAGGUCCCGUUGAACCUUAGGAAUGGAUUAGGAUACAAGUGACAUGUCACUAGGAUGGUUGAGCAUCCAAACUCGUUGAGUUGAGUCCGAGUUCACUUAUGGAUGCAAAUGUCCGAACUCGUUGAGUUGAGUCUGAGUUUGUGAGAUGUAACUAGGCAUCCAAACUCGUUAAGUUGAGUCCGAGUUCACUCAUGGAUGCGAACGCCCGAGCUCGUUGAGUUGAGUCCGAGUUCGCUUAUGGGCGGGUUACAUAGUAGCUUGGCUACAUAUGUGGCACUUAUGUGCAAACUUUCCAUGUAUCCGAAUUAUAUUCUGAUGUGUUCAACGGGUAAAGUUCUACUCAAAUGGAGGAAUACUAAAGAUGAAAGGGACGUAUUUGUAAGUGUUGUGAAAUGGAUACUUUGAACAGGUAUGUACUUAACCCUCAGGUUGAAAACUCGAUAUAACAACAAUAUGGUAAGAUCAUAAAUGAAAAUGUGAUAUGAAUGUCUUGGUGAUGAUUAUGCAAAUGAUGUUUUAUGUUUGCUUAUAUGGUUAUGUUACUUGCUAUUUGCAUGUAAACUUACUAAGCAUUUAUGCUUACUCCCUCCUUUUCAUUCCUUGUAGUUUUGACAAGCUAGCUCGGAAAUCGGGAACGGUCGGAGGCACGCUCACACUAUCCGUAUACCAUCUUGGCAUAAUGACUUGUAUAUUUUGAGUAUGGCAUGUAUAGUAUUAUAAUCAUUUUGUAUAUAUGGUCUUAUGAUAUGGUUAUUGAGUGGUAUAAAAAUGCUUGGUAAUGAUUAGCCAUUGGAAUGGCUAAUUAUGAUCAUAUUUGGUGUUAUGUAUGUCAAAUUGCUAGCUAAUCCAUGGAAACCAUGAAAUAGGUAAAAUUUACCAUAAAAUAGAUUCAGACAGAAGUAGUGACGUGAAUUUGAAAAAUCACUAAAAAUAGUAGAAAUGGAAUUAAAUAAUGAAUAAGUUAUGGAAUCUAAGCUUGGUGAGUCUAUUUUCAUAUGGAAGAAGCAAAACAGGUAUAUAAGCUAUAUUUUAUGAGAUGUUUAAAUUUUUGUGAAACAGGGCCAGAGUGAUUUCUGGAUCCCCUGUUCUGAUUUUGGAAAUUCACCAUAAAUUGUAAAAAUAUAAUUAUAAGUCAUACUUUAUAUGUAAAGAUUCUUUAUUGAGUCUAGUUUUAAGAGAAACAAAUUUCAUAGUCAUUGAAAUUCUGUACAAAUAGAUAUCUGAUUCGUAAUACACAGAGGUCAGAGCUGUCGAACCCUGAAAUAGGGGAGACUUUAACUAAUAAACUGUACUAAUUGGAUCAACCAAAAAUUCUAGAAAACAAUUAGUAGAUAGAUAUAUGAGUCUAGUUUCAGUGAAAAUUUACGGAUCUUAAUUUUGAGUUUUGGAACUCGAGAUGCGAAUUUUUAAAGCGACUGUGAUGCAGUUAGCCAGCUUGUCUGGAAAUUUUAAAAUGAAUUGUAUGAGUUGUUUAAGUAAUGAAUUAAGUUAGUUAACACCUUAUGUUCGACUCCGGCGACGGUCUUGGGUACGGGGCGUUACAGCUUUUGACUUAGAAGAUGGAUGGAGCAAAUAACUACCACCUUAACUACUCAACUCGUUACUAUAGUGGAGUGCCUCUAAUUUAUUUACUUUCUAUUACACACUCUUACUUAAACUCACCUUUCUAGUCAACAACACGAUGGAGCAAACAAAGUGGUGCUAACUUACUCGAAAAUUCUAAGCAUUGGAGUGCCUACUGUCCUUUAUUUAAUAAUGCCAAGGCAAAAUGACUGAAUUUUUGCUUCAAAGGUCCCUAAUUUCAUUAAAAGAUACUUACUAUAACCCAAAAAAGAUUGAGUAUAGGACAUCCUAUUUUUAGAAAUUAACUUUCAAGCAACCAUUCCUAAGCUAAAUUCACCCAAUCCACUAUCACAUGUUCAAAGUAUAUUGAAGAAUUUCAGCUCAUCAUCUAACAUCAUAAGUACAGAUUGUACUCCUCAUAGGCCAAUAGUACAUAAUAGUUAUAUUGCUGUGGCAAAAUAGGUUCAACUAAACUAGAAUAACUAUUCUAAAAUGAUCAUACAUACUAAAUAUAACAUGCAACCUAAAUACACAACACACCCCUAAAUCUAAGGGAUGCAUUGUCCCCAAUCCAUGUUCAAAUAUGUAAGAGAACAACUAAAAGAGAAAUUUUUACAACAAAUGCCAUGACAAAAUAAAAUGAAAUGCAAUAUGCAUGCAAGAAAGAAGAAAAGAGAGAAAAAAACUUAGUUGGCUUGGACUAGCAUUUUGAAAUUGUAGUCUACCCGAUGAGUGGAUUUUUGGGUACUGACUUUGUACUGCCACUUCCUCUUUUUAGAGGUCAUUUCUUCUCCUUUCUUGUCAGUUUUUGUGAGUUCAUCGAUUAGAUGAUCAAUGUCACGGUCAGGUGUAGAUACCGGAGCUAAUGGUGAAGGUGGAACAAUAUCUUUCUCUUUGGUGGUGGCAGUAUCAUCCUUUCUCCUUCUUUCUCCUUUCAGCAUUUAAGGAAGUCAUCUUCUUGGGCUCUUCCGUAGAAAUUUGAAUAGGUGCCUUAGCAGCACGUUGAAUGGGUGCUUUAGCAGAAGCUUGAGUAGGCUCUUUGGAAGCACCAUCAAAUGGGAGCAAGGUGGCUGGGAAGAUAGGAAACUUUGGCAUUGGCUUUGUGAAAUUAUUUUGUAGGAAUUUCCUUAUAGCCAAAUCCCUACUCCUCACAUAAGCUCAAUAUUUAGCUUGCUACUGCUAGGCCUAUGCCAUCUUCUCAAUUAGGUUAAACUACUGGAUUGCAGAAAGGGACAUCCUCUACUGUAACUGCUUCAAGGAGUGCACCAUUUGCUGUUCAAGGGAGCUACGAGAAACUGGAGGUGCUUCUAUGGGGGUAUGCGUAGCAAAAGAAUUGGUGGCAUGACAUGCUGAGUUGCCCUGGCAACAUCAGUGCCUUGGAUUUUGGCAAAAAUGGUCUUGGUCAACCCACUCUUGUUAGGGGUGAUAUCCUCCUCCGCAUUAAGAGGGACUCCUGUGGUUCGACAAAGAGAAGUAAUAAGUGAAGGAAAGUUUAAACUACUCGCAUUCUUUUCAGCACACCGAUGUACGUAUUGAAAAAUGAUCAUCCCAACAUUAGUACUUCUCCCUUUUAUAAUGGAGUGCAGCAAAAGCAUUCUUUCUUUCAAAACAAUUGUAUUGUGUGUAGACGACAUAAGUCGGCUCCUCAUGAAAUGAUACUAAAUUUUCCCAAUAGACUUCAACAAAUCCUUCUCAAUAGUAUAACAAUAUUGACUGGAAACAGUCCAUCUUGUUCCUUUGAUACAUAAAUUCUCUAACACCUUGGCUAAACCUUCAACGGUAAUACUUUCAGCAAAUAGUGUAUGUUAUUCCUAUAUUCCUGUAAGACCAAACUAUGCAUUAAUAUGGUCUUCAUCAAAAGGAAAGGAAGUACCUCUUUCGUAGAUAAAAGGGGAAUUUGGAGAGUUGACAUGGGCAUAAAAUUCUAGAAUAAUUUUUCCUAAAACAUCCUCGGGAUGCAAAGAAAAAGCAUUCCACCCAUGUUUUUCUACUAUAGAGGACACAAACUCAUCCUAUUCCAUAUAUGGUUCAUCUUUAAAUAAGAACCUUUGCUCAAAAUAGAAAGGGCGUUUUGCGAUGUACUAUUGUAUUUCGUGGCUGUGGCGCUAUUAAAGAAUGUCUUUGGCUGAGUAGCACCAACCCUUGAUGAUUCAACAAUUUUGGAGGCAAUUUUGACACGAGCCAUUGGAGAAAACAAUGUUCAUAGAAAUUGAAAGGUCUAUUUUUCUCCAACAAAAUGCACAAGGGUUUAGAUAUCUUCAAAAAAUCCUUAAUGAAUCUACUGCAAAAACCUAUAUGACCUAAAAAACUUCUAAUACCCUUGACACUGGUGGGAGGUGGCAAUUUUUAUAUCACUUCAAUUUUUUCUCUGUCUACUUAAAUUCCUCUUUGUGAUAUCCUAUACCUUGGACAAUUCCUUCACGAACCAUGAAGUGGCAUUUCUCCCAAUUUAAAACAAGAUUUGUUUCUUCAAAACGACACAAAACCAAUUCCAUAUUUUUCAAACAAUCUUCAAAAUCAUUCUUCAACACAAAAAAAUUGUCCUUGAAAACUUCAAGAAAAUUUUCCACAAUGUUAGAGACUAUGGCCAUCAUACGACGUUUAAAAGUUGUUGGGGCAUUACAUAAUCUGAACGACAUCCAUAUGAACGCAAAAGUACCAUAUGGACUUGUGAAAGUUGUCUUCUAUUGGUCAUUGGGGGCUAUGGCAAUUUGAUUAUAUAACAAAUAAGCAUCCAAAAAAUAGUAGAAAACUUUCUUAGCUAAUCUAUCCAACUUCUGAUCAAUGAAUGGUAAGGGAAAAUGGUCCUUCCAAGUUGCCUUGUUAAGCUUUUGGUAAUCCAUACAUGCUCUCCAUCCCUUGACAGUGCGAGUUGGUAUGAGCUCAUUAUUGUCAUUACUUACCACUGUGGCACCUCCUUUCUUGGGUACACAUUGCACAGGACUUACCCAUAAGUUGUUUGAAAUCGGGUAAAUGAUGCCAGCGUUAAGCCAUUUAAUAAUCUCUUUCUUGAAAACAUUUUCAUGGUCAGAUUCAGUCUUCUCUACUGUUCAAUGAAAUUGCUAAGGCAAUCCUCUAACAAAAUCUUAUGCAUGUAGUAUGCAAGGCUAAUUCCCUUUAUAUAAGCUAGGGUCCAUCUCAAUGCCUUUCGAAAUUGCCGAAGAAAUUCUAACAACAUUUCCUUUUGCUCGGGUGUCAGGUCCAUAGGAAUUACUACUAGAAAAGUACUGUUUUGCCCAAAUAUGCAUACUUCAAAUGCUGUGGCAAAGGUUUUAACUCCAGUGGAGGAGGUUUCUCUAUAGAAGGUUUAGGAUGAUUGAAAGGUCGAUUUAAUAGAUCCAAGGGUUCAAACCUCUUCCUUGGUCUAUCUACUAUCUGCUUGGCUUCCAUAAAUUCAUCGAAUUCCUCAAAACUUAUUGUACUAUUGUGCUCAAGUGAGUCUUUGUCACUAUCGGAAUUGUUAUGGCAAUGUCUGGUGAUUUCCACCAUCGUUAUUUCUAUCAACCCAAUGGCACGACAUUCAUCAUGAACAUCAGAACAUUUCAAAGCAUUAAACACAUUGAAUGUAACCUGCUGAUCAUUUACCUUCAUAGCCAACUCGCCUUUCUGUACAUCAAUUAAUGUCCUGCCAGUAGUAAGAACAGGUCUUCCAAGAAUAAUUGGCACAUCUUGGUUAGGUUCCCAUUCUAAAAUAAGGAAAUUCAUAGGAAAGAUAAAUUUAUCUACUCUUACCAGCACAUCCUCAAUUUUACCUUACAGAUGCGCGUAGGAUCAAUCAACUAGUUGCGACGUAACCACAGUAGGUCUUUCUUUUCCUAUUCCUAGCUUCCUAAAAAUAGACAUAGGCAUUAGAUUUAUACUUGCUCCUAGAUCACAUAGUGCAUUACUAACAUAAUGAUUCAAUUGAACAUGGGAUAGUGAAACACUCUAGGUCCUUCAACUUUAGAGGUAAUUUAUUUGUCAACAUUGUUGUGCACCCUUCAUAGAGAGCGACAGUCUCAAAUUCUCCCAGUCUGCACUUUUUUAACAAUAUAUCUUUCAUAAAUUUCACAUAGUUGGGCAUUUGCUCCAAAGCUUCAACUAGUGGUAUGUUGAUAUAGAGUUGCUUUAAAACCUCCAAAAAUCUUUUGAAUUGAAUAUCCUACUUAGAAUUAUGAAAAUGCUGAGGAAAAGGAAAAGGUGGUCGUCCUUCAUGUUAUUGAUAUUGUUUUUUCGUGGCAUUCUUAUUGAUAACAUGUUCCGAUUCUACCACAACAUUUGGCUGCUUACCCUUUUUAGAUUCACUAUGUUUUUUAGAUGACUCUGGGAUCUUUUCCUGGUUGUUAAUCGAGUUAUCCUCUUCUGUAGUAUCAUCUUGAGCAACAUCAACAAGCUAAGUUUUUGUUUUAGGAGUGAUGGCCUUGCAUUGCUCCUUCCCUUUUGAUCUCAAAUUCUCAGCAUCACUUGGCAACGCUCCUUGUGGUCUCAAAUUUAAACCAUUCGCUAUUUGCCCCACUUGAUUCUCACGAGAUCAGAGAGAUGCAACCUGACUUUGAAUUACAACAUCAUUCUUGACCAUAUAUUCCUUCAGCAAGGCUUCAAUAGAUGAUGAUGAUGAUGAAACUGAUGCCUUACCUUGCUAGACAUUUUGCCUCGACAUAGAUUGAGGAUUAGCAGUUGGUGCAUUGAUGGCAUUCUGUCUUUCCAUAUUGUUAAAAUCCCCUGCACCUUGAUUAUUCCAACUAAAGUUGGGAUGUUGCUUCCACCCAGGAUUAUACAUGUUGGAGUAGGGAUUAUUGUUCUAAUUGAAAUUACCCAUGUAGCACACGUAUGCUGGAUUUGAUGGUCAUUCAUCAAGCACAUGAUCUUCACCACAAUAAACACAUGAUAGUUCGGCUGAUUUAUCUCCUGGACUGUAGUAGUCCUUUUCAUUGAAUCAUAUUAGCCAAAGAAGAUACCUGGGCUGUCAACGAAGUGAUUGCAUCUAGCUCCAUAUUACCAACAACUAACUUUCUUGUUUGUCCCAACUCUUGUGGUAGGGUAUUGAUAAUUAUUGUUGGCAAUCUUUUCCAAAAUCUCAUAUGCUUCAUUAUAAGAUUUAUCCAACAAAGUAUAGUUAGCAGAAGCAUCAACUACUGUCCCUGUAUGUACAUUUAGACCAUUAUAGAAUAUAUCCAUCUAAGUUCAGUGUUGAAAUCUAUGCAUCAAACUUUUUCAAAUUAAGUCUUUAAAUAAUUCCUAAGCUUCAUAUAGUGUUUCAUCCUCCAAGUGCUGAAAACAUGUGAUGCCAUUUCUAAGCUUGGUAUUCAUAUUUAGGGGAUUAUUGUAAACUCAAAAUAAAAUAAGUAAAUUUUACUUAAUUAGUAAUAUUGGGCAUGAAUUUAUAAAGUAUGUGAAAUUAUGCUUAAUUAUAUUAUUUUUGUACAUAUUUUAUAGUAUUUCAUGUUAAUUUAUUAAUAUGUGAUUUUUCACCACGUAGGAGGACCAUUAAAGAUGUGAUUAGUUUGAAUGAAACAUGGACAUGCACAAAUAAAUUCAUGUAGUUGGAAAGACCAUGCAACCUCAUGACCCAUUAAAAGAGGUGCAAAAAGAUGGACAUGUCUACUAAGUUAUUAGACUGAGAAACCAUCCAACAAGGGGGAACUAAAGCCCAGUUUUGGCAAAACUAGAUGGCAACCCAAAAGCAAGCUUUGGGGUAUUUAAUUGAAGGUCCUUACAGUUGGAAAAUAAUUAGAAAUUAGCCAAACUACUUUACUGUUGAAGCUGUCCACCUUAUGGCUAUUAAUAGCCUUGGUUUGAAUUCAAAUUGAGGAGACUAAGUCAUCCCUUUCUCCUUGAAAUAUGGCUGGCCAUGCAUGGUAGAAAAAGAAGGAAUUUUGAAUUUAUUUUUAGCUAACUCUACCCCUUACCUUCAUCUAUAAAUUUCGUGCACCAAUCCUUUAAUCCAUCAUCCCUCACUUCACAUUUCUCUUCUUUCAUUAAGCAUUUCUCCACAUUCUAUUUCCCUUUUCCUUGCCUUUGCAUAGUUGUCCAUCUCCUUCCCAUCCUUUAGCAAAAAAAGUUGUGUCGAAAGCAUUCUUUGGCCGGCCACCUUAGGAACUCCUUAACAAAAAAAGCAUCGAGCAGAACAGAGGAGCACAUCAGUCAGAACAGAUCCAAAAGGCUACUGAACUAAAUUAGUCAGAAUAGAUCCAAAAGGAUACUGAGCUGAAUAGAGUUUACUCUUUCCUCUUGUUAUCUAUUAAUUAUGUUUGCUUUGAGUUUAUUUUUUUUACAUCAACAAUGAUAUACGAAAUCCUAUUUCUUAGGAUGAUUAUGUUAAUUCAAUAAUAUAUAUUUUAUUCAUGUUUAACAUGUUUAGGCCUCAUUCAAUCGUGUUUUCAAUUAAGAUCAAGAUGCAUUUUAUUCAUACACAAUUGGGUGCACUCAGAUUAGUUGAGCGAUUCUAACCAGAUGACGCCUAGUAGAAACAUAAUUGAAAAGUGCAAUGCUCAAUUUAGAUCCUUAAACCCACUAAGUUUAGGUUCAUAAUAUCUUUAGUUAGCUCUAUUGCCUUGCAUAGUUUUUAGGUUUAUGUAAUUAAACUGUUGCAAAUGUAAAUGUCCUUAUGACCUUACGUAAAUGCUAAGAAACCCUUAGUUAAUAUGAUCAGUAAAAUGCAUAUUUAACUAAGAAAAAGAAUCUGAAAGAACUUAAUUUGGUUUCCAAACUCAUGAAAGAUCAAGUUUCCGUGGAAGUAUUUUCAAACAUUGUUUAGCAUGAUAAAGUAAAUUUAAUUGAUUAAUAUAAUUAUCUUAGACCAUUCAAUGUUGAUCAUUUUUGUUGCUAAAGUCAUUCAUUCAUACAUUUAGGUAAAUUGCAUCUUGAAUGGAAUUACAUAGGUUUCAAUAUUUGCAUCUAAUUAAUUUUACUUAGUUUAAUCAUUACCAUCCAAAUUAUUGAGUUAUUACAUCAAAUUGUGAAUUUAUGAUUUUUCAAAUAAUUGAUUAAGCUCAUACAGUCCCUUUGGAGAUAAUAACUAAUUUUACUUAUUACUUGAAAGACUGUGUACAGUUGUGUAUUUUUCUCGUCACAAUUAUAUCGUAGCAAAAACCUUUGACAAAGAUCAUUCCAUGAUGCCAUUGUUCCUGAUGGCAAAGCAUUCAACCAUGCACUUGUAUGAUCUCUUAAAGAAUAUGGAAACAACUUAAGUCCCACAACGUCUUUAGGAGCACCCUGUUGCCUAAAUGAGUCACAAACCUCUAGAAAAAGUUGUAAAUGCAGUCUUAAAUCUUCAGUGGGCUGUCCACCAAACAGUCCUACUGUUUGCAGCAUCUGGAACAUUACCAGUUUCAGCUCAAAACUGCUAAACAUGUAUUUGUGGUAUGACUAUCCUUGGAUUCAGGUCAUCUAAAAAAUUGGCACAACAUGCUCUUGGAUGGGUGUAAUCUAUCACCCCACGAACAUGAGGAUUGGCACCCUGACCAUUCAAAUUAUCAUUUAGACAAGGUAUCACCCUACAAACAGGAGGAUUAGUAUCUUGACCAUUCGAAUUAUCAUUGAGGCCAGGAUCAUUCUCGUUCCUAGCCAUUUUUCGCAAUUUUUCCAUCUUCUUCGUAAAGUUCUUUCUAUCUCUUCAUAAAAAGGAUAUUCUUUUUAGCAGGAAUGCCUUUUCUCAUACACUGAUGACAAACUUAUAGAAAUUAAAUUAAAAUAAGUUAAAUAAACUAAUGAAACUAAGUAAAAUAACCAAACCAAAUUACACCAACUUACCGAUCCCCAGCAACGGCGGCAAAAACUUGUUGCGUGUGAAUAUAAUAUGUUAAUUGUACAAGUGUACAUGUCAAAUCAAGUAAUAAAGUGAUAAGUGAGAUCAUCUCCAGAAGGAUCAGGUUAGGUAUAAAAAUGGUCAAGUUAUGAUAAUGAUUAAUGUUAUGGAAAAAUCGAGUUAAGUACGCAACGGUAAAUUAAAACAAUAAGGAUAAGUGCAAAAUGUAUACAGACUAAUAUUAGAAACUUUUAAGGUAAAACAAGAGUAAAAAUGCAACGACAAUGACUAAAAUAAUUACGUGAAUAAAAUGCAAGCGAAUAAAUAAAUAACUAAGAAUGUUAUGGAAAAGUUACUAUGACAAAGGAUAGAAAUUCUAUGAUGUUGAUUGGAAGGUUGAGAUUACUGAGACUCUUCCCUUACUUUCAGUAAUGUCUUAGCAAAAUCAUAAUUAACCUACUGCUCAUAAAAGACCUAAAGUGACUCACUUCUUUCGAGAACAAUAUCUCAAGUUACCUAUCUUGUAUCUAUAUGCCUCAACACAACACAACACCCUGCACUGUUUUGUAUUUAUUCUAUACAAAUACUGCUAUAUGUCUAGGGCCUACUAAGGUAUUCGGUCGAGUACCCACUUGUAUCAUUCAAUUUCAGUCCAACUAAUCCAACCUUUUUAGAAUUAGAUUCAGUCUAUGUGCAUACUGCACACUCAUCUAUGUUUAGAGAAUGUACGCAUACAGUUAGGAAAUAAAAGCAAUUGAAUGAAAUAGUAUAUUAAAUCAACUAUAUUCUACAACCAUUAAAGAAAAUAAAAGUUUCAUCAUGUAAUCCCAGCCCUAUGAGAUUUAAUUCAUUGGUUGGCAAUUAAAAUUUAAGUUCAAAAUAACAUCCAAUAUCAUUUCAAUCAGUUCAAAUCAAGGGAAAACAUAUUAAUAAAUAAAGGAAGAACUUAGGAAGAUGUCGCCAAAACAAUCCACAAUCAAGCAGCACAGUGCCCUGUGGUUGUUGAGAGUGACUGCCUCCAGCUUCCUUUUUCCUUCUCUACUCAGCCGUUACUCUCUAUUGUUGCCUCUAGAUCUUUACACCCUUUAGGGUUUCCACCUUUGGCCUUGUAUAAGCUUUCCUUCCUAGGAGAGCUCCAACAACCUACGAUAUCCUCUUAUCUUUUUUAGGUAGAUUUUUUUGGUAAAGUAGAGUUGGACUGAGGCUGGUAUGCGUUGAGUGUUAACUCAAUCAUUUUCCAAAUUACCACGGCAUCAAGGUGACAAACUAUCCAACCUUUUGCCAUGGAAAAUAUUUACUCCUUUAUUUAUUUCUCCAUAUCUUGUACCUGCCAUACUACCAAACACAACCUUUCCACACGUAAUUAAAAGUAUCUAACAUGUAAAUAGAAUUGAAGCUCUUAAUGCGAAUGAUAAAAAUAAUAAAAUGUCCUAGCAUGCCACUAAAUGUACCCAAGUACAAGCAAUUGACUAGGUCUAAAGGCAUAAAAUAUAACUCUUUUCAAGAGUUAUCAAUAAGCAAGUAUGAUCUGUAUUAAAUGAAUCUAUACCAUUGUGUACGCAUAUCUAAUAUCUGUUAAUUAUGCAUCUGCAUUAGGAUGGGAUUUGUGAUAACAGAGGUGUUAGAUUACCCCCAAAGACCAAUCAUGAGAUAAUUGUAAUAACAUACUUAUUUUACCUCGUUUAUUAAUAUAAGGCAUAGCCAUUAUUAUUUUACUUUUUUUUCUAUGUAUAUAAAUAAAUUGUUUUAAAGUAAUGUCUUGAGAAUAAUAUGAUUAUUCUUAAAAGGUCCUUAGUCGAGUAUUAUUGUGGGCUUGGACAACAAUAAUGCAUUAAGAUUAACAUGUAGUUGAUUGAUGACAAAGUGUUGUUAUUGACACAAGAUGUCAAAAUCAAUACAUGAGUAUGUGUGUUAGAGAACAACAUAUUGGACUGACUCGCUAUGAGUAUGUUUCUUGGAUUAUUAUGUAAUAGUCACAACAUUACUCAUAGUGAUUACUAUGUAUACGAUCCUUAGACUUGAGAUCAUAAUUAUCCCAACAUCGUGAGUCAUAUAUUUUGAUACAGUCAAACAUCCACCGCAAUUGGUUUUUCUAUAAAGGCUAAUGUUGGAUAUACCACAAUCUAUGUAGUGGGAUAUGGUUGAUCAAUAUAGAAUUUGUCCCUCUUGCAUAAUGGUAGCAAUAUCCUAGGCCACUUGAUUGAGUGAGACUAGAAAUGAAUGGCCAUACUCAAAUAAGUUGAUAUGAGAUAUCAUAGUUAUUUCUUUUUAAUAAUCUACUCAGGAUAUCAAGAAACAUUAGAUGGGAUAUACAAGUGUGACUAUUUCAUGACUUGUGUCCAUUUUGGAUAUAAAAGAUAAAAGGAUUUAAUAUAUGAAGGGUUAAUCAUAGAGAGGUUAUGUCGAAUCAUGACUUCUUGUAACUUAGGUAGCAAUGAUGCAUUGUUAGAGGCCACUCAUUGUUUAUAAUAUUAGAAUCAUUCUAGUAUUACUAGUAACGUUACAAGAACCUACAGGGUCACACCCUAUGGUUGAAACGAACAAAAUCCAAACGUAGUUGAUAUUGAGUUUAGCUGUCACAUGAAUUAAAUUGAUUAUAGAACUAAUUCAAUUGGGCAGUUAAAUAUCGAAGGAAUUAUAUGUACAAGUAUGUUGUACACAUAAUGAAAAGUAUGGUUAAAUUAAUAUAUGAAUUUGAUUCGUGUAAAAUUUAACUACAAAUAAUUUAUCGAAAUCCUUUAUAUAAUUAUUGUAAUUAUAAUUUAAGAUCAAAUAUUAUUAUAAUUACUGUAAUUGUAAAUUUUUUUGGUGAAACAUUAUUAUAAGUAUGGUAAUAUAAUUAUUAUAUUCAGUUAUUAUUAUGAUUUGAUUCAUAUAAAAAAUAUCAAUUAUUCCUGAAUUAGGAAAUAUAUGGUUUUUAAGAAAAACCUUAUAUACUUGAAAAAUAAAGUAUGUGAGGUCUAGCAGUCGUCAAUAGUUUUUUCUCUCUCUGAAAAAGUUUUAAAGAGUGUUUAUUGUUCAUUGUCACAUCGAGUGGAUUACGUGAGGCUGAAACUUUUCGUAGUGUUUAUUGUUCAUUGUCACAUCGAGUGGAUUACGUGAGGCUGAAACUUUUCGUAGCAGCUUGGAAUCGACAUACAAUAGCAUAAUUUGUUUCUUAAACUUUUCAGAUGAUUAAGGUAAUUGUUCAGACCCUUUUCACCCCGAUUCAUUCAUUGCACAUGGAUCCCCGGAUGUGAUCGCUGGAUUUAUUUUUUUUUGCUACGUCAUAGGGUGUACCCUGUGAUCCUACAGGAGGAAGUGUGCGUAGUUUAAUUAUCUGUCGAUUCUGGUGGCUAAGCCACAUAUAAAUAUUUGAUUGUGGUGAUUUAUCGCACUUUGAUCUGGCAACUAGUUUGCCACAUUCUGAACGUGACAUACUGUCACUAUACGGUGUGUAGGGAUGGAUGGGUACUAGAUACCCUAUUUGGUGUGUAGGGACAGACGGAAAUGGUGUGUAGCGGAUGGGGGUAGGAAAUUUACAUCUGUAUUUGAUAUAUCUUGUUUUUGUUUCUGUAUCUGACUUGGAGAACUGUUUGCAUAUUGAGAAGCUGAUGACUUGUCUGAUAUUUUCUAUUAUUUGAAUACAUAACUUACACACUGAAUAUGUAAAUUCAUUUCAUCUAUUUGAUUGAGUUUUAGGUAACCUACAGACUUAGGCGGGUCGGCGUAGCUGGAACUUGGUCAACUCCUUUUGGUUGUUUUUAUUGUCUUAAUCCAAUUUAUAUUAUCCUAUGUUUCCUUUUUGGAUUAUUGUCAAAAGUUUGGAUUUUCAUGGAUUGAUAUAAUCAUUUUUAAUGAUUUUGGAUUGUUUAAAUUUCAAGAAAACUAGGUUGGGCUUUUCAAAUGGUUAUUAUAACUCUCCAAAUUUGGCCAUAAUGUCUAGGCCAGUUCUGAGGUGUUAAAUCCCAAAUGUGUCAUCUAAGGAAAUAAACUUCAAGUUGGCCUACCAUCAUUGUGUCGUUGUGACCAAGAGAAGCCCCUUGUCAUGAUGUCAAUUGUAUUUCAAUGUAACAGCUUAUUUUUCAGUUGUGUCGGAAACAGUGAUUUCGGGGCCACCAAAUCUGACGAGUAAGUUUGUAAAUAUUAUUAUUUAAUAUUUAUGAGUCAAAUAUGGUUUUAAAAAGGUUUUUUAUUUGAUAAAUUAUGUUCUAUAAGUGAUUUAUUAAGUUCAAGUGAUAUGACCCUAAGGUCAAGUGGUUUUAGAAAAUGAGGUAUCGGGACCUCGUUUCUAUAAACCAAGCCGUAAAUAUUUUUAUAAAAAUUUACAAAGUGUCAUUAAGGUGGUAUUAGAGUUUUGUUGAAAAAAAUUAUCGUUUCGAUAGUUAAUAAAUUAAAAAGGACUAAAUUGUAAAAGAUGAAAAAAUUGACGCUAUUUGAUUUGAGUGAUUAAAUGACUUCAUGAAUGAAAGUAUAAGGACUAAUAUGGUCAAUAUACCAUAUUAUAUAUAAGUGGGCGGUUGGCUUUAUUUUAUUAUGAAAAUAUGUAUGUUUUAUUAAUUAAUUAAAACAAAUUAAAAGGUAAUAAAACAAGUUAAAGAUAUCAUCUUUUAUCUUUUAUUGUUUAGCUGAAUUUGAGAAGGAAGAAAGCCAUUGAUAAACCUUUAAGCUUCAGCUAAACUUCAUAGAAUGUAUGUAAGUCUGUUUCAUCCCCAUUUCUUGUAAUUUUUAUGUUUUUGAGAUCGUUACAACUAGGUCCAGCUAGUCCAUACCUUCGAUUUUGAAACUGUUAAAGAUUUUGAAUGUUGCCAUGGAUGAAUCUUGCGAUUUUUCAUGUUAAAUGAUGAAUUUGUAAUGUUGAUUGAUAAUUAAAAGUAUUUCGUUAAGUAAUUUUUUAACGACAUUAUCAAUUAGAGACUAAAUUGUUAAGUUAAUAAAAGUACUAGGAUUUAAUGUGAAAUUAUUGCAUAAAUGGCUGUUUUGGAUACCCUGAGCAUUCGGCAAAGCUCAAUUUUGGGUAAAAAUGGUUAAUUUGCAUGUUUUGGGCUUAGGGACUAAAUUAAUUAAAAAUAAAAAUUUAAAGGUAAUUUUGUAAAAUAUUAAAAAAUGACUGUUAUUAAUUUAGUUCAAUAUAGAGUGGAAAAUUAAGGAAAAUAGAAAAUUACCAAAAUGCCCCUAAACUUUGGUAUUUUUGCAAUUUAUCAAGGUAAGUUCGUAUGAAUUAUAUUCGGUAUAAUUUUGAUUAAAUUGGAUGUUAAUAUGUGAUUAUAUUGUGAUUAAAUCAAUAUAUAUGGUUAGUAUGCAAUUUAAUGUGUUAUGAAACGACGUAAAUCCAACAACAUACGGCGAUUAUCGAGCCCCGUUUGAACCUUAGGAAUUCGUAGGAGACAAAUGACAUGUCAUUAGGGUUUACAUGAUUCGGAUGCUAGUCCUAAACGUCCUAUCAAUGGCAGAGGUUCGAAAUGUGUUUCGGAUACUCCACAGUUUGUGUGAGCAACAUCGUGUAGCUACGUUCUGACCCACAGCUUGUGUGAGCAUACAUGUACAGGAAUUGACGGGUUACAGUUAUAUGAGUUAGCACACUAUGUAUGAGCUAUCCCGAGUAUCCAAUGGUAUUCUAAAUGGUUCAAUGGGCACUAGACGAAUUUGAAACGGUAAGAUAACGAUAUGAAUUAUAACAUGUAUAUGUGUGAACAUCCUUGAUAUGAUGAUGCAUGAGAAUUAUAUAAGUUGAGAUGAGUUAUAAACUCAUGAGAUACAUAUUGUAGCUAAAUGGAUAUUUAUGUUAAUGUGCCUAUGAAUUAUAUCUUGUAUGCUAAGAUUGUUGGUGUAAAUGGGAAUUGGCCACGUUCUAGUUGGAUUAUGCUAUGUUAAACUUAUAAGUUAUGCAUUGAAAUGGUAAGUGCUCAAAUGGAAAUAUGCUUGUGUUCAUGUAAAAGUGGUAAGGUUUAAAUUAUGUAAUACCUUAUGAAAUGAUUUAUCAUGUGGUUAAUUCCCAAAAUAGCUAUGUUUAAAUGCACUAGCUUGUGACUAUGGUUGAUGAUAUGCUUAUGUCUUGUGUGUUAUGCAUAUGAAACGGGCGUGGAAAGGUAAUGAAAUAGUAAGUUCAUACUUAAAGUCUAAAAUGAUGAAAAAGGGAAUGAUGAGUUGAAUUGAUGUUGUUAUUUAAGUUAAAGAAACUAAAUGCAAUAGAAAGUAAUGAAAUACAAAUGAAAAUAAGAAAAUUUGAAAGGGUUUAAAGUUUUAUAAAAUCCUACUAUGUUAGGGAUGAUAUGUAUAUGUGAUGCUGUGGAUUUAUUCACUUUGUGAGUUGUUGACUAUGGUUUCAGUAAUCUUGUGGUAUUGGUAUAGGAUUAUUCUUUAUAUGUAUAAAUUUCAUAUUUGAAAUGGAUUAAUAUGACUAAAGUUUGUACAAGCUUACUAAGUAUUCAUUACUUAUGUAGCUGUUUUUCCUUUACUUUUUAGAUUAUUAGAAGCUCGAUCGGGUUGGAAGCUCGUUGGAGAUCUGUCACACUAUCCAACGAUUAUAUCUGUAGAUUUUGAUGUCUUGGUUAAUGUUAUAAUGACAUGUAUAGGUGAACUUAUAGUUGAUGAUUAGUUGAAUGUUAGUUGAUGUGUUUGGCAUGUAUAUGUCAUUUUGGGCGAUGUAACCUUGGUAUAUUUGGUGCCUUGUUGAUAUGUGUUAAUUUUAUAAUGUGUUAAAGCAUGUUUGAAUGACCAAAGUGAUAUAUGAUGAAUUGACCUCAACAUGGUCAAGAUAUGGUAUGCUUUGGAAAUGAUUUGAACUAGAUAUGACAUGAAUCUAAUAUGGUGUGGUGAUUAUGUAGCAAUUAUGUUAUGUUUUGGCAUGUAAACAAGUUAAUUGAUAAUUAGAUAAAUAUGCACAUGUAUAGGUGUUUUUUGUUGAUGUUUUAGCCAUUAUGUUUUGGCUUGUAAAUUUGGUAUUUUGAAUGAUUUAAAUGGUUGAUAUGUUGAUAUAUGUAUGUGGCCUUUUGAUGGAUGAAUUUAUAGCCUUUGUGAUGCUUAGAUGAUGGAAGUUGAAUAUGGUCAUUUUGGUAUUAAAAAUGUAGUUGGUAUUUAUGGCUUAUGAUACUAAAUGUUAAAUGGUAAAUUAGGUACAUAUGAGUGUGGAUUUGAUGUGUACAAAAUGGUAAGUUUUGGCUAAACUAAUCAUUUAGUUAUACAUGUUUAAUUGUUGUGAUUAAGGUGCCUUUUGGGCAUAUUGGUUAUAUGAAUAUGUACCUAUUUGGAUAGCUUGUUAUUGUAUGGUUUUGUGUACUUUGGGAUGCUUGAUUACAUGUGGUAAAUUGGCUAUAGGUGUGUGCAUGAAUGGGUGAGAAAAAUGGCUUGAAAAUGUCCUCGUCUACAUGGUCAAAGACACGAGCAUGUGUCUCAGUUGUGUGUGACACGUGGCCAUGGGACACGUCCGUGUGUCCCUGUAGGUUUUUAAAGGUUGCAUUUUGAGAGUUACACGGCCUGGCACACGAGCAUGUAGCUUGGUCGUGUGACCCAAGUCAGAGAGUUAUACGAGCACAGACUCGAGCUGGGACACGGCUAUGUCUCCCUACUUUGAAUGUCCAUACGAACUGAGACGCGGGUGUGUCUCUAAGCCGUGUGAGUCACACGGCCUGGCUACACGGCCAUGUGACCUCUGCAGUUUUGAAAUAUUUCACCUUUUUCUGAAAAUUUCUUUAUGACUCUGAUUUAGUUCCAACAUGUUUCUAAUGUGUUUUUAGGGCCUGAAGGGCUUGUAAAAGGGACAAUAUGUAUGUCAUUAUCUGGUUUUGCAUUAAUUGAUGUUGUGAAUUAAAUGCUUUAAAUUAUGAUAGUUUCAAAACAUAAACUCUAGUAAUGCUCCAUAACCCUAUUUCAGCGACGGAUACGGGUUAGGGGUGAUACAUUCUAGGCCUUGGCAGCUUUGUUGUGCUAUCAAGCUCCAUUGUCUCAUGGCCCUAUUGUCAUUCCUUGUAUUCUUGGACCUAAAAGGACAUCCAACACACUUAAUUAGCUCAUUAGUCACUUAUGAGUCUCGAGUCAGCCUUACGAGUCUUCCAAAUAGUAUAAAAUGUGUAAAAAUGAUUAUUUUAUAAACUUUUAGUUCCUAAUCUUAUAAUAUUGAAAAUAUAACAGUUAAUUAUAAAAUGCCUAGAAAAAAAGUAGUUAAGUGCAGAAAUGACCUAAAAUAACUACUACAAGAGAUGUCAGGUCACUUAACCCCACACUUAAGUCUUUGCUUGUCCUCAAGCAACAAAAGAAAAGAAAACUAAAAACUAUAACUAAAUAAUGUCCUUGAUCCAGCUUGAUACACAAGAUUAGAUCGGAGCAUCGACACUAAGAAGGUUUACCUAAAUAUAUAACUCUACCUAGAAAUUGAAUCAAUCCAAAGUUAUUUGCACCUAAACAACUUAGUUCAAUAAAUUACAAAGUAAACAAAUUAAAGAAAAUUAAAUAUAUAUAUCCAUCAAAAUGUAUAUACAAAUAUAAUAUUUAUUUUGCAGGGAAUAGUGAGUUUGGAUAUUUUUCCUACUCGAUUUAUUUUUAUCCAUGCUUUGAACUCAAAUACAGUAAUAUUUCCCCGAUAAUCCCUUAUGAUUUUUUUAUUUGUGCUAAUACGAUUGAAUUUUUUUCGAAAACUUUUUAUAAAGGUUAUACUAGUCAUAUUGUACCACUUCAAUAAUCAUGGAUUUUACCAAGUGUUUUUUUUUUAAUUCGAACAUCCUAUACUUUUACAAAUAUAAUUUCCUAUUUGUAUCUACCUAUACAACUUGGUAUAUUUAAUCUUUUUUUCCUAUUUACAAUUUAAUAAACUGAACUAAUUAGUCUAAGUAUAAACAUCCUUAAAGUAUUCAAUUUCAGGCUAGCCUUAUAAUUUAAAUAAACAACCUAGGUAUAUGCUCCUAACCAAUCACUUGUAUUUCUACAAGCUCAAGCGCAAGCACAAACAAAACACACAAAAUAAAAAUUUUAAAAUGAAUAAAACAGAACAAAAUUGAUCUAAUGUAAUUUAGUGUAGCAAAUUAGACUAAUUUUUGCAGUUUAGGAGCUUAAAGAUAAGUGUUUUAUUAAGUUUUAAUUAUGGUUUCUUAAAGUUUCCAUUUAGUUAAUAAAAUGUGAAAUUUGAGUCUUUUAUUGAACUUAGGGGCCAAAUAAGGCCUAUAGGUGAGCUGAUGAGCUGUAUAAGUGUGCAGGAGACCACUAGAAGGCGUAAUACACAGAUACUGGUCACUAUGUCACAACAUGGAAUGCUCGAUAUCACAGCAUAGGGAGUAGAAUGAAGAAAUCACAAAACUGCCUUCGAUGUCGCAACACAGACUAGUGGUGUCGCGACAUACCCUGGAAGAUAUCCAAGAGGAAUACACUGACUACUGUGUCAUGACACAGGUCCUGGUGUGUCACGACAUCGACUCUGGAUGGGAGAUAAACACGAACCAAAGGCAUUUUGGUCUACAUAAUCAAACCUAAAGCUCAAGAGCAUAAGCUAACCUAGGGUUAAGGACGAUGGCAAUUGAGAAUCUAUAAAUAGGCUCAUUUGGCACAUGUUAUGGGACCUUUCAUUCAAUUGAGAACUAGUCUUUUAAUUUUAGCUUCAUUUUCUAGUGGCAAUUGAGAAUCUAUAAAUAGGCUCAUUUGGCACAUGUUAUGGGACCUUUCAUUCAAUUGAGAACUAGUCUUUUAAUUUUAGCUUGAUUUUCUUUCUCUUUUAGGUUUUUAGAAUUUAGUUUCAGUUGUUCUUUGCUUUCAAGAGAUCUGAUUUAGGGAGAUCGUCAAACUUUUUGGAUUUGAAAUAAAUUCUUAAUACAAUCAAGCUCUUUUGUAAACUUUAUACUGGCAAUUUAUUUAGCAUGUUUGCUCUUUAUAUUGAUCUUAUAUUGUCUAUGGAAGCCAUGAGGAACUAAUCCCCCUAUGAGGGAUUAGCGAGUGGAAGUAUGAUGUAUUAACUAUUUUUUAGGGUUACUUAGUAGAUCAGCUGUUUGAGAAAGGAAGAACGUGAAACAAACCCGAGGCAUGACAACCUUAGGAAGUUAUUAAGGUGGAAAUUAUCCCAAAAUUUGUAUGGCCCAUUCGUGAACACCUACACCCCAAACUAGUCUAGACUGUGAGGUCGGAAGAUAGGUCGUCCUUGCUGACUCAUUAUAUUAAUUGAAGAUCAAAAGAUCCUUCUAGGGUAACGACUAGUUGAUUAAGAAGGAACCCGAAGAGGCAGUUGAAGGGGAUUACCGAAGCGUACUAAUCACCCAUAAUCAAGAUUUUCGUUACUCUACUCUUUAGUCUCUUGAAUUUUUAUCUUUUUAUGUUAUUUUAUUUUUAUUUUUAUUAUAAAAAUUCUAAAAAUCAUUUAUUUUAUGUUUUCGUACUAUAACUAAUUUAAAGUACUAAUUAUGUAUUUUAGUGUUUAGGUUGAAAUUGAUCUAGCACUCACUUCCGUUUGGUACGAUCCUCGGAGUAUUCACCUACUCCAUUGUAAAAACUAUAUUACAACUUGACUCAUAUAUUUGCGGAUACCAUCUCAUAUUUAUAAAUUUUAUUGUAGCAGUCACACUCUGGACGUUAGUACUUAUUUUUUUUAUUUAUAAAUUUUGAUUUAUUUAACUAACUAAAUUUACUAGUACUUAUUGUUUUAAGGAAGACCUUAGUGCAUAUUCAGAAGUAGAAUUACAAUUGCCAUAAUUAAAAAAAAGUCAGUCAAAAGGAAGAAUAGAUUAUAUGUGGUCAGAUGACGAAUUAGAUUAUGAUGUUGAUAUUUACAAAGAAUGAGUCUAUGAAGAUAGGGAGAUACGAGAGAACCAAAAUUACUAAUUCUUUAAUUAAGUCAACUCCGAGGAGAAGUCCCAGUUCUUUCCAAAGACGAUAACAACCACAUUGAUAUACCAUCAGAAAGGUACCAAGAGGGGAUACAUCCAGAGUUAAGGGAAGAAGAGAAUAUCACUAUAGAUGCUUGUGAAAAAGAAGAACUCCCAGACUAUUAUCUAUCUCAGCAGACAUAAGAACAUUCAAAAAAAUUAAACACAACUACCAAAAGAGAACAUAUAGAGCUAGUAGGGGAAAUGGUCAGUGACUUGAAGAAUCAAAUCGACAUGGAACUCUGAUUUUUCAUGUUUCAUUGUUCAAAGUGUGUGUUUUGUGCCAUAACUUUGCUAUGUUUCAACAUGACUCCAAUUGAACCUAUUUAGGACUUAUCAAAAGAUGUUGGUUGUUUGUAGUUGCCUCCAAAUAACUCCUAGCUCUUCCGUUUCUCUCGGAAACCUAUUUUCUUCCAAUUCUAACAUCAAAUUAAAAAUAUAAAUCGUCAAAUCUAACUAACAAUAAAAAUAAUGGAAAAUAAAAUUUAAAAUUAAAAAAUUAAAAGUGAAUUCCUUUUUUGGGAUCGGGACGAUCCUUAUUGCUCCCAAAGAAGAACUUAUGGAUAGUCCUUGACACUUUGAUCUGUUUUUUGUUCCCCUAUCGAUAAAUCUGACCCAAAACUCUUGGUCGAUUCUACUAAUAUCGCCAUAUCUUUGAACAACGUGACAUCCACAUCACAAGCCAUUUGGUGCCGAAUUUGAGCCAACCCUAAAGUUUUUUUAGGGGAUUACUAGCUCGACCCACUUUGCCUUUAUGUCACAUGAGGUUUGGUUAACCAAAACUUUAUCUUCAUCAUUGAACGAGAAUGAGAUAAACUCGUUGGUUUCUUUGGCUGGCACCUCCUCGGUUAUAGCCAAAUGAAUGUAUCGAGUUAUUUACACUUUCACUCAAAAUCAGUUGUAGCUCAAAAUUAGUUGUUAAUUCUAUUUUUACUUCUACAUCUACAUCUAUGUUAGUUGGAUUAGAGAUUUCCUCAGAGAUGUUCACUUUAUUCUCAUCUCCAAUUCCAAACUCUUGUUACUUUCAAGAUUUAAUUCCAAAUAACUGUUGGUAGUACAUUAGUCCUUUGGAUCAAAAUUGGAGACAUCAUGUACAACCUCUUCUAAUGGAGUCCUCACUUGGGCUCUUUGCAGAAAAAAAUUUCUCUAUUUGAUCCAAAUGUUGGUUUCAUUUUAAUUUAGCUUGGAAUUUUCGUUCACGAUUUUUCUGUUCUGACGUAUAGUCAUACGAAUCAUAAGGAGUUUCGGCAAGAUACCCGAAUGUCCUUAAUUGUCGCUCAUAUAUUUUUUCCAACAAAGUAAAUGUUUCGUUUCUUCGUUGGUAAAGCUUUAGCAUAAGUCCUUUUUGGUUCUCCUUAAUCUCUCAUUGUUCGUAUGCUCCCUCCUUGUAUACCUCGUAUUCAUCCCAUACGUUCGUUGAAUCUCCAUCCCUCUCGUAUGUAUACUUGCUUGUCUUAGGUUAGAUUUCGUUCAAACACUUGGGCUACUCGUCUUUGUAAUAUCGGCUCCAUUGUUUGUCAAUUUGGAUUAUUCAUACACCGAACUAUAAAAAUCAAUAUUCAUAAUUAAAUAUUAUAAUCAACAAGGUAGAUAAAAAAAUAUAAAAAUAUUUACUUAAAUUCAAAAUAUAUUUUUGGACACUAAAAUAAAAUAAAAUUUAGAACACUAUCAAGCCCGUUUGUCUUUCAAUUAAUAUUAUUUUACAAUAAUCAAUCUAAUAAAAAUUUCACCAUCGCAAUCCUUGUCAACAGUGCAAACAACUUGAUAGCCUAUAAACGUGUUAUUGUUUAUAGAAUAAAUAUCACACGAAUUAUAUAUAUUAAAUUGGUAGUGUCCGCAAGCGUACAGGUCAAAAUUGUAAUAUGGUUUAGUAGAAUGAAAUACUAGGAAGUAUUCUGAGGAUUGUAGUUAAGGGAUUGCAGAUUGGAUAAAUUAAUAUUCAAUUAAUUACAAAAAAUAAGUACUAAUCUAAUCGAGUCACGAAUUAGUAGUUUUAAUCCAAAUAAAAAUGUUAAUUAAACUAAUGAAAUUAAUUAACCUAAAAUUAAGCUAAUGGACUUUCCUAUUCCAAGUGUCGGCAAUCUGAGCCUCUAGCCUAUGAUUGAUUAAAUCCCUAAUUAUCUAAUUAAAUAAUUAAUUAUUAGAAAUUAAGUUAUUUUUCAUCCUUAUGCAGAUUUGAAAAAGUCAAAAUGAUACGUGAUAGUUUGAAAGCGGCUUCCGAUCGUCAGAAAUCUUAUGUAGAUUUGAAAAGAAAAGAUAUUGAAUUUCAAGUUAGUGACAAAGUAUUUCUAAAAGUAUCACCUUGGAGGAAAGUUCUCCAAUUUGGUUGAAAAGAAAGCUUAGUUCGUAAUUCAUCGAGCUGUAUAAGAUCAUUGAGAUGAUUGGGCCAGCGGGUUAUCAUUAACUUUGUCGCCAGAGUUAGAGAAGAUUCAUAACGUAUUUCAUGUAUUGAUGUUAUGACGGUAUCGAUCAGAUCCUUCACAUGUGAUUUCACCUGUAGAUGUUGAGAUUUAGCUAGAUAUGAUGUAUAGUGAAGAACAGAUCAAAAUUCUAGCUCGGGGAAGUUAAAGAAUUGAAAACUAAAAGUAUAGCUUUAGUUAAAGUUCUCUGGCAAUGACAAGGAAUAGAAGAGGCUACCUAGGAACCAGAAGAAGCUAUGAAAGUGCAAUACCUGAACCUAUUCUUUGGUAAGAUUUUCGAGGAUGAGAAUUCCUUUAGGGGGGAGAGUUAUAAGAGCUUGUUUCUAGAGAUAUCAGAACAACAAUUUCAAGACCACAAAUUUGAUGAGUAAAUUAUUAUUUUAUUAUUCUUUUAAUGUUUACGGGAUUUUAUUAGAAUCGUAUUAAGAUUUCAUUAAGAAAUUUUGAUGUUUGCAUGAUUAAUUAGUAAAAAGGACUAAAUCGUAAAAAGUACCAAAAUGGAGUUCUAUUAGUUAAAAAGGUUAAAUGAAUAUGAAAAUGAAACUAAAUGGAUUUAAAUGGUAAUUAUACCAAAAAUAAGGUUAGUGGACAAUUAUGGACAUAAUUUAAGUGAUUUUUAAAGUUAAUAAGGUUAAAAAGGUAAUUUAAUAAUUAAGUUAAAGUAAAAUAAGGUAAAAAAUAUGUAUCAAUUUCUUUAGUUUGUUGUCUCCAUUGAAAUAAGGUAAAAAAUUUGAAGGUUCGGUCAAGCUUCCUUGCUUGCAUGGUAUGAUUUUCAAGCCUGUUUUUAAUUAUUUCUAUGGUUUUGAAGUCGUUUUAGCUUAAUCUAGCUAGCUCGGGGAUAAAUUUGUAAAAUUGCUAAAGAUUGAAGGUUAUGACAUGAAUGUUCUUGAAGGUUUUUGAUGUAAGAUGAUAGAUUAUGAAUCUUUGUUGAAAAAUAAACAAGUUUUACAACGUGAUUUUUUAUAAAAUUUGGAAUUAGGGACUAAUAUGUUAAAGGUAUAAAUUAUAGGGUUUUAUUGUAAAAUGAUGAAAAAUAUGGGUUGUUUCAAGGUCCCUUGCAUGUUUAGUUAACAUGGAUUUUGAUUAAAAUGGUUAUAUUUUAAGUUAUUAGUAUAAGGAUUAAAUUGUGAAAAAGUUAAAAUCUUAGGGGCCAAAAUAGUAAUUUUACAUAAAUAUGAAAUGUGGAUUAAAUUGAAUACUAUAAGUAUUAAAUGGAUUGAAACUGUCUAUUUAGAUCAAGAUAAACCAUAUAUAGACUUAGUUCAAGGCAAAGCUAAAGCUUCGGAUUAGCUUGAUUUAACUUUUACACCCUAGUCGUCGAAAUAAGUUCGUAUAAACGGUCAUCGUAAUAAUGCUAUUUUAAAUUGUAUGUCAUUAUGUUAUUUAUAAUGUGAAUUGAUCGGUGUAUAAACAAAUCAAUGCUAUAAAUGUUAUCGAGUCCUAGUUGAACUUUAGGGAUUUCAUGUUUUGGGUGCUGGUCUUGAAUGUCCUACCGAUGGUUGAGGUCCUGCAUUUGUUGCAGAUUCUCCAUAGCUCGUGUGAGUAGCAUCGAGUAGCUUACAUUCUGACCCACAGCUUGUGUGAGCAAUGAUGUAAAGGAAAGGUUAUGGUUAUGUAAAGGCACACUUCAUGUGAGCUUUCCUGAGUAUUUGAUUAAAUUAUAGAUGGUUCAACGGGUAUGAAAAGGAAACGAAAUGGUAAGUUUUCAAAUGGAAUUAUGCAUAAGCUUAUGGAAAGGAUACAUGAAUCAAAUGAUGUAUUUCAUAUCGAAAAUGACUUAUCAUAUGGUUAGUUCAAAUGAGUUAUGUACAAAUGCGCGAACUUGUGUAUUGAUGGUGAUGUAUAGGAUGUUAACAAGCUUAUGGUUUGGACUUUAAUGUACUUAUGCUUUAAAUUAUGCAAAUUGAAAUGGUAAGUUAUGUUUUGAUCUAUACGAACUUACUAAGCAUUAAUUGCUUAUGUAGUUUCUUUCCUACAUUUUAUAGAUUGUUUGAAGCUCGACCGAUUUUGAAGUUCGUCGGAGAUCUAUCACACUAUCCAACAUAAAUAUCGGUAGUUUUUCAAUGUUUUGGCCAAGGUUAUAUUGGCAUGUGUAGGUUUAAUUGUAAUGUCAUUUUGUUGAAUGUUUAGCUGGUGAAUUGGCUUGUAUAAGUUAUGAAAGUUAUCUUGGUUUGGUACCAUUUGAUGCUUUGUCAAAUUGUGUCAACUUGGUUAUGCUACUAUGCAUAUUUGAAUAGCUCUUAUGGUAUGUUUGAAAUGAUGUGUCAAUGGUUAAGUUUGUGGCAUGUUUUGGUAAAUGUUGAACUAGAAUUUGAUGAUUGAAAUAUGGUAUGAUUAACAUGUUUAAAUAGGUAAUAUUUAGUUGUUGAUUAAGGUGCCUUCGAAUGGCAUAUUGGUUAGUUAUGUUAGGACUUUGAAAUGAUAUUUUGAUGUCUGUUUAAGUGAUGUUUAAGUUCCUUUAAUAUGUGCAUGAAUGGGUUUAGAAGCUAAGCAUGACAUGGUAUCGGGAUGGUUUGAUUUUAGGUGAAUUUUAGGUCCACACGGCCUGAGCCACGGGUGUGUGACUCAAUCGUGUGAGACACACAAUCUGGCGACAUGGUCGUGUGUCAUCUGGGUGUUUCUUUGUAUGCAAGUUAGUGAGUUACACGGCCUACCACAUGACUUGGCACACGGGUGUGUGACCCUACUCAGAGAGUUACAUGGGUAAGAACACGGGAUGGGACACGGUCGUGUGUCCCUAGUUCGAAGGUUACUUAGCUUGAGACACGGGCAUGUGUGUGAUAUCUCAAAUUAGGGCCUAAUCGGAAUAAUAGUUUCGAGACCAAAAAUCUGAGAUAGAAAUAAUUAUUUUAUGAUUAUUUUGAGGUCUAUGAUAUGAUUGCAUGAUUGUGUGAAAAUUUCGUGAAGAAAUUCUAUGCAUAAAGUGUUUAAUUUGAAGUUAGGGACUAAAUUGAAUAAGUUACAAAACUUGAAUUAUAGAAGUUUCUAGUAUGAAAUUGCUUUGAAAUAUUAAUUAGGAGAUUUUAAAUAGCAAUUUGACCAAUUUUUGAGUUUAUGGACAAAAAUUGGACAUGGAUGGAAUUUUUGAAAGUUUAAUAAGGAAAUGCAUUUUGGUCAUUUUGAUAUUAAAUGAAAUAAAAUGAGAAAAAAUAACACAAAAAUGAUCAUCUUCUCCAUAAGUUGCUGCCAAAUUUUUCUCUCCACCAUAGCUAGGGUUUCAACACUUUUAAGCAUUGAUUGUAAGUGAUUUCUAUGCCCGUUUUUAAUGUUCUUUACAUUUUUGAAAUCCUCGUGGCUCGGUUUACCUGUUUCAACCAAUAUUUUGAGCUAGGGUUUAUAUUUAAAAAUUUACCCAUGAAUGAUAUGCAUGAAUUUUUAUGUUUUAUGGUAGAAUAUGAAGCUUGAGAUUGUGUUAAACAACUUUUGCUAAGUGAUUUUACGUAAAAACGACUAAAAUGAUAUAAUUGGUAAAAAUACCUAAUGUUCAUAAGUACAUGUUAGAGUGAGAAUUGGAUGUUGCUGUAGAAGGGAAAAAUGAUCAGCAUAUCAUAAAACAUAAGAAAAUAGGAUGAAGUUUAAUUUACGAGAUUUGGGGCAAAAGUGUAAAUAUGUGAAAGUUUAGGGGCAAAAUUGUAAUUUUUCCAAAAUAUGAUUUUGGGUUAAUUUGAAUAAUAUGAGUCCUAAUUAGGCUAUAUUUGAAAUGAUAGAGCAAGGAAAAUCAAAAUUUGAGCUAAAAUCGACAAAAUACCAAGUUAUGGACAAAAUGGUAAAAAUGACCAUUUUCGCAUACGAGGUAAGUUCAUAUGUAAAUAUUGUAAUAUAACUGUUAUUUUAAAUGGUUUAAUGCUAUUUAUACGAUAUUAUGAUUGUUAUUAUGCAAUUCUAUGCUUUGUGUUCACUGUUGGACAACAUACAAAAAUUUUAUGAAUUAUGUGAAAAAUGUGAAAGACUACCGAAGUAUCGUCAUGGGUAUUCCAAGGAGAAUGGUAAAGGAGUACGAACGAGGAAAGUCCCGUUGAACCUUAGGAAUAGAUUCGGAUAUUUGAGCAUCCCAACUUGUUGAGUUGAGUCCGAGUUCACUUAUGGAUGCGAACAUCCGAACUCGUUGAGUUGAGUCUGAGUUCGUGAGAUGUAACUAGGAUCCGAGCUCAUUGAGUUGAGUCCGAGUUCACUUAUGGAUGCGAACGUCCGAACUCGUUGAGUUGAGUCCAAGUUCAUGAGAUGUAACUAGGCAUCCAAGCUCGUUGAGUUGAGUCCGAGUUCACUUAUGGAUGCGAACGUCCGAGCUCGUUGAGUUGAGUCUGAGUUCGCUUAUGGGCGGGUUACGUGGUAGCUUUGCUACAUAUGUGGCACUUAUGUGCAAACUUUCCAAGUAUCCGAGUUAUAUUCCGAUGUGUUCAACGGGUAAAAUUCUAGUGAAUGGAAGAAUACUCAAGAUGCAAGUGAUGUAUUGGUAAGUGCUUUGGAAUGGGCACUUUGGACAGGUAUGUACUUAACCCUCGGGUUGAGACUUGAUACGAAAACAAUAAUAUGGUAAGAUGAUGAAUGAUGGAUAGAAAUAUGAUAUAUGUUUUGGUGAUAUUAUGAUAAUGUUGGUUGGUAUAAUUGCUUUGUUAAGUUAUUUGUUAUUUGCAUGUGGACUUACUAAACAUUUAUGCUUACUCCCUCCCUUCCAUUCCUUGUAGUUUUGACAAGCCGGCUUGGAGAUCAGGAUGGUCGGAGGCACGCUCACACUAUCAAUGGACCAUCUCGGUAUGGUGGCUUGCAUAUUUUGGGAAUAUGGCAUGUAUAGCAUUAUAAUCCUUUUGUGUAUAUAAUCUUAUUAUAUAGCUCAUGGAUGGAAUGGAAAUUUUUGAGAAUGAUUAGCUAUUGGAGUGGAUAAUCGAGAUUAUAUUUGAUAAAACGUAUGCUUUAUGUGCUAAUGAAUCUAUGAAAUCCAUAAAAUGGUGAAAUUGGCUAUAAAACAGAAUCACAUAGCAGCAGUAAUGUGAAUUUGAAAAAUCACUAAAAAUAGUAAAGAUAGAAUUAUAUGAUGAAUAAAAUAUGGAAUUGAAUCUUAAUGGAUCUAUUUUCAUGUAGAAGAAACAAAAUAGCUAAAAGAGUUGUAUUUUAUGAGAUAUUUACGUUGUGGUGAAACAGGGUCAGAGCAAUUUUUGGAUUCCCUAUUCUGACUUUAGAAAUUCACCAUAAUUUGUGUAAAACAAAUUAGGACUCAAAAUUUAUAUGUAUGGCUAUCUUAUUGAGUCUAUUUUUAAGUGAAACAAACGACAUAGUCAUUGGAUUUCUGUACAGAAAUAAAUUUGAUUCGUAGUGCACAGGGGUCAGAGUAGCCGAACCCUGAAACAGGGGAUAUUUUAACUAAUAAACUGUACUAAUUGGCCCAACCAAAAAUUUUAGAAAAAAAUUAGUAGAUAGAUAUAUGAGUCUAGUUUCAGGAAACAUUUAUGGAUCUUAAUUUUGAGUUCUGGAACUUGAGAUAUGAUUUUUAAGCGACUGUGAUGCAGUUAGCUAGCUUGUCUGGAAAUUUUAAAAAUAAAUUGUUUGAGCUGUUUAAUUAAUGAAUUAAGUCUGUUAGCACAUCUGCUUGACUCUGGUGAUGGUCUCGGGUACAGAGGCGUUACAAUGUGUCUCAACCAUGUAAGGCACACGACCUAGCCACACGGUUGUGAGUCCCUUGUUUCCAAAUUUUUUGAAUUUUUCCUAGACUUUGUUAAUGAUUUCAAUUUAGUCCUGAACCAUUUUUAAGGUAUUUCUAGGGCCUUGAGGGCUCGAUUUAGGGAUGGUAUGAGUAUGUAUGAUUGGUUUAUGAUAUGUUUAUGUUAUUAAAUGAAAUUUAGUUUAAAUGUUCUGUUUGUACGAUAAUGCUCUAUAACCCUAAUCUGGUGAUGAAUACUAGUUAGGGGUGUUACAUUCAACACCUAAUGUGAUCAUUGGUACAUUCUCUAUCUUUGAUACUAAUUUUAAUGUUUUGAUUGAUUCCAGGUCAACGCACUCCUAUGUAUGCACAACUUUAGUGUUGGAUAAGAAAAUAACUUUUGAGUUUAUUGAAUUUGUGGUUAAAGUAAAAAACUUUCUAGGUCAGUAUGUAGUAGUUGAUAAAGUCUAUAAAAGCUGUCCUGUGGUGAUUCGGGGAUGCAACUUUCUAGCUGAUUUGUUGUUAUUACCCUUUGAUGAGUUUGAUGUGAUUACGGGUAUGGAUUGGUUAACUCUGCAUGAUGCUGUUGUGAACUGUAGAUGAAAGCAUAUUGUGUUAAAAUAUUAGAAUGGUGAAAGGAUCCGAGUUGAAUAAGAUAGAUUGGAUGGUACACCUAAUGUUAUUUCAACUAUGACGGCACAUAAAUAUAUUAGAAAUGGUUGUGAAGCAUAUCUUUCUUAUAUAUUUAAUUUUAGGGUUUUGGAAUUAAAGUUAGAAUCGGUUCCGAUUGUAUGUGAGUUCACAGAUGUAUUUCCAGAAGAAUUACCAGGGUUGCCGCCGGUCAGAGAGGUUGAGUUUGCUAUUGAGUUAAUGCUGAGAACAUCUCCAAUAUCAAUAGCUCUGUAUAUAAUCACACCUAUAGAAUUAAAAGAGUUGAAAGCAUAGUUGCAAGAGGUGAUAGAUAUGGGCUUUACUCGGCCCAGCUUUUUUCCUUAGGGUGCUUCUGUAUUGUUUGUCAAGAAAAGAGAUGGUUUAAUGCGAUUGUGUAUGGACUACUGACAACUUAACAAAGUUAUGAUGAAGAACAAAUAUCCUUUGCCACGUAUUGAUGAUCUGUUUGAUUAGUUGAAAGGUACAACAGUGUUUUCGAAGAUUGAUCUUCGUUUCGGAUAUUAUCAGCUACUGGUUAAAGACUCGAAUGUGCCAAAAACUACUUUCAAAUUAGGUACGGACAUUAUGAAUUUCUUGUUAUGCCAUUUGGUUUGACCAAUGCACCUAUGGUGUUUAUGGAUUUGAUGAACAGAAUAUUCAGGCCAUAUUUAGAUAGAUUUGUUGUUGUAUUUAUUGAUGACAUUUUGAUUGAUUCACGAGAUGAGAUAGAGCAUGCCCAGCAUUUGAGAAUUGUUUUGCAGACUUUACGUCAAAGUCCGAUAAAUAAUUUUUAAUUUAUAGUGAUGUUUUGUUAAAUGGUUUAGAUUGUGUUUUGAUGCAAGAAGGCAAAAUGAUAGGGUAUGCUUCUCAACAAUUGAAAUCGCACGAAAAGAAUUACUCGACUCAUGAUUUAGAACUUGCAGCUAUUGUGUUUGCUUUAAAGAUUUGGUGGCACCAUUUGUACGGAAAAAGAUGUCAUAUCUUUACAGAUCACAAAAGGCCUAUGUAUUUGAUGUCACAGAAAGAUUUGAACUUGAGACAACAUAGAUGACUUGAGUUGUUGAAUUAUUACAAUUUGAUCAUCGACUAUCAUCCGGGAAAGACUAAUGCCUUUGCUGAUGCUUUGAGUAGAAAAUCUCUUAUUGCUUUGUGAACUCUGAAUACACAGUUGACAUUGAUUGAUGAUGGUUCAAUUUUAGAUGAAUUGAAAGCUAGACUAACUUUUUAGAAUAGAUUUGUGAGGCUCAGAAGAGUGAUGCUGAAUUGAUCGCUAAAUAAGAACAGAUUGGAUUGACACUUGAAUUAGAUUUUCAUGUUGGUUCAGAAGACAGUUUGUAUUUCAGAAAUUGCUUAUGUGUUCCAUAGAAUUCUGAUCUCAUUUAGAAGAUUUUAUAGGAAGCUCACAGUAGUAGCUUAUCGAUACAUCCUAGUAGUAAUAAAAUGUAUAGUGAUUUGAAACAAAUGUACUGGUAGCCAGGUAUGAAAUAAGAGAUUUCAGAGUUUGUAUCAAAAUGUUUGAUCUGUUAAUAAGUUAAAGCCGAACAUCAGGUACCUUCUGAUUUAUUACAACCUGUGAUUAUCCUAGAGUGGAGAUGGGAACGUGUUAUGAUGGAUUUUGUAUCAGGAUUGCCUCUAUCUCUAAGAAAGAAAGAUGCUGUACGGGUUAUUGUAAAUCGUUUGAUGAAAUCCACACAUUUCAUUCCAGUGCUUAUGAAUAAUUCACUUGAGAAAUUGGCAGAAUUGUAUGUUUCUAAGAUCAUUAGAUUGCAUGGUGUGCCGAUUUCUAUUAUCUCUAACAGGGAUCCAAGGUUUACAUCUCGAUUCUAGAGUAAGUUACAUGAUGCUCUGGGUACUCGACUGUAGUUUAGUACAAUGUUUCAUCCACAGAUUGGUGGUCAAUCUGAGUGAGUAAUUCUGGUACUCGAUGAUAUGCUUCGAUGUUGUGUUUUAGAGUUUGAAGUUAACUAGGAGAAAUUUCUGUUGUUGGUCGAAUUUGCAUACAAUAACAGUUAUCAGGCGAGUAUUAAAAUGGAACCAUAUGAAGCUUUGUAUGGUAAAAAAUGUUGAACACCGCUAUACUGGAUUGAGAUGAGUGAGAAAAAGUUAUUCGGUAUUGAUUUGAUUUGAGAAAUGGAAGAAAAUUCAAAGUAAUGCAUAAUAGUUUGAAAGUAGAUUCCGAUUGUCAUAAAUCUUAUGCAGAUUUGAAAAGAAAAGAUAUAGAGUUUCAAGUCGGCGACAAGGUAUUUCUAAAAGUAUCUCCUUGGAGGAAACUUUUACAAUUUGGUCAAAAAGGAAAGCUUAGUCCACGAUUUAUCGGGCCGUAUGAGAUCAUUGAGAGAAUUGGACCAAUAACUUAUUAGUUGGCCUUAUUGUUAGAGUUAGAAAGAUUCAUAAUGUAUUUCAUGUACUGCUGUUACGACGGUAUCGAUCAGAUCCUUUAUACGUGAUUUCAAAUGUAGAUGUUGAGAUUCAGCAAGAUAUGAUGCACAGUGAAAAAUCGAUCAGAAUUUUUGAUAUGGAAUGAAGGCAAAAACAGAUCGAAUUCAAGUUGUUUGAUUCGAAAAGGAAAGAUUUGGAUCUGAUGAUGAAUAUGAUGGGUAGAAGGAUAAAUGUCCAAUUGAACCCUUUGAGAUAUAAAUCCAAAAAACUUAAUUAAUGGCUCUAAUCAACCCUCCAAGAAAUAAUCCUUGGCAAAUUCAAGGGUGAAGAAUGAAUCCCCAUGUCUCCUUAAAGAAAAUCGAGAAGAAAACUAUUUCUAAAUAUCACAAGAAAGAAACCUUGCUCAAAGAAACAAACUCCAAGAGUUGAAAACUUUAUUAAUGAAAACAAUUGUGUCUUUAAUGAACAAUGAAGAAGUCUUUAUAUAGGCUAGCUAAGUACAUCCAAAUAAAACUCUAAUGUAACAGCCCAUUUUUAGUCAACUUAGAAUAGUAGUUUCGGGACCACAAAUCCAAGAUCAAAAUAUUUAUUUUAUUAUUAUUUUAAGGUCUACAGCAUGAUAGUAUAAUUGUAUGAAAUGUCGUUAAGAAAUUUUAUCGUUUGAGUGCAUAAUUUGAUAAAAAGGACUAAAUUGCGUAAAGUGUAAAAGUUGUCUUCUAAUAGCUAAAGGUGUCUAAUAGCUAUAGAACCUUAAAGUGAAUGUCUUUAAAUGUUAAAUAGACUAUUAUUUAUUUGAGCGGACAAAGAUGGACACAUAACUAAGUGAUUUUAAUGUUAAUAACUAAUGUUAGUUUAGUAAAUUAAUAAAUAAACUUAAGUAAAAUAACAUAAAAUAAGAUACCAUCUUCUUCAUGCUAUUUUUCCACAGAAAUUAGAAGGGAGAAAAGCCACAGAUAGGGUUUCUUGGUUUGAAAAGUUCAUCCUUGUGCAUGUAAGUGAUUUUGACUCGGUUUUUAAUGAUUUCUAUGUUUUUGGAGUUGUUGUAGCUUAAUCUAGCUAGCCCAAGGACUAAUUUGCAAAACUGUUAAUGUUACUAUUGAUGAAUAUGUGUGUAUUUUGGUGUUUAAUGGUAGAAAAUAAAUAGUUAUUGUUAGAUAAACAACAUUUGUUAAGUGAUUUUGGUUGAAAUUGCAAAUUAGGGAUUUAUUUGUAAAAUGUGUAAAAUUUAUAGUGAAAUGUGUGAAACAAUGAAAAAUAUGGACUGCUAUGAGAAUAAGUAAAAUUUGGCUAGCAUGGGUGUGGACUUAAUUGCAUGAAUUUGCAUUUUUAUGAGCUAGGGGCUAAAUUGUAAAGAAGUUGAAAUAUUAGGAGCAAAAGUGUAAAGUUGCCAUAAUAAUAAAUUUGGAUUAAAUUGAAUAGAAUGAUAAUUAAAUAAUUUAGAUUUGACUAUAUAUAGAUCAAGAAAAGCGAAGUUUAGAAUUAGAUUGGGGGAAAAAUAAGAUAGUUGAUUGAUAGCUCGAUUCCUCUCCGUAUAAAUCCGAGGUAAGUUCGUAGUUAAUAAACAUUAAUAUAAUUGUGUUUUAAAUGCUUUAUUAUUGAAUACGAUCUUACAGAAAUGUUCGAUGAAGAAUCGGCAAUGUUAAAUCCCAGUUGAACCUUAGAAAUAGAUAGGAUACAAAUGACAUGUCAUAGGGGUUAUUAUGUUUAGGUGUUGGCCCAUACGUUCUACUGGUGGUUGAGUUAUCCAGCAUGUGUUGCGGAUGCUCGUCAGCUUGUGUAAGCAGCACCGUGUAGUUAUGUUUUGACCGUCAGCUUGUGUGAGCAGACCCGUUGAUAGCUCAAGAGUGAGCAUUAUAUGAGAUAUGAGAUUGAGAUAGGUAUGGCUAUGUAUUGGCACUUAGGGUGAAAGAUUCCCAAGUAUUCGAUAUUAUUUCAAAUGGUUCAAUAGGUGUAUCGAAGAUAUGAAAUGGUGAGAGAUUGAUACGAAUUAGUACAAGUAUGUACGUGAACUAUAUAAUCAUUGAAUCGAAGAAAUUGAAGGAAUUCAUAUUUGACCUUUGGCAUUGAAUAUAUGUGUUAAGUUUUGGAUUUAAAUUGAACUGCAUUAUGUGAUGAUUAAGUAUUUGAGUUGUAGUUGAAUAGUAUGUUUACUUAUUAAAUAUAUGAGCUAACAAAGCUUUAUAUCUUACUCUGUUUACUUUUUCAUAUUUUAUAGUGAUUUUUGAAACUUGUUCAAAUUUGGGAGUCGUCAGAGAUCUCAUCACACUAUCCAGCUAUCGUUUUGGUACUUUUGAGCUUAUGUAUUUGGUUAUAUGACAUGUAUAGGAGUUGUUGUUACUAUGGUCUAUAUGUUAGUAAUGGAUUUAGCCAAUUGAUUUGGCAUGUAAAUAACGAAUGUUUGGUUAUGCAUAUAGCCAUGUGAUUUGGCUUAUUUUGGUAUAUUUGGUUACAUAUAUAUAUGUGCAAAUGGCUUUUGUUAUGUGGUUGGUAAUUGCCAUGUGAAUGCUAGUUGUUGAUAUUGGUAUUUUGAGAAUCAAAUAGUUGAAUUGUAAGAUAUGGUAUGCUUGUGGUUUUAGGCAAAAUAAAGUAUGUUUGAAAGUUAACCAUUUAGGUGAUUUGUGAAUGUGAAAUUGGUAUGUUUUGAAUUGUCAAAACAUGAUCUUAUGAGUAUUAUAUUUGUUGAUAUUGGUAUAGCAUGAUUUUAAGCUUGAAUGAGAUUGGUUUUAAUGCCUAUUGAUGCUAUCUUAUUUGUCAUUUGACAUGUUUAGGUUGAUGCAAAAUUGGGUGAGAAAGAUGGCUUGGUAAAUAGCCUAUUUUUGUCCACAAGGGUAGAGACAUGUGAGUGUGUCUUAGUCGUGUGUGACACACGAUUUGAUGACACGACCGUGUGUCCCCUAGUACAUAAUUAGAAACCAAGUCAGGAUUCUCCACACAGCCCAGCACACGGGCGUGUGACUUGGCUGUAUGGCAUAAGUCAGUAUACCCUACAGUUUUGGGACAGCCUAGCACACGACCUGGUACGCGGUCGUGUGAGGGCAUUUCGAAGGGUACACGGGCUGGUCACACGGGUGUGUAGUUGGCCAUGUGAUCCAAGUCAGAGAGUUACACAGGGUCGAACACGAGCUGGGACACGGCCAUAUGAUCCCAUUCCGAAUGUCCACAUGGCCUUUGACAUGGGCAUGUCUUUGGCUGUGUGAGAUAGAUGGUCGAGCCACACGGACGUGUGUCCCUUGUAUUGUGAAAAGUUUUCUAUGUUUUCCAAAAAUUUCCUAAGUUAUCGGUUUAGUCCCGUACCACUUUUAAUGCAUGAUUUGGGCCUCGUACACUCGUAUUAGGGAUGGUAUAAUUGAUUAUGAAUGGAUUUAUUUGGGAAUGGAAAAUGUAUGUGAAAUGUAUGAUUGUUUAUGAAAAGAAAAUCUGGUAAUGCUCCGUAACUCUAUUCCGGAGACGGGUACGAGUUAGGGGUGUUACAUCUAAAGUAUACAAAAAAUAUAAUUAAUCUAAACAAGAAGUAGUUUUAAAUAAAACUUUAUUGGUAACAUAAAACUCCUAAUAAAUUAAAAUAAUUAAUAAUUAUAAAAAAAUCAUUAUAAAAAAUAAUAAGAGAUAAUAAAAUUCAAUAUUGGGCUCAUGUAUAAUAAAAAUUAAGCCUAGAACCAGAAUCCAAAAUGAAACGCCUAAGCUUGUGGGAUUGAUUAGGCUCCUUGAAGUGAAAUGCCUAAGCUUGUUAACAUUCUCCACAUUGUCUUGUCAUCAUAGGUAGAGAGUUUAGGCCCACGAAUAAAAUUAAUCCAUUCUAAUUCAUAAUUGCUCCAAAAUCCAUCAUCUUGAAGCUUCAAUUGUUCUUCUGAAUUUUUUUUGUGAUAAAGUCUUGAACGAAUAAGUUGAGGUUUUCCUUUAACUACUUGGAUUUGGAUAUCGUGAUUGGGCCUUGAGGGAAACUAGACCCAUCUCGAUUAUGGCCUUUGAAUUAGGCCAAGCUAUUCGUAUCAAUUUUAGCUUAGGAAGUUAAAGAAUUGAGAAAUAAAAGUAUAGCUUUAGUUAAAGUUCUCUAGCAACGAUACGGAAUCGAAGAGGCUACCUGGGAAUCGGAAGAAGCUAUGAAAUUUUAAUACCCGAAUCUAUUCUCUGUUAAGAUUUUUGAAGACAAAAAUUACUUUAGGGGGAGAGUUGUAGCCGCCCGUUUUUUAUUGAUAUCAGAAUAAUAGUUUCAGGACCAUAAAUUUGAUGAGUAAAUUAUUAUUAUUUAUUAUUAUUUUAAUGUUUAUGGGAUUUUACUAGGGUCGUAUUAAAAUUUCAUUAAGAAAUAUUGAUGUUCUCAUGGUUAAUUAAGUAAAAAGGACUAAAUCAUAAACAGGGUAGAAGUUGAGUUCUACUAGUUAAAAGGGUUAAAUGGCUAUUGAACCUUAAACUAAAGGACUUAAAUGAUAAUUAGACCAUUUAAUGAAUUAUUGGAUAGUUAUGGACAAGGUUUUAUUGAAAUUUUGUGUAACGCCCUAAAUUUUGGGCCUAGAAGUUUUAGGUCUUGAGUGGGUGCAGUUAGAAGACUGCACAUAAAUAUUUAGUUGUGCAAGAAAGUGACACAACUGUGUAUCUGCUUCAGUGUUCAAGUGUUCUGGGAAGUGUCUGAAAAGUCCUGAGUUCAAGCCUUGGCUUAUGCAAAAUUUGUUUCUUACUCGAAUAAACCCUGUCUUUAGUUAGUAGGAUUUUUAAAUAAAAAUGGAUAAAACAUGACAUAAAAAGCCUGCCUGUCUAGUGGUAAGUGGUGUGUAGAGUGUUCCAAGAGGUCUGAGGUUUGAGUACUGCUGACGAAUGGGAGUGUUUAUUUUGCUGCUGAUGCUAUGGGGGUGUUGUAGUUUGACCAAAACACUGAGGUGAUGGAGUGGAUUUCAACCUGAGUAGUUGAGGGAGGAGUGAUCAGUUGAGGGAUUUGAGGAGAGAUUUGAGGAGAAAAUCAUGGGGUUUUGUGGUUGGAGUAGAGUUGGAGCCAAAAAGGGAUAGUAGGAACCAAUGAAUUCGGUUUGGGGUAGAACUCGGCUUUGGAGUGUUCAUUAGUUUCAGUUCCCGUACACUUUUGAUGUUUUUCUCUCCUUACUUUUGGUUUUUGGCAGUUGCUUUUCAGGUUUUUCUGCAUUUUUGUUGUUAGCCGAUUUUUGCUAGGGGAUUUUUUGAGUACUUUCAUUCUGUCUACUUCGGUUUUGUUUUUCUACCCCUUUUUACUUUGAAAUUGAUUUCCCUUGUUACCUUUUGGUUGGCCGAAUACCUUCCUUUCUCCCUCAAUCCGUUCAGUUUUUGUGGACUGAUUCUCUUCUUGUUACUCUUCCCCUUUCAAUCAAUUCCUUUUCUUUGAUCUGGUUCUUCUCUUUCUCUGGUGGUGGCUUGGCCGAAUAUCACUCUUUCAUCUACCCUUUCUGUGUCGAAUUUUUCUUCUUUUCUGUCGAUCUCUGUGGUAAUUGCUGCUAUUCAAUUUUCCCACUCUUUUCCUCUCUGUCGUAUUUAUGGUCCUCAUCUAAAAUUUUCUUUUACUGUCGACAAUUUCUAGGGGUGUGGUUGUGCUAGCCAUUUCCUCUCUCGCAUAGGGUGUUUGUCGUGGAGUUAGAUCGAUUGCUUUCCUUUGAUUUAUAAGUGGUUUUAUGUUCUAGUAAGUUAUUUAUGCUUGGUUCAAUUCAUGUGUGCGAGUAAUAUGAUUAAGGCUGAUAAGUUUGGGUGAAAUGCAGGUGAUCUCUAGGGUCCUAUAAUUAGUUUCUUGCAAUGAUUGAAUGGUGCAAGCCUAAAUCAGUGAUUAAGGCAAGUGAUAAUCUAUCCUAUUUAGGAUAAGUAUUGAAAAGAGCCGCUAACUCUAUUAGCAGUUGAUUAAUGGUGUAGUUUUAUCGAAUGUAGGUUUUGGUGCUCGUGGGCUGGUUUCGUACAUUUUCGCAAACAGGUGUGUAACAACACUACUUUAACCGGUAGAGGUACCGGUCAUAUCAAGGCAAGGCAGUCAGCACUAUUUUAUACUGUACGUUGCUGAAAAGAUGGAGACACCCCAAAUGUUGAUACAGGUACGUUCUUUAUCCAUAGUGUACCUUAUGUUGCACUGAUUGAGGUUGAAUUUAUGCAUUCUUAUACAUAACAUGUACUGUACAUGAGACCUCGAGUUUAAUGGUUAAAAGCACCUCGAGUGAGGUUACUGAGUCCACCAAAGACAAAUUUACCUUUAGAGGAUCAAUGACUUAUCUUCUUGGCAGAUUUGAGGGAAAAUCCCUCUUGGAGAAUUUGACCUAAUAUUGGGCAUGGCUUACAUUCUAAACCACAGCUCGUGUAAGCAAGCCUAUUUCACAGCUUGUGAGCAAUGAUGUAAAGGAAAGGUUAUGGUUAUGUAAAGGCACACUUCAUGUGAGCUUUCCCGAGUAUCCAAUGAAAUUCUAGAUGGUUCAACGACCAUGGAAAAUAAAUGAAAUGGUAAGUGCUUAAAUAGAAUGUAUCAUGAACUUAUGAAAAGGAAUGGUGAUCUAAAUUAUGUGAAUACAUGUGUAAAUUAUUUGUUUAUUGAUGAAUUCAUUUGAACCAUGUACAAAUGUACUAACUUGUGAAUUUGAUGAUGUUGUAUAGCCAUUAUGCCAAGCUUAUGGUUUUAGUUGGUAUUACACUAUGCUAUUUACAUUACGCAAAUAAAAUGGUAAGUUGCGUUUAAGUUAUACAAGCUUACUAAGUAUUAAUUGCUUUUGUAGUUUCUUUCCUAUGUUUUAUAGAUUAUCGGAAGCUCGAUCACUUUUAUAACUUUUUCAAUUUAGUCCUCUAACUCGAUAUUCAUCAAAUUUGACCAUUUUCUAAGAACAAAAUUACAAUCGAAUUUUCUAGGCUCUUAAACAGUCCCUAUUAUACAUCAAAUUCACUACCAAGCCUUGAAAUUUUGACAUUUAAACAAUUUAAUCCUUAAAUCAAAAUCUAACAAAAAUCACUUCACAAAACAACUAAAUAUCUCAAUCAAAGCUUCAAACACAUAUUUAUCAUCAAGAACAUUCAAGAUUCAUCAAUGAAACUUCUAAAAUUUUUAGCAGUUUCAAAACAAAAGUUACAAGCUAGGUAGACCUAGUUGCAACAAUCUCAAAAACAUAAAAAUUAUAAGAAACAGAAUUAAAACAAGCUUACAUGCAAAGAAAACGUGCUAACUGAACCCAAAGCUCCUCAACAAUGGCAUUUUCUCUUAAUUUCGGUGAAACAAAGUACUAAGGAAGAUGAUAGUAUUAUUUUUAACAUUUUUCUUAAUUUAUAUUUAUUAAUUUACCAUUUUGUCCCUUAAUAAAAACUUCAUUUAGGCUAAUUACUACCCAUUACCGUCCAUUACAUAUUUAUCGACAGACUAUUUACCAUAUAAGUCCUUCCUCAUAUAAGUUAAACUAUUAUAACACCCAAAUGCAAUAAUUAACACAUUUUGCGUCUUUUUUUAAUUCAGUUCUUUUUCUUUAAUUAGCUAACUAAACAUUAAAAUUUCUUAACCAAACUUUAAUAUGAUAUUAAUAACUCUGUAAAUAUUCUAUAAAUAAUAUUUACAAGCCGACACAAUGGAAAUUUGGGGUUCUAAAACCACUAUUUUUUCACUAUUGAAAAAUGGGUUGUUACAACUCCCCCCCUCUUAGAAAAUUUUGUCCUCGAAAUUGUUACCUAAAAAUAGAUUCGGAUGUUGUAAUUUCAUUGAUUCUUCAGUUUCCCAGAUAGCCUCUUCAGCACCAUGCCGAUGCCUCAAAAUUUCCACCAACGGUAAUCGUUUAUUCUAAAGUUCUUUAACUUCUCGAGCCAAAAUUUUCACUGGUUCUUCAAAAUACGUCAAAUCUAGCUGUAAUUCAACUUCACUGUGAGGAAUCAUGUGUGAUGGAUCAGAUUUGUACCUUCCUAUCAUUGAAAUGUGAAAUACAUUAUGAAUGUUCUCGAGUUUGGGAGGUAAAGCUAAUCUGUAGGCUACAGGGUCAACUCUUUUAAUAAUCUCGUACGGUCUGAUAAAUCUCAAACUCAGCUUUCCCUUCCUGCCAAAACGUAGUACUUUCUUCCACGGAGAAACUUUUAAGAAUACUCGAUCGCCAACAACAGACUCAAUAUAUUUUCUUUUCAAAUCUGCAUAUGACUUCUGACAAUCAGAUGCUACUUUCAAACUAUCAUGAAUAAUUGGAACCUUAUCUCCAAUUUCUCGAAUCAAAUCAAUCCCCAUCAUUUUGGUUUCGUUCAACUCAGACCAAUACAACAACAUUUUACAUUUUCUUCCAUAAAAAGCUUCAAACAAUGUCAUUUUUAUACUAUAUAAUAAUUGUUAUUAUAAGUGAAUUCAGCUAACGAUAGAUACUUUUCCCAACUACCUUCAAACUCGAGUAUACAACAUCGUAGAAUGUCUUCCAAAAAUAUGUAUUACUUGUUCUGAUUGCCCGUUCAUCUGAGGAUGAAACGUGGUACUGAAGUUGAGUUUAGUGCCCAAAGCCUCGUGAAGUUUACUCCAAAACCUCGACGUAAAUUGCAGAUCACGAUUUGAAAUAAUACACGUUGGAACCCUGUGCAAUCUACAAUUUUUUACACAUACAAAUCUGCUAACCUCUCAGGUGAGUAAUCUGUUCUUACUGGAAUAAAAUGGGCCGACUUAGUCAAUCUGUCAACAAUCACCAAGAUUGAGUCUUUCUUUUUCGGAGUUACAGGCAAACUAGCUACGAAAUCCAUCAUGAUUCGCUCCCACUUCCAUUGAGGAAUCAUAACAGAUUGUAGUAAACCCAAUGGUACCUGAUGUUCUGCUUUUACCUGUUGACAAAUUAAACAUUUAGCUACGAAUGAACAAAUUUCACGUUUCAUACCUAGGCAUCAGUACAUUUAUUUCAAAUCGCAAUACAUCUUUGUACUACCAGGAUAAAUGGAAUACAUACUACUAUGAGCUUCAGACAGAAUAUUUCUUUUCAAAGCUAAAUCAUUCAGAACACAAAUCCUAUCAUGAUAACGAUACGUGCCAUCAUCAUCAAUAAUGUAUUCAGUGGUCAAUUUAUCUUGUACCAAUUUUAGUUUCAAUAUCAACUUCGGAUCAUCGAUUUUUACAUUCUGAAUUUGUUGUAGAAACAAGGGUUUAGUUUUCAAUUCCACCAAUACAGAACCAUUGGCAUUCAAAGCCAAAUGAGUGUUCAACAAUCGAAGCGCAAACAAUGAUGACUUUUUGCUAAAUGAAUCUGCAACCAUAUUAGCUUUUCCCAGAAGGUAAUUGAUACGAAUCGCCUCGGGGAGAGUCGAGUCGUAUGCGAGUUUGCUCGACCGUCUACGAGAAAGUAUCAUUCGGUUUGUUCAAAAAGGAUGUUUCUAAAUAAAUUAUGCGGAAGCUAUUCAAGGGGUUCAAAUGAAGGGUUUAAAAAAUAUGAAUAUUAAGGUUCGGUUUAAAGUAAAUGAAAGAAUGGAAAGAAGGAACUCAAAAGAAAGCACGAACCAAUAUUAGAAAAUAUCGACCCAAAUGCUUAUAGGCUUUCAAGGCAAAAAUGAAAAUAAUAGAACCUCGACCCGCUACUUAGCAAAGUAGGAACCUCGGUAUAAGGGUGAAAGAAACAGGGUUGACGCCACUACUAGGUAGAUAAGUCAACAAAGUCUCAAACAAAGUUUAGAGAAGAAAAUUCUCACAAGAUUAAAAUCAAUAAAAAAUUUGGCAAAAAGUCCCUUACAAUUGAAAGAAAACAAAUACUUAUAGGCACAUAGAUGACCAUUCAAAUUCGGCAUCUAGGUGUUCACACAAUAAUAAAAACGUUCACACUAAUGUAUUAAAAUAGUUCAUAAAUUUGGCAGAUUCAUGAACUAGUUGAAUGGACACUUUCUUCCUCCUAAGUGUGUGCAUGAAUGCUUAAACAUAAAGAAAGGCUUCAAGUGACUUGUAUGUGCACCAAAGGUUGCAUUCAUCUCCUUGGGACGUUCAUGCACUUGUAUGGAACAUGUAUCCUCAUAAUUAAACUCUUUAAUAGCAUGUAGGUUCAUAAAUGGCAGCAUGAACCUAGUAAAUUCGUUCUCCCCUUUGUGCAUACACUUAAUUCAAUCAAUGUGUUGAAUUAUUGAGUUAAUUCCUUCCUUUGGACAUUCUUGAACCCAUCCAUGCAUGUGUAGUAGCUUAUAGGUCAAUUCAAAGUGUGAACAACUACUUCUUGGCCGAAUAAGUGCCUUGGAAAGUUAGGAGACAACCACCAUACAUGCACUUAAGCCAUUCAUGCAUUCUAUCAUCCCAUGCAUUUGAUCCAUUCAUGGACCAGCCUUUAAUGUCCAUACAUGCAUUCGACACAUGCAUGAAUUUGUAGAAACCUUGUAUCUAGCAUUACAUGCACCAGCAUUUAAUACUUCUUCAUUCAUGAGUGUGGAAUGCCCAAAAAAGAUAUUUCUUCAUCCAUACAUUAUACCGUCCAAAGGGAUGUACCUACAUGAAAUAAACAAGUCAUUAAGAUAUCUCAUGGACACUCAUAAAUUCGGCAUGAUGUGAACAUAUUAAUGUCAUGCAUUAAUUCAGCUAUGUGAACAUAAUCAAUUUAUGUAAUGACUAUGACAUAUUAAUAACAAAUAUUAAUAUAAGACAAGUUUAAUGCUUAAAUAAAUAUGUGCAAAUUUUUAUUUAAUGCAUUAAAGACAAAACCGAGUUUAAACUAAAAUGAGCUAAGCUUUAGCUUGUGAGCUAAAGUUGAGCUAAGGCUAAACUCCUAAGCUGAAAUUAAGCUAAAGUUUAGCUCGUGAGUUGAAAGUGAGCUAGGAGUGAGCUCGGUUUAGCUCAGGCAAGAUGGAUUGAGCUCGAAUAAGCUGGAUUUGAGCUGGACGGAGCUCGUGGAGCUGGAAACGAGCUUGGAUCAGCUUGCCAACAUGUCAUUGCUUGGCUUGACAGACUUGCUCGAUAAAGUUCGCGGGGCGUGCUCGUAUCAUUCCCUCCCUCUUUUAGGCGACUUGUCCUCAAGUCGAGAUGUUUAUCCAUGGGAGAACUUUGACUCGUGCAUGGUUUUCGUCGAUCAAAUGGGAUGGAAGAUGUCACACAAACCUGAAAAAUUCUUACCACAGCCAGUAAAAAGAAACUCAAAGGAGUCAGAUUCAAAUGUGUUCGAUAGUUCAUAAAAAAUUCAUUCAAUCGAACAUAUGCCAAAAAUCUCAAUUAGUCAAAGCAAGCAUACAUAAAUUUAUCAAAGAGUUUCGUUAGACCAUCGUUACAAACAUGAAAACUAAGUUGGAUCAAGGGAUAAUUGGUUGAAAAUGAUGGUAGGCACUUAAACACAUUAUUCCUCAUCCAAAACAUUUUAAUUUCUUUAAUCGAAUAUAGUAACUCAUUUGGUCCCUUGUCUUGCUCAUGCAAGGUAUGCCAUGGCCAAAGGUAUGCUAACUCUUCCUUUCGUUUUUGAACAACAUGAGGGGAGUCUCCAAAUUCCAACGCAAUAAUCACAUCAUCACAAUGGCAAAAAGAAAAAUCCAUCACAUCAAAGUAUAAAUAACUUCCAAACAACCAAUCAAUGGAAUUUUCAACUUCAAUCGAAUUGAGCAAAGAUAUUUGAAAAUUUUCAGAUGACUUAUCGUGACGAAUAUGAAGAGAAGACAAUUGAGGAUUGGGUUUACCUUUCUCGGUCAAAAUGAAUCUUUUCUCUUUGCAUAGAUAACGUAAGACAAACCUAUUACUCCGAUAAAUUUGAAUAGGUGGUGACGCACCAUGACAGGUCUUGGUCCUCGAGGGGUGGAAUUCACAAAAAUAAGACUGGUUAGUAUUAUCGAAAACUAUAGACUUAAAUGGAAAAGGAAAGUUACCAUGGAAAUUUGAUUCAAUUCCAAAAGCAUAGGUUGGCCUUACCUUCUCGAAAUGAAACGAAAAUUUCAGAUGUGUCCAAACAAGGUGAUUAUUAAUGAAUCAAAACUGAAACCCAAAUCAUUGAAUUUCACCUUCUUAUCAAAAGUUUGAACAUCAAGCAAACAUAUUUUGAUUGCAAAUGAUGCAAAGUGCUUAAUGUUUCCAUAAAAUGAAUUCAUGUAGCAAAUACCAGGCUUGAACACAUGAACUUGAUCAUUUGAUUCAGCAGGCAACAUGUUAAAUAAGGAAAAUAUAAUCAACUCAUCGCAUGAUUCAAAUUUCAUUCGUUCAAUCAGACUUGAAAAAUUGGCACAACCAAGCAUAUUCAUUUUAUCACCAAAGAAACGAUGCAACAUGUUAUCAUGCAAGUAAAUCAAAGGAAACUUAAACAUGCAAAUACUCGAACAAUCUUGCAUUGUAAUUUCUACUCGAACAGAUAGAUCAAAGCAUGGAAAUCUUGCACAAAAUUUCAGAGAUUUAUCUUGAAGAACAAAGUCAAACAGAUCAAUUACUUCAUGCAAAAAUAUUUUAACGCAUAUAUCGAGCAAAGAAGUUGUGUUCAUGCAACCUUUCAGAAAUUCAAAUCCAUCACAAAUCAUUUGAAUAGGCACGUUUAAACAGAAAGAUGAAUUCAAAAAAUUUUUAUAAUCAAACAAAUCAAAACGUGAAAAACUGCUUUCACACACAUUCACAAUUUGCACAGGAUGAACCAAUCCAACAGAAUCAACAGAAUUGUCGUUAUAAAACAUGUCAUAAGACGGAAUCUUCAUAUCAUCUUUUGAAACAACAUCAUUGACAUUAAUAUGUGAACAGUAAUUAACCAAAUCAAAAGAUGGAAGAUUUUCAAAAAUAAGGCCAUAAAAAUCUAUAUGAGUAGUUUUGUAUUCAAACGGCCUCGAAUCAAUAAAUAAGGAAUCCUUACCUUUCUUACCUUCAAUUGCAAGGGGGUGGCUGUCAAUCGUGAACUUACCUUUUUCAAACAACCUAAAACACCUCUCGUUUGGAAGGUAAUGUAGAUGGAAUUGGUCGCACAAACUUCUAGGAACCUGAAAAGUUAAUUCACAAGAAGAUCGAACAGGUGGGUUAGUAGAAAUAAUCCUCACUUGCUCACUUGUUUUCUCACUCGAUUCUUUUUCUUUUGAAUCACUCGUUUCUUUUGUUUCAAUUUCUUUUUCAUCUUCUUUUUGCUUUUCAAAGGCUUUUUCAAGUUCUCUCAAGAUUCGCUCAUUUUCUCUCUUACUUGCCUCUUGCCUCUCUUUUCUUUUUAUUUCAUUUUCUUUUUCUUAUUUUGCUUUUUCUUUUCUUUUCUUUAUUUUCUCUUUACAAGAAUGUACAAAAGAACGAUGAGAAUACAAAUCUUGUUCAAAAGAUGAAGAACUAUUUGCGUAUGAUUCACAAUUAAAACUUCGUGAAGAAUACUCCGAGUAAGAUUUCUUUGAAGAUCUAGUAGGAGUAUGUCUUUCUCUUCGAACGCCAUCUUGGAACGAAUCAAAAUCGUAAUCGGCUUCUCGUCUUCUCGAAUUUCUUGAUGAAAAGGACUUUCGAUCGAAGUCACUUCUCGAAUUUGCUGAUGAAUAUGAGUCAUAGUAUGAAUCUCUUUGUCUCGAAGUAGAUGACGAAAAGGAAUCACGAUUGGAACUUUUUUUCAGGUAGUAGUCGGGGGUAUAUCUCCGUGGGGUUCUUGGUUCCGUUUUACGACUUGAAGAAACUCGAUCACUUUGGUCUCGUUUAGUCACCAUUCUUCGCAUUUCUUGAACCAAGUAUUGGUAUUCCGAUUCGGUGAACUCUUCGCGUGACAUGAUUUUUAUUGCUAAAAAGAAAAUGUUAGAUCACAAAAUAAAAUAAAAAAAUUAAGUACCUCACCACAAACCUCACAAUUUCGCUCGAAAAGAAGAAGAAAAAAGGUGUCACUCUCGCUCGUGUUUACACUCGUUUGGCUUUUACCUCCACUCGAAUGAUCUCACCCGCUCAUGCCUUUUUCCGCUCCUUUCUCCUCUUAUAACCUUGUAACAGACUUAGUAUGACUUGAUCUCUGGUAUUGUGGGUCGGUUUCAAAUGGUUUUACAAAGGAUAACAUAUGACGGGUUACGGGUUGGCUAAAAGAAAAGGAAAUUGGGUAAAAAAAAAGUGUGGCGUGGAUGAGAUUAGAAUAGAAGAUGAAUCAGGAACGAUAUCAAACCAAGGGCUUUGACAUUCGAACAACAAUCGAAUUGCAUUAAACACUUUUUUUUCAGUUUUUUUUUCUAUUCGAAUUUUUUUUUGAAUUUUUUUUCGAAUUUUUUUUGACUUGUAUAACUUUUUUUUGUACUAUAUUGACAAACUAAAUACAAUAAAACACUUUUUGUACACGAUUUUUUUCUUUGGCUGCGUAGAUUUUUGUUUUUAUAGCAAUAGCAGCUAACUAAUCAAAAUAAGAAAACUUCGGUAUACAAAUUUUUUUUUCUAUACUCUUUUUUUUUCCGGAUCCUACUUACUUGCGUUCACUUGGACUAGCCCGGGAUUAAUUUCAUUGCACGAUCUUCUCGUUUUAGUAGCUCUGAUACCAAAUGAUACGAACUACCUCGGGGAGAGUCGAUUUGUAUGCGAGUUUGCCCGAUCGUCUACGAGGAAGUAUCGUUCGGUUUGUUUAAAAAGGAUGUUUCUAAAUAAAUUAUGCGGAAGCUAUUCAAGGGGUUCAAAUGAAGGGUUUAAAAAAUAUGAAUUUUAAGGUUCGGUUUAAAGUAAAUGAAAGAAUGGAAAGAAGGAACUCAAAAGCAAGCACGAACCAAUAUUAGAAAAUAUCGACCCAAAUGCUUAUAGGCUUUCAAGGCGAAAAUGAAAAUAAUAGAACCUCGACCCGCUACAUAGCAAAGUAGGAACCUCGGUAUAAGGGUGAAAGAAACAGGGUUGACACCACUACUAGGUAGAUAAGUCAACAAAGUCUCAAACAAAGUUUAGAGAAUAAAAUUCUCACAAGAUUAAAUUUAAUAAAAAAUUUGGCAAAUAGUUCCUUAAAAUUGAAAGAAAACAAAUACUUAUAGGCACAUAGAUGACCAUUCAAAUUCGGCAUCUAGGUGUUCACACAAUAAUAAAAACGUUCACACUAAUGUAUUAAAAUAGUUCAUAAAUUUGGCAGAUUCAUGAACUAGUUGAAUGGACACUCUCUUCCCCCUAAGUGUGUGCAUGAAUGCUUAAUCAUAAAGAAAGGCUUUAAGUGACUUGUAUGUGCACCAAAGGUUGCAUUCAUCUCCUUGGGACGUUCAUGUACUUGUAUGGAACAUGUAUCCUCAUAAUUAAACUCUUUAAUAGCAUGUAGGUUCAUAAAUGGCAGCAUGAACCUAGUAAAUUCGUUCUCCCCUUUGUGCAUACACUUAAUUCAAUCAAUUUGUUGAAUUAUGGAGUUAAUUCCUUCCUUUGGACGUUCUUGAACCCAUCCAUGCAUGUGUAGUAGCUUAUAGGUCAAUUCAAAGUGUGAACAGCUACUUCUUGGCCGAAUAAGUGCCUUGGAAAGUUAGGAGACAACCACUAUACAUGCACUUAAGCCAUUCAUGCAUUCUAUCAUCCCAUGCAUUUGAUCCAUUCAUGGACCAGCCUUUAAUGUCCAUACAUGCAUUCGACACAUGCAUGAAUUUGUAGAAACCUUGCAUCUAGCCGUACAUGCACCAGCAUUUAAUACUUCUUCAUUCAUAAGUGUGGAAUGCCCAAAAGAGAUGUUUCCUCAUCCAUACAUUGUACCGUCCAAAGGGAUGUACCUACAUGAAAUAAACAAGUCAUUAAGAUAUCUCAUGGACACUCAUAAAUUCGGCAUGAUGUGAACACAUUAAUGUCAUGCAUUAAUUCAGCUAUGUGAACAUAAUCAAUUUAUGUAAUGACUAUGGCAUAUUAAUAACAAAUAUUAAUAUAAGACAAGUUUAAUGCUUAAAUAAAUAUGUGUAAAUUUUUAUUUAAUGCAUUAAAGACAAAACCGAGUUUAGACUAAAAUGAGCUAAGCUUUAGCUCGUGAGCUAAAGUUGAGCUGAGGCUAAACUCCUAAGCUGAAGUUGAGCUAAGGUUUAGCUCGUGAGUUGAAAGUGAGCUAGGAGUGAGCUCGGUUUAGCUCAGGCAAGAUGGAUUGAGCUCGAAUAAGCUGGAUUUGAGCUGGACAGAGCUCGUGGAGCUAGAAACGAGCUUGGAUCAGCUUGCCAACAUGUCAUUGCUCGGCUUGACAGACUUGCUCGAUAAAGUUCGUGGGGCGUGCUCGUAUCAGUAAUCAAUAACUAAAUCAUAAUCUUUUAAUAGUUCUUUCCAACGUCGCUGUCUCAGAUUCAGCUCCUUUUGGGUCAUUAAGUAUUUUAAGCUUUUGUGAUCAGUAUACAUGUGACAUUUCUCAUUGUCCUCCAAAUCUCCAAAGUGAAGACAAUCACAGCCAGCUCAAGAUUGUGAGUAGGAUAACUCUUUUCGUGUAGCUUUAACUGUCAAGAAGCAUAAGCUACUAUUUUACCUGACUGUAUUAACAAACAACCUAAACCAUUGAGAGACGCAUCACUGUAAACCAUAUAUGCCGUUCCAGAUUCAGGCUGAGUUAAUAAUGGAGCUUCUGUUAACAUGUUUUUCAAUUGAUCAAAACUUUGUUGAUACUUAUCAGACCAAGCAAAUUGAAUGUUUUUCUGUAAUAAUCUGGUCGUAGAUGAAACAAUAAUUUAUAAAUUUUUAAUGAGUCGUUGACAAUAUCCAGUUAAUCCCAAAAAACUUCAAACUUUAGAAACGUUCUUUGGAAUAUUCCAUUCAAUAAUCGCAGACAUUUUUUUCGAAUCAACCCUGAUUCCAUCUGCAGAUAUGACAUGUCCCAGAAAAUCUACUUCUCGUAGCUAGAAUUCACACUUACUAAAUUUUGCAUAUAGUCUUCUUUCGUGCAAGGUUUGCAUCACAACUCUUAAAUGUUCCGCGUGAUCUGACUCAUGCAAUGAAUAAAUUAGAAUGUCAUCAAUACAUACCAUAACAACCCGAUCUAAAUAUGGUUGAAGCACUCGAUUCAUCAAAUCCAUGAACAUUGCAAGGGAAUUAGUCAAACCAAAUUACAUCACCAAAAAUUCACAGUGAUCAUAUCUAGUUCUGAAUGCAGUUUUUCAUACAUCUUGCUCUUUAACUCGUAACUGAUAAUAGUAGGGUCUCAAGUCAAUCUUUGAAAACACUGUUUCUUAUUUCAACUGAUCGAAAAAAUCAUCAAUACGAGGUAAUGGGUAUUUACUCUUAAUGGUGGCUCUAUUCAACUAUUGAUAAUCUAUACAUAGUCUCAUUGACCCAUCUUUCUUUUUCACGAACAAAACUGGAGCACCCUAAGGUGACACAAUCAGUCGAAUAAAUCCGGGAUCUAACAACUCUUGCAACUGCAUUUUUAACUCUUUAAGUUCUUUAGGAGCCAUCCUAUACGGUGUUAUCAAAAUUGGAGUUGUUCCUAGCAGAAGUUCAAUCACAAACUCUGCUUCUCUGGUUGGUGGCAACUCGGGUAGUUCCUCAGGACAAACAUCAGUAUACUUGUUGACUAUCGGUAUUGUUCAAUUUUUUACUCAGCCACCUCCGAAUCGAGAAUGUAGGCUAAAUAAGCUUCGCAUGCCUUUCCCAUCAGUUUUUGAGUCAAUAGUGCUAAAAUUACAUUUGAUAUACAAUCGACCUUAUCUGCCCUAACACAAACAAAUUCUCUAUUCGGACGUUUCAAACUAACUUGCUUCCUUCGGAAACUAACUAUUGCAUCAUGCUUAAACAACCAAUCCAUUCCUAUAAUGAUAUCAAAAUCAUCAAAAGGUAACAACAUCAAAUUAGUGAGAAAGUCAUAACCCUAACAUUCACCACUAACCUAUAUCCGUCGCCAAAAUAGGGUUACAGAGCAUUACCAAAAACCUAAAGCUUAAAACAUUCAAUUUUGAAAAUUUCAUAAAUCAUAGAAAUUAUCAAUCAAAAUCAUACACAAUAUCCCUUUUACGAGCCUCCGAAGCCAUAGAAGUGCUUUAGAAAUGAUUCGGGACUAAAUCAGAAACAUUUAGAACUUCAAAGAAAAAGAUAGAAAUUUUCACACUGCAAAAGUCACACGGCAAUACGGCCAGGCCGUGUGACUCACAUGACUAAGGCACACGCUCAUGUCUAAGGCCAUGUGGGCAUUUGAAGUAGGGAUACACAAUCAUGUCCCAGCCCGUAUCUGUGCCCGUGUAACUCUCUAACUUGGUUCACGCGGCCAAGCCACAUGCCUGUGUGCCAGGCUGUUUAACUCUCGAAAUGCAACCUUCUAAAAACUACAGGAGACACACAGUUGUGUCACGAGGCUGUGUAUCACACACAACUGAAACACACGCCUAUUUCUUAAGUCGUGUGGACAAGAAAUAGGUCGUUUUCAACCCAAUUCUCUCACCCAAAACAAGCUUACACAUAAAAGUCAUUUGCACCUAUAUUCAAGCAUUCAAAAUGUACUGAAACCAUGCAUAAUAAAACUAGAUCAUUAUGGUAUUUAUUCAUACAACCAAUAUGCCAUAAAAGCACCUCAAACACAUACAUUGAACAUACCUAACCUUGUGCAUAUUAAACCAUUUAUCAAUUGACUUGUUUACAUACCAAAACAAACCACAAUUGACACAUACCAACUUACCAUAUUAGAUUCAUGCCAUAGCAAAUUAGCUUUAACAUUUGGACCACUUCUCUCAUGUAUCAAAACCAUAUAAAUGACACAAAACUAUCCAUUACCAAAUGGUUCCAACAUCCAAUAUGUAUACAUACCAAAACGUGUCUUAAAUGAUCACUUUGCUAACAUGCCAACACAUACCACUUUGACCAUAAAACCAUGCAUCAAUUUGAUCAUAUAAACACCAACCAUUAAGCAUCAAAGUGCCAAAAGAGCAACCAUCAAGGAAUCAAAAUUACAUAAGUUUCACAAAUUCAAAGCAACAUUUCAUGCCAAAAUCACACACAAGCAUACCAAUUUGGUCAUUCAAAACAUAUCAUCACUAAACCAUUUCAACAUUAGCCAUCAAGCCCAAAAAUAUCAAAAUGUCAACCAUCAUAAACCUUAUUUACAAGCCAAACAUAAUGGCCAUAUCAUCAAACACAAAACACCUAUACAUGCCAUUAUAACCAUUACUUAAAAAACAUCAAAAUCUACUGAUAAAUUCAAUGGAUAGUGUAAUGGAUCUCAAACUAGAUUCCAACCCGGUCGAGCUUUUGAUAAUCUGUAAAGUAAGAGAAAGAUAAUUACAUAAGCAAUGAAUGCUUAGUAAGCUCGUAUAAACCAUAAGCAUAAUAUUACAUUUCAAUAAUGAACAUUAUAGGUUAAAUAUAAAUCUAUACCAAUGCCUCAAGAUUUAUCAACCAUAAACAUCAAGUCACAAAUGAGUAAGUUCAUUAAUGUCAAUUAACCAUUCAUAACAUGACAGGAUUUCAUGAAACAUAAUAUAUAAUUAUCAAUCUUUUUAUAAAGUAAUAUAUCUUUCUAUUCACUUGCUUUCCAUUUCGUUCCAAAUGUUUAUCAUAAGCCUAAACAACAUUAUUAAUUCCCAACUCAGUGUAUUUGUCCAUGAUUUAGGUAGAUUUAUCAAAAGCAUAAAUAGUUUGCAUGCAUAUAAAUAUAUCAUUUAUCAUAUUAAACCUUUUAUAUCAUCAUAAUACAUCUCAAUUACAUACUAAUUGUUUUAUUCUUUUUUCUUACCCGUUUCAUAUGCAUAGUACAAGCAUAAUCACAAAUAUCAAUCAUAUCCACAAGCUUGGUAUAAGCCUAAGCACACCAAAAACACAUGUUAGUUCUUUAAACAUAAUUCAUACGAAUUUAUCAUGGACAACCAUUAUACUUAAGCGUGAUUCAAUUGGAUUUAUCAUCCAUCUCAACAUAACAUAUUUUCCAUAUAGCUUACCAUUUCAAAGUCUUUCAUAGAUACAUGUCUUGGUUCGUAUUGAACACAUACCUUUCCUUUCAUUUUUCAUACCUGUUAAACCAUUUAGAAUACCGUUGGAUAGACAAGAUAGCUCACACGAAGUGUGCUAAACAUAAAACCAUAGUCUGUCCAUUCUUUUACAUAUAUACUCACACAAGCUGUGUAAUGGGCCUACUCACACGAGCUGUCGAUCGGGACGUCACUACAUGGUGCUGCUCCACAAGCUGUUGAGUAUCUUCAACUAAUUUCAGAACUCAGCCACUGGUAGGACAUUCAAGACCAGCACCCGAAACAUGGUAAACUGGGUCUGCUCACACAAGUUUUCAGUUGAAAUGUAGCAACAUGGUGCUACUCCAUAAUUUGUCGAGUAUCGGCAACAAAUGCCAAAACUCAACCACCGGUAGGACAUUUAAGACCAGCACCCAAAACAUGUAAACCCUAAUGACAUGUCGUUUGUGUUCUACGAAUUUCAAAGAUUCAAGCGGGGCUUGGUAAUCAUCAUACGUCGUUGGAUUUACGUCGUUUCAUGACAUGAUAAAUUGUAUAAUAACAUAUAUAUUGAUUCAUUUCAAUAGAAUCACAUAUUAACAUUCAAUUUAACCAACAUUAUACAUAAUACAGUUCAUACGAACUUAGCUGGCUAAAUUGCAUAAAUGUCAAAGUAUAGGGGCAUUUUGUUAAUUUUUCAUUCUCCUAAAUUUUCCACUCGACCUUGAUCUUAAAUAAUAAUUUCAUUCAAUUUAUUAAUUCAGAUAGUAAAACAACUCACUUUAUGCAAUUUAGUCAUUUUUAACAUUUUUACAAAAUUUUCCUAACAUUUUACUUUUAUUCAAUUUAGUCAUUGAGACUAAGACAAGCAAAUUAACCAUUUUUAUUGCCAAUUCAUAUCAGCCAAAUAUUCAUGGUACCCAUUUCAGCCCAUUUUUGCAACAAUUUCACAUCAAAUCCUUGUACUUUUACUAUUUUAACAAUUUAGUUCCUAAUCGAUAAAUUCAUCAAAAAUCACUUAACAAAAUACUUUUAACAAAAUACUUUUAAAUAACAACUAAUAUUUCAAAUUCAUAAUUUAACAUAAAAAACCACUAGAUUCAUCAAUGGAUACAUUCAAAAUCUUUAAUAGUUUCAAAAUCGAAGAUACGGGCUAGCUGGACCUAGUUGCAAUGAUCUCAAAAACAUAAAAACUAUUAGAAACGAGACCAAAAUGAUAUACCAUGCAAGCUUUUGAAGUUUCCAAAAUAUCCAUGCUUAGAAAUGGCUUCUUUCUCUAUUAGAAUUCAGUGAAGGAAGAAAUGUGAAAGAUCAUAAUGGAUUUUGGUUUUAUUUUAUUUAAUUUAAUUAUCAAAUUACCAUUUUAACCUUGGUUAAUAAUAAAAUAAAUCACCAAAUCAAUGUCCAUAUAAGUCCACUAACUGCUUAAGUGGUUUAAUUACCAUUUAAGUCCCUUUUCCUUAAUUCAAUAAACCAUUUAAUCACUCAAAUCAAAUAGUGAUUAAAUUUUACAUCUUUUACAAUUUAGUCCUUUUUAAUUAAUUAACUAUUGAAACGUUAAAAUUUUUCAACGAAACUUUAAUACCACUUUAAUGAAAUCUAUAAAAAAUAUUUACGGUUCGGUUGAUAGAAAUGAGGUCCCAAUACCUUAUUUUCUAAAACCACUUGACCUUAGGGUUUUACCACUUGAACUUUAUAAAUCGCUUAUAUAACAUAAAUUAUCAAAUUGAAAACCUUUUUAAAACCAUAUUUGACUUGUAAAUAUUAAAUAAUAAUAUUUACAAACUUACUUGUCAGGUUUGGUGGCCCUGAAACCACUAUUUUUUGAUACCAUUAAAAAACAGGCUGUUACAACUCUCUCCCCUUACGAAAAUUUCGUCCUCGAAAUUUCUCACCUGAUAAAUGUCAUCACAUCAGAACUCACAUCUCGAUUCAGAACCCACACUAGAACUCCUAUUAAAACUUGAUACUAUAUCUGAACUUCACUAAGCAGCUAUGAUGUUUUCCUGUCAUCACUUUAUCAUUAGUAGUAUAACUACCGAGAAAUUCCUAGUAACCAUCUGUCGAAACAUAAUCGAGAAAUCCGGAUUAGCACACCCUGACUGAUGUUUCUGACAUAUCUGCAUUUGUAACUUUCAAUUGAUAACCGUUCCCUUUUUUGAAAAGUUUCAAACAAUAUCAUUUAAAUACAAGUGAUAAUUGUUACUAUCAAGACGAUUUUAACCCAUGAUGACAUUUCCCGAUUAUAACUGAUCUGAUAGAUAUAUUUUUGUAUCAUGUCUUCUAGAAUAUGAAUUCUUCAUUCAAAUUGUUUGUCUAUUUACUUUUGAAUUCACAAAAUUUAUUCCCGAAUCUAGGGAUAAACUCAAAUACAUAUAACUCAAUUAAAUUUUCAAAUGAAUAACCCGCUCUAAUUAAAACAACUGAGUCAAUUUUAUCUUUCGGAUAAUAACAUUUCAAAAUAAUCCCUUCUUCUUGUUGUCAAGACAAUCCAGGCAUACAAUCAAUUAUAAUUCCCUCAGAAUACUAAUCAAAUAUCUUUACAAACUACAUUAGCUCAAACGAAACAUAACAUCCCUUUUUAACUCAAUGACAUAAAUUGAGAUUACCUGAAGAAUGAAAACCAAUAUACAAGUUUAAACUCAAUCUUCCACCGUCUACACUUUUGCCGAUGUCUACCCAUUCAGAAAGCUAGAAAGAGGAUAAAUAAUAAAGCUAUUUCAAUUAUUAACAUCGAAGCUUUGAACCAUACCAGAGCCACAAUCAUCAGAUGAAUUAAAACCAUAGUGCUAUAAUAAGAGUGACAUUUCAACCGUAUAGAUAGAACAAUACCUCAACAUCAAUAGUGUACUUUGAAAUAAAAGAGGAAAACCAAAUGUAGUUCCAGUAACAACCAGUAUAGGAACACAACCUCUAGAAACUUAAGAACUGAAUCACUGUGCUCCCAUGAUCAAACCAAAAAUUAUAACAGUAAUAGAUGUAAUUACCUCCGGCCAAUGAAAACUAAGAUGUGAAGCUAUACUGAAUUCCCGAGAAUACAACACGUAUUGAAUGAUACAAAAAUCAAUGGUACCGUAGAUAAAAACCAAAAGAAGAAUAUCGCUCAUACAUAUUGAAACCAAUUGUGACAGAGACAACAUAAGUUGCAUAUAUAUAAAGUAGAGCAACAAUUAGUAGAAGGAAAAAAAUAGCAUCAUAUAAGUCUUAUCAUCGAGUCUUCUACUGAGCAUAAUAAAAUAGAAUGCCAAAGAAAAAUAGCCCAAUGCUGAUCAUUAAUCAACCAGACUAACAAUACCUCCGUCUAACGUUAUGGUUAGCCAGCAUUCUCAUAUGAAUCAAAUCACAUCAGAAGAUAAAUAAUUGCAUAUGCCUGUGAGGAUAAAAGAACAUGUAGAAUACCCAGAAGAGAUCUUCGUAAGAUACUCGAUUAUAACCGCUGCAUUCAAAUAUGUCUGCAAUUUAGACACUAACUCACUGACUACUAAAGUCAUUGAAGAUCCAACAUUAUCCAUUCACUAAAGAAUCAAUUCAGAAGAAAUUUUGAUUAAUUCAUUUUUUAGAUGCCAUACCUGAAUAAGUCGAUUACCCGUGAUUAACCUCUUCUUUAAUAGCGAUGUUGCAUAUCCCGAAUGAUCUUCAAAAAAAUUUUGAUCUCUUCUAGAACUCUCUUUACUUGUUAACCCCUUCUCAGCUCUGACCACAUUAUUAGUAAUUUAAUCAUUGAAUUCUAUAGCUUAUCUUUUGGAGACUUAAUCAACAUAAAUCUUGUAAAUUCCACUGUAUAAGAUUUUGAAGGUGAAGGGUUGGAGAUUCUAAAGCCUUUAAAUUUGACUCCAAAAAAUACAUAAAACAUAACAUCCAUUAUCAAUAUAACAUUAUGAACUUUUAUUCAUACCCUCAUGAGUUUCUUUAUUCAUACCUUCAUGAGUUUCUACUCGUCCUUAGUAGCUUUUUACUAAUACAAAUGAGUAUCCCUUUCAACAUUAUUAGAAUUAGCUCGGUUGGAAAGCAUCUCUGUGUAAAAUAAAACAAAUCUCAUUAGAGUCAAGAAAUAGAGAUAUCACACUAUCAUAGGUUAUAUAAUGACAUGUAUUUCUAAAUUUCACAUAUCCUAUGUUCAGUCCAAGAACCGACUAAAUUGCAGCUCUGAUACCACUAAAUGUAACACCCUUAACCUGUAUCUGUCGCUAGAAUAGAGUUAUGAGCAUUACCAGAAACUUAAAGCUUAAACCAUUUGAUUUCGAACAUUUCAUAAAUCAUGGAAAUUAUCAAUCAAACUUAUACACAAUUUACCUUUUACGAGUCCUCGAAGCCAUAGAAGCAGUUUAGAAGUGAUUCAGGACUAAAUCAGAAACAUUUAAAACUUCAUAAAAAAUGAUAGAAUUUUACAUUGCAGGGGUCACACGGCCAGUGGCUAGGCCGUGUGGGCAUUCGAAGUAGGGACCCACAGUCGUGUCUCAGCCUGUGUUUGUGCCCGUGUAACUCUCUAACUUGGUUUACAUGGCCAAGCCAUACGCCUGUGUGCCAGGCCGGUGUAACUCUCGAACUACAACCUUUUAAAAACUACAAGGGACACACGACCGUGUUGCAUGGCCAUGUGUCACACACGAUUGAGACACACGUUCGUGUCUUAAGUGGCGUAGACAAGAAAUAAGCCAUUUUCAAGCCAAUUCUCUCACCCAAAACAAGCUUACACAAAAGCCCUUUGCACCUAUAUUCAAGCAUUCAAAAUGUACUUAAAAGAUGCAUAAUAAAACUAAAUCAGUAUGGUAUUUGUUCAUACAAACAAUAUGCCAUAAAGACACCUCAAAUACAUACAUUGAACAUACCUAAACUUGUGCAUAUUUAACAAUUUAUCAAUUGACUUGUUUCCAUGCCAAAACAUAACACAAUUGACACAUACCAACCUUACCAUAUUUGGUUCAUGCCAUAACAAAUUAAAUUUACCAUUUGGACCACUUAAAUCAUGUAUCAAAACCAUAUAAAUGACACAAAACUAGUCAUUACCAAAUGGUUCCAACAUCCAAUAUAUAUACAUACCAAAAUGUGCCUUAAAUGAUCAUUUUCUGAACAUGCCAACACAUACCACUUUGACCAUAAAACCAUGCAUCAAUUAGAUUAUAUAAACACCAACCAUUAAGCAUCAAAGUGCCAGAAACACACCAACCAUCAAGGAAUCAAAAUAACAUAAGUUCCAAAAAUUCAAAGCAACAUUUCAUGCCAAAAUCACAAACAAGCAUACCAAUUCGGCCCUUCAAAACAUAUCAUCACUAAACUAUUUCAACAUUAGCCAUCAAGCCCAAAAAUGGCAAAAUGUCAUCAAUCAUAAACUAUAUUUACAAGCCAAACAUAAUGGUCAUAUCAUCAAGCGCAAAACACCUAUACAUGCCAUUAUAACCAUGACUUAAAAAUAUCAAAAUCUACCAAUAAAUUCAAUGGAUUGUGUGAUGGAUCUCUGACUAGCUUCCAACCUGAUCGAGCUUCUGACAAUUUGUAAAGUAAGAAAAGGAUAAUCCCAUAAGUAAUGGAUGCUUAGUAAGCUUGUAUAAACUAUAAGCAUAAUAUUACAUUUCAAUAAUGAACAUUAGAGGUUAAAUGUAAGCCUAUACCAGUGCCUCAAGGUUUGUCAAUAAUAAACAUCAACUCACAAAUGAGUAAGUUCAUUAAUGUCGCAUACAUAUUAACCAUUCAUAACAUGAAAGGAUUUCAUGAGACCUAAUAUAUAAUCAUCAAUCUUUUUAUGAGCAUAUAUAUCUUUCUAUUCACUUACUUUCCAUUCUGUCCCCAAUGCUUAUCAUAAGCCUAAACAACAAUAUUAAUUUCCAACUUAGUGUAUUUAUCCAUGAUUUAGGUAGAUUCAUCUAUAGCAUAAGUAGUUUUCUCACAUAUAAAUACAUCAUUUAUCACAUCAAACAUUUUAUAACCUCAUAAUACAUCUCAAUUACGUACAUACCGUUUCAUUCUCUUUUCUUACCUAUUUCAUUUGCAUAGUACAAGCAUAAUCACAAAUAUCUAUCAUAUCUACAAGCUUGGCAUAAGCCUAAGCACAUCAAUAACACAUGUUAGUUCAUUUAAACAUAAUUCAUAUGAAUUUAUCAUGGAUAACCAUUAUACUUGAGCAUGAUUCAAUUGGAUUUAUCAUCCAUCUCAACAUUACAUAUUUUCCAUGUAGCUCACCAUUUCAAAGUCUUUCAUAAAUACAUGUCUUCGUUCAUAUUGAACACAUACCUUUCCUUUCAUUUUUCAUGCCCGUUGAACUGUUUAAAAUACCGUUGGAAACACGGGAUAGCUCACACAAAGUGUGCUAAACAUAUAACCAUAGUCUAUCAUUUCCUUUAAAUAUAUGCUUACAUGAGUUGUGUAAUGGGCCUGCUCACACGAGCUAUCGGUCAGAACAUAGCUACACGGUGUUGCUCCACAAGCUGUCAAGUAUCCGCAACAAACGUCGAAACUCAGCAACUGGUAGGACAUUCAUGACCAGCACCUGAAACAUGGUAACCUAGGUCUACUCACACAAGCUGUCGGUCGGAACGUAACUACUUGGUGCUACUGCACAAGCUGUCGAGUAUCCGCAACAAAUGUUGGAACUCAGCCACCGACGGGACAUUUAAGACUAGCACGCGAAACAUGUAAACCCUAAUGACAUGUCAUUUGUAUCUUAUGAAUUCCUAAGGUUGAAACGAGGCUCGACAAUCAUUGUACGUUGUUGGAUUUACGUCGUUUCAUGACGUGAUAAAUUGUAUAAUAACAUAUAUAUUGAUCCAUUUUUAAUAGAAUCAUAUAUUAACGUUCAAGUUAAUCAACAUUAUACAUAAUACAGUUCAUACGAACUUACUUGUCUAAAUUGUAGAAAUGUCAAAGUAUAGGGCAUUUUAGUAAUUUUUCAUUCUCCUCGAUUUUCCACUCGACCUUGGUGUAAAUUAAAAAAUUCAUUCAAUUUAUUAAUUUUGAUAGUAAAACAACUUAUUUUAUGUAAUUUAGUCAUUUUUACAUUUUUACAAAAUUACCCCUAACAUUUUACUUUUAUUCAAUUUAGUCCCUGAGCCUAAAACAAGCAAAUUAACCAUUUUUAUUGCCAAUUCAUAUCAGUCAAAUAUUCAUUUUUCAUAUCAGCUGAAUAUUCAUUGUACCCAUUUCAACCCAUUUUUACAACAAUUUCACAUCAAAUCCUUGUACUUUUACUAUUUUAACAGUUUUGUCCGUAAUUGAUAAAUUCAUCAAAAAUCAAUUAACAAAACACUUUUAAAUAACAACUAAUAUUUCAAAUUCAUAAUUUAACAUAAAAAAACCACUAGGUUCAUCAAUGGCAACAUUCAAAAUCUUUAACAAUUUCAAAAUCGAAGGUACAGACUAGCUGGACCUAGUUGCAACGAUCUAAAAAACAUAAAAAUUAUUAAAAACGAGACCAAAAUGACAUACCAUGCUCAAAAAUGGCUUCUUUCUCCAUUAGAAUUUAGUGAAGGAAGAAAUGUGAAAGAUGAUAAUGGAUUUUGGUUUUAUUUUAUUAUCAAAUUACUAUUUUAACCUUGGUUAAUAAUUAAAUAAAUCACCCAAUCCAUGUCCAUAUAAGUCCACUAACUCCUUAAAUGGUUUAAUUACCAUUUAAGUCCCUUUUCUUUUAUUCAAUAAACCAUUUAAUCACUCAAAUCAAAUAGUGAUCAAAUUUUACAUCUUUUACAAUUUAGUCAUUUUUAAUUAAUUAACUAUCGAAACGUUAAAAUUUUUCAACGAAACUUUAAUGCCACUUUAAUGAAACUCUAUAAAAAAUAUUUAUGGCUCUGUUCAUAGAAACAAAGUCCCAAUACCUAAUUUUCUAAAACCACUUGACUUUAGGGUUUUACCACUUGAACUUUAUAAAUCGCUUAUAUAAUAUAAAUUAUCAAAUUGAAAACCUUUUUAAAGCCAUAUUUAACUGGUAUUAAAUAAUAAUAUUUACAAACUUACUUGUAACAUCCCAAUUUUGGGCCUAGUCGGAACAGUGGUUUUAGAACCACUAACCUGAGGUCAGAGAAAUUAUUUUUAAUACUAUUUUAUGUGUGAUGGCAUGUUUAUAAAGUUACAUGAAAAUUUUGGUGGUUUAAUUUUAGCGUUUGUGAGCUUAAUUACGAAAAAGGACUAAAUCGCAUAAAGUGUAAAAGUCCUAUUUUGAUAGCUAAAGGUGUCAAAUAGCUAGAGAACCUAAAUUUGGGGUCUUUAAAGGGAAAUUAGACCCUUUAAAGAGUCAUGCCCAGCCAUAGGAGACAAAGAUGGUCAACAAGUCAAAGUUUGGUGGGUUUGGUGACUAGAUUAACUAAAAUAAGAUAAAACAAAGAGAGAAUUAUAUCAUAUUUUCUCUCAUCUUCUUCCCACUGAAAAAAUCAACCAUAAGAGGGGUUUUAAAGCUUGAAAAUUUUCAUCCACUUAAUCUCUCUGCAAGUAAGUGAUCUUGAUGAUUUUUCUCGAUGAUUUUGGUACUUUUAGAACCUUUGUAGCAUGAGCUUUUAAAUAAGGGGACUAUUUUGCAAAAUGGUUGAAAGUCUAGGGUUUUACCAAGAGAGUGUUCAUGUUGUUUUCUAAAAUUUUAUGGAAGAAUAUUAGUUAUGGUUGUGUAAUAAACAACUUUUGUAAAGUAGUUUUCAUGGAAACCCUAACUAGGGACCAUUUUGCAUAAGAUGUAAAAUAGGUGAUAAACGUGUGAAAUAAUGAGAAUUUUGGGCAUGUCUAGGACAUGUAUCGAAUUUGAGAUGUGUCAGUGUAAGACCAUGUCUAGGACAUGGCAUCAGCACGUAUAGAGGUGUUAGUGUAAGACCAUGUCUGGGACAUGGCAUCGGCACGAAUAUGUGAGAGCUAGUGUAAGACCAUGUCUGGGACAUGGCGUCGGCCUCAAUUUCGAUAGUCAAUGUAAGACCAUGUCUAGGACAUGGCAUUGGCAUUAUACCCAAUGUUUGAGGCAUACUGAAUAUCCGAUAGCAUUCCAAAUGGUUUAAUGGUGAGUGUGGCAGUUUAAGUUAAACGAGAAAAGUAUAAUCAUGUUGUGAGUGGUAUAGGUACCUAUUUGAAAUGUAUGAGUGUGAGCUCAAUAUAUGCUACGAGAAUUGUAUUAGAUAGUGAUGAGUAAGUUGUGCUUAUGCCUACUUUUGUAUUAUGAGCAUGAUGAUGAAUGGUAAAGUUGUUGUUAUAUUUAUUUGCAUGCAACUUACUAAGCUUUAUGCUUACACCCUCUCAUUUCCAUUUUCUUAUAGUGCUGCCUAAUUAGCUCGAGGAUAAUCGGACGUUGGAGACAUCGAUCAUAGUAUCAUCCGAAGCACUUGGUAUGGUUAGAUCUUUCAUUUUGAUUAUGGCAUGUAUAGGACCCUGACUUUUGAGUUUUGUGUCUUUGUUAAUUAGCCAAAUGUGUUGGCUUACUUUAGCAUUUUAUUCAUUUUGUAUAAGACCAUAGAAAAAUGGCUAAUAUUAAAAGUUGUUAUGUGAAUGCAAGCUAAUCUUUCAUGAAUAUGAAAUUGUUGGCAUGGUUGAAUAUAUGUAAUGUAUAUAUGUAACGCCCCGAAUUUUGGGCCUAUAUGAAAUGGACUUUGGUUUUCAUGAAAUUUUUAAGUGAGCAAGAAAAUGACAAAUGACAUGUUGGCUUCAAGGGUUUAAGGAACUUGGAGUGUGUAGGUAUGUUGGAGAAGUUCUAGGUUCGAGUUUUGUGGUAGAGGAAUUUUAAUUUAAUUAUUAAAAGAACCAGGGUUGGGAGUAGUUGGGCUUUUAAAUAAAGAUAGGGGAAAAUGGCAUCAAAAAGCCUUGUAGAGGAGUGGCCAAGUGACGCCACUUAGAGUGUAAAGAGGUGGCGUUAAUAGCUAGAAAGGAGGUCCAAGGUUCGAAUCCUAGCUUAGUGUUUUUGGAAGUUUAAUUUUGGCCUUCUAGAAGGUUGGAAGUGGCAUGGAAAUGGACUCAAAGGGAAGUGUUUAGGAGAGAAAUUUGAGGAAAGGAUCAAGGGGUUAUCAGGAAGAAAAAUGAGGAGAUAAGAAGUGAGGAGCAAGUGAAGCCGAAAUGGGAAUUUAGCAAUGAGGAAUUCGGCUAUAGGGGCUAUAAAUAGGUGCCGAAUGCAAGAUUGCCAGGCUAAUGCCGAAAUCUUUGUCACCCUGUUACCGGAAACCCUUUUCUCUUUAAGAUCCAAAAAGUCGAAAACCCUUACUUCUUUCUUUCUCUUCUUAUGCUGAUUUUCUAUUCUUCUUCUACUCAGGUUUUUGAUUCAUUUUUUUAGUCUAGUUGACUUCUUCUUUCUUGAAGCUGAAUAACUCUCUUUUUCCAUACAAAUCGCAAGGGCAGAAACUUUCUUGGCCGAAUACUUUUGGUUCCGCCAGUACCCUUUCUAAUCGGUCAAGCCUAGUGUAAGUGCUUUGUUCUCAUAUUUGGUUUUUGGUAAGUAUCGAGUAUACAGUCCCUCAAUUCUUCUAAUUGGUUUUGGGUAGGAAUAGGUAACGAAUCUCAAUCCUUGGAUCUCUGCCGAUUUGCUCUUCAACUGAGAGACUUUGGUAAGUGCUCUUGAUCUUGGUUGGCCGAAUGGUCAUACUUAAGGUAAUGGGACUUGUGUUGGAUACGAGUCACCUAUUAUUCUGGUUUUAAUAAGUAAGAUUAAUGCAGAUCUAAGGAGUACCUAAUCAAGGAAAAGCUAUUAGGGAUUGGUGUUCAAGGUAAGGUUAAGGUGAGGUUUCGGUUUUAGUAAAGAUAUGUAUUAGGCAUGCGAUUAAUUGAAGGGUGAUAUCAUUGUAGGUUGGUGACUAAGGGAAUCGCAGCACACUUGCUUACCAGGUGUGUACAUACACUACACACACAAGUAGAUCGGCAAAAGCCGAAAAUCCAAAAUGCCAAAAAGCCGAAAUGCCAAAAAGCUGAAAGUUUGGCUACGGUAGUCUUGCGAGUGCGCGAACACUCGUAAGGGGGAGAUCAAUAGGUUGCCUGAUACCCACGGACGAUUCCGUGGACUUGGAUUGUGAUUUGGCCAUAUGGGCCAGAAUGGGCUAAAUGGGUCCCAAGGGCUGUUGGGCCCAUAAUAGGCAAAAAACUGAAUAUUGAUGCUAUGUGAUAAAAAUUUGUAUUUGAGCAUGAAUAUGAAUGUGACUGGGCCUAAUGGGCCAUAUAAAUGAGAUUUGGGCCUAAUGGGCCAUACAUAGGUUAUUUGGUCCUAAUAGGCCAUAUGAAUAUGAUUGGGCUUAAUUGGCCAGAUACAAGUAUGUGAAUUUGUUUGGGCUUUGUAAGGGGUUUUGGGCCUAGUAUAUGAUAACUACAUAAGACUUAAUUAAUAUAUUGGAACCGUGGACAAGUCAAAGGGUUAAGGUGUGGCAACGAGUAUAUGCAUGUCUAGGAUUGGAUCUAGGGAGAGCUUGGUACUUAAGCGGUCUUAAUGACCUACCUUCUCUUCUCUAGAAUCCUACCUGGUGCAUAGUAUUCGUUCAUCUUAGCUUACAGGACUUGCUAACGGGUCAAGGUAAGUGAAAACCAUAAUUAAGAGAAAUUUAUCGAAAUGCCCCAAAGGGAAAAAAUGAUAAAAAUACCCCUAGAUGUUGAAUGUAAGUUUUAUGGAUGUGACAUGCAUACAUAUGAUGUUCUGCUUAGGUUGUAUAUUGGGUAGGAACUAUGGAACAGAGGAAGUAUAUGAGGAUUGCAUGGUUACCUGACAAUCGUGGAUCCACCGACGGCUUUUAAAGCCCAAUAUGUAAAUGAAGGUAGUUCUGCAACUGGGCUACCAUUGGUGUGUGGGCUAGGUGGGUCGAUAUUUUUAUCCCCACAUGGUGUGACGGGGAACAGAGCUAGUGUGUAGCGGAUGGAUUAUUGGGACAGGAUUGUAUUGCAUGUUUGUUGUAUGAUCAUUUUCGAAUGCUUGCUUUUCUAUGAGGGUUGUACACACUGAGUUUGCGAAAACUCACCCCCUCUUUUAUUUUAUUUUCAGGUGAUGCUCAGUAGAAGGUUCGAUGUUCGGAGGGACUCUGGGUGGCCAGCUAACAAGAUAAUUUGGACUUGUUUUUUUUUUUAAAAAAAGUAUAUAAGUUUUUAUUUUAUUAAGUACUAUUCAAUCAGAUUGUAAUAGGACUUCCAUUUUGUUAUUACCUGGGUUAUUAUUUCUAUGUGAUGUAACUAUAAGAAGUUGUACAUGGUUUCUUAAACUAUAGUAUGUCUUUUCUACAUUUUCGUAACUUAAUUUUUAAAUGAUAAAGUUUUCUUAAAUCAAAUCUUCUAAACAAGGCAUUAUCAACUGAAAGGUGUACUUAUUUUUAAGUUAAUUAAGGUUUCUCUUGUUUAAGAAGGGUUUUUAAUGAAAACACGAUUUUUGCUAAAACACUUUAAUGCAACACGUCAGAUUCGACCAUAACGUCCGGGCCAGGUUUGGGGAUUACAAUAUAGGUCUUAACUAUGGUUGUUUUGUUGAGAAAUCAUAUUAAGAUUAGACCUUGAUAUGUUGGUUGAUGUUAGAUUGUGUUUCAAGGUGGCAAAGGCUUGGUAGAUAGCUUUAUAUUGUCCACAUGGGUAGACACACGGGCGUUUGUCUAGGUUGUGUAUGACGCACGGUCAGCCUCAUGGGCGUGUUGUUCACCCGUGUGUCCCCUACACGUAAAAUUUGCAAGUCAAAAUGCAUGGUAGUAAACACACGGGCAGAGACACGGCUGUGUGUCUCAACCGUGUAGAGGACACGACCUCUGGCUACGGGCAUGUGCCAUGGCCGUUUACCCCUUUUUGGAUGCUAACGUCAGAAACAGAAUGUCAAGGUUUUUAGACACGGACGUGUCAUGGCUGUGUGAGGGACACGGCCAUAGACACGGGCGUGUUUCAGGCCGUGUGAAAACCCCUGUAGGUUCGAAUUUAGAAUUUAAUUCACACGGGUAUGGGACACAGGCGUGUCCCUAGAUGCUUAGGCCGUGUAUGUCACACAGGCCAUCAACAUGGCUGUGUCAUAAUGAUCACACAGGCAUGUUGCCCUUUCACACGGGUGUGUACCCUGUUUCAAGAGUUAUUUUUCUAAAGUUAGUUUAAGGACCCUGAUUGGUUUCGAAUGGUUUCUAAUGGUUGUUUGAGGCCUCGUGGGCACAUAUUAAGGAGUUUAAACAAAGUUUGAAAUUUUUUUAAAUUUGACUGAAUCUUAAUGACAUCGAUAUGAUUGUAUGCAUGUAGUUAAGUGUGGUAACGCCUCGUAUCCCGUCUCUGUGUAGGGCUCGAGUGUGGGGUGUUACAUUACUCGUCGAAUUUGGUGGCCCCGAAACCACUGUUUUCAACACUUCUGAAAAAUGGGAUGUUACAUUUUACAUAUUUAGUGAAGUUAAUAGGUAAUUUCUUUUUGUCUUCUAAUGAAGUGCAUAUAUACGUGUGAUUUGAUCCAGGAUCAAUCAAUGCAUAUACAUUAAUAUCAGAGAGAGAAAAAGUACGUACAAUAACGUCUAGGGCAGUAGGUUCCUCACGAACUCUUAUUGCAUAGGCUCUAGCUGGUGUUCUCGCUUCAGACCAUUGAUUCAUCUCGUUAUUCUUCCCUCGAUCGGGAGUAGUGUUCCUAGCAUUUCGAGAUCGUCUACCUCUCUAUGAAGUUGCUUCAAGCUUAAUAGACUGAUUGUCAAAAUCAUUUUUCUUUUUCAAACAAUCAAAAAGGAAACGGUCAAUAGAUCCACAUCAGAAACAAGCUCCCGACUUUGAUAGACAUUCGCCAAAAUGUCUUUUGUUGCAUUCAUCACAAAUAGGAACGAUUCUCUCAACAUUUCUUACACUUCCAACACUGGCCGUUGGAGAGUUAAAAGACUGGAAAUUACUUUUCCUUGGUUUCUCUCUACUGGUGAAGUCUAAAGGGGCAGAUGAUUGACUUGUGUCAUUUCUAAAUUUCUUCGAUGGAGACAUUUAAGCAGGCUUGAACGACCCUCUUUUAUUAAAAUCUCAAAAAUUUGAAUCUGACUGUCAUUUACUUUUGCAAAUUUCAACUUUUAGAUCCCUUUAUGGAAAGUUCUACAUAUUCCUGUAACUUUAGUGCUACCACAGACAUAUGGAUAUCAUCAUGCAACCCGUCUUCAAAUCUAAUACACAUUUCCUCCUCAUUUGCUACUAUAUUACAUUCAUACUUGCUUAACUACAUAAAUUCCUAUUCAUACUCAGCUACAAUCCGAUUUCCUUAUUUUAACUCAAGAAAUUCUUUCUUUUCCUUAUCAAUAAAUAGUCGGAUAACAUACUUCUUCUUCAAUUCGGUCUAAAAGAAAUCCCAAUUAAUAUGAUCACUGAUUGUCAUCGUGCUCAAAGUGUCCUACCAUAAAUACAGUUUAUCUUUUAGUAAUGACACAGCACAAUGCAAACCGUCUUCUGGAGUGCACAUUAAUUCCGUGAGGACUCUCUUUGUAUUCAUUAGCCAAUACUCUGCUUUUGUCGAAUCAUCAUCCUUCUUGCCUCUAAAUUAUUCCGCUCCACAUUUAUGAAUUUUAUCUACUGAUACUCAGGUAACUAUCACCAGUACAAGAUUUUGAGGACCCUGGGUGGUCGGAGGAGGCACAUUAGGGGGUAGAGGUGGCGGAGUGGCAAGACUCACUUGUUUGAAUUCAUUGAACCACUAGUUCAUCAUUCCGAGGAAUAUAUUUUUCAUUUCAUCACCAAAGCACUGUGGAAUUGACGCACUAUUACUUGCUUCAAAAUUUGAAGCUUGAACAUUACUUUCAGUUUUGUUAACUUCAACCCAGUUCGAUUCAGUAGACAUCCUGAAUCUAUAAGAAAAUACAAUAUUAGAAUGACUCAAAAGCAUCACACUUUCACAGGGUAUAUGUGGCAUAUAUAUACUAACUCUACUCCACUAUGUUAGUCCUAGAAUCAACUAAAUUGUAGCUCUAAUACCACUAAAUGAAACACCUCUAACCCGUAUCUGUCAUCAAUUUAGGGUUACGAAGCAUUACCAUACAACUGGAUACAUUUAAACUCAACUUCAUUCAAUAACAAAAGCAAAUCAUAAACAAAUCAUAUACAUACAUACCGUCCCAAGAUCGAGGCCUUGAGGCCCUACCUUAGAAACGAUUCAGGACCAAUCUGAAAUCAUUUGAAAAGUAUAGGAAAAAGUCAUAAAAAUUUGGAAACAGAGGUCACACAGUCAUGUGCCUCACACGGCUGAGACACACGCCCGUGUCUCAGGUUGUGUAACCUUCGAACUAGGGACACACGGUCAUGUCCCAGCCCAUGUCCUUGCCUGUGUAACUCUCUGAGUAGGGUCACACGGAUGUGUACCAGGUUGUGUAAAUCACUAACUUAAACCCUUUGAAACCUUUAAAUCGCACAUAAUUGUGUCACCACACACGGCUGAGUCACACGCCUGUGUCCUAAGCCGUGUGAACCCAAAAUUUACCUAUAAUCUAGCCAUCCACAAGCAAUUCACACCUAACUAAUCUAACCAUUUAAACAUGCAUCCAAUGAGCAUAAACAUCAUUCACCAUAACACAAACAUGCGAUUUUAAUGUGCUAAAAUCAACUAACCAAUGUGUCAUUCAUAGACACCACAGUUAUAUCAAAACAUCAACUACUAAAACACAUCAGCAUUUAUCCAUUUCUUGCAUAGUAACUUAGUUCAAUCAUAUACCAAAACAUAGCACUAGUAUUCACUUUCAUACCUUUCUAAUUACACCAAAAAGAGACCUAAUUACAAGCAUGAUAAAAUACCUAUUAACAUAGUUUAGUAACGUAUCAAAUUGUACCAAACCAACAUACUUAGCCACAUAUACGUGCCACUACCCUAAGAGACAUAAAAGCUACCAACUUCGUUGAUAGUGUGAGCCAAUUGAUGAUCCUUUAAAAAUGUCAGCAACAGAUCUAUACAAAACAAUCCACAAGAACUGGUAAGUUUACAUAACUUAGUGAGAUAAUAGUAUUACAUUCAAUCUAACAAAGUUAAAUACAAUCCAUAUACUAUUAGAUUUUAGGGUUACUAGAGUAUAAACAAUACAUGUAAAUGCGUUCAGGGUACCACAGUACAAAUAAGGGCAUAUAUGUGCAAACAAGGGUACCGAAGUACAAAUAAGGGUACGUAUGUAUAUGUACAAAUAGGGGGUGUACGUGCAAACAGGAGUACUGAAGUAGAAACAGGGGCAUGUAUGUACAAACAGGGGUACUGAAGUAUAAACAAUGGCACCUAUGUGCAAACAGGGGUACCAAAGUACAAACUAAGAAACCAUAAAAGUACAAUUAGAAAUUCAUUUACUUAUUGAAACACUAUGAACUUACCUAAUAUUCAAUUCUGAACAACUCGUAGGGGCUAGUUCGCUAUUUUCCCUUUUUCUCGAUUGUUGUCUUUUUGAUCCAAAUUUUGACCUAUAUAAUAAUUGAAUGCAAUACAUUAAUUUCAUAGAUAUUCUACAUUCCAUUCAAUGUAUAUGACCCUUAACUUUUCAUUGAUUACAUAUUUUCCUAAACUUUUAUAACUUUUACGAUUUAGUCUUUUAACCUGAUAUUCAUCAAAUUUGACCAUUUUCUAAUAACAAAAUUAGAACUGAAUUUUCUAGGCUUUUAAAAAGUUCUUGUUAUACAUCAAAUUCACUACCAAACCUUGAAAUUUUGACAUUUAAUCCUUAAAUCAAAAUCUAACAAAAAUUACUUCACAAAAUAAUUAAAUAUCCCAAUCAAAGCUUCAAACGCAUAUUUAUCAUCAAGAACAUUCAAGAUUCAUCAAUGGAAACUUUUAAAAUUUUUAACAAUUUCAAAAAUGAAGGUACGGGCUAGCUAGACCUAGUUGCAACGAUCUCAAAAACAUAAAAAUUACAAGAAACAGAAUUAGAACAAGCUUACAUGGAAAGAAAAUGUGUUAGUCGAACCCAAAGCUCCUCACACAAUGGUGUUUUCUCUUAAUUUCGGUGAAACAAAGUACUAAAGAAGAUUAUAGUAUUAUUUUUUUCUUUUUUCUUAAGUUACAUUUAUUAAUUUACCAUUUUCUCCUUUAAUAAAAACUUCAUUUAGGCUAAUUUCUACCUAUUACUGUCCAUUACAUAUUUAUUGACGGUCUAAUUACCAUAUAAGUCCUUCUUCAUAUAAGUUAAACUAUUAUAACACCUAAAUGGAAUAAUUAACACAUUUUGUGUAACCCCUUAACCUGUAUCCAUCAUCGAAAUAGGGUUAUAGAGCAUUACUGUGUAAACGUCUCUUAAAAACAUACAUUUCAAACAUUAAUGUAAACAUAAUUUAAUUCAUUCAUAUACUUGCAUAUUGUCCCUUAACCAAGUCCUUGGGGCCCUAGAAAUAAAUUAGAAACAAUUCGAGACUAAAUUGGAAACAUUUGGAACAUUUAAGAAAAAGUUGGAAAAAUUUGAACAGCCAUGUGACUCACACGGCUGAGACACACUCCCGUGUCUCAGACUGUGUAACUUUCAAAUUAGGGACACACGGUCGUGUCCCAGCCCGUGUUCGAGUCCGUGUAACUCUCUAAAUUAGGUCAUACUGCCAAGCCACACAUAUGUGUGCUAGACCGUUUAACUCUCGAAAUAGCCACACACGCAGCUGUGUGCUACACCGUGUAACAGCCUUACUUGCAUGCCUUAAACCUAUAGGGGACACACGAUCAUAUCGUCUAACACACAGAUAAGUCACACGCUCGUGUCUCAGGCCGUGUGGACAUGAAAUUUUCUAAGAUCACGCCAUUUCCAUCACCAAAUCAAGCACGUACCUAAAAGAAUUUUGUACACAUAAUCAAGGCCUUAUAACAUGACCAAUUCACUAGUCUAAAAUCAUUCAACCAAUAGCAUAUAAGGCACCUCAAGAACAAACAUACAAACUUCCUAAACAUAUGCAUUACCACAUUUAAAACAUGCACAUGUAGUUCAAUAACAUCUUAAAGCAUACCAUAAUUGAGACCACAAGUAACUCAACAUAAAUAUACCAUUUUAAUGUCCUAAAAACAACCAACCAAUGUGCCCUUCAUAAACACCGCAACUAUAUCCAACAUCAACAACUAAAACAUGUUAACAUUAAUCCAUUUCUAGCAUAGCAAUUUAAUUCACUCACAAGCUAAAUCAAACCACAAGUGUUCACUUUCAUACCAUUCUAAUUGUACCAAAAAGAUUUACAAUCAUAAUAAGGUGCCUAACAACUUAGUUUAGUUUAUUGUCAUAUUGUACCAAAACAACCUAUAUAUCCACAUAUACAAGCCACUAACCUAAGGAGCUCAAGAAUACCAACAUCAAUUAUAAUAACCCGGUUUAGACCCUAGUCGGAAUAGUAGAUUCGGGACCACAAAUCUGAAUCAGAAAAAAAAUUCAAUAUUAUUUUCCGUGUUUACAGUAUGUGGUUAAGCAUGUGUGAAGGUUUCGUAUGAAAAUUUAAUCAUUUGGGUGCUUAAUUUGCAAAAAGGCCCUAAUCGCGUAAAAAGUAAAAGUGGUCUUCUAUUUGUUAAGUGUGCCUAUUGUUAUGUCUUAUUAAAUGUGAGGUCCUCAAAAGGUAAACAGUCCAUUAUUAAUGCUAGUGGACAAUUAUCGGCUUAUAUUAUGUGAUUUUUAAUGUUUUAACUUAAGGUUAUUAUGGUAAUUUGUAAAAUAAAAGUUAAUUAAUAAAACAAAAUUUUAAUUUGGUGUCAUCUUCUUCAUUCAAUCGACUGAAAAAGAGAAAAUAGGGUUUGGGAGAGCUUGAAAACAUUCGGCCAUUGUAGGAUCAAAUUGUAAGUCCAUUUUGACUCGGUUUUUAAUGUUUUUUUAUGUUUUUAAGCUCGUUGCAGCUUAAUUUAGCUAGCCCAUGCCUUAAUUUUUGAAUUGGUUGAUAAUUUUGAAAGAUUCCAUUGAUGAAUUCAUGAGUUUUGUGAUGUUAAAUGAAGAAAUAUGAACACUUAGUGCUUGAUAUGCAUGUCUUGUAAAGUGAUUUUGAGUAAAAAUGCAUAUUAGGGAUUAAAUUAUGAAAAUGAGAAAUUGAGGGACUAAAAUGUAAAAUAAAUGAAAUGUGUGGGCUUAUAUAAACUAGGGUAAAAUUCGGCUAGGUAAUUGUAUAAGGAAAUUUUGAGUAAUUUGUGAUUUUAUGAAUUAGAGAUUAAAGUGUUAAAAUGUGAAAAUGUGAGGGUUAAUUUGUAAAAUGCCCUAAAUAAGUAUAUAUGGAUUGAAUUGAAUGUGUUGGUGAUUAAAAGGGUUAAUUUUGAAUACAUAUAGAUCAAGAAAAGAGGAAUUCAGAUUUAGAUCAAGGAAAAUUGAAGAUUAUCGAGUAAACGAUUCGAAUCGUCAAUUCCGAGUACGAGGUAAGUUUGUAUGUGAUAAAUGAUGUUAUAGUUAUGUUUUAAUGCUUUGAUAAUGCAUAAAUUGUAUAGAUAUUAGAUCACGAUUUGAGCAAUAUGAUAAUCGAUUAAGUUCAGCACUAAGUGUGUGAUUCGAAAUAGCUUCGGCUACAAAAGGCACUAACUGUGCGAGUUGGAAUAGCUUCGGCUACAUAAGGCACUAAGUGUGUGAUACCGAGAUAGCUUUGGUUUAUUGAAAUGGCACUAAGUGUGCAAAGUUGUUAUGACUUCGACAAAUCACUGAUGCACUAAGUGUGCAAAUUCUUAAAGCAUGGAAAGACUUCUGAAUGAAUUAAUGUAUUUGAACAAGAGUUAAGGUUGAAAUGAAUAAAUAUAGGAAAGUUCAGGUUUGUUCGAUACCUAUGCAGUAGAUGAUACUAUGUGUAACACCCCUCACCCGUAUCCGACGCCGGGAUAGGGCUUGAGCCGUUACCGGGAUUUCUCAUUCAUAAACAUAUUAAAUAAAGUCACUAAGUUGUGCUCUAAUUUAAAACUAUUAAAAUAUAUAUAUAUUCCUUCCCUUAAACAGGCCUUCGAGACCUAAAACAUGUCUAGAGGUGGCGUGAGACAAAACCAAGAACAUUUGAUAAACUUUGGGCGCCUUGGAAAAUUUCUUUUACCUUGAAGUGUCACAAGCCCGUGUGACUUGGGACACACCCGUGCAAUCACCCCGUAUCCAAGACUUGAGUAUUCUAUUAAAUUUACACGUCUAAGAGACACGCCCAUGUGUCUAGCCCUUGUUCAUUUGAUAGACUUACCAUUUUAGAUGCAGGAGACACACGCCCACGGGUGUGGCCAGUGUGUCACACAUGGCCUAGGCACACGCCCGUGUACCCAACCGUGUAGACCCUAUUAGGAUAUUUUCCAAGCCUAUGGUCACCACCUUUUAACACUUAUACUUAAUGAAUAUUAUAAACAAAGUAAAACAUAAUUAUGCUCUCAUAAAUGAUCUUUGCAAAAACUCAUAGCAUGGAAACCUCAUAUCAUUGGUUUUGUACAUGCUAGGUUAUUUCCCAUCUUGUAUUUAUGUGUUGUCAUACCACUUUAAUACAUUCAAGAUUGGCUCGUUCUUAUGACUCAUUUCCAAUUGGAAUCCAACCAUCGCACAUGAUUACAAACUUGCAUAGAAAUUUUUUGGGUUAUAGCCUACUUCAAAACAAGCCGAUCUCUAUGGCCAUAAACAAAAAGAUAGAUUUAUCUUUACAAGCCUUCAUUUGGAAAAAUAAAAUGACACAUGUAACAAAAUACUCAAAAGACCUAUACAUGCCAUUGAACAAUUUAGAAAUGUAUUUAUACCAAAGUUGGUCUAUUUGAUAGUAUUCUGACUUUCCGAUCGUCCUGCAAUCUUUACAAGUCUUCGAGCUCUGUGAAAGAUAGGGAAAAGAAAAGGGUAAGCAUUUUAAUGCUUAGUAAGCUUAAAUAACCGGAAAGAAAACUUACCAAGUAAUUAGCACGCAAUCAAAUUGGGCAAUAAAUUCAAUGAGCAUAGGAUGGCUUCCCUAUCACUUACACUCAGUCAAUGAGUUAGACACAAAACAAUGCACUAUAAAAGUUAUCUUAGAUGAGCUUAUCAUUCAACAUCUCAUUUAUAUAUAUAUCAAAUUAAUCGUGGUGAGUUUCUAGGAAAUCUCGAUGGAAUACCCAUUUACCGUCAAUUCAUACAAUGAUCGUUUCAGAUGUGCACUCCCACGAACCUUGCAUCUUAUGGCGGGAUUACCAGUCCAGGCUAAAUCCCCCAUUUUAGAAACUCAUAAGGUGAUGUCGGGAUUACCAGUCUAGGCUAAAUCCCUUAUAAUGACAAACACCUUUAUUGAGCUCUGAUCUAAAUUACCAGUCCAGGCUAAAUUCAGAUCCUAAUCGGAUUACCCGUCCGGGCUAAAUCCAUAAUGCACACAUAUUCUUCGGGAGGCUCGACCAUUCCAAGGAACACCCGUCUGGGCUAGAUCCUUUUAUAAAUGAGAUCAACAGAUUACCCUUCUGGGAUAAAUUCAACAGAUUACCCUUCUGGGCUAAAUCCUUACUGCAACACAUGCAGGACCUCAUUACACAUGUCAAUCAUGGUUUAUCCAUCGAAUUCCCUUUUUAACCUCAACCGAGACAUUUAUCACAAUUUAUACUUGAACAUGCAUUUCAUAGAAUUUCAUGUUAUUAAUAAAUGAAAUCAUCAUUCAGUCAGAAAUCAUAUAAUUAAGCACAUUGAUUAUUUACUUUAAGUUAUCUAAACUUACCUGGUAUUCAUUUCGGUGUCGUGUUUCGGUUAUUCUGAAACCUUUCGUUUUCCUCGAUCGACCUCCAGAAUUUUUUCCUUGGGGUCUAUAACAAUAAAAAUAGAUAAUUAACACUCCACAUUAUACAUUUUAAGUCUAAAUUCCACCCCCGGUCCAAAUGACCGUGUUGCCCCUAACCUUUCACAUUUUUACGAUUUAGUCCCUAGGCUCAUACAAUGAAACGCAUGUAAUUUCUACCUUACUCAAACCUACUCGAAAACUUUUCCCUCUUAUGGUAGCCCACAUUUUCCAUUAUUUUCACAUUUCUACCACACAUUUUACAACUUUUGCAAAAAGGUCCCUUUAGGGGUUUUUCAUGAAAAUCACCUAGGAAAAGUUGUUUAACACACUUCAAACUUUCAUAUUCCUCCAUAAAACAUCAAAAUACAAGUAACUCAUACAUGGGUAAAUUUUAAGCAUGAACCCUAGCAUGAAAUAUGGGUAGAAAUAGAGAGAGCAAGGUACCGGGAUUUCAAAAUUACAAAGAACAUUAAAAACGGGGCUUGGGAGCACUUACUAUUGAGCUUGGAAAGCUUGAAAACCUUAGCUAUGGAAACCCUAGAAAUUUUGGCAGCAUGGAGAAGAAGAAUGGCUGAUUUUUGGUACAUUUUUCCAAUGGCUGAUUUUUGGUACAUUUUUCCCAUUUUAUUUCACUUAAAUGCCAAAUGACCAAAAUGCCCUUAAGCCCUUUCUUUGAAAUUUCAUCCAUGCAAGCCCAUUUUUGACCAAAAAUUUAAAAAUUGGGAAAAUUGCUCCCCAAGACCUUUUAUUUUAUAAUCUUAAGCAAUUUCGUGCAAAUUUCUUCUAGAAUCCAAGUUUUGCAAUUUAUUCAAUUUAGUCCCUAAUUUUCCAAUUGGGCACUUACUCAAAGAAUUCCUUCAUAAAACCUUAACACAUGCAUAUGCUCAUAUUCUAAGUCUCGUAAUAAUCAUAAAAUAAAUUUCUUGAUGUCAGAUUUGUGAACCCGAAACCACUAUUCUGACUAAGCCCUAUUUUUGGAUGUUACAUUUCUCCCCCUUUAGGGACUUUCGUCCUCGAAAGUCUUACCAGUGAAUAGAUUCGGAUAUUGGCUUCUCAUGGUUUCUUCUGAUUCCCAUGUAGCCUCUUCUGCACCAUGUCGAUGCCAUUAAACUUUUACUAAGGCCACAUCUUUUUUCCUCAGUUGUUUAACCUCACAAAUCAAUAUCUUAAUUGGUUCCUCUCCAUAGGUCAUGUUCGGUCAAAUUUCAAUCUCAGUCAGCGAAAUUACGUGAGAAGGGUUUGAUCGAUAUCACCUUAACAUAUAUACAUGGAACACAUUGUGAAUCCUUUCCAGUUCAGGUGGCAAUGCCAAGCGAUAGGCUAACGGUCUAACUUUUUCAAUGAUCUUGUACGGUCCGAUAAAUCGUAGACUCAGUUUGCCUUUCCAGCCAAAUCUCAACACCUUUUUCCAUGGAGAUACUUCAAGAAUACUCUAUCUCCAACUUGAAACUCAAUUUCCUUUCUUUUCAGAUCAGCAUAUGACUUUUGCCUAUCCGAUGCCGCUUUCAAACAGUCUCGUAUCACAUUAACUUUCUCUUCAGUUUCUUUAAUCAAAUCAACUCCAUGAAUUUGAUUUUCCUUAAGUUCUGUCCAAUACAAUGGAGUUCAACACUUCUUACCAUACAAGGCCUUAUAAGGUGCCAUCUUCAAACUCGUCUGAAAACUAUUAUUGUAGGCGAAUUCUACUAGCGGCAAAUAUUUUUCCCAGCUAUCCUGAAAUUCAAGGAUGCAACAUCGUAACAUAUCCUUAAGAAUCUGAAUCAUCCGUUCAGACUGACCAUCUUUCUAAGGAUGAAAAGUUGUACUAAAGCUUAACUUCGUACCUAAGGCUUCUUGUAAUUUCUUCCAGAAUCUCUUAGUGAACCUCGGGUCUCUGUCAAAAAUAAUCGACAUUGGUACCCCAUGCAAUCUUACAAUCUCAGAAAUGUACAAGUCGGCCAAUCUAUCGAGGGAGUAAUCUAUCUUUACCGGAAUGAAAUGAGCUGACUUCGUCAACUUAUCCACGACAACCCAUACAACAUCUUUCUUCUUCAGAGUCAAUGGCAAUCCUGUCACGAAAUCUAUAGUAACUCUAUCCCAUUUCCAUUUGGGGACCAUCAUAGGCUGUAGCAAUCCUGAAGGCACUUGAUGUUCAGUUUUAACUUGCUGACAUACUAGGCAUUUCGACACAAAUUCAGAAAUAUCUCUUUUCAUGCCAUUCUAGCAUUACAUUUUCUUCAAAUCGUUGUACAUUUUGGUACUUCCCAGGUGAAUUAACAAACGGUUGUUAUGUGCUUCUUGCAAAAUUUUCCAAAUAAGUUCAUUGUUUUUGGGUACACAAACCCUAUCUCUGAACAUCAAACAUCCAUCAGAACCAAUCCGAAAAUCUGAUCUAAUGCCUGACUCACAUUGAGUUCUUUUAGCUUGCAAAUCAUCAUCAUUAGUUUGAGCAUCAUAGAUUUCCUGAAAGAAUGUCAGCCUAGCCUCUAGCUCAGCCAAGAUUGAACCAUCAUCAAGCAAUGCCAAACGAACAUCCAUGGCACAUAAUGCAAACAAGGAUUUUCUAUUCAACGCGUCAGCGACCACAUUUGCCUUUCUUAGUUGAUUAUCAAUAAUCAAUUCGUAAUCCUUGAUUAACUCUAGCCACCUCGGCUGCCUCAAAUUUAAUUCUUUUUGAAUCAUCAAAUACUUCAAACUUUUGUGGUCAGUGAAUAUGCGGCAAGUCUCACCAUAUAAAUAAUGCCUCCAAAUUUUCAAAGCAAAAACGAUGGCAGCAAGUUCUAAGCCGUGUGUAGGAUAGUUCUUCUCAUGCAGCUUCAACUAUUGUGAAGCAUAGGCUAUUACCUUGCAAUCUUACAUAAGUACACAAACCAGUCCAUUUGAGGACACGUCACUGUAGACUACAAAUUCUUUUCCCGACUUAGGCAAUACUAAAACAGGAGCUUCAGUUAACAGUGUCUUUAACUUCUCAAAACUUUGUUGGCACUUUUCCAUCCAUUCAAACUUAACGUUUUUCUGUAACAAUCUCGUCAUUGGAGUUGCUAUCAUGGAGAAUCCUUUCAAAAAUCUUCGAUAGUAACCGGCUAAGCCCAAAAAGCUUCUAACCUCGAUUACAUUCUUAGGUGGUUUCCAUUCGACGAUAGCAGAAAUCUUACUUGGAUCCACUUGGAUGCCUUCACCCGAAACAAUAUGACCCAAAAAUCCAACUUCCUGAAGCCAAAGCUCACUCUUGCUAAACUUGGCAUACAAUUGCUUUUCCCGCAAAAUCUGCAACACAAUUCUCAAGUGCUUUGCAUGUUCUGACUCAUCUUUGGAAUAAAUCAAGAUGUCGUCAAUGAACACAAUGAUAAACUUAUCCAAAUAUGGCCGAAAGAUCCUAUUCAUUAGCUCCAUGAAUAUGGUUGGUGCAUUCGUUAACCCAAACGGCAUGACGAGAAAUUCAUAAUGACCGUACCUUGUUUUGAAAGCUAUCUUAGGUACAUCCGAUUCUUUAACUCGCAGUUGAUAAUAGCAAGACCUCAAGUCUAUCUUAGCAAACACAGUAGCUCCUCUCAAUUGAUCGAAUAAGUCAUCGAUCCUUGGUAAAGGAUACUUAUUCUUGAUAGUUACCUUGUUAGUUGGCGGUAACCUAUGCAUAACCUCAUCGAACCAUCUUUCUUCCUUACAAAUAAAACGGGAGCACCCCAAGGUGAAAAGCUCAGCCUUACAAAACCUGUAUCCGUCAGCUCUUGCAAUUGUGGUUUCAACUCUCUCAAUUCAGUUGGUGCCAUCCUAUACGGAGCAAUUGAAAUAGGAGCUAUCCCUGGCACCAACUCAAUACCAAAUUCUAUUUCCCUUUCAGGAGGUAAUCUGGGUAAUUCUUCUUGAAAUACAUCUGGGUACUCACAUACUAUACGCACAGACUCAAUCUUAAACUCUAUUUCCCUAGUGUUCAAUACAAAUGCAAGAUAGGCUUCAUACCCUUUUCUCAUAUAUCUUUGAGCAAUCAUUGCCGUGAUCACAACCGGAGGUGUACCUAACUCUCUUGAAUCAACCCGUAGAAUCUCACCAUCUGGGCAUUUCAAUUUAAUAUACUUACUACCACAAUUUACAAUUACAUCAUGCAGUGCUAACCAAUUCAUACCAAGUAUUACAUCAAAUUCAUCAAAUGGUAACAACAUAAGAUUAGCCGGAAAACAAUGACCCUGAAUCGUCAAAGGACAAUUCUUACAGACUUUAUCAACCAUGACUGAUCUACCUAGUGGAUUCAACACUUUAAUAAUAAAUUCUGUAGGCUCAAUGAGUAUGUUCAUUCUAGAUACCAAGCUUAUGCAAAUGUAUGAAUGCGUCGACCCCGGGUCAAUUAAAGUAAUAACACUUAUAUUAAAAAGGGAAAAAGUACCCGUAAUAACAUCAAGAGCAGAGGCUUCCUCUCGGGCGCGUAUCGUAUACGUUCUUGCCAGGGCUCGAGCCUCUAGUUUUGCAGUGUCUUUAGCCACAACUCAACUGCCACUGGCACUUUCAGGAUAUCUCAGAGGUCUACCUCGUGAAACGGGAGUAUUCGACUUCGGGCUACUUCUACUUCUUUCUCGUCUCGCUCUGGGCAGUCCCUGAGAAAGUGGUCAAGAGAUCCACAUCUGAAACAUGCACGGCUCUUCACUCGACAUUCUCCAUAGUGAAAUAUGUUGCAACUCUUACACUUCAGCUUUUGAUCAUAUACACUCCCUUUACUAGUUACCAUUAGGGAGGAAGACUUUUGGCUUUGUCGUUUAGAGCUUCUCGCUCUACCCGAAUAUCCUACAGAUGAAGUAGAGCGUUCAUGCUGGCUCAUUGAUUUCUUUGUGGGAAACGAGAGUGUUUUACCACUAGACCUCUUGCUCGCGACUCGGGCCUCUCUCUUUGCUUGCUUUCUUUCGUUGUUAAGUUCCUCGGCCUUCUUGGCCCGAUUAGCUAAUGCGACAAAUUCGCGUAUUUCUAAGAUUCCAAUCAACAACUUUAAUUUCCUCAUUCAGACCUUCAUGAAGCAUUUACACAUUUCUAACUCGAUUUGGGCCCAUUCAGUUGCGUACUGAAUUAGCCUCACAAACUCUCGUUCGUAUUUUGCUACAGUCUUGUUCCCUUGUUUGAGUUCCAGGAACUCCUUUCGCUUCGAGUCUAGAAACCGUUGGCUAAUGUAUUUCUUCCUAAAAUCUGCUUGGAAGAAAUCCCAAGUGAUAUUUUUCUUUGGCACUACUGAGGAUACAGUAUUCCACAAAUGAUACGCAGUAUCCUUCAGGAGGGAUACAGCACACUUUAAACACUCCUCAGGUGUGCACAACAAAUCAUCUAACACCUGUGUAGUGUUCUCAAGCCAAAACUCGGCUCUUUCAGUACCAUCAUCAACUUUAGCUCUGAAUUCCUCAACACCAUACUUUCUAAGCUUAUCAACAAGGGCUUUAGCAAUUCUUACUGGUGCCAUACCUCGUGGUACAUCCUCAUCAUGUCGGUUAGAGGAUGGGGGAGGUCUUGGUAUGUUGGGGCGAUUCCUUAGGUAAUCCCCAAACCAUUCAUCCAUCAUAUCAAAUAAGGCGGUUUGAGCCUCUUUUCGGCCUUCAGACAUAAGCCUUCUACUACUACGAGAUAUAGCUCAUUGCACGGUAGCUGGAGCAUGGCUCUCGGCUCCCUCGGACUCAUCUUGUGUUUGAUUGGAAGACAUUUACUAUAUUCAAAACAAUUUGAAUAGUUAGGUGACGUCACACUAUCAAUAUUUGAAUAAUGGCAUGUAUAGAAAACCUCAAUACUCUCUACGGUAGUCCUACAAUUGACUAAACUGUAGCUCUGAUACCAUUAAAUAUAACACCUCUCACCCGUAUCCGACGCCAGGAUAGGGCUCGAGGCAUUACAAGGAUUUCACGUUCAUAAAUAUAUUAAAUCAAUUCACUAAGUUACGCUCUAAUUUAAAACUUUUAAAAUAUAUAUAUCCUUUCCCUUAAAGAGGCCUUCGAGACCUAAAAAAUGUCUAGAGGCUACGCGGGAAAAAACCAAGAACGUUUGAUAAACUUUGGGUGCCUUGGAAAAUUUCUUUUAACUUAAAGUGUCACACGCCCGUGUGACUUGGGACACGCCCGUGCAAUCACCCCGUGUCCAAGACUUGAGUAUUCUGUUAAAUUCACACAGCCAAGACACACGCUCGUUUAUUUAGCCCAUGUUCAUUUAACAGACUUACCAUUUUAGAUGCAGGGGACACACGACCAUGCCACACACCUACGGGUGUGGCCCGUGUGUCAUACACAGCCUAGGCACACGCCUGUGUACCCAACUGUGUAGACCCUAUUAAGAUAUUUUCCAAGCCUAUGGUCACCACCUUUUAACACUUAUACUUAAUGAAUAUUAUAAACAAAGUAAAACAUAAUUAUGCUAUCAUAAAUGAUCUUUCCAAAAACUCAUAGCAUGGAAACCUCAUAUCAUUGGUUUCGUACAUGCUAGGUUAUUUCCCAUCUUAUAUUUAUGUGUUGUCAUACCACUUUAAUACAUUCAAGAUUGGCUCAUUCUUAUGACUCAUUAUCAAUUGGAAUCCAACCAUCGCACAUAAUUACAAACUUCCAUAGAAAUUUUGUAGGUCAUAGCCUACUUCAAAACAAGCCGAUCUCUAUGGCCAUAAACAAAAAGAUAGAUUUAUCUUUACAAGCCUUCAUUUGGCAAAAUCAAAUGACACAUAUAACAAAAUACUCAAAAGACCUAUACAUGCCAUUGAACAAUUUAUAAAUUUUUUUAUACCAAAGUUGAUUUAUUUGAUAUUAUGCUGACUUUCCAACCGUCCUCCAAUCUUUACGAGUUUUUGAGCUCUGUGAAAGAUAGGGAAAAGAAAGGGGUAAGCAUUUUCUUGCUUAGUAAGCUCGAAUAACCGGAAAGUAAACUUACCAAGUAAUUAGCAUGAAAUCAAAUUGGGUAAUAAAUUCAACGAGCAUAGGAUGGCUUCCCUAUCACUUACACUCUAUCAAUAAGUUAGCCACAUAACAAUGCACUAUAAAAGUUAUCUUAGAUGAGCUCAUCAUUCAACAUCUCAUAUAUAUAUCACAUUAAUCGUGGUGAGUUUCUAGGACAUCUCGAUGGAAUACCCAUUUACCGUCAAUUCGUACAAUGAUCGUUUCAGAUAUGCUCUCCCAUGAACCUUACAUCUUAUGGCGGGAUUACCAGUCCAGGCUAAAUCCCCCAUUUUAGAAACUCAUAAGGUGAUGUCGGGCUUACCAGUCCAGACUAAAUCCCUUAUAAUGACAAAAACCUUUAUUGGGCUCUGAUCUGAAUUACCAGUCCAGGCUAAAUUCAGAUCCUAAUCAGAUUACCCGUCUGGGCUAAAUCCAUAAUGCACACAUAUUCUUUGGGAGGCUCGACCAUUCCAAGGAACACCCGUCCGGGUUAGAUCCUUUCAUAAAUGAGAUCAAUAGAUUACCCGUCUGGGCUAAAUCCUUACUAAAACACAUGCAGGACCUCAUUACACAUGUCAAUCAUGGUUUAUCCAUCGAAUUCCCUUUUUAACCUCAACUGAGACAUUUAUCACAAUUUAUACUUGAACAUGCAUUUCAUAGAAUUUCAUGUUAUUAAUAAAUGCAAUCAUCAUGCAUUCAUAAAUCAUAUAAUUAGGCACAUUUAUUGUUUACUUUAAGUUAUCCGAACUUACCUGGUAUUCGUUUCAGUGUCGUAUUUUGGUUAUUUCGAAACCUUUCGUUUUCCUCGAUCAACCUUCAGAAUUUGUUCCUCGGGGUCUAUAACAAUAAAAAUAGAUCAUUAACACUCCACAUUAUACAUUUCAAGUCUAAAUUCCACCCUCGGUCCAAAUGACUAUUUUUCCCCUAACCUUUUACAUUUUUACGAUUUAGUCCCUAGGCUCGUACAAUGAAACGCAUACAAUUUCUACCUUACUCAAACCUAGCCGAACACUUUUCCCUCUUAUGGUAGCCACAUUUUCCAUUAUUUUCACAUUUCUACCACACAUUUUAUAACUUUUGCAAAAAGGUCCCUUUAGGGGUUUUUCAUGAAAAUCACCUAGGAAAAGUUGUUUAACACACUUCAAACUUUCAUAUUCCUCCAUAAAACAUCAAAAUAAAAGUAACUCAUGCACGGGUAAAUUUUAAUCAUGAACCCUAGCAUGAAAUAUGGGUAGAAAUAAAGAGAGCAAGCUACUGGGAUUUCAAAAUUACAAAAAACAUUAAAAACGAGGCUUGGGAGCACUUACUAUUGAGCUUGGAAAGCUUGAAACCUUACCUAUGGAAACCCUAGAAAUUUUGGUAGCAUGGAGAAGAAGAAUGGAUGAUUUUUGGUUCAUUUUUCCCAUUUUCUUUGACUUAAAUGCCAAAUGACCAAAAUGCCCUUAAGCCCUUUCUUUGAAAUUUCAUCCAUGCAAGCCCAUUUUUGUCCAAAAAUUUAGAAAUUGGGCAAAUUUCUCCCCAAGACCAUCUAUUUUGUAAUCCUAAGCAAUUUCGUGCAAAUUGCUUCUAGAAUCCAAGUUUUGCAAUUUAUUCAAUUUAGUCCCUAAUUUUCCAAUUGGGCACUUACUCAAAGAAUUCCUUCAUGAAACUUUAACACAUGCAUAGUCUCAUAUUUUAAGUCUCGUAAUAAUCAUAAAAUAAAUAUUUUGAUGUCGAAUUUGUGGUCCUGAAACCACUCUUCCGAUUAAGCCCUAUUUUGGGAUGUUACACUAUGUGUAUGAUGCCUUAUUAAUUCGUAUUAAUAUAUUAAAAGAGUGUUUAUUAUCAACUAUUGAUUAUUUAUGGUACGAACUUACUAAGAUUUAAAGCUUACUGUGUGGAAUAUUCUCUGUUUUACAGUGUUAUAAAGCUAGCUCGAAUUUGGAGACCGUCAGUGACAUCAACCACACUAUCAAACAUCUAUUUUGGUACCAUUUUGAGAGUUGUAUAUAUGGUAUAUGGCAUGUUUAGGCUAGUGUCAUUUUGGUAUGUUUUCUGUGGUGAUUAGCCGUGAGACUUGGCUUGUAAAUAUUGGUAUGUAUGGCUUCGUAAGUUGGCCUAAUUGGUAUGUUCGAUAAGUAAGAAAUGAGAUGUUUAUAAUGUUCAUGUGAUGGUUUAAAUAUGGGAUGUUGAAUUGGAAAGUUUUAUGGUAUGCAAUAGGUGAUAAGAUGAUGAGAUUAUACUUUUGAAACUUUUGUGAGUUUUAAUGAUUUUGGUAUAUUUAGGUUGUGGAAUUGAGUAGUGAAUUGGAUGGUAUUUGUAUGUUAUGCAAUAUGUAUGAAAUGGUUGAUUUGGUUGCCUAUAAUGAUGCAAAAAUGUUGUGGUUUUGGUGUGGUUGAGAUAGAUAGGAAAUGUGGCUUAAACCAACCCUAAUUUCACCCCACACAAUUGAGCACACGAGCGUGUUUCUCGACCGUGUGUCUGUUGUGAUUAAUUAUUCAAGUCAGUCUCAAGCACGGCCUGGACACAUGGGCGUGUCUGGUGGCUGUGUGAGGCACAUAGCAUUGAUACAUGGGCACGUGUGGCCAUUUCAAAAGGUACACAGGCUACACACGGGCGUGUGGUCAGCCGUGUGACCCAAGUCAAUUUCGACCACGGCCAAGGCACAUGAGUGUGUCUUGUAGCCAUGUGGUUAAGUUAGUAUGUAUGCCCUAUUUUGCCAUGAUUUAGACAUACGGACGUGUCUAAAGCCAUGUGAGACAGAUGGUCUGUUCACACGGACGUGUAACCUGUAUAACUUUGAAAAUUUUGUUUAAGUUUCUGAAAAAAUUGUAUGUGCUCGGUUUAGUCCCGACCCCUUUCUAAAGCAUGUUUAAGGUCUCAUAGACUAUGUAAGGGACUUUGUAAUGAUGUGUGACAAUAAUGCUAUGGUGAUUUAGAAAUGAAUUCAAGAUGUUUAGAUUUGUCUCGUAACGUCUUUAACUCUAGUUCGACAACGAAUAGGGGUUAAGGGUGUUACAUCAAUAAAUAGUGUGAGUUGAAGGUUUGAUCCGUCCAAAAGUCGACAACAACGAUCUACAAAAUAAUCCACAAAAACGAAUAAGCUUAUAGAGCUUAGUAAGAACAUAGUAUGUCAUUUAACUUAACAAAAAUUGAAUAAAAUUCAUAUUUUACUUGAUUCAAAGUUACUAGAGUGUAAAUCGGGUCACGUAUGUGCAAUUCGGGGGUAGCAAAGUACAAAUGGGGGCACGCAUGUGCAAUUUAGGGGUACCGAAGUACAAACAGGGGCAUAUAUGUGUAAUUUAGGGGUACUAAAGUACAAACAGGGGCACAUAUGUGUAAUUCAGGGAAUAAUUAACUAUAAGCAUUUAAUUACAUAACUAUAAUGUGAAAAUACAAGUAAAAAUUCAAUUACAUAUGGAAAUACUAUGAACUUACCCUGACAACUAGAGUGUAGAAAUACGAUUGAGCUGAUCCAUGAUUUUCACCUUUCCUCGAUUUAGAUCCAGUUAAGAUUUAUCUUGAUCUAAAUAAAUAAUUAUAUUCAAUUAAGUAUUUCAAUCAAUCUCAACAUUCAAUUGAAUCCAUAAUUCAUAUUUAUGCAUAAAUACAAUUUUUCCACAAACAUUUUAACUUUUCACAAUUUAGUCAUAAAGCUCAUAAUUUAAAAUAUAAGCAUUUUAAUCCCUAUUUCAUGCUAGUUGUAUCAUCUCAAUUUUGGGCCUAGUCGGAACAGUGGUUUCAGAACCACAAAUCCAAGGCCAGAGAAAUUAUUUUUGAUAUUAUUUUAUAUGCUAUAGCAUGAUUUUAUAGAUAUUUGAAAAGUUUGGUGAAUUAAUUUUAGCAGUUGCAUGCUUAAUUUCGAAAAAGGGAUUAAAUCACAUAAAGAGUGACAAUUAUGUUCUACUAGUUAAAAGUGUUAUGUAGCUAAAGAAAUUAGACGUGGAGGUCCUUAUUGAGUAAAUAGACCACUAAUAAUGAGUGGUGGAUGUACAUGGAGACAAAAAAAUCAAAAUGGUCAAAGUUGGUGGCUUUAGGUGACUUAAUAGAUAGAAUAAUAGUAAAAUAAAAAGAAAAGCUAUCAUCUUUUUACUUCUCUUUCUUCUCCACUGGUUCUUACCCAAGGAAAUGACCAUGGAAGCUUGAAAAAUUUAGCAAUUUCUAACCCUCACAAGUAAGUGAUUUUGAUGGUCAUUUUUGAUGAUUUUUGUAUUUUUGGAACCCUUGUAGCUUAAUCUGGCUAAUGAGGGGACUAUUUUGCAAAAUGGUUGAAAGUCUAGAGUUUUUCCAUGAGAAUAUUCAUGCUGUUUGCUGCAUUUUUAUGCAAGAAAAUGAAUAUUGGUUGUUAAAUAAACAACUUUUGUUAAAUGAUUUUCAUGAAAACACCUAAAAUGGAUCAUUUCGUAAAAGUUGUAAAAUAGGUGGUAACUGUGUAAAAUAAUGGAAAAUGUGGGCUUCCCUAAGCAUGAAAAAGGUUCAGCUAUGCAUAGGUAGUAAAGAAAUUGAACACAUUUCAAUUUUACGAGCCUAGGGGAAAAAGUGUAAAUAUGACAAAGUAUAGGUGUAAAAAUGUAAUUUUACCAAAAAUGUGAAAUUAGGCUAAUUUGAGUUGCAUAAUGAAUAAAUAAAUUAAAUGUGUUGUUAUAGAUCAAGGAAGAUGAAAUUCGAAAUUUAGAUCGGGGGAAAAGAAAGAUAAUCAAGUAAUUGACUUAUUUCAUUGUUUCAUACUGAGGUAAGUUCAUAUGAUAAUAAGCAUUAAAUUUGAUAUGUUUAAAUGCUUAAUCGAUAUCAUGUAUUAUUUCGUAUGUUAUUAUUGGAUCAUGAGCAAUAUAAAAAUAAGAGAUCAUAUUGAAAGAUAAAAUUAUGAGAAAUACAAGGUUAAGCAUGAUCGAAUUACGACAUGUUAUGAAUUGACGGUAAAGACCAUGGUUGGACCAUGAUGUGUAACCGCAUAAAACCACAUCUGGGACAUGGCGUCGGCAUUGUUAUGUGAGCAAGUGUAAGACCAUGUAUGGGACAUGGCAUCGGCAUCGUUAUGUAAGCCAGUGUAAGACCAUGUCUGGGACAUGGCAUCAUGAGGCAUCGUGUAAGACCAUAGCAGGGCUAUUGGCAUCGAUAUGAGAUUUUCAUGUAAGACCAUGUCUAGAACAUGGCAUCGGUACGAUACAUCAUGUAUGAGUUUUCCCGAGUAUCCUUGGUAUCCCAAGAGGUUCAACGAGUAAAUCCAAUGAUUUUUUCAAAGAAAUGGUAAGGUAUGAUCAUGUUGAAAGGGUAUAGGUAUGUACGCAAAAUUCAUGAGUAAUGAAUUUGAUGUAUAUGGAACAUUUGGUAAGAAUGUAAAUGACUAAGUCUUACAUAUGAAAAUGAUCAAUGACCUUGUGAUUAUAAGUCUAUAUUUAUGAUGUAUAAAUAGGUGGUAAAUUUGAUUGAUGAUCAUGUGUGAGGCUUUUAGGCCAAAUUAAAUUGAGACAUGAUAAGUUUAAGUUUUGUUGUUGAUGUACAGGUUAAAUUAGCCAAUGAAUGGCACGUAAAUAUUUGAUAAUGGCUAGUUAAGGACAUGCUUUGGUGUUAUGUAUGAUUAAAUGGAUGUUAAUACAAGGAAAUCAUGAAAGAGUAAAGUUAGCAGUAAAAUAGUUCUGGACAAGAGCAAUUAUAUAAACUUGAAAAAUCACAAAAAGUUGUGCAAAUUGAAUUAAAGGUUGAAUAAGAUAUGAAAUUAAAUCUUAUUAAGUCUAGUUUCAUACGAAAGAAACAGGGCAAGCAAAAAAAUUUCAAAUUAUGAGAUGUUUGAAUUUUUGUGGGAUAGGACCAGGAUGAAUUCGGAAUCCCCUAUUCUGAAUUUGGAAAAUCAUUCAAAAUAGUAUAAAAAUAAUUACGAGCUAUGAUUUAUAUUUUUAAAUUAUUAAUGAAUUUAUUUUCAUGAGAAUCAAACCAGAACAUCAUCUAAUUCUCGUAUGAGGAGAUAAUUAAUUUUUAGUGAAGAAGGGUCGAAACUAUCAGACAGCAGAAUAGGGAUGAUUUUAAAAAAUAAACUAUACUUAUUAGCUAAACCAAAAAUUCUAAAAAUUUUAUUGUAAGGAGAUAUUUGAGUUUAGUUUCAGGGAAAAUUAGAGGAACUUAAUUUGGAGUUUCGUAGCUCAAGAUAUAAAUAAUUUAGUGACUAUAACUUGCGUAGACAACUUGGUAUGAACAUAAGUGAAUAGUGGAACUUUGUGCAAUUAUGAUUGCAUUAUCUUGAGAACAUAUUAUGAGGAUUGUAUUAAACGAGAAAUGCAGGGUUAAGCAUGUUCGAAUUACGACAUGUUAUGAAUUGACGGUAAAGACCAUGGUUGGAUCAUGGCAAUAUGUGUAACUGCGUAAGACCAUGUCUGGGACAUGGCAUCGGCAUUGUUAUGUGAGCCAGUGUAAGACCAUGUUUGGGACAUGGCAUCGGAAUCUUUAUGUGAGCCAGUGUAAGACCAUUUCUAGGACAUGGCAUCGGCAUGGGGCAUCGUGUAAGACCAUAGCUGGGCUAUUGGCAUCGAUAUGAGAUUUUUAUGUAAGACCAUGUCUGGAACAUGGCAUUGGUACGAUACAUCAUGUACGAGUUUUCUCGAGUAUCCUUGGUAUCCUAAGAGGUUUAAUGGGUAAAUCCAAAGAUUUUGCCAAAGAAAUGAUAAGGUAUGAUCAUGUUGAAAGGGUACAGGUAUGUACGCAAAAUUCGUGAGUAAUGAAUUCGAUGUAUUUGGGACAUUUGGUAAGAAUGUAAAUGAGUAAGUCUUACCUAUGAAAAUGAUCAAUGACCUUAUGAUUAUAGGUCUAUACUUAAGAUGUAUAAAUAGGUGGUAAAUUUGAUUGAUAAUCAUAUGUGAGGCUUUUAGGCCAAAUUAAAUUGAGACAUGAUAAGUUUAAGUUUUGUUGUUGAUGUAUAGGUUAAAUUGGCCAAUGAAUGGCAUGUAAAUAUUUAAUAAUGACUAGUUAUUGGAAUGGCUAGUUAAGGAUAUGCUUUGGUGUUAUGUAUGAUUAAAUGGAUGUUAAUUCAAAGAAAUCAUGAAAGAGUAAAGUUAGUAGUAAAACAGUUCUGGAUAGGAGCAAUUGUAUAAACUUGAAAAAUCACCAAAAAUUUUGGAAAUUGAAUUAGAAGUUUAAUAAUAUAUGAAAUUAAAUCUUAUUGAGUUUAGUUUCACACAGUAAAAACAAUGCAAGCAAAAGAAUUUCAUAUUAUGAGAUGUUUGAAUUUUUGUGGGUCAAGGUCAGGAUGAAUUCGGAAUCCCCUGUUCUGACUUUGAAAAAUCAUUAAAAAUAUUAAAAAAAUAAUUACAAGCUAUGAUUUAUAUUUUUUAAAUUAUAUUUUUUAAAUUCUUAGUGAAUAUAUUUUGAAGGGAAUCAAACCAGAACAUCAUUUGAGUCACGUACGAGGAGAUAAUAAAUUUUUAGUGAAGAAGGGUUGAAACUGUCAGAUAGCAGAACAAGGACGACUUUAAAAAAUAAACUGUACUUAUUGGCUAAACCAAAAAUUUUGAAAAUUUUAUUGUAAGGAGAUAUUUGAGUUUAGUUCCAGGGAAAAUUAGCAAAACUAAAUUUGGAGUUCUGUAGCUCAAGAUAUAAAUAAUUUAGUGACUAUAACUUGCAUAGACAACUUGGUAUGAACAUAAGUGAAUAGUAAAAAAAUUAGUAAAAAUCAUUAAAAAUAGUCAAAAAUAAUUACAGCUAUGAUUUAUAUUUUUUAAAUUCUUGGUGAAUAUAUUUUAAAGAGAAUCAAACCAGAACAUCAUCUGAGUCUCGUACGAGGAGAUAAUAAUUUUUUAGUGAAGAAGGGUUGAAACUGUCAGAUAGCAGAACAGGGACGAUUUUAAAAAAAUAGAUUGUACUUAUUGGCUAAACCAAAAGUUUUGAAAAUUUUAUUGUAAGGAGAUAUUUGAGUUUAGUUUCAGGAAAAAUUAGCAAAAAUUAUUUUGGAGUUCCGUAGCUCAAGAUAUAAAUAAUUUAGUGACUAUAACGAGUUUUCUUGAGUAUCCUUGGUAUCCCAAAAGGUUCAACGGGUAAAUCCAAAGAUUUUGUCAAAGAAAUGAUAAGGUAUGAUCAUGUUGAAAGGGUACAGGUAUGUACGCAAAAUUCAUGAGUAAUGAACUCGAUGUAUAUGAGACAUUUGGUAAGAAUGUAAAUGAGUAAGUCUUACCUAUGAAAAUGAUCGAUGACCUUAUGAUUAUAAGUCUAUACUUAUGAUGUAUAAAUAGGUGGUAAAUUUGAUUGAUGAUCGUGUGUGAGGCUUUUAGGCCAAAUUAAAUUGAGAUAUGAUAAGUUUAAGUUUUGUUGUUGAUGUGUAGGUUAUGUGACAGCCCUAAUUUGACCCUAGUCGGAAGUGGUUUCGGGACCACAAAACCGAGUCAUAAAAAUAAUUAGAUGUUAUAUUCGGUGCUUAUUAUAUGUGAAAGUUCAUGUGUGAAAAUUUCAUGCUUUGAUCUUGUCAAUUGUAUAUGAAAUUAUUAAAUAAGACUUAUGUGAAAAUUUUUGAAAAUGCUAUAGGCUAAAUUGUAGUGGCCAAAUAACUUAUAGUAUGAAAUAGGUGGAUUUGCAUGUCAAAAUUCCCAUCUUAAGGUGUAGUGGCCGGCCAUCAUGAUGAGAAUAAAUGGAUCAUGCAUUUUAAAUUAGCACUAUGAGAUUUAAUGGCUUUAUUAUCAUAAAAUAAAGGGAAAUAAAAUAACAAAAUGAUGAAAAGGACAAAGCUUGUCCAUCCUUGUUCAUCAUAGCCGAACUUAAGAAAACAAAUAGGGGAAGGGAAUCUCUUGAAUGUUCGGUCACUUGGGGAAGAUAAAUUCAAGGAAAGUUCUUGGUAAUUUGGUUAAAAAUUCAUGUUUUUGAGUUCCUCUCUUGGUUCUACUUUAAACCCAUGAAUUAAUUUUUUAAGUGUUGGUUAGUUGUGCAUUCGGUCAUGAUAGGAAAUUGUAAAAAAUUGUGUUUGAUGAUAGAAAUUGAUGAAUGAAAGUUUGAUGGACUAUAAUGUUAAAAUUUUGAUUCUUUGGGGAUGAUUUGAAUUUUUGGUCAUGGUAAUCAAUGAAGGGGAUAGAUGAUUGUCUUCAAGUUGUAAUGAAUAAUUACAAAUGAGUGAUGUUUGAGAUAGUUUAAUGUUCAUGUAAGUAGUUUAGAUGAUUUGAAAAGAAUAGGGUAGAUGUUUGAAUGUCUAAAGGUUCGGUAUUGUACAUGAAUUCUAAUGGUAUGAUUUUGUAAAUGCUGAAUGAGUUAUAGGAGUUCGAAAAUGGCUUAAUUUUCAUAUUUAAAUUCGGUUAUAUCCGAUCAUGGUUGGAGUUAUUUUGAUAUGCAUAGUAUAAAGUAUAUAUGAUUUGUGUUUUGGAUGAUUAACUAUAUUUGGUUAAUGAUAUGAAUAAAUUAUAAAUAGCUUUAAGUAAGCUUGAUAUAUGGACAAGGGAUAUAUUUGGAUCGAGAUUAUGCUUAAGUGAAAUUAUAGAUAUGUGAUGAAAUUGAUUUGUGAUAUACAUGUUUAAAUAAUAUGAAUGCAAAGAGUUGUGAAAUAGUAAAUUGUAGUAAAUCUGCUUGGGAUAGCAGCUAUAAUGUGAUUUUGGAAAAUCACCAUAAAUUGUGAGAGUGGAGUUAGAAGCUAAAUAAAGUAUGUAAUUAAAGAUUAAUGAGUCUAGUUUCAAAUGAAAUCAACGAGAACAUAUUUUGACUUCUGUACAAUUAGAAAUUUGAUUCGUAGUAAAGGGUGGUCAGAUUAGUCAAACAGUGAAACAGGGGAAACUUUAAGAAAAAUCUGGUAUUGAUUGGCCAAACUAAAAAUUCUGAAAAUUUUAUGGAUAAAAGAUAUAUGAGUAUAUUUUCAGGGAAAUUUUACAGCAAUUGAUUUGGAGUUUCGUAUCUCCAGUUAUAAAUAAUUUAGUGAUUGUUGCUCAGGAAGACAACUUAUUGUGAAUUUGUGAUUUUGUGGUAAACAUUGAUAAAAAAAUUUGUUAAUGAGUUGCUUAAUGUUUUCUUAUAAACUUAUUAUGAUCUAUAUGUGUGAAAGUCGAAUAAUGACUAGUUUAAAAUUUUUGAAUCUAAGCUCAAGAGCAAAGAGGAUCAAAGUUGGAUAGGGGAAAAGAGAAAGUAAUUGAGUAGCCUUUCCGCAACCAUUCAAGUAUAUCCGAGGUAAGUUUUGAGUAGUCACCUUUAGUAUAUAAUUGAUGAUGCUUUGAUAUGUAUAUAUAUUAGAUGAAUUGUGACCUUUUGGUUCUACUUGAAUUAAGUUGUGUGAUAAAUAAUUUAUGUAUAUGACUUAUAGUCGAAUGGUCACUAUGGGUUAAGCUUGAAUAAUGAAAUGGAUAUGUAAUAUUUAUGUAUGACUUUUGAACCGAAAUGUAAAUGAUGGUGUUCAUAUGGAGCUUAUAUCCGAAUGUAGCAAAUGACUACUAAUGUGAUAUGUUGAAUGAGAUGUGUUAAUAUAUGAUUAAAUAUGCAUGAUAUUUGAUGUGUAUCCGGGCUUAAAGACCCGCAGGCUAUAUGCUGGAAUUAUAUCCGGGUUAAAUCCCGCAGGUAUAGUGCUGGUAUUAUAUCCGAGCUUAAAGUCCCACAGGUUUUGUGUUGGUGACUGGAUUCAGGUUUUAAACCUAGCAGGAUUAACGCCGGUGAUUCGAGUAAGAUUAUGAAUUUGAAAGUUCGAGGUAAACUACUAUUGAUUAUGUAUGAUACAUUAUGAUAGUCAGGUACGUAUUAUGUACUCGUAUGCGAAUUGAUUUUUUAAAGUGAAUUAUUAUUAUCAAAAAACGAUAUAUGUGUGUGAAUGAUUACUAUAUCUACGAAUAAGAGCAUGACCUAUUCGGUCGAUGUCUGUCAUUAUAUGAAAGUAUGUGACUUAAAUUAAUUGUAUGAGCUAUAAAGUAAAGUAUGUGCUGAAAUUUCUUUGUGUAUUCAUAUAUUUAUAUACAUAUAUAUUCGGCCAAUAGGCUUUUUAAUUGGUGUACUUGUGUAUAUUCGGCCCAGUGAUUUGUAAUUAGAAUAUUAGUUUUGUGGUACUAAAUGAUCAUUUUAAAUGACAAGUUUAAAUUGUUUGUAUCGCUUAAAACUUACUAAGCUUUGAAAGCUUACUUUGUUCUUUAUUUCUCUGUUUUAUAGAUUGUUGAUUUUGGCCACCGACUCGGAGAUCGUCAGUAGUUCAUCACACUAUUGAUCAUUUUGGUACUAUUAUAUUUUGGAGUUGAUGUGGCAUGUAUAGGUUGGACUGUUGAGAACGAUAUUUUGUAAAUGUAAAUAUUUAGCCAUACGAAUAUUGCAUCUGAUCUUGAAUGUUUGUAUAGUUUUUAGCUUGAUUUUGGAUUGUGUUUAAUGACUAUAUGAAUGUGAUAAUUAAAUGUUUAGUUCGGUAAUACCUCUUAACCUUAAUUCGGCGAUUGGAUAUGGGUUAGGGGUGUUACAGGUUAAAUUGGCCGAUGAAUGGCAUGUAAAUAUUUGAUAAUGACUAGCUGUUGGAAUGGCUAGUUAAGGAUAUGCUUUGGUGUUAUGUAUGAUUAAAUGGAUGUUAAUUCAAAGAAAUCAUGAAAGAGUAAAGUUAGCAAUAAAAUAGUUCUGGACAGGAGCAAUUGUAUAAACUUGAAAAAUCACCAAAAAUUUUGGAAAUUGAAUUAGAGGUUUAAUAAGAUAUGGAAUUGCAUCUUAUUGAGUCUAGUUUCACACAGAAGAAACAAUGCAAGCAAAAGAAUUUUAUAUUAUGAGAUGUUUGAAUUUUCAUUGGACAGGGUCAGGAUGAAUUCGGAAUCCCUUGUUCUGACUUUGGAAAAUCAUUAAAAAUAGUAAAAAAAUAAUUACAAGCUAUGAUUUAUAUUUUUUAAAUUCUUAAUGAAUAUAUUUUGAAGAGAAUCAAACCAGAACAUCAUCCGAGUCUCGUACGAGGAGAUAAUAAAUUUUUAGUGAAGAAGGGUUGAAACUGUCAGACAGCAGAACAGGGACAAUUUUAAAAAAUAAACUGUACUUAUUAGCUAAACCAAAAAUUUUGAAAAUUUUAUUGUAAGGAGAUACUUGAGUUUAGUUUCAGGAAAAAUUAGCAAAAAUUAAUUUGGAGUUCCAUAGCUCAGGAUAUAAAUAAUUUAGUGACUAUAACGAGUUUUCCUGAGUAUCCUUGGUAUCCCAAAAGGUUCAACGGGUAAAUCCAAAGAUUUUGUCAGAGAAAUGAUAAGGUAUGAUCAUGUUGAAAGGGUACAGGUAUGUAUGCAAAAUUCAUAAGUAAUGAACUCGAUGUAUAUGAGACAUUUGGUAAGAAUGUAAAUGAGUAAGUCUUACCUAUGAAAAUGAUCGAUGACCUUAUGAUUAUAAGUCUAUACUUAUGAUGUAUAAAUAGGUGGUAAAUUUGAUUGAUGAUCGUGUGUGAGGCUUUUAGGCCAAAUUAAAUUGAGAUAUGAUAAGUUUAAGUUUUGUUGUUGAUGUAUAGGUUGAAUUGACCAAUGAAUGGCAUGUAAAUAUUUGAUAAUGACUAGCUAUUGGAAUGGCUAGUUAAGGAUAUGCUUUGGUGUUAUGUAUGAUUAAAUGGAUGUUAAUUCAAAGAAAUCAUGAAAGAGUAAAGUUAGCAGUAAAAUAGUUCUAGAUAGGAGCAAUUGUAUAAACUUGAAAAAUCACCAAAAUUUUGGAAAUUGAAUUAGAGGUUUAAUAAGAUAUGGAAUUACAUCUUAUUGAGUCUAGUUUCACACAGAAGAAACAAUGCAAGCAAAAUAGUUUCAUAUUAUGAGAUGUUUGAAUUUUUAUGGGUCAGGGUCAGGAUGAAUUCGGAAUCCCCUGUUUUGACUUUGGAAAAUCAUUAAAAAUAGUAAAAAAAUAAUUACAUGCUAUGAUUUAUAUUUUUUAAAUUCUUAAUGAAUAUAUUUUGAAGAGAAUCAAACCAGAACAUCAUCCGAGUCUCGUACGAGGAGAUAAUAAAUUUUUAGUGAAGAAGGGUUGAAACUGUCAGACAGCAGAACAGGGACGAUUUUAAAAAAUAAACUAUACUUAUUGGCUAAACCAAAAAUUUUGAAAAUUUUAUUGUAAGGAGAUAUUUGAGUUUAGUUUCAGGGAAAAUUAGCAAAACUUAAUUUGAAGUUCCGUAGCUCAAGAUAUAAAUAAUUUAGCGACUAUAACUUGCGUAGACAAUUUGGUAUGAACAUAAGUGAAUAGUGGAACUUUGUGCAAUUAUGAUUGCAUUAUCUUGAGAACAUAUUAUGAGGAUUAUAUUGAAAGAUCAAAUUAAGAGAAAUGCAGGGUUAAGCAUGUUCGAAUUACGACAUGUUAUGAAUUGAUGGUGAAGACCAUGGUUGGACCAUGGAAAUAUUUGUAACCGCGUAAGACCAUGUCUAGGACAUGGCAUCGGCAUUCUUAUGUGAGCCAGUGCAAGACCAUGUCUGGGACAUGGCAUUGGUACGAGGCAUCGUGUAAGACCAUAGCUGGGUUAUUGGCAUCGAUAUGCGAUUUUCAUGUAAGACCAUGUCUGGAGCAUGGCAUUGGUACGAUACAUCAUGUAGGAGUUUUCUCAAGCAUCCUUGGUAUCCCAAGAGGUUUAAUGGGUAAAUCCAAAGAUUUUUCCAAAGAAAUGAUAAGGUUUGAUCAUGUUGAAAGGGUACAGGUACGUACGCAAAAUUCGUGAGUAAUGAAUUCGAUGUAUUUGGGACAUUUGGCAAGAUUAUAAAUGAGUAAGUCUUACCUAUGAAAAUUAUUGAUAACCUUAUGAUUAUAGGUCUAUACUUAUGAUGUAUGAAUAGGUGGUAAAUUUGAUUGAUGAUCGCGUGUGAGGCUUUUAGGCCAAAUUAAAUUGAGAUAUGAUAAGUUUAAGUUUUGUUGUUGAUGUAUAGGUUAAAUUGGCCAAUGAAUGGCAUGUAUAUAUUUGAUAAUGACUAGCUAUUGGAAUGGCUAGUUAAGGAUAUGCUUUGGUGUUAUGUAUGAUUAAAUGGAUGCUAAUACAAAGAAAUCAUGAAAGAGUAAAGUUAGCAGUAAAAUAGUUCUAGACAAGAGCAAUUGUAUAAACUUGAAAAAUCACCAAAAAUUUUGGAAAUUGAAUUAGAGGUUUAAUAAGAUAUGAAAUUAAAUCUUAUUGAGUCUAGUUUUACACAGAAGAAACAAUGCAAGCAAAAGUAUUUCAUAUUAUGAGAUGUUUGAAUUUUUGUGGGUCAGGGCCAGGAUGAAUUCGAAAUCCCCUGUUCUGAAUUUGGAAAAUCAUUAAAAAUAGUAAAAAAAAUAAUUACAAGCUAUGAUUUAUAUUUUUUAAAUUCUUAAUGAAAAUAUUUUGAAGAGAAUCAAACCAGAACAUCAUCUGAGUCUCAUACGAGGAGAUAAUAAAUUUUUAGUGAAGAAGGGUUGAAACUGUCAGACAGCAGAACAGGGACGAUUUUACAAAAUAAACUGUACUUAUUGGCUAAACAAAAAAUUUUGAAAAUUUUAUUGUAAGGAGAUAGUUGAGUUUAGUUCCAGGGAAAAUUAGCAAAACUAAAUUUGGAGUUCUGUAGCUCAAGAUAUAAAUAAUUUAGUGACUAUAACUUGCGUAGACAACUUGGUAUGAACAUAAGUGAAUAGUAAAAAAAUCAUUAAAAUCAUUAAAAAUAGUAAAAAAAUAAUUACAAGCUAUGAUUUAUAUUUUUUAAAUUCUUAGUGAAUAUAUUUUGAAGACAAUCAAACCAGAACAUCAUCCGAGUCUCGUACGAGGAGAUAAUAAUUUUUUAGUGAAGAAGGGUUGAAACUGUCAGACAGCAGAAUAGGGACAAUUUUAAAAAAUAAACUCUACUUAUUAGCUAAACCAAAAAUUUUGAAAAUUUUAUUGUAAGGAGAUAUUUGAGUUUAGUUUCAGGAAAAAUUAGCAAAAAUUAAUUUAGAGUUCCGUAGCUCAAGAUAUAAAUAAUUUAGUGACUACAACCAGUUUUCCUGAGUAUCCUUGGUAUCCCAACAGGUUCAACGGGUAAAUCCAAAGAUUUUGUCAAAGAAAUGAUAAUGUAUGAUCAUGUUGAAAGGGUACAGGUAUGUAUGCAAAAUUCAUGAGUAAUGAACUCGAUGUAUAUGAGACAUUUGGUAAGAAUGUAAAUGAGUAAGUCUUACCUAUGAAAAUGAUCGAUGACCUUAUGAUUAGAAGUCUAUACUUAUGAUGUAUAGCUAGGUGGUAAAUUUGAUUGAUGAUCGUGUGUGAGGCUUUUAGGCCAAAUUAAAUUGAGAUAUGAUAAGUUUAAGUUUUGUUGUUGAUGUAUAGAUUGAAUUGGCCAAUGAAUGGCAUGUAAAUAUUUGAUAACGACUAGCUAUUGGAAUGGCUAGUUAAGGAUAUGCUUUGGUGUUAUGUAUGAUUAAAUGGAUGUUAAUUCAUAGAAAUCAUGAAAGAGUAAAGUUAGCAGUAAAAUAGUUCUAGAUAGGAGAAAUUGUAUAAACUUGAAAAAUCACCAAAAAUUUUGGAAAUUGAAUUAGAGGUUUAAUAAGAUAUGGAAUUACAUCUUAUUGAGUCUAGUUUCACACAGAAGAAACAAUGCAAGCAAAAGAAUUUCAUAUUCUGAGAUGUUUGAAUUUUUAUGGCUCAGGGUCAGGAUGAAUUCGGAAUCCCCUGUUCUGACUUUGGAAAAUCAUUAAAAAUAGUAAAAAAAAUAAUUACAAGCUAUGAUUUAUAUUUUUUAAAUUCUUAAUGAAUAUAUUUUGAAGAGAAUCAAACCAGAACAUCAUCCGAGUCUCGUACGAGGAGAUAAUAAAUUUUUAGUGAAGAAGGGUUGAAACUGUCAAACAGCAGAACAAGGACGAUUUUAAAAAAUAAACUGUACUUAUUGGCUAAAGCAAAAAUUUUGAAAAUUUUAUUGUAAGGAGAUAUUUGAGUUUAGUUUCAAGGAAAAUUAGCAAAACUUAAUUUGGAGUUCCAUAGCUCAAGAUAUAAAUAAAUUAGUGACUAUAACUUGCGUAGACAAUUUGGUAUGAACAUAAGUGAAUAGUGGAACUUUGUGCAAUUAUGAUUGCAUUAUCUUGAGAACAUAUUAUGAGGAUUAUAUUGAAAGAUCAAAUUAAGAGAAAUGCAGGGUUAAGCAUGUUCGAAUUACGACAUGUUAUGAAUUGAUGGUAAAGACCAUGGUUGGACCAUGGCAAUAUGUGUAACCGCGUAAGACCAUGUCUAGGACAUGGCAUCGGCAUUGUUAUGUGAGCCAGUGUAAGACCAUGUCUGGGACAUGGCAUCGGUACGAGGCAUCGUGUAAGACCGUAGCUGGGUUAUUGGCAUCGAUAUGAGAUUUUCAUGUAAGACCAUGUCUGGAGCAUGGCAUUGGUACGAUACAUCAUGUAGGAGUUUUCUCAAGUAUCCUUGGUAUCCCAAGAGGUUUAAUGGGUAAAUCCAAAGAUUUUGCCAAAGAAAUGAUAAGGUAUGAUCAUGUUGAAAGGGUACAGGUACGUACGCAAAAUUCGUGAGUAAUGAAUUCGAUGUAUUUGGGACAUUUGGUAAGAUUAUAAAUGAGUAAGUCUUACCUAUGAAAAUGAUCGAUAACCUUAUGAUUAUAGGUCUAUACUUAUGAUGUAUGAAUAGGUGGUAAAUUUGAUGGAUGAUCGCGUGUGAGGCUUUUAGGCCAAAUUAAAUUGAGACAUGAUAAGUUGAAGUUUUGUUGUUGAUGUAUAGGUUAAAUUGGCCAAUGAAUGGCAUGUAAAUAUUUGAUAAUGACUAGCUAUUGGAAUGGCUAGUUAAGGAUAUGCUUUGGUGUUUUGUAUGAUUAAAUGGAUGCUAAUACAAAGAAAUCAUGAAAGAGUAAAGUUAGCAGUAAAAUAGUUCUAGACAAGAGCAAUUGUAUAAACUUGAAAAAUCACCAAAAAUUUUGGAAAUUGAAUUAGAUGUUUAAUAAGAUAUGAAAUUAAAUCUUAUUGAGUCUAGUUUUACAUAGAAGAAACAAUUCAAGCAAAAGAAUUUCAUAUUAUGAGAUGUUUAAAUUUUUGUGGGUCAGGGUCAGGAUGAAUUCGGAAUCCCCUGUUCUGAAUUUGGAAAAUCAUUAAAAAUAGUAAAAAAAUAAUUACAAGCUAUGAUUUAUAUUUUUUAAAUUCUUAAUGAAAAUAUUUUGAAGAGAAUCAAACCAGAACAUCAUCCGAGUCUCGUACGAGGAGAUAAUAAUUUUUUAGUGAAGAAAGGUUGAAACAGUCAGAAAGCAGAACAGGGACGAUUUUAAAAAAUAAACUGUGCUUAUUGGCUAAACAAAAAAUUUUGAAAAUUUUAUUGUAAGGAGAUAGUUGAGUUUAGUUCCAGGGAAAAUUAGCAAAACUAAAUUUGGAGUUCCGUAGCUCAAGAUACAAAUAAUUUAGUGACUAUAACUUGCGUAGACAACUUGGUAUGAACAUAAGUGAAUAGUAAAAAAAUUAUUAAAAAUCAUUAAAAAUAGUAAAAAAAAAUAAUUACAAGCUAUGAUUUAUAUUUUUUAAAUUCUUAGUGAAUAUAUUUUGAAGAGAAUCAAACCAGGACAUCAUCCGAGUCUCGUACGAGGAGAUAAUAUUUUUUUAGUGAAGAAGGGUUGAAACUGUCAGACAGCAGAAUAGGGACAAUUUUAAAAAAUAAACUGUACUUAUUAGCUAAACCAAAAAUUUUGAAAAUUUUAUUGUAAGGAGAUAUUUGAGUUUAGUUCCAGGGAAAAUUAGCAAAACUAAAUUUGGAGUUCCGUAGCUCAAGAUAUAAAUAAUUUAGUGACUAUAACUUGCGUAGACAACUUGGUAUGAACAUAAGUGAAUAGUAAAAAAAUCAUUAAAAAUCGUUAAAAAUAGUAAAUAAAAUAAUUACAAGCUAUGAUUUAUAUUUUUUAAAUUCUUAGUGAAUAUAUUUUGAAGAGAAUCAAACCAGAACAUCAUCCGAGUCUCGUACGAGGAGAUAAUAAUUUUUUAGUGAAGAAGGGUUGAAACUGUCAGACAGCAGAAUAGGGACAAUUUUAAAAAAUAAACUGUACUUAUUAGCUAAACCAAAAAUUUUGAAAAUUUUAUUGUAAGGAGAUUCUUGAGUUUAGUUUUAGGAAAAAUUAGCAAAAAUUAAUUUGGAGUUCCGUAGCUCAAGAUAUAAAUAAUUUAGUGACUAUAACGAGUUUUCCUGAGUAUCCUUGGUAUCCCAAAAGGUUCAACGGGUAAAUCCAAAGAUUUUGUCACAGAAAUGAUAAGGUAUGAUCAUGUUGAAAGGGUACAGGUAUGUAUGCAAAAUUCAUGAGUAAUGAACUCGAUGUAUAUGAGACAUUUGGUAAGAAUGUAAAUGAGUAAGUCUUACCUAUGAAAAUGAUCGAUGACCUUAUGAUUAUAAGUCUAUACUUAUGAUGUAUAAAUAGGUGGUAAAUUUGAUUGAUGAUCGUGUGUGAGGCUUUUAGGCCAAAUUAAAUGGAGAUAUGAUAAGUUUAAGUUUUGUGGUUGAUGUAUAGGUUGAAUUGGCCAAUGAAUGGCAUGUAAAUAUUUGAUAAUGACUAGCUAUUGGAAUGGCUAGUUAAGGAUAUGCUUUGGUGUUAUGUAUGAUUAAAUGGAUGUUAAUUCAAAGAAAUCAUGAAAGAGUAAAGUUAGCAGUAAAAUAGUUCUAGAUAGGAGCAAUUGUAUAAACUUGAAAAAUCACCAAAAAUUUUGGAAAUUGAAUUAGAGGUUUAAUAAGAUAUGGAAUUACAUCUUAUUGAGUCUAGUUUCACACAGAAGAAACAAUGCAAGCAAAAGAGUUUCAUAUUAUGAGAUGUUUGAAUUUUUAUGGGUCAGGUUCUGGAUGAAUUCGGAAUCACCUGUUCUGACUUUGGAAAAUCAUUAAAAAUAGUAAAAAAAAAUAUUACAAGCUAUGAUUUAUAUUUUUAAAUUCUUAAUGAAAAUGUUUUGAAGAGAAUCAAACCAGAACAUCAUCCGAGUCUCGUACGAGGAGAUAAUAAAUUUUUAGUGAAGAAGGGUUGAAACUGUCAGAUAGCAGAACAGGGACGAUUUUAAAAAAAUAAACUGUACUUAUUGGCUAAACAAAAAAUUUUGAAAAUUUUAUUGUAAGGAGAUAGUUGAGUUCAGUUUCAGGGAAAAUUAGCAAAACUAAAUUUGAAGUUCCGUAGCUCAAGAUAUAAAUAAUUUAGUGACUAUAACUUGCGUAGACAACUUGGUAUGAACAUAAGUGAAUAGUAAAAAAAUCAUAAAAAAUCAUUAAAAAUAGUAAAUAAAAUAAUUACAAGCUAUGAUUUAUAUUUUUUAAAUUCUUAGUGAAUAUAUUUUGAAGAGAAUCAAACCAGAACAUCAUCCGAGUCUCGUACAAGGAGAUAAUAAUUUUUUAGUGAAGAAGGGUUGAAACUGUCAGACAGCAGAAUAGGGACAAUUUUAAAAAAUAAACUGUACUUAUUAGCUAAACCAAAAAUUUUGAAAAUUUUAUUGUAAGGAGAUAUUUGAGUUUAGUUCCAGGGAAAAUUAGCAAAAAUUAAUUUGGAGUUCCAUAGCUCAAGAUAUAAAUAAUUUAGUGACUAUAACGAGUUUUCCUGAGUAUCCUUGGUAUCCCAAAAGGUUCAACGAGUAAAUCCAAAGAUUUUGUCAAUGAAAUGAUAAGGUAUGAUCAUGUUGAAAGGGUACAGGUAUGUAUGCAAAAUUCAUGAGUAAUGAACUCGAUGUAUAUGAGACAUUUGGUAAGAAUGUAAAUGAGUAAGUCUUACCUAUGAAAAUGAUCGAUGACCUUAUGAUUAUAAGUCUAUACUUAUGAUGUAUAAAUAGGUGGUAAAUUUGAUUGAUGAUCGUGUGUGAGGCUUUUAGGCCAAAUUAAAUUGAGAUAUGAUAAGUUUAAGUUUUGUUGUUGAUGUAUAGGUUGAAUUGGCUAAUGAAUGGCAUGUAAAUAUUUGAUAAUGACUAGCUAUUGGAAUGGCUAGUUAAGGAUAUGCUUUGGUGUUAUGUAUGAUUAAAUGGAUGUUAAUUCAAAGAAAUCAUGAAAGAGUAAAGUUAGCAGUAAAAUAGUUCUAGAUAGGAGCAAUUGUAUAAACUUGAAAAAUCACCAAAAAUUUUGGAAAUUCAAUUAGAAGUUUAAUAAGAUAUGGAAUUACAUCUUAUUGAGUCUAGUUUCACACAGAAGAAACAAUGCAAGCAAAAGAAUUUCAUAUUAUGAGAUGUUUGAAUUUUUGUGGGUCAGGGUCAGGAUGAAUUCGGAAUCCCCUGUUCUGACUUUGGAAAAUCAUUAAAAAUAGUAAAAAAAAUAAUUACAAGCUAUGAUUUAUAUUUUUUAAAUUCUUAGUGAAUAUAUUUUGAAGAGAAUCAAACCAGGACAUCAUCCGAGUCUCGUACGAGGAGAUAACAAAUUUUUAGUGAAGAAGGGUUGAAACUGUCAGACAGCAGAACAGUGACGAUUUUAAAAAAUAAACUGUACUUAUUGGCUAAACAAAAAAUUUUGAAAAUUUUAUUGUAAGGAGAUAUUUGAGUUUAGUUCUAGGGAAAAUUAGCAAAACUAAAUUUGGAGUUCCGUAGCUCAAGAUAUAAAUAAUUUAGUGACUUUAACUUGCGUAGACAACUUGGUAUGAACAUAAGUGAAUAGUAAAAAAAUCAUUAAAAAUAAUUAAAAAUAGUAAAAAAAUAAUUACAAGCUAUGAUUUAUAUUUUUUAAAUUCUUAGUGAAUAUAUUUUGAAGAGAAUCAAACCAGAACAUCAUCCGAGUCUCGUACGAGGAGAUAAUAAUUUUUUAGUGAAGAAGGGUUGAAACUGUCAGACAGCAGAAUAGGGACAAUUUUAAAAAAUAAACUGUACUUAUUAGCUAAACCAAAAAUUUUGAAAAUUUUAUUGUAAGGAUAUACUUGAGUUUAGUUUCAGGAAAAAUUAGCAAAAAUUAAUUUGGAGUUCCGUAGCUCAAGAUAUAAGUAAUUUAGUGACUAUAACGAGUUUUCCUGAGUAUCCUUGGUAUCCCAAAAGGUUCAACGGGUAAAUCCAAAGAUUUUGUCAGAGAAAUGAUAAGGUAUGAUCAUGUUGAAAGGGUACAUGUAUGUAUGCAAAAUUCAUAAGUAAUGAACUCGAUGUAUAUGAGACAUUUGGUAAGAAUGUAAAUGAGUAAGUCUUACCUAUGAAAAUGAUCGAUGACCUUAUGAUUAUAAGUCUAUACUUAUGAUGUAUAAAUAGGUGGUAAAUUUGAUUGAUGAUCGUGUGUGAGGCUUUUAGGCCAAAUUAAAUUGAGAUAUGAUAAGUUUAAGUUUUGUGGUUGAUGUAUAGGUUGAAUUGGCCAAUGAAUGACAUGUAAAUAUUUGAUAAUGGCUAGCUAUUGGAAUGGCUAGUUAAGGAUAUGCUUUGGUGUUAUGUAUGAUUAAAUGGAUGUUAAUUCAAAGAAAUCAUGAAAGAGUAAAGUUAGCAGUAAAAUAGUUCUAGACAAGAGCAAUUGUAUAAACUUGAAAAAUCACCAAAAAUUUUGGAAAUUGAAUUAGAGGUUUAAUAAGAUAUGGAAUUACAUCUUAUUGAGUCUAGUUUCACACAGAAGAAACAAUGCAAGCAAAAGAGUUUCAUAUUAUGAGAUGUUUGAAUUUUUAUGGCUCAGGGUCAGGAUGAAUUCGGAAUCCCCUGUUCUGACUUUGGAAAAUCAUUAAAAAUAGUAAAAAAAUAAUUACAAGCUAUGAUUUAUAUUUUUUAAAUUCUUAAUGAAUAUAUUUUGAAGAGAAUCAAACCAGAACAUCAUCCGAGUCUCGUACGAGGAGAUAAUAAAUUUUUAGUGAAGAAGGGUUGAAACUGUCAGACAGCAGAACAGGGACAAUUUUAAAAAAUAAACUGUACUUAUUAGCUAAACCAAAAAUUUUGAAAAUUUUAUUGUAAGGAGAUACUUGAGUUUAGUUUCAGUAAAAAUUAGCAAAAAUUAAUUUGGAGUUCCGUAGCUCAAGAUAUAAAUAAUUUAGUGACUAUAACGAGUUUUCCUGAGUAUCCUUGGUAUCCCAAAAGGUUCAACGGGUAAAUCCAAAGAUUUUGUCAGAGAAAUGAUAAGGUAUGAUCAUGUUGAAAGGGUACAGGUAUGUAUGCAAAAUUCAUAAGUAAUGAACUUGAUGUAUAUGAGACAUUUGGUAAGAAUGUAAAUGAGUAAGUCUUACCUAUGAAAAUGAUCGAUGACCUUAUGAUUAUAAGUCUAUACUUAUGAUGUAUAAAUAGGUGGUAAAUUUGAUUGAUGAUCGUGUGUGAGGCUUUUAGGCCAAAUUAAAUUGAGAUAUGAUAAGUUUAAGUUUUGUGGUUGAUGUAUAGGUUGAAUUGGCCAAUGAAUGGCAUGUAAAUAUUUGAUAAUGACUAGCUAUUGGAAUGGCUCGUUAAGGAUAUGCUUUGGUGUUAUGUAUGAUUAAAUGGAUGUUAAUUCAAAGAAAUCAUGAAAGAGUAAAGUUAGCAGUAAAAUAGUUCUAGAUAGGAGCAAUUGUAUAAACUUGAAAAAUCACCAAAAAUUUUGGAAAUUGAAUUAGAGGUUUAAUAAGAUAUGGAAUUACAUCUUAUUGAGUCUAGUUUCACACAGAAGAAACAAUGCAAGCAAAAGAAUUUCAUAUUAUGAGAUGUUUGACUUUUUAUGGGUCAGGGUCAGGAUGAAUUCGGAAUCCCCUGUUCUGACUUUGGAAAAUCAUUAAAAAUAGUAAAAAAAUAAUUACAAGCUAUAAUUUAUAUUUUUUAAAUUCUUACUGAAUAUAUUUUGAAGAGAAUCAAACCAGAACAUCAUCCGAGUCUCGUACGAGGAGAUAAUAAAUUUUUAGUGAAGAAGGGUUUAAACUGUCAGACAGUAGAACAAGGACGAUUUUAAAAAAUAAACUGUACUUAUUGGCUAAACCAAAAAUUUUGAAAAUUUUAUUGUAAGGAGAUAUUUGAGUUUAGUUUCAAGGAAAAUUAGCAAAACUUAAUUUGGAGUUACAUAGCUCAAGAUAUAAAUAAAUUAGUGACUAUAACUUGCGUAGACAAUUUGGUAUGAACAUAAGUGAAUAGUGGAACUUUGUGCAAUUAUGAUUGCAUUAUCUUGAGAACAUAUUAUGAGGAUUAUAUUGAAAGAUCAAAUUAAGAGAAAUGCAGGGUUAAGCAUGUUCGAAUUACGACAUGUUAUGAAUUGAUGGUAAAGACCAUGGUUGGACCAUGGCAAUAUGUGUAACCGCGAAAGACCAUGUCUAGGACAUGGCAUCGGUAUUGUUAUGUGAGCCAGUGUAAGACCAUGUCUGGGACAUGUUUUCAGAAUCAUUAUGUGAGCCAGUGUAAGACCAUGUUUGGGACAUGGCAUCGGUACGAGGCAUCGUGUAAGACCAUAGCUGGGUUAUUGGCAUCGAUAUGAGAUUUUCAUGUAAGACCAUGUCUGGAGCAUGGCAUUGGUACGAUACAUCAUGUAGGAGUUUUCUCAAGUAUCCUUGGUAUCCCAAGAGGUUUAAUGGGUAAAUCCAAAGAUUUUUCCAAAGAAAUGAUAAGGUAUGAUCAUGUUGAAAGGGUUCAGGUACGUACGCAAAAUUCGUGAGUAAUGAAUUCGAUGUAUUUAGGACAUUUGGUAAGAUUAUAAAUGAGUAAGUCUUACCUAUGAAAAUGAUCAAUAACCUUAUGAUUAUAGGUCUAUACUUAUGAUGUAUAAAUAGGUGGUAAAUUUGAUUGAUGAUCGCGUGUGAGUCUAUUAGGCCAAAUUAAAUUGAGACAUGAUAAGUUGAAGUUUUGUUGUUGAUGUAUAGGUUAAAUUGGCCAAUGAAUGGCAUGUAAAUAUUUGAUAAUGACUAGCUAUUGGAAUGGCUAGUUAAGGAUAUGCUUUGGUGUUAUGUAUGAUUAAAUGGAUGCUAAUACAAAGAAAUCAUGAAAGAGUAAAGUUAGCAGUAAAAUAGUUCUAGACAAGAGCAAUUGUAUAAACUUGAAAAAUCACCAAAAAUUUUGGAAAUUGAAUUAGAGGUUUAAUAAGAUAUGAAAUUAAAUCUUAUUGAGUCUAGUUUUACACAGAAGAAACAAUGCAAGCAAAAGAAUUUCAUAUUAUGAGAUGUUUGAAUUUUUGUGGGUCAGGGUCAGGAUGAAUUCGGAAUCCCCUUUUCUGACUUUGGAAAAUCAUUAAAAAUAGUAAAAAAAUAAUUACAAGCUAUGAUUUAUAUUUUUUAAAUUCUUAAUGAAAAUAUUUUGAAGAGAAUCAAACCAGAACAUCAUCCGAGUCUCGUUCUAGGAGAUAAUAAGUUUUUAGUGAAGAAGGGUUGAAACUGUCAGACAGCAGAACAGGGACGAUUUUAAAAAAUAAACUGUACUUAUUGGCUAAACCAAAAAAUUUGAAAAUUUUAUGGUAAGGAGAUAUUUGAGUUUAGUUUCAGUGAAAAUUAGCAAAAAUUAAUUUGGAGUUCCAUAGCUCAAGAUAUAAAUAAUUUAGUGGCUAUAACUUGCGUAGACAACUUGGUAUGAACAUAAGUGAAUAGUGGAACUUUGUGCAAUUUUGAUUGCAUUAUCUUGAGAACAUAUUAUGAGGAUUGUAUUGAAAGAUCAAAUUAAGAGAAAUGCAGGGUUAAGCAUGUUCGAAUUACAACAUGUUAUGAAUUUACGGUAAAGACCAUGGUUGGACCAUGGCAAUAUGUGUAACCGCGUAAGACCAUGUCUAGGACAUGGCAUCAGCAUUUCUAUGUGAGCCAGUGUAGGACCAUGCCUGGGACAUGGCAUUGGAAUCGUUAUGUGAGCCAGUGUAAGACCAUGUCUAGGACAUAGCAUCAGCAUGAGGCAUCAUGUAAGACCAUAGUUGGGCUAUUGGCAUCGAUAUGAGAUUUUCAUGUAAGACCAUGUCUGGGACAUGGAAUUUGUACGAUACAUCAUGUACGAGUUUUCCUAAGUAUCCUUGGUAUCCCAAAGGGUUCAACAGGUAAAUCCGAAGAUUUUGUCAAAGAAAUGAUAAGGUAUGAUCAUGUUGAAAGGGUACAGGUAUGUACGUAAAAUUCAUGAGUAAUGAAUUCGAUGUAUAUGAGACAUUUGGUAAGAAUGUAAGUGAGUAAGUCUUACCUAUGAAAAUGAUCGAUGACCUUAUGAUUCUAAGUCUAUACUUAUAAUGUAUAAAUAGGUGGUAAAUUUGAUUGAUGAUCGUGUGUGAGGCUUUUAGGCCAAAUUAAUUGAGACAUGAUAAGUUUAAGUUUUGUUGUUGAUGUAUAGGUUAAAUUGGCCAAUGAAUGGCAUGUAAAUAUUUGAUAAUGACUAGCUAUUGGAAUGGCUAGUUAAGGAUAUGCUUUGGUGUUAUGUAUGAUUAAAUGGAUGUUAAUACAAAGAAAUCAUGAAAGAGUAAAGUUAGCAGUAAAACUGUAACACCCCUGUCCUGUAACCGUCACCGGAAUAGGUAAGGGGCAUUACCGGACUUGUAGCUCAUGCCAGAUCAGUAAAAUUUUGAACAUUUUCUUGGAGUAAAGAUCAUUCAAUUGGAUAAUUGCUAGACACAACCAGGGAUAAAAUUUAAAACUUAUAAAAGUAAACAUUCAAAAGAUGUCAUAUUCGCAUGGCUUAUAUACAUUAACCAAAAUAUCCUCCCACUACUAGUCCAUUCUAUACAUGCCAUAAGAUAAUCCAAAACAUAGCAGUACCAAACAGUGGAUAGUGAUAGUGUGACAAGUUGCUGACGAUCCUCGAGCAAAAAGGCCAAAAUCAACAAUCUAUAAAACAGAGAAACAUAACAACAGAGUAAGCUUUUGUAAGCUUAGUAAGUCUUAAGCAAUUUAAAACCAGUGAACUCAAAUAUAACCAAUUUGUUUAUUUGAUUCACAUAUAACAUUUCAUUUCAUAUCUAUAGUUAUCCUCAUCGGACAAAUCAAAAUGUAUAUCCCCCAAUAUCCUAUAGUAUUUCUCCAUAACCGAAUACUCAUAUAUUCAUAUGGCAUUUUCAUAUUUGCUUUUCACUUUACAAUCAUGAUUUAAUUCUGAUGGGUCUAACAUGUACAAGUAUUUAUCACAUACCUGACCAACCAAAUUAAAAGUCGAUCUUACGAAUUCUCAUAUAACCUCUUUCUAGGUAUACUAUCCUUUUUGGCCGAAUAUACACAAUUACGUAAUACACAAUAAGCAGAUAAAUUCUCACUUGAUAGUGAUCUCUUAUGAACAUAGGUACAUUACAUAUUUUCACCUAACUUUUCACAUUGACCAAAUGCACAAUAAUCAUAGAACAGUCUUAUUGCUUUACUCACAUAUGCAUCACAUAACAACCUUGUGAUUUAAUCCAAAUCAAGCUUAAAUAUAAUCUCAAAAUACAUACCUGACCAACUUAAUGCAUUGAACGUAUUUAUUACCAAUUGUUACUGUGAAGUCGUAUAAUCUUAUGCUUUACUCGAAUCUUCAGCGAGACUUUUAGCUCGAAUAAUCCCCACACGUAGUCAUCGGGUCUUACCCGGGCAUAAUCUCCACACGUAGCCAUCGAGUCUUACCCGGAAUAUAUUUCCAAGUUUCAUGUACAUUUAAUCACAUGUUACAACAUUCACAUCGACUGUCAUAUUUGUAAUUCAUUUGUCUCAUCAAAUAUCUAAAUAUACACACCUUUCACAUUUGGUCAUUCGGCCAUAAUAUAUCCACAUCUCAUACAUAUUUCACAUUAGCCAUUCGACUUUACCACAUAUACAUAUCUCAUACAUAUUUCACACUAGCCAUUCGGCUUUACCACACAUAUAUAUAUUUAUCUUGUACAUCAAUUUCAGCAAUAGCUUAUAAGCAACUCAAUUAGUUUCAUCAAUGUUUACAACAAAAUCACAUAUUCACUACAAGCUGUUUUCCUGAGCAACAGUCAUUAAAUUAUUUGUACUUGGAGCUACGAAACUCCAAAUGAAGUGCUGUUAAUUUUCCCUGAAAACAGACUCAUAUAUCUUCUAUCCAUAAAAUUUUCAGAAUUUUUGGUUUGACCAAUCAAUACCAGAAUUUUUCUUAAAGUUUCCCCUAUUUCACUGUUUGACUAUACUGACCACUCUUCACUACGAAUCAACUUUCUCAUUGUACAGAAUUCAAAAUAUGUUCUUGUUUAUUUCAUUUGAAACUAGACUCGUUAAGGGCUCUAAGCAUAUAAAUUUUAUCUUAUAACAAUUUUUUUUGUGUGAUUUAUAAUGAUUUUCUAAAAAAAAAAACAGGGGAUUUCGGAGUCAUUCUGACACUGUCUCACACAACUUUAAAUAUCUCUUUAUAAGAAAUUCCUUUGCUUACACGGUUUCUUUUAUAAGAAACUAGACUAAUUAAGCUUUGAUUACAUAUUUUAUUCAGUCUAUAAUUCCACACCAACAAUUUAUGGUGAUUUUCUAAAAUCACGUUACUGCUGCUGUCCUAAGCAAAUUAUUACAAUUUGCUCUUAAAUUUCCAAGUCCAAACACUUAUGUACUUACCAUUUGAGUUUAAAACAUAUCAUGGCCACAUCACAUCUUAUUAAAUCAACUCAUUAUGUCCUAUUAUGAUUGAAUUUACUCAACGUUUAAUCACUUAAAACUUACCUCGGAAGUGGUCGACGACUAGAUAUCCACGGCUAUUCGUUUACUUUCUCUUUUCCCCUAUCCGACUUUGAUCCUCUUUGCUCUUAAGCUUAAGUAAAACAAUAGAUUUGCUUAAGUACUUAACUAAUAUUAUUCACUUAACAAUCACAUUUGGCAAUCACAUAUCAUUUAAUCUAUAUCUAAAACAAUAGAUUUCAAUAUGUAUCAUAUUUAAUAAAACAUGCCAUGACUCGAUUUCAUGCUUAUUUAAUUUAUAUAUAAUUCACAUUCACAAGCAAAUAGUCACUUAAUUUAUCAUGCUUUCUUAUACAUGAAUUUAAUCAUAUUGCCGAAUGUCCUUAUGUGUACAUGGUACAUACAUAAGGCAUAUAUAUAUACCUAUAUAUGACCAUUACAAUUUAAACAUUUAAUCAUAAUUGGCAAGCUUUAUUUCAACUAUUUAAGGUGCAAACCAAUUAUGUUAUUCAUUAACAUUUCGUCAUAUUAAAUCUUUGAUUAACCAAUUUAACACAUACCAAAAUCCAAUCAUACAUCUAACCUUUAUCUCAAUACCAAACCGAGUUAUAAGAUUAUACAUUACACUAAGCAUAUCAUUAAACAUACCUAUUCAAUUUAGCUAAUUUCAUAGCCGAUUAAUCACCUUACCCCACAUUACUCAAUGCCGAAUAUUAACCCAACAUCACAAGCAUAAUCACCAUGAAACUUACCUUAAUACACAUUUUAUCCCAUUGCCAAAUACAUAUAUAUAUCAUCAAAUAAAUAUUUAUUCACAUAACAACAAUUCAUUCACAUCUCUAUAAAUGAUCAUAAUCGGACAUUAUAAACAAAUCAACUAGUUUAGCAUUCAAAUUCUUCUAACCAUUCCUCAAUAACUUACUCAAUGAACAACAAUCCAAGCGCAUCAAAGCAUAGUCGAAUGUAUCAUUCUUCUUAAAUGCAAAAAUAAAUGCAUGGGCUAACUUCAAAAUCUAUUUAACAACUCAACUUUACCAAAAUUAUCAAGAAAUUAAGCCAAACAUACCUCCAAUUGCUAAUAUAAUUGCCAUACGUCUAAGGGCCCCCUUUUGUUCUUCUUUGAUCCUAAGAAUAGGCUAUUGAGAGAAAGAAUGGAUAAAACUUUGUUUUCAUCCCCCUUUUUUUCCCAUUAUAAAAACUUUAUUUCAUAUUUUAUAAGUCUUUAUUUAAUUUUUUAACAAAAUGUAUAUAAUAUCAUUUAUUAGCCAUCAUUACAACAAAUAAAAUACAUAUUUUCUCACCUAAAACCAUCAUGGUCGGCCAUUAUCAUGAAAAAUGGGAACUUUGACAUGCAAGUCCCCAUAUUUAAUCCAUGCAACAAUUUGGCCAUUUUAAAAAUUAACCAACACAUUUUCAAUGUUUCUCACAUAAGCCCUUUUGAUUAAAUUCGCAUUCAAUUGACAAAAUCAAAGCAUCAAAAUUUCACACAUAAAUUGUAACAUAAAAUAGACAUGAAAUUUAACAAUCAAUUAUUUGUGUGACUCGGUUUUGUGGCCUCGAAACCACUUCCUGACUAGGGUCAAAUUAGGGAUGUCACAAAAAUAGUUCUAGACAAGAGCAAUUGUAUAAACUUGAAAAAUCACCAAAAAUUUUGGAAAUCGAAUUAGAGAUUUAAUAAGAUAUGAAAUUAAUUCUUAUUAAGUCUAGUUUCACACAGAUGAAACAGCACAAGAGAAAGAAUUUCAUAGUAUGAGAUGUUUGAAUUUUUGUGAGUCAGGGUCAGGAUGAAUUCGAAAUCCCCUAUUCUGACUUUGGAAAAUCAUUAAAAAUAGUAUAAAAAUAAUUACAAGCUAUGAUUAUAUUUUCUAAAUUCUUAAUGAAUAUGUUUUGAAUAGAAUCAAACUAGAACAUCAUCCGAGUCUCGUAGUAGGAGAUAAUAAAUUUUUAGUGAAGAAGCAUUGAAACUGUUAGAGAGUAGAAUAGGGACGAUUUUAAAAAAUAAAAUGUACUUAUUGGAUAAACCAAAAAUUCUGAAAAUUUUAUGGUAAGGAGAUAUUUGAGUCUAGUUUUAGGAAAAAUUAGCGAAACUUAAUUUGGAGUUUCGUAGCUCAAGAUAUAAAUAAUUUUGUGAUUAUAACUUGCAUAGACAGCUUGGUAAGAACAUAAGUGAAUAGUGGAACUUUGUGCAAUUAUGAUUGCAUUAUCUUGAGAACAUAUUCUGAGUAUUGUUAAAAGCAUGUUAAUAAUUUUUUUUUUAUUUACAUACCUACUUAGUAAGCUAUAUGCUUACUCUCUCUUCCUUUCCUUUUUCCUAUAGUGUCACAGAUGCUAGCUCGAGUUGGAGGUCGUCAGAGAUCCUAUCACACUAACAAGCUAUUGAUGGGUAUUAAUGAUUUUCUAGCAUUUUAAGUGUAUGGCAUGUAUAGGGAUUUGGGUAUUGUGUACAUGAUAUUAUGAGUUGGACUAGAAUAUUGGUCUAUGCUAAUUAAAAGUCAUUGUUGUAUAAGGCCAUUUAGUGUGGCCAAUAUUUGCUAUGUUAUAAGUCUAUGAUGAAGCAUUCCAUGGAUGUGCAUGCUUUUUUAGGUUGGAUGAGUGAAUGUGUGAUAAUUAUGUGUGGCAAAUACUAAAUGUGAAUGGUUGAGUAAGUUACAUGUUAUAAUUAGUUAAGUGUGUGCGUGGUUAUGCAUGUUGAAUGUGAUUUAUAAAUAGUGUGUGAAUUCCAUGGUGUGGUUAUUGGGAUGCCUAAAAAUGCCAUGUUGUGUGUUGAUAAACUUAGUAUGGGUGUGCAAGUGUUUUUGGAUGCAAAAAGGCUUGGUAAACAGCUUAACUAUCAUCCACACGGAUGGCCACACGGCCUAGCACACAUGCGUGUGAAAUGGUCGUGUGACCCUAAAUGGGUGAUGACGUCAUAAACAGAGAGUUACACGGGUGGAGGACACAAGCGUGUCCUGAGCCACACGGUGUGACCACUUGGCCUACCCACACAGGUGUGUGACUAUCCAAAAUAUGAAAAUUUUCUUAGUGUCUCAAAAGUUACAAAAGUUCUCCUCUAAUGUAUGUUUUGGGCCUCGUAGGCCUAUAUAAGGGACUUUAAUAUUGAAAUUGAAAUGUUUUAAAUUUGAAAAAAAAUUUAUGACAUGGAAAUGUUUUUAUGAAUGCGUUUGAUUCUGGUAACGCCUCAUACCCUAUUCUGGCGACAGACGUGGGUAAGGGGUGUUACAUUUAGUGGUAUCAGAGCUACGAUUUAGUUGGUUCUCGAACUAACAUAGCAUAUAUGAGUCUACCUAUACAUGCCAUAUUGCUACUCGUGAUAGUGUGAUAUCUCCGGGGUCUAACGAAAUUGUUUUGUUAAGACAGAGAUGACUUACAGCUGAGCUAUUUUCAAUAAUGCUGAAAAAUGAUAUUGAGGUGAUUGAAAUGUGUUCAUGAUGAGAUGAAACUUAGAAUGGUAUGAAUAGAAGUUCAUGAUAUUAUGUGUUAACGUACGAAGUGAGAUAACCAUGAGUUGAAAAAUGUGGAAACGUAGAAUAAAAUGAAAGUUUAUAUGGUGAUAAGCCCAUCCGUGUUUGCUGGGCAUGAAUAUGAUGUCAUGUGCUCGACAUAUUUGAUUAAGUGAAUAUGGUAAGCAAAUUUACUCAAAUGGACGGAAUGUGUGUUUAUGUACACUUGCUUGAAUAAGUGUAAUCAGUAUGUUCAUAUGGUAGAAUCUUAUGUUUCAUUGUUAAAAUAGAGAUAAUAUGAUGUUUUGUUUUAUGUAUUUGUUACUGAACCAUGAAUAUUAUAAUAUAUGAGAAUUAAAUUGGACGAUCAAAUUAAGUAGAAUGCAGGAAAUGAGUACGAUCAUUCAAUGAGGAAUUGACGGAUAAGACCAUGGUUGGACCAUGGAAACGUAUGGAAUGUAAGACCAUAGCUGGGCUAUGGCAUUGUAAUGACAUGUAAGACCAUAGCUGGCUAUGGCAUUGUGAUUUUGUGUAAGACCAUAGUUGGACUAUGGCAUCAAGUAAACGAUGUACUCAAACCCGUAAGUUGUUCUUUAAUUUGACAAAUGUCGAUAAGUAAAAUGGAAGCUAAGUGUUGGAGUUUAAUUAGAUAUUAAUAUUAAGCUCGAGUUAGUAAAUUCAUUGUUUGAAAUUGUGGAUGACAGAAAAAACAUUUGUGUAAUAAAUAAGUGUGUUAAUUUGUUUGGAAUGAACUAUGUGAUUAUGAUGGUAUUACAUUGGUGAUGAAUGCUAAGACAAAUGUAUGUAUUUAUGAGAGUUAAGUUAGAGGCUUUACGACCUCACCCCCUUACCAGUAUUGCUUUAUGAUGAAAUUUUACGAGAAUCAUGUUGAAUAAGUUCAUAAGUGUGAACUAAAGAAUUCAAUGGUGAAAUAAUUAGUAAUACAAACAGAGUUGAGUAUAGUGUGAUAAACGAACUCAAUUUUAAAAGAAAUAUCAAAUUGUUUUAAAGAUUAUAUGAAUUAUGCAAUGUCACGGUUAAAGAAGAAGUUGUCUCGACUAAUCGACUCAAUUAGGUAUGGAGUCUAAAGAUGUGUUUACUAAAAGUUCUUCUGAAUUGAUUUUCGUUAGUGAAUGGAAUAAUACAGGGGUUUAUAAUAACAGGAUUAGUCGGAGAAAUGAUGUUUGAAUUGUAAAGAUAUCUGUGUGUAACAAUUAUGGUUGAAUAGAUUACAAUGAUCUUUUUUGAGUAUUUUGAGUUUAUAUUCAUUCAUCCUCAGGGAUUCACGUGAAUUUCCAUUUUCUGAUGAAAUUCUUAUCGAGUUAAAAUGUUAGCUAACUUUAAUGUUAGAUGAAAGUAUUGAUGGUCUAUUUGAAUUAUGAAUGGCAUUGCCUCAUCUCUUCGGGAUUCUAUCCUAUUAUGUUGGAAUACGAGUGGAUGAUGAAAAUUUAUAUGAGACUACUCUUCUGUUUCUACCAAAAGUUGUUUUUUUUUGUACUCGUAUAUUUGGAAUAUUUAUUACCCCUAUUAUAAUUGAUUUCAGAACAUGUGAGUGUUGAUUUCUUCCAGUUUUCUCUGAGGAAUCAUCAAGAUCCUUAAUGUUUUUCUUAUGAGUUAGGUUCUCGGACUUCUAGUAUGUGUAUUCGUUGGAUUGUGAUAGCUAUAUUUGUUAUAGAUGUAAUCCUAAUUCAAUCAUGAUAAUGUAAUGCAUCUAAUAUCAGAAUUCCUCUAUUUUUUGUGAAAAGAAUUGACCUCGGCAAAGGUAAAAAUAGUGAAAGCUCAAGCUCGAACUCUAUGAAAAUUUUCUUUUUCUCAGGAAAGUCUGAUUAAGGUUAGUGAGUUCAAUUAGGAUAUUUUGUUUUCCUUGAUCAAAUACAGUUGUGAAGGUUCUAAUUAGAAUGCUAAAGGAGUUGUAAAAGAUUGUAUGUUUAAGUUAGUUAAUAGCAUGAAGAAAAGAGUACUUUGAUAUGCUAUUAUUUGGUAUUUCAAAUUGACUCAAUUGUUUUCAUUUGAAUGAGCUUGUCUAUUGCAUAUUAGUAAAAUUGAAAAAUAACAGUUGAAAGUGUUAUUAAUCGAAGUGCUAGUUUUGAGUUUUGUUUAAAUUUAUUAGAGAAUUCGUCAUUUGUAAGUAAUGCACUAUCGAACGAAUUGGAAUGUGUUCUAAAAUAACAAAGUAAAAUGAAAAUUUAUGCUUUCGAACGGUUAAAAUCUCAUUAAAAGAGUUGCUAAAUAAGUGACUUAGAGUCGACUGCUAGUGUGUCGGUCUUGAGAAGUUGAUUACUUUGUUUGUUUGACGAAUAAAGUCAUAUGCUCAUUGAUUCCAAGAAUGUGUAGGAUGCAAUGUUACAGACAAUUCUUGUUUUAUGGGAGUCUGAAUUUAGCUAAAAUGUAAAGCUAGAGUGAUGUCUUCUUUGCAAGACUGAGAACUAUCAGAAUGUGAUGGUGAGUGGAAACUAAACAAGUACAAUGUGAGAUGACUUCAGAUUCGGAUUUCUAUUAGUAUUAAUACUUUGAGAUGGGAUUGAUUUGUAAUUGUGAGGAAAAAGGGGGGUGAAAGUGAAUUCUGAAACUUGAAAGCAACUUCAGAUUGACAUGUGGUAUAUGGGUUUGAAAAUUUAAGAUGUUUGAAUUCAGGUCGAUGACAGAGUGAUCAUAGAAGUAUCCCCCUAAAGAGGAAUCUUUGACAAGAUAGGGGAGACUAUGAGAACAAUACCCUAAUCUCUUUUCUGUUAAGAUUUUCGAGGACGAAAAUCCCUAAGAGGGGAGAAUUGUAACAUCCCGAUUUUAGGCCUAGUUAGAACAGAGGUUUCAGAACCACAAAUCUGAGGUUGCAGAAAUUAUUUUUGAUAUUAUUUUAUGUUUUAUAGCAUGAUUUUAUAGAUAUUUGAAAAGUUUGGGGAAUUAAUUUUAGCAACGCAUGCUUGAUUUCGAAAAAGGGAUUAAAUCGCAUAAAUAGUGAAAAUUAUGUUCUACUAGUCAAAAGUGUUAUGUAGCUAAAGAAAUUAGAUGUGGAGUCCUUACUGAGUAAAUAGACCAUUAAUAAUGAGUGGUGGAUGUACAUGGAGACAAAAAAAUCAAAAUGGUCAAAAUUGGUGGCUUUAGGUGACUUAAUAGGUAGAAUAAUAGUAAAAUAAAAGGAAAAGCUAUCAUCCUUUUACUUCUCUUUCUUCUCCACCGAUUCUUACCCAAGGAAAUGGCGAUGGAAGCUUGAAAUUUUCAGCAACUUUUAACCCUCACAAGUAAGUGAUUUUGAUGGUCAUUUUUUAUGAUUUUUUGUAUUUUUGGAACCUUUGUAGCUUAAUCUAGCUAAUGAGGGGACUAGUUUGCAAAAUGGUUGAAAAUAUAGGGUUUUUCCAUGAGAAUAUUCAUGUUGUUUGCUGCAUUUUUAUGGAAGAAAAUAAAUAUUGGUUGUUAAAUAAAUACCUUUUGUUAAAUGAUUUUCAUGAAAACAGCUAAAAUGGGUCAUUUUGUAAAAGUUGUAAAAUAGGUGGUAAAUGUGUGAAAUAAUGGAAAAUGUGGGCUGCCCUAAGCAUAAAAAAGGUUCGACUAUGCAUGGGUAGUAAAGAAAUUGAACACAUUUCAAUUUUACGAGCCUAGGGGCAAAAGUGUAAAUAUGACAAAGUAUAGGGGUUACCAAAAAUGUGAAAUUGGGAUAAUUUGAGUAGUAUGAUGAAUAAAUAAAUUAAAUGUGUUGUUAUAGAUCAAGGAAGAUGACAUUCGAAAUUUAGAUCUGGGGAAAGCAAGAUAAUCGAGAAAUUGACUUAUUUCGUCGUUUCAUAUUGAGGUAAGUUUGUAUGUUAAUAAGCAUUAAAUUUGAUAUGUUUAAAUGCUUAACCAAUAUCAUGUAUUAUUUCGUAUGUUAUUAUUGGAUCAUGCGUAAUAUAAAAAUACGAGAUCGUAUUGAAAGAUCAAAUUAAGAGAAAUGCAGGGUUAAGCAUGAUCGAAUUACGACAUGUUAUGAACUAACGGUAAAGACCAUGGUUGGACCAUGGAAUUUUUGUAACCGCGUAAGACCAUGUCUGGGACAUGGCAUCGGCAUUGUUAUGUGAGCCAGUGUAAGACCAUGUCUAGGACAUGGCAUCGGCAUCAUUAUGUGAGCCAAUGUCAGACCAUGUCUAGGACAUGGCAUCGACAUCAUUAUGUGAACCAGUCUAAGACCAUGUCUGGGACAUGGCAUUAGCAUUGUUAAGUUAGCCAGUGUAAGAACAUGUCCGGGACAUGGCAUCGACAUGAGGCAUCGUGUAAGACCAUAGCUGGGCUAUUGGCAUUGAUAUGAGAUUUCCAUGUAAGACCAUGUCUGGGACAUGGCAUUGGUACGAUACAUCAUGUAUGAGUUUUCUUGAGUAUCCUUGGUAUCCCAAAAGGUUCAACGGGUAAAUCCAAAGAUUUUGUCAAAGAAAUGAUAAGGUAUGAUCAUGUUGAAAGGGUACAAGUAUGUACGCAAAAUUCAUGAGUAAUGAAUUCGAUAUAUAUGGGACAUUUGGUAAGAAUGUAAAUGAGUAAGUCCUACCUAUGAAAAUGAUCGAUGACCUUGUGAUUAUAAGGUUAUACUUAUGAUGUAUAAAUAGGUGGUAAAUUUGUUUGAUGAUCAUGUGUGAGGCUUUUAGGCCAAAUUAAAUUGAGACAUGAUAAGUUUAAGUUUUGUUGUUGAUGUAUAGGUUAAACUGGCCAAUGAAUGGCAUCUAAAUAGUUGAUAAUGACUAGCUAUUGUAAUGGCUAGUUAAGGAUAUGCUUUGGUGUUAUGUAUGAUUAAAUGGGAGUUCAUACAAAGAAAUCAUGAAAGAGUAAAGUUAGCAGUAAAACAGUUCUGGACAGAAGAAAUUGUUUAACUUUGAAAAAUCACCAAAAAUUGUGGAAAUUGAAUUAGAGGUUGACUAAGACAUGACAUUAAACCUUAUUGAGCCUAGUUUCACAUAGACAAAACAACAUAAGCAAAAGAAUUUCAUAUUAUGAGAUAUUUGAAUUUUUGUGGGACAAGGUCAAGAUGAAUCCAGAAUCACCUGUUCUGACUUUGGAAAAUCAUUAAAAAUAUAUAAAAACAAUUACAAGCUAUGAUUUAUAUUUUUUAUAUUCUUAAUUAAUUUAUUUUCAAGAUAAUCAAAUGAGAACAUCAUCUGAGUCCCGUACGAGGAGAUAAUUAAUUUUUAGUGAAGAAUGGUCAAAACUGUUGGACAGUAGAAUAGGGAUGAUUUUAAAGAAUAAACUGUACUUAUUGGCUAGACCAAAAAUUCUAGAAAUUUUAUGGUAAGAAGAUAUGUGUAGUUUUAGGGAAAAUUAGCGGAACUUAAUGUGGAGUUCCGUAGCUCAAGAUAUAAAUAAUUUAGUGACUAUAACUCGAGUAGACAGCUUGAUAUGAAAAUAAGUGAAUAGUGGAACUUUGUGCAAUUAUGAUUGCAUUAUCUUGAGAACAUAUUAUGAGGAUUGUUAAAAGCAUGUUAAUAAUUUUAUUAUUAUUUACAUACCUACUUACUAAGCUAUAUGCUUACUCUCUCUUCCUUUCCUUUUUCCUAUAGUGUCACAAAUGCUAGCUUGAGUUGGAGGUCAUUAGAGAUCCCAUCACACUAACAAGCUAUUGAUGGGUAUUAAUGAUUUUCUAGCAUUUUAAGUGUAUGGCAUGUAUAGGGAUUUGGUUAUUGUGUACAUGAUAUUAUGAGUUGGCUUAGAAUAUUGGCCUAUGCUACUAUUUGCUAUGUUAUAAGUCUAUGAUGAAGUAUUACAUGGAUGUGCAUGCUUGUUUGGUUUGGAUGAGUGAAUGUGUGAUAAUUAUGUGUGGAAAAUACUAAAUGUGAAUGGUUGAGUAAGUUACAUGUUAUAAUUUGUUAAGUGUGUGUGUGGUUGUGCAUGUUGAAUGUGAUUUAUAAAUAGUGUGUGAAUGUCAUGGUGUGGUUAUUGGGAUGCCUAAAAAUGUCAUGUUGUGCGUUGAUAAACUUAGUAUGGGUGUGCAAGUGUUUUUAGAUGGAAAAAGGCUUGGUAAAUACCCUAACUAUCAUCCACACAGAUGGCCACACGACCUAGCACACGAGCGUGUGACAUGGCCGUGUGACCCUAAAUGGGUGAUGACAUCAUAAACAGAGAGUUACACGGGUAGAGGACACGGGUAUGUGACUCUCCAAAAUAUGAAAAUUUUCUUAGUGUCUCAAAAGUUUCAAAAGUUCUCGGUUUAGUCCCUAACCACCUCCAAUGUAUGUUUUGGGCCUCGUAGGCCCAUAUAAGGGACUUUAAGAUAGAAAUUGAAAAGUUUUAAAUUUGAACGGAAUUUUAUGACCUGGGUAAGGGGUGUUACACUAGCCGAAUUCAUUAAAGACCCAUAUCAACCCAUGUAAAUCAUUAUUUCACAAAUUUACCAUGAAUUUUAUUACUUUUACAAAAUAAGUCCCUAAAUGACAUAUUCAUCAAAAAUCACUUUACAAAACUUGUUUAUUUAUCCACAAAGACUCUUAAUCUACCAUCAAACAUUAAGAAUCAUGUAAUAACAUUCAUGGAAAAGCCCUAUAUAUUUAACAAUGUUUUAAAUUAUUCCACAGGCUAGCUAGAUUAAGCUACAACGAUCCCGAAAACAUAAAAAUCAUUAAAAACGAGGCUUGAAAAGUCACCAUGCACACAAUCAAAGCUCAACCAAAUGCUCCCUCUUUUCCAAUUUCCAAAAUUUUUUUAGGUUAGUGAAAUGAAGAAGAUGGACAUUUUGUUUUAAUUAAUUUAACUUUUAUUUACUCAUUUACUUUUUUACCCUUUAAAAACAUUCAAAAUUAAAACCUUGCCAUGAAUAUCCUUUAACUAUAAAUGGUUUAAUUACCAUCUAAGUCCUCUUACUUUAAAGUUCCAUACCCAUUAAACCCCCUUAACUAAUAGACUCUAAUUUUACACUUUUUACGAUUUAGUCUUUUUUACUUAAUUAGGCAUGCAAACAUCAAAAUUUCUUAACGAAAUUUUAAUACGACCUUACUACCCUCUCAUAGACAUUAAAAUAAUAAUUUAUUCAUUGGGCUUAUGGUCCCGAAACUACUAUUCUGAUUUCACUGAAAACGGGCUGUUACAGUUUGCAUUUUUUUAAUUUAGUCCUUUUUCUUUAAUUAGCUAACUAAACAUUAAAAUUUAUUAACCAAAAUUUAGUACAAUCUUAAUAACUUUGUAAAUUUUCUAUAAAUAAUAUUUACGAGUCAACAUGAGAAAAAUUUAGGGUCCCAAAACCACUACUUUGUCACCACUGAAAACGAACCGUUACAGAAAGAUUAUACUUAGAAAGAAGGUAUCGAUUACAUAGAAACCAUCUCUUUGGCUCCCACGCUCAAGUUAAUCCAUAUAUUACUAUCCAUUCUAGUGGCUCCCGACUAUGAUAUUAGGCAAAUGGAUGUCAAGACGCGUUUCUAAAUAAUUAGCUUGAAGAAUGCAUCUAUAUGAUGCAACCCACCAGAUAUAUUGCUAAAAGAAACGAGCAUAAAGUUUUCAAACUGCUUUGAUCCAUAUUUGGACUUAAGCAAGCAUCCUGAACAUGGAAUCAAAGUUUUGAUAAAGCGAUCUAGAACUUUGGAUUUGAUAAAAACGUAGAUGAUCCUUAUGUUUACAAACGUUUAAAGGAUCGAAAAGUGGUCUUUCUCAUUCUCUAUAUCGAUGACAUUUUACUUGUUGGAAAUAAUGUAGGGACAUUAUCAUCAAUUAAAUUGUGGUUAUCCAAAUAGUUAACAUAAAGGACUUGAGAGAAGCUAGUUUUCUUUUAGGUAUUCGGAUCCUAAAGGAUCGAAAGAACAAAGUGAUAGUACUGUUUUAAGCUUCAUACAUAGACAAGAUAUUAGAGUGUUAUGCAAUGACCGAUUCAAAGAAGGGGAAUCAACCCUUUGUAUCGAGAUUUCAUCUCUCUUUAGAAGAUUUUCCAAAGACAGCAAAAGAAAGAGAGAACAUGUGAAAGAUUCCUUAUGUUUCGCUUGUAGAAAGACUCAUAUAUGUUAUGUUGUGCACAUGCCCAGAUAUUUAUUUUGCUGUGGGGUUGGUGAGUUGAUAUCAGGAGAAUCUAGGACCAAGAAAUUGGCAAGCAAUUACACAUAUACUCAAGUAUUUAAGGAGAAUAUAUGUAACACCCCUUACCCAUGUCCGACGCCGGGACAGGGUACGAGGCAUUACCAGACUUAAACAAAACCAACAUACAAAACUGGGCUAUAAAAUUUCGUCCAAAUUUAAAACUUUUCAAUCACAUGCAAAUUUUCCCUUAUAAGGUGGUUCGGGACUAAACCGAGAACUUUAGAAAACUUUAAGAAGACUUAGAAAAUUUUCUUGUUUUAGAGAGUCACACGCCCAAGUGGGUAGGCCGUAUGGUCACACACGCCCGUGUGGCUUGGGACACGCUCGUGUCUCAGCCCGUGUAACUCUCUGUUUAUGACGUCAUCAGCAAAAUGAGGUCACACGGUCAUAGCACACACCCAUGUACUUAGGUCGUGUGGCGAAUUAAAUUCUAAAAAAUAAAUACAAACUUCACACGGCCUGGGCACACGCCCAUGUCCUGAGGCCGUGUUCUUCACACAGUUGAGACACACGGCCAUGUCUCUACUCGUGUAUUUACUUCUAGGCUUUUUUUUGCAUUAAUUAGGGUGCAGAGGACACACGGCCAGACCACACGCCCAUGGGGUAGAUUGUGUGUCACACAUGGCCUAGACAUACGCCCGUGUGCCUACCUGUGUGGACAACUUUGAGGUUAUUAUCCAAGCAAUUUGUCACCCUUAAAUGCUCACUCACUCAUACAUUUUUAAUGACAUGUAGCCUAAUAUAUUUAGUCACUCAAAUACUCAUAAAUAUGAUUAAUCCAUGAUUUUGUAAUGUCAACAUAUCACAUACUCAAACCACCAUACUUUCAUAUGACAUUCCGCACCAAUUUCAUAUUUGUUCAUCCUUACAGCCCUACCUUUAAUCUACUUAUUUAUACCAUAGCUUUGGCCAUACAUAUUAGCCAUAAUUUAUUCAUUAAGCACAUAAGCCAUUCAUCCCUCAUAUCAUCAACAAGCAACCACAUCAAGUAUAACACAUUGCAUGCAUGCAUAAUUAAAUAGGGUUACAACCCAAAUAAUCAAUAUGAGCCACCUCUCAUGGCUAUAUAGAAAUUGAAUCAUAACAUCAUCAUUAGCCAACACAUUUGUCUAAUCAAUAUGACACAUAACAAAAGACCAAGUCCUUAUACAUGCCAUAUUCAAAAUGUUAAAACUAACUAUACCCAAUUUUCCAAUUGAUAGUGUGAUAGAAAACUCCGAGGCCCUCCGAUCCCCGAGCUAGCUUGGCAACACUAUAAGAAAAUGGAAAGGAAAAGGGGUAAGCUUUAAAGCUUAGUAAGUUCACAUGCAAAUAGAAUGAAAUUUAAAUAAGCAUUAAUCAUACAUUUAACUUAAUCAACAUAAACUUGCAUUUUAUUAUCAAAUCACUUAAACUUAUUCUUCAUAUAUACAUAUUCUUACCACAAGUUCAUCACAUCCCAUGAUCUUCUCAUGAGUUCAAUAUACAUAUUGGUGCCCACUUGUACAUAACAACUUACUUUCUCGUCUUUGACGUAUUCAUCAAGAUUACCCAUUGAACUUCUCUUUGGACUACCUGUUAAACACUUGGACUACCAUUGGAUACAUCAGAAUCUCGCACCUAAGUGCCCCAUAUGUAGUCAACGCUACCCCAUAUCACAUAUCACAUGUUGCUCGCUUUUGAGCUACUCACGAAUCUACUCAUACAAGCUGUCGGUCAGAAUGUAGCUAUACAGGCUACUCACACAAGCUGUUAGGUAUCCGCAACACAUGCCGGACUAUCCAGCCACCGGUAGAACAUACAAGACCAAUACCCAGAACCCCAUAACAUGUGUCACACAUAUCAUGGACUCAGACCAUAACUCAUGAGCUUAGAUCACAUAGUUCCUAGUGAUGUGUCACUUUUAUCCUAAACUAUUCCUAAGGUUCAAACGGGACUUUCAUACUUAUCACAUCACUGUUGGACUCACUCGAAAUAUCGACCUCAGUGUACAUAGUAUCAAUCAUUUUCUCAUAGAAGGAUUAAGACAUAAUCAUAACAAUAAUAAAGGAUUUAAAUUUACAAAAUAACAAAGCAUUGAACAUAAUACAUAUUGCAUUUUUCACAUAUGAACUUACCUCAGUACAAAAUGAUAAAAAUGAGCCUAAUCCUCAGAAACCUUGUUUUUCCCCCCAUCAAGACCCAAAUCACAUUUUUCUUGAUCUAUAAUUCCAAAUUUAACUUAUUUCAUACAUAAAUUAUUCAAAUCGACCCAUAACACAUACUUUGGUAAAAUUACCUUUUUACCCCUAACUUUUCACUUAUUUACACUUUAGUCCCUAGGCUCGUAAAAUGAAAUGUAUGCCUUUUCUUGGUUACCCAAGCCUAGCCAAUUCAUAUUCUAACUCAUAUCAACCCACAUUUCUCAUUAAAUCACAUUUCUACUACCCAUUUCUACAUCUUUUACAAAUAAGUCCCUUUUAGGUGUUUUCACUAAAAAUCACUUAGUAAAAGAUGUUCAUCACACAUCAUGUAAUGCCCCAAAAAUUUGGAGUAUUUAAUUUUGUACUAUCUGACACAAAUUACAUGUUUGCUUUAUUGGCUUAGUGAUUUGAGUGGGUUUGGGAGUGUUUGAGAAUCCUAGGUCCAAGUCUUGGUUUUGCAAAAUUUUUAGUAUUGCUCUUAAAUGAAUCUGGACACUGUCAUAUAGGCCUUAUAAAUAAUAGUGCUUAUUUUAUGACACAAAGUGAGCGUGUGGUCUAGUGGCAAGGAGGCGUGUUGCUUCUGCUGAGGGACUUAAGUUUGAGUCCUGGGUUGUGCAAUGCAGUAAUUAUUUUGCUAUUGAGCUGGGUAGGUAGUGGAGUUAGACUGACACUCUGAGGUUGAAUUGGUCAUGAGAGUUUUAAUAGAGUUUGAAUGGGAUGUUGGAGUGUUUUGUGGAGAGAUAUUAGGAGAAAAUCAAGGAGUUUUUGGGUGUGGAUGUGGUAGUGCCGAAUUGGGUCUCUAGUUACUCAGAAUUUCGGCUGUAACUCUUUUGGGGGAGUAUUCCUUGUUUCAAUUUCUCAUUUUGGCACUUUUCUUUUGCAUUUUUCUCUCUGGCCGAAUAUUUUUGGUUUGUAGAAACGUAAAUUGCACUUUGGUGAAUUGCUAGUAAGCUAAGUGCUUCUUUGUACGUAAAUCGCAGUUUGGUCAAUUGCUAGUAAGCUGAGUGUUUCUUUGUACCUUUCAGGUUUGUGGUUUCUGUCUUUCAAUUUUCUCUCCUAGCCGAACCUCUAUUCUCUCACAUCUUUUUCACUCUUUUCUUUCUUCCCUCUUUGCUACCCCCUUUUUGGUGAACCGGUUGCUCACUGUCCUUUCUUUUCCUCUUUUUCACCCAUUUCGAUUGGUGUCAUUGGUUCAUGACCAAUUCUCUUCUCAUCAUCUCUUCAUCUUGUUGUAGUUUGACGACUGUGGUGUGCUAUUCUUCUGAUUCUCAAAAUUUUCCUCGAGAAGUAAAGGAUUUUUGGUGAUAUUUAGCCGUAGAAAUCGUUUUCUUAUCACUCGAUUUAACGUAAGUUUAUGGGCUAACACGUGGGGUAUUUGUCGAAUGCCCUAUCUCUAGUUUUGAGUGUUAUUUAAACAAUAGGUUUCGAUUCAAAUCUUUGUAUUAUGUGAUUUUUGUUAAUGGGUUCCCUGGAUAAUGCAACUUUUCAACAAAAGAGGGUGUGGCCAACUUUUGAUUAACAUUAUUGACGAGUUAAACUUCAUUCGUGGAUUAAGGCAAGUGUUGUUGCUGUUCUUUUUGGGAUUAAGUAUUAGUAAGAGGGUGUUGGCCCUAAUGCGAAAUGUUUAACCGAAUGUCUUGAUUAAUGUAGGUUCAUGUUCGAAGGCUUUUUGCAAGUAUUCACAACCAGGUCUAUAAUCACACCCUCUUUCAACUGUAAAACGGUAAAAGCUGAAAAGCUGAAAAGUAGAAGAUACGAAAUUUGAGGCCACACGAGCUUGCGAUCACUUGUGUAGUAAACUAAGUCCACGAAUCAUGGGCGUAAGAUUGUAGAGGACACCAUGGGCAUCCUCAUAGGCUUAGGCUGCUUUGGGCCCUGUUGGGCUGAAAUAGGCCGUGUGGGCCAAUGGGCUCGUGGGCACCACAUGGAUAAAAUCCACAAUACAUGGUAGUUACUAGACUGGGCUGUGUAGUUCGCAUGGCCAUGGUAAUUUUUGGGUUUAUGGGCCGCACAGGCGUGUGGGCCUACUUGGGUCGCAUAAUCGGCCAUGGGCCCUUUUACACUGUUAGGAUCGUUAAGGUUAUACAAGUCGCUUGAUGUGACUGUAGACCUUCUGAUGGGUCAAGAAGAGUACCUAGACCCCAAGAUAGGUAAAAUGACCAAAAUACGCCUAAGGGUAAAAUGACUAUUUUACCCCUCGAGGGUAAAUGACUUAUUUGUGCUAUGAUUUGACUGUACUGAGCAUGACAUUCUGCAUACUUGUAUGAUUUAUGACAUGACAUUCUCCUUGGGGUUGGGAUACUGUUAAAAAGGAAGUGUAUUAUAGUGGUGGCUUCACCACAUAUACUAUUACUGGUGGCUUUGCCACAUAUACUGAUAAUGGUAGCUUUGCUGAGAUACUGUUACUGGCAGCCUUGCUGCGAUAAUGGUGUGUUGGCUGGUUAGGUUGACUUUGUCACCACAAUGUUAUUGUAUUGGGCUAAAGCCCACUCUAUUCUAUUUCUGAGUAGGGCUCAGGCCCAGACUGUUACUGUAUGUUGUAUACCGAUCGACUGGUAGGGGAUUACACACUGAGUUUUUGCAAACUCACUCUUUCUUUUUUACUGUGCAGGUAAUCCCCAGCUAUAAGCGAUUUGGUGUUGCGAGGGACUCGAAGGUGGCCACAUGACUGCAAUUAAUUUACAUUUGGUUUUAUUUAUACUUAAAGUUUUGUUUUGGGUUUAUGUUUUUGUAAUAAGGCCAUUUAUGGGAUAUAAUUUUUAUUUGGGAUUUUAUUUAUUUACUUAAAACUACUAUUUUUAAGAAGUCGUGUUUCCAAAAAAAAUAACUAUUUUUCAAAAAUAAGUGUUUCAACUUCAAGGUUUUAAAAGCUUCUGUAAAACUGAAACAGAUUAGUAUUUCAAAGUAAUUAAUUUGGUAAAAUGUUUUGACAAGAUGUUUUGAUAAUAGCAAAGAACAUGACUCACUAAAGUUUUCGCAAAGACACUUGGGUGUGACACACCGGAUUUGGCCAUAACUUCUAGGCCCGGUUCAGGGUGUUGCAUUUAAUGGUAUCAGAGUCAGGUUGCAAAACUCAGCUGUGGAAUGGGUUUUGAAAAUGUUUGAAAUUUUUAGAAAAAUUGUUCUUGAAAUAUUUUGGAAGAUUCGCAAGUAUGGCGCACCGAGUCUCCGAUGCCAAAUCCGUAAGUUUCUUGAUAACUGAUGAUUGAUUAGACUAAAAUACAAUAUUGAGAUUACUUUAGAUAUGAGACUGUACUGUGAUACUCUAGUUAGAGUAAAAUGAAUCUGUAGGAAAUUGAAAACUAUAGUGAGACCUCGAUCUGCGAAAACCAACUCUGAUUAUUAUUUUUCAUAAGACAUCUAUUAGUAAUUACUGGAAUUACUAACUGAUACAUAAAACUUCUAAACCAGAUAAUACGUGAAUCGAUAUGAGCACAAGAGGUACUCGCGGAAAGGGUACUAGAGGCCGCGGUAGAGGCCGUGGAAAUGCUAGGGCUGGGUCUUUGACAUCGGGCCACGUGCCUAACGUUGAGGCUAGGGAGGCCCCAGCUUCACCUGUAACUAAGAUGGGGUCAUAUGAUCGAGCAGCUAGGGAUGAUGCACUAUCCCAAGAUAUGCUCCAAAUUCUAGAGAGAGUUGCUGGAACCAAUAAGGGUGCUGUGGGCCGUGGGUCAAUUUCAGAACGACUCCGGUCCAAUGGAGAAAACAAUUUUAAGGGUAUUUCUACAGUAGCCCUAAUGUGGCUAAAUAUUGGUUGAAAGACACGGAGAGAAUAAUGGACGAUCUCAACUGUACUUUUGAACAAAAACUAAAGGGUAUAGUGUCUUUACUGCGAGACGAAGCCUAUCAGUGGUGGCUUACUGUGAGAGAGGGUACUCAGGCUGACCGAUUAACAUGGGAUUUCUUUAAGACGGCAUUACAAGGGAAAUAUGUGAGCACAAGUUAUGUGGACGCCCGAAGAAGGGAAUUUUUUUGCUUAACCUAGGGGAAUAAAUCUGUGGCAAAAUAUGAGGCAGAGUUCUUCCGACUUAGCCGCUAUACUCGUGAGAUAGUGGCUAAUGAAUAAGAAUGUUGUGUGCAUUUCGAGGAUGGCCUCCAAGAUGAGUUACGAGUCCUGAUCGCUCCACAGAGGGAUCAAGAUUUUUCUGCCCUUGUAGAAAAAGCGAAGAUCGCUAAAGAUGUGAAGCGCUCUAAGCACGAGAAUCGAGAAAAAGAUAGGGGCAAAAAUAAGUGGGAUUCAGGGUCCUAAGGUUCUUUUGGUGGGUCUAAAAAGAGCGCCAAGUUUGAUGGGCCGUCCUGAGCUGGGGUUCCUGUUGCAAGAUCGUAGCCUUGUGCAGAUUGUGGGAGACAUCAUUUGGGUGAGUGCUGGAAGAAGAUUGGGGCGUGUUUCAAAUAUGGGUCUAUGGAGCAUCAAGUUAAGAAUUGUCCUUAGAGACCUAUACAAAUGCAAGCUACAAGAUAUGGUUAUGUAGCCACCGAGAGGUUAUGGUCAGGCCAGAGGAGGAAAUGGUAUGGGGCGAGGUCGUGGAGCACCAAGCAGAGGUGCUGGUAAUACUAUGGAGAGGCAGCCAGCUCUAAUAUACGCUGCAUGUCACUGAAAAGACGGAGACACCCCAGAUGUUAUAACUGGUACGUUCCUAAUCCAUAAUGUACGUUAUACUGCUUUGAUCAAUAUUGGGUCUACGUACUCAUACAUUGCAUACACUGUGUCUGGAACCUUGGGUAUCUUGUGUGUGAGUAUUGUUAGUGAGAUGACUAUGAUAAGUCCACUGGGAUAGUCAGUAAGAGUAGAUAAAUUGUUCAGGAAUGUGCCCCUAGAGGUCCAAGGAGUGAUUUUUCCAACAGAUUUGAUGGAGUUACCGUUUGGGUAUCUUAGGGAUGGAUUGGCUGGUUCAAUACCGUGCAAGUUUCGAUUGUGCUGCUAAGCAUGUGGUGUUGAAGACUACUGAGGAUGAGGAGGUGAUUGUGAUUGGAGAGCGAAGGGAUUAUCUAUCAAAUGUAAUCUCUGCACUGAGGGCUAAGAAAUAUGUUCGUAAGGGUUGUGAGGCAUUUUUAGCCUACAUUGGUGUAUCUGAUUCUGAGGGUUCUUUGGUCGAAGGUAUUAGAACUGUUAAGGAUUUUCCUGAUGUAUUUCAUGAUGAAUUCCCUGGGUCGCCUUUGAGCCGUGAGGUCGAGUUUGGUAUUGAGCUCCUAUCGGGAACGACUCUAGUGUCCAUCGCCCCUUAUAGGAUGGCACCGAAAGAGCUGGUGGAGUUGAAAGCUCAAAUACAAGAACUGUUGGACUAAGGGUUCAUUCGACCCAGUGUGUCUACGUGGGGAGCACCAAUGUUGUUCAUGAAGAAGAAGGAUGGAUCUAUGCGUAUGUGCAUCGACUAUCGGCAGUUGAACAAAUUGACUAUCAAGAAUAAGUACGCUUUACCGAGGAUAGAUGAUUUAUUUGAUUAGCUGCGUGGAGAUUCGGUUUUCUCCAAAAUAGAUCUUUGUUCUGUGUAUCAUCAGCUGAGAGUUAAAGAGACUGAUGUGUACAAGAUAGCGUUUAGGACUCGUUAUGGUCAUUAUGAGUUCCUAGUGAUGCCGUUUGGGCUGACGAAUGCACCAGCUGCCUUUAUGGAUUUGAUGAACCAAGCAUUCCAGCCCUAUCUAGAUCGGUUCGUGAUAGUAUUUAUAGAUGAUAUUCUGGUGUAUUCGGAAACUGAGGAAGAACAUGAUGCGCGUCUUCAUUCUACAGAUUUUGAGGGAGAAGCAAUUAUACGCUAAAUUCAGCAAAUGUGAGUUCUGGUUAUAAUAAGGUUCUGACUAAGGCCCCUAUUUUGAUAUAGCCAGAAUCUGGGAAGAAAUUCACUAUUUUUAAUGAUGCAUCGCACGUUGGUUUGGGUUAUGUAUUGAUGCAAGAGGGUAAAGUGGUUGCUUACGCGUCUCGUCAGCUUAAAACCCAUGAAGUGAAUUACCCUACGCAUGACUUGGAGUUAGCUGCGAUGGUUUUUGCUCUAAAAAUUUGGAGGCAUUACUUGUACGGUGAGAAGUGUAUCAUUUACAUUGAUCAUAAAAGCCUUAAGUACCUCAUCAUUCAAAAAGAGCUGAAUCUUAGGCAACGAAGGUGGAUAGAGCUGCUCAAGGAUUAUGACUGCUCAAUUGAAUACCAUCUUUGUAAGGCUAAUGUGGUAGCUGAUGCACUGAGCCAUAGGGCUAUAGUUGAUUUAAGAGCGAUGUUUGCUCGACUCAGCUUGCUUGAUGAUGGUAGCUUGCUGGCUGACCUACAAGUUAAACCGACAUUGACUUAACAGAUUAGGGGUAAGCAGUUGAUGGAUAGGUCAUUGGUUCCUUGUUUUCGACAAGUUGAGAAUGGGAGAUUUUAGAUUUUGGACUGAAUAGUGAAGGGGUACUGUGUUUUCGUGGGAGAGUCUAUGUACCGAAGGAUUCUGAUCUAAGGCAGUCUAUACUGUAAUAGGCACAUGGUAGUCCAUAUGCUAUGCAUCCUGGCGGAAACAAGUUAUACUGAGAUGUUCGUGAGCUGUACUGGUGGCCAGGACUUAAGCGCGAAGUUACCGAUUCUGUAAGUAAGUGUCUGACAUGCCAACAAUUUAAGGCUGAGCAUCAACUGCCUUCAGGCUUACUGCAACCAAUUAAAAUUCCACUCUAGAAGUGGGAGAGGGUAAUCAUGGAUUUUGUGAGUGGGCUGCCCUUAACACCUACUAAGAAGGAUUCGAUAUGGGUUAUCGUAGAUCGAUUGACUAAAUCUGCCCAUUUUAUACUGGUCUAUACUAAUUAUUCACUGCAGAAGUUAGCUAAGCUAUAUGUAGCUGAGAUUGUAAGACUGCAUGGCGUACCGGUUUCCAUUAUAUCUGACAGAGAUCAUCGAUUCACAUAUCGGUUUUGGAAGAAGUUACACGAGGCACUAGGAGCAAGGCUAGACUUCAGUACUACAUUCCAUCCUCAGACAGACGGUUAGUCAGAGAGGGUGAUUUAGAUACUGGAGGACAUGCUAAGAAGUUGUGUAAUUGAUUUUCAAGGCAGUUGGAAAGACUACUUGCUAUUAACGGAGUUCGCAUAUAAUAAUAGCUACCAGUCCAGCAUUCAAGUGGCACCGAAUGAAGCAUUAUGUGGUCGUAUAUGUCAUACUCUUAAGUGUUGGACUGAGUUGGGUGAGCGACGAGCUCUGGGGCCUGAAAUAGUUUUUGAUACUGAAAACAAGGUAAGGCUAAUUCGAGACUGUUUAAAGACAGUGUCAGAUAGACAGAAGUCAUAUGAAGACUUGAAACGUAAAGAGAUUGGGUACUCUGUGGGGGAUUAUGUCUUUCUUAAAGUCUCACCAUGGAAGAAGAUUCUGAGGUUUGGACGAAAGGGCAAGCUAAGCCCUAGGUUCAUUGGGCCUUAUCGUAUAUUGAAGCGUGUGGGACCGGUCGCCUAUCAACUUGAGUUGCCUCCAAAGUUGGACCAGAUUCAUGAUGUAUUCCACGUAUCCAAGCUAAGGCGUUAUCGCUCUGAUCCCACAUAUAUUGUACCAGUCGAGGAGAUCGAGGUUAGACUAGAUCUGACCUUCGAGGAGGAAUCAGGGCAAAUAUUGGAUCAUGAAGUUAAGGUACUGAGGAGGAAAUCUAUUCCACUAGUUAAAGUAAUUUGGCAUAAUCACAGCUCAGAGGAAGCCACGUGGGAACCUGAGGAGGCUAUGCAACAACAAUACCCUCAUCUUUUCAGAUCAGAUAAAUUUUGAGGUCGAAAUUUCUUUAAAGAGGGUAGAGUUGUAAUGCCCCAAAAAUUUAGAGUCUUUAAUUUUUUACUAUCUAACACAAAUUACAUAUUUGCUUUACUAGCUUAGUGAUUUGAGUGAGUUUCGGAGUGUUUGAGAAGCCUGGGUUCAAGUCUUGCCUUUUGCAAAAUUUUUAGUAUUGCUCUUAAAUGAAUCUGGACACUGUCAUGUAGGACUUAUAAAUAAUAGUGCUUGUUUUAUGACACAAAGAGAGCGUGUAGUCUAGUGGCAAGGAGGUGUGCUGCUUCUGCUGGGGGACUUGAGUUCGAGUCCUGGGUUGCGCAAUGGAGUAAUUAUUUUACUAUUGAACUGGGUAGGUAGUGGAGUUGGACUGAGACUCUCAGGUUGAAUUGGUCAAGAGAAUUUGAAUAGAAUUUGAAUACGAUGUUAGAGUGUUUUAUGAAGAGAAUCAGGGAAAGAUAUUAGGAGAAAAUCAAGGAUUUUGAGGGUGUGGAUGUGGUAGUGCCAAAUUACGUCUCUAGUUACUCAAAAUUUCAACUGUAACUAUUUUGGGGGAGUAUUCCUUGUUUCGGUUUCUUAUUUUGGCACUUUUCUUUUUCAUUUUUCUCUCUGGCCGAAUAUUUUCGGUUCGUAAAAAUGUAAAUUGAACUUUGGUCAAUUGCUUAUAAGCUGAUUGCUUCUUUGUACCUUUUGGGUUUGUGGUUUCUGUAUUUCAAUUUUCUCUCCUAGCCGAACCUCUCUUCUCUCUCUUCUCUGUGUUUUUUUCCUUCUUCACUAUUUGCUACCCCUUUUUUUGGUGAACCGGUUGCUCACUGUCCUUUCUUCUCCUCUUUUUCUUCUAUUUUGGUUGGUGUCAUUAUUUCAUGACCGAUUCUCUCCUCCUCAUCUCUACAUCUUGUUGCAAUUUGACGACUGUGGUGUGCUAUUUUUUUGAUUCUCAAAAGUUUCCUCAAGUAGUGAAGGAGUUUUGGUGAUAUUUAGCUGUCGAAAUCAUUUUCUUAUCACUCGAUUUAAGGUAAGUUUGUUGGCUAACAUGUGGGGUGUUGGCCGAAUGCCCUAUCUUUGGUUUUGAGUGUUAUUUAGACAAUAGGUUUCGAUUCAAAUCUUUGGAUUAUGCGAUGGUUGUUAAUAGGUUCCCUAGAUAAUGCAGCUUUUCAGCAAAAGAGGGUGUGCCCAACUUUCGAUUAACAUUAUUGACGAAUUAAACUUCAUUCAUGGAUUAAGGCAAAUGUUGUUGCUAUUCUUUUCGGGAUUAAGUAUUAGUAAGAGCGUGUUGACCCUAAUGCCAAACAUUUAACUGAAUGUCUUGAUUAAUAUAGGUUCGUGUUCGAAGGCUUUUUACAAGUAUUCAGAACCUAGUGUGUAAUCACACCCCCUUUUAAUUGUAAAACAGGAAAAGCCAAAAAGCAGAAGAUACGACAUUUGAGGCCACACAAGUGCGUGAUUGCUCGUGUGGUAAACCAAGCCCAUGAAUCAUGGGCGUAAGACUGUAGAGGCCACCCUAGGCGUUCUCAUGAGCUUAGGCUGCUUUAGGCCAUGUUGGGCCGAAAUAGGCCGUGUGGGCUAAUGGACUCGUGGGCACCACAUGGAUAAAAUCAACGAUACGUGGUAGUUACUAGACUGGGCUGUGUAGUUCGCAUGGCCAUGGUAAUUUUUGGGCUUGAUGGGCCACACGGGCAUGUGGGCCUACUUGGGCCGCAUAAUGGGCCUUGGGCCAUUUUACACUGUUAGCAUCGUUAAGUUUAUACGAGUCGCUCGAGCCAAUUGUAGACAUUCUGUUAGGACGAGAAGAGUACCUAGACCCAAGACAGGUAAAAUGACCAAAAUACCUCUAUAGGGUAAAAUGACUAUUUUACCCCUCGAAGGUAAAUGACUGAUUUGUGCUAUGAUUUGACUAUACUGAGCAUGACAUUCUACAUACUUGUAUGGUUUAUGGUAUGACAUUCUGCACGGGGUUGGGACACUGUUAAGGAGGAAGGGUAUUAUACUAGUGGCUUCGCCACAUAUACUGUUACUAGUGGCUUUGCCACAUAUACUGAUACUGGCAGUUUUACUGCGAUACUUUUACUGGUAACCUUGUUGCGAUAACGGUGUGUUAGCGGGUGGGUUGACUUUUUCCCCACAUGGUGUGUUAGUGGUACAGAGUGGUGUGUUGGCUGGUUUGGGAUGGGCUGCAUCAUUGAACCACAUUGCUACUGUAUUGGGCCAAAGCCCACUCUGUUCUAUUUCUGAGUAGGGCUCAGUCCCAGGCUGUUACUAUAUGUUGUAUACCAAUCGACUGAUAAGGGAUUACAUACUGAGUUUUCAUAAACUCACUCUUUUUUUUACUGUGCAGGUAAUCCCCAACUAUAAGCAAUUUGGUGCUGCGAGGGACUCGGAGGUGGCCACACGACUGCAAUUAGUUUACAUUUGGUUUUAUUUACACUUAAAGUUUCAUUUUGGGUUUAUGUUUUUGUAAUAAGGCCAUUUAUGGGAUAUAAUUUUUAAUUGGCUUUUAUUUAUUUACUUAAAACUAGUGUUUCCAAAAAAAAAACUAUUUUUCUAAAAUACAUGUUUCAACUUCAAGGUUUUAAAAGCUUCCGCAAAACUUAAAUAGAUUAGUAUAUCAAAGCAAUUAAUCUGGUAAAAUGGUUUGAUAAUAUGAUUUGGUAAUAGCAAAGAACUUGACUCGCUAAAGUUUUCGCAAAGACACUUGGAUGUGACACACCGGAUUUGGCCAUAACGUCUAGGCCAGGUUCGAGGUCUUACACAUCAAACUUUCAUAUUAUUCCAUUAAACAUCAAAAUACAAACAUGUCACACAUGGGUCAAGUUUCAUACAUGAACCCUACUUCAAAAUAUGGCUAAUGUAACAGCCCGAUUUAGACCACCCUAAUCGGAACGGUGGUUUCGGGACCACGAAUCUAAGUUAGAAGAAUAUUUUAAAAUUAUUUUUCAUGAUUAUUUUGUGUGAAUUUGCGUUUGUGAAUUUUUUUUGAUUCAAUUUUAUUGUUUAGGUGUCCGAGUAACUUAAAGGACUUAAUCGCGUAAAAUAAAAAUUUAGUGGUUAAAUGUGAAAGUGCUCAAUUGUUGUUGUCUUUAUUAGUGUAGUACUUAUAAUGCAAAUAUACCUUUGAAAUUUUUCAUGGACACAUUCGGUCAAGAAUAGGUGAAUUAUAAAUAGUUUAUGCUAAGGUUAAAAUGGUAACUUUUGUGAUAAAAUGUUAUAAUAUAAAAUAUAUCAUAAAAUACUAAAACAAAACAUAGUGUGUUCAUACUUUCUUAUUGCCGAAUAUCAAAAUAACCAAAUAAAAGAAAUGAAACUUAGGGUUUGGCACUUUCAAGCUUGAUUCAAGGUAAGUUUUAGCUCGAUUUUUAAUAAUUUCUAGGUUUUUGAGAUCGUUGCUUCGAGUACUACAAAACCCAUGCUUGGAUUUUUUAUUUUGAGGAAUAUUUUGAGUUGAGUCAUUGUUGAUAGCUUGUGAUUUUUGUUGUUUGAUGAUGAAAAAUGAAAGAUAUGUUUUAGAUUAACAUAUUUUGUAUUGGAGUUUUUGAUGAUUUUGAGUAAUUAGGACUUAAUUGCAAAAAUAAUAAUUUGAGGGACUAAAAUGUGAAAUUGAUAAAAUAUAUGGACUUGUAUAGGCAUGGGUACCAUUCUGCCUAACAUGGGUGUUUUGAAAUUUUGUGUAUUUUGUGUUUUGUGCAAUAGGGACUAAAUUGUAAAAAUUACAAAUGUCAAGGGUAAAAUGGUAAUUUUCCUAUUUAUUUGUUUUUGGACUAAAUUAAAUGAAAAUAUAUUUUAAUGAGCUUAAUUUAAACAUGUUUAGAUCAAGAACCAAAGAAAUCGAAUUUGGACCGGGGAAAAAUGAAAGUUGUCGACUAGCAGCCCCGUCCCGUUUUAUGACAUGCGAGGUAAGUUUAUAAGAAAAUAGACGUGUUUAAUAUGUUUUUAUGAAAUGUUAGAAUUUAUAUUUGAUGUAGCCGAAUAUGAAAAGGCUUGGUUACUACGUUUCUGAAAUCGUUCCGAUCGAGUUGCGACAUCUGAAAGCUCCGAAUGAACCUUAGGAAUAGCUAGGAUACAUAUGUCAUGACAUAGGAUUCCGAUAUAUGUGUGCGAGUAAGUCCAUAGCAUCGAUUUGUGAUUUCAAUAUGUGUUUACAAGUAAGACCCUGUCUGGGACAGUGGCAUCGAUAUGUGAUUACAUGUAAGACCACAUCUAGGACGCUGGCAUUGUACGAUUUAUGUGAUUAUCCAAGUGUCCUAACCAAUUCUGAUGUUGGUAUUUGGAUAUGUGCAUUCGGCAUUUGAAUGAAUAAUUUGUGUAGUAUUGACAUGUUACUUAACAUGUGUAUAUCUAAUUUGUGUAUUGAGCUACCUAGGUAUUAUUUAUACAUGAGAUGACAUUUGAUGAUUUUUAAAGUUGCAUAAAAGAGUAAAUGGAUGUGUGGUUAUUAUGGCUACUAGUUUGGAAGUUGAUUUAUAUUGUAUUAAAUGAGUGUAUAUGUAUUUGGCUUAGGUGGUUAAAAAUGUUAAUGCAUUUCGUUUUGUUAAUAUGAAUCAAAUAUGUUAUUGAGUUGUUUAUUGCUUAUUACUUACUAAGCUGUGGUAGCUUACUUUGUGUAUUACGUUACUCUGUUUUAUAGAUUUUGUAGUCAAGCUGCAAGCUCAGGGAUCGUCAGCCAAGAUCAUCACACUAUCUACAGCUUUGGUACCUUUAAACUAAACUUGAAUUAUGGCAUAUAUAGGCUGAUUUUGAGGUUAAAUAUUUUGGAAAUGAAUGUAUAUAUAUAAGCCAUGCGAAAAUGGCUAAAAUUUUAUAUAUAAAUUCGGUUAUGUUAGGUAUGGGUUAUGUUUAUCUUAGUUUUAUAGUUAUGUGUUAUGAAUAUAUAACAUUUUUGAUAAGUACUAUAUGCUUGAGAAUGGUUUGCUUAUCAUGUCUAAAUCGGGUCUUAUAUGUUUUUGGUUAAAUGUUUACUGAGCUUGGGUAUUGAAAAAUAUUAUGUGUGUUACAUGAAUAAAAUUUGGUUAAACGUAUAGUGUGCAUAUUAUUUACUUACAUCAUUAAUAAGUUCGGAGGUGGUAUAAAGUAUUUGAAAUACUCAUAAUUGCGUGAGGUAGAUUCGACUUUUACUAGUGAAAUAUACCAAUGUUAUGUUUGAUGUUGGGGUAUGCAUAUCAUGAAUUGAGAAUAGCUUUUAUCUUAGGUUCAAAUUCGGUUUGGUUGUGUCAUGAUUUAAGAUUAAUAUGAUUAUAAUGCAUGGUUUAAAUUGAGUGUUUAUUUAUGGCCUAUAUUUAUGGCGUGAAUGACUUUCCAAUUGUUAUUUGAAAAGUAUUAUAUAUUGGGGUUUAGAUUUAUAUAAGGAUAAGUGUAUUUCGUAAUAGGUCUUAUUAUGUUAGCUGAUAUUUGUAGAUGCUAUUCGUGUAUAAAUUCAUGUGCUUGUAAUGUAGUUGAUAUGUACAUGUGCAUGGAAAAGUGAAUUCAUUAGGUAUUUAUAAAAUAUUAAAUAUGUAAUAAUAGAAUGAGUUAACCAAGUAUACAUAGAAUUAAAAUGGGUUAUUUAUAAUAGAAUGUUUGUUAUUAAAAUUAGUUAAUUUUUAAUAUAUGAAUUACCUAUAGUUUAACCCAUUAAUGCCGCAUACAUGUGAAGAAAAUAGGUUAGUAGUGAAAUUUGGUCCAAUGGAAAAUUUACUUGUGUAUAUGCACGACUUGUAUAAAGAUAAGUAUGGGACAAAUAUUCCGCAAGUAAUUAUUGAUGCAUUACAUGUCCUAUAUAUUCAGUGAAUUGUUUUUAAUAUUUGUAUAUUUUUAAGUAUGGUCUACCUAAGCUAUGUGGUGAAUGACAAUAAAUUUAUGAUUAGAUAUUAGAUUAAAUUAUUAGCAUUGAUAUGAUUUAAAUCUUGAAUUAAUUUGAAAUUUCUGGAACUGUGCUUCUGUUUAAUAAUGUUUCGUAACCCAUUCUGUCGACAAAUACGGGUUAGGGGUGUUACAUUUUAUUGGUAUCAGAGCUACGAUUUAGUCAGUUCUAGGACUACGUAGCGUGUGUGAGUUUAGCUAUACAUGCCAUAAUUAUAUACUGUGAUACUGUGAUGACUUUUGACAUUUGAAAUGUGUUUUCAUAUAGUAAAUAGAUCCUGACCGAGCUGUAGCUGAUGACGUCGAGAGUGUAGCACCUGCACCCGCGCAAGGGACAACGGAAGCUGAUUCUCGACCGACUUCGAAUAAUCCAGAAAGUGAGGCUAAACAAGCCUUCUAUAAAAUGAUGAAUGACUGGUUCACUCGAUAUAUCUGGACAAACCGGACUGCACAACAACCUCCACCCCCGAUUAAUCCUUCUUCCAUGCUUGUUGUACCUCAAGUAAGUGAUCCGUUGCGAUUGACUAGACCACCUCUCGAUAAAAUCAGAAAACAUGGAACUGAAGAGUUUAAAGCCACUAAUGAUGAUGACGCUGAGUGGGUUGAGUUCUGGCUUGAUAAUACCAUCCGUGUGUUUGAUAAGCCAUCCUAUACUCCUGAUGAAUGUUUGAAAUGUGCUAUAUCCUUACUCCAAGACACAGCAUAUCACUGGUGGAAUACCCUGGUAUUAGUAGUUUCGAAAGAGCAGGUGACCUGGGAAUUCUUUUAGACUGAGUUUCGUAAGAAAUAUAUCAGUCAGAGAUUUAUCGAUCAAAAGCGUAAAGAAUUUUUUGAGCUAAAACAGGGUCGAAUGACAGUGACAGAGUAUGAGCGGAAGUUUGUGAGACUCAGUCGGUAUGCUCGAGAGUGUGUAUCUACUGAAGCCAUAGUGUGUAAAAGAUUUCAAGAUGGACUGAACGAAUACAUUAAAUUAUUAGUCGGCAUACUUGAUAUAAAGGAGUUUGUGGUACUUAUUGAGCGAGCCUGCAUAGCUGAAGAGCUCGGGAAAGAGAAAAGAAAGGCUGACUUUGAAGCUAGAGAUGCACGCAAAAGAACAUCCAGUAAGUCAUUUCAGUCGGCAUCAAAGAAAUUCUGAGAUGAUUUCAGCCGUUCUAAAGCCACUUCUGGUUACUCCAGACGGGAUCAGAAUAGACCACUAGUGAGCUCGAGAGCUACCUCAGUAGCUAGUGUGAGUAAUGUCGGAUCAACUCAACCUGAGUGUAAGCAUUGUGGUAAAUGACAUCCCGGUAAUUGCAGGUUGCAUGAUAGGGCCUAUUUUAGAUGUGGAUCAACAGAUCAUUAUAUUCGAGACUACCUAAUGUUAGUUGAGGAAAAUCUAGUGCAGAAUAUGAGAUCGGGUAACACUGUAGCUCGAGGUAGACCUCCCAGAAAUGCUGGUAAUACGAGUGGUAGUUACAGAGGGACUAAAGAUACGGUAAUCAGAUCUAAGGCUCGUGCACCUGCCAGACCUGGUUGGUAAGGGAAGUGUUGGAAGAAGUGUUCGAGGCAAGAGUUAAGGCGUAUGGUAAAACACUUCAGGCUAGGCACUUGGAGUGCAGUAGGAAGAGGGAUCACAGUUCCUUUUAAGUCAGGUGUGUUUUGUUUAGAUGUGAUGUUUGAAUAUAGAAAUUCUAUGCAUGUGUGGUAAAUAUCUAUUUGCUUCUGUGGUUAGAUGUUUGGUUGGGUGUGAGAGGUUUUGAGAUCAAGUUAAAAACGUAUUAGUGUAGUUUGGAACUAGAGUGCACAGCGGGAGCGUAGUGGUGUAGAAUGAGCUAAGCACUUGUUCAGAUAGUUGAAAAUUUCGAGGAUGAAAUUUCUUUAAGGGGGUAGAACUGUAACGCCCUGAAUUUAGGCCUAGAAAUAUUAGGCCUUGAUUAUAAGUCCGUAAGGAGGUUAUAUAUAAGCAUUUAAUUGUACAAGGAAAUGACACAAUUAAAUGUCUGCUUUAGUGGUUAAUGGCCCUGAGAAGGUUGGAGAAAUCUUGGGUUCAGACCUAGGCUUUAGCAAAAAUUUUGGUAAUAAGUGAAUAAAACCCUGGGUGCUUGGAUGAAGGCCUUUUAAAUUUUUGUGGCAAAUAAAUGACACAAGGAAGAUUGUGGUCCAGUGGUUGUGGCGUCAUUAAGGUUGCAAGGGAGCUUGGGUUCAACUCUUGGCUCUUGCAAUUUAUUUUGGUUUUUCUUUUAAAGGAACCUAGACUUUGGCCUAUAGACCUUAUAAUUAAUUAAGGACAAAAUAUGACACAGAAAGAGCCUUUAGUGGAGUGGCAAGGUGGCGUGUUGUGUAAUUGUGAGGUCUAAGGUUCAAGUCUUGGGAUGCGCAAGAGAGUAUUUAUUUUACUAUUUGAGCUGUGUAAAAGGUGGAGUUGGACUGAAACUCUAUGGUUGAAGUGGUCAUAAGAAAAUUAGACAUUUUCCUAAUGGUUGAAAGUAAUCCCACAUCGGGAAGCUAACAUGGGAAUUGGUGAGAAGCUGGCUUUAAAUAGAGGGAACUAGAUGAGUUGGUGAAAACGGAAAAGGAUUAAGACCCAAUGCAGGAUGUGCCAAGGUUAGUGAUCGUGGACUACUUCGGCGCGUUCUUAUAAACAAGUGUGUAUUCACGACUUUCUUUCUUGGAAGUCGACAAAAGCCGAAAAGUCGAAACCUCAGCAUUCGGGGCCUCACGAGCGUGGCCACUACCUAAGUAGUGGCCAAAUAGGACCAAUGGGCCCCAUCCCGCUUGUGUAAACUUCACUGAUAAGUGGGAUGUAGAUAGACUUGUCAUGUCGCGCACACGACUUAGGUAGUUCUGGGCCACGUUGGGCCUAGAUGGGCUGUGUGGGCCCAAUAGGCUCGUGGGCCCUACACAGAUUGAAUCAGCAACUUGUGAUAAUUAUUGGACUGGGCUAUGUAGGUCACAUAGCCAUAUCUAAACUUGGGCUAAAUGGGUCAUGUGGGCCACAUGGGCGUGUGGGAUUUUGGGCCAAGCCAUAUAAUCCACAUGGGUAAGGCCAAUUUGGGUCGUGUGGCCCACACGGGCAAGGGCACACGGGCGUGUGAGCCCAAUUAAUGUGAAAUGUCCUGUAAGGUUGCACAGGUCGCCUAAGUCGACAGUGACCUGAUUAUAGGGGCGGUAAGCUUUACUUAGACCCCAUACUCCGAUUGAUUACUGAUUUGUAUGCAAAAGCAUGUUGUUAUAAACAUGUGUAACUGUCUGACUCUGUACAUCUGUUCUGCCAUGAUAUUGAUAUGAUUUGAUAUCUGCAUACGAGCAUGCCAUAUUAAUCUAUUGCAUUGCAUUGGGUUGGAUUAUUAUGAAGUGAAGGGAGACUAAAAGGCUUUUAACCUGCUAUCUGGCAGCUAUGCUGCAUGUAUCGGAUAUGUGUCAUUUUACUGUACCAUUUGGUGUGUAGGGUUGGAUGGGUUGAUUUUAUCCCCAUACUUGGUAUGUAGGGCUAGGUGGGUCGAUUCUAUCUCCACAUGGUAUGUUGGGUUGGACGGAGAUGGUGUGCAGGGUUGGAUGGGAUAGCAUGCAUCCAUGCAUUCACACAUUAUGUUUUGUUACUGAGAUGGGCUAGGCCCAAUUGAUUCUAUUAUGGGUUGUGACCCAAAUGAUAUUGUAAUGGUCUUUGGCCAACUUAUGCUCAAAACUGGACUGUACUAUUACUGUUAAAGGGCUCUGGCCCAGACUUUUUCUGUUUCUGUAUACUGAUUAUUACUCUAGUAAGGGGAUUACACACUGAGUUUUCGUAAACUCACCCCAUUUAUUAACUGUGCAGGUAAUUCCCAGCGUUAGGUGGAUCGGUGUCGCAGAGGGACUCAAAGACGACCACACAACUGCACAUGUUUUUCUAUUUCGUUUAUUUAGUUAAGCACUUUGGUUUUUGAUUUGGGUUGUAUUAAGGCCUCUUUAUAUUCUUAACUUUUUAUUUGGGAAAUUUAUUUAGUAUGUUUAAUAUCUGUUAGAAGUAAAACACGGUUUUUCAAAACAAUAAUUGUUUUCAAACACUACGUUUCUGCAACAUUUUUAAAACUAGCUUCCAUAGCUAAAAAGAUUUUGGGAAUAAAGUUUUGUAUUUUUCAAUGAACCACUCUUUGAAGUUAAACUAAUGUAAAUUGGGAUUUUACUCAAGUUUUAAUGACCAAAAGUUGUUUUUUUUAAUAUUAAGCAGGGUUUUCAAUGAGAACAUGGUUUUCGAAAAACACUUGAAUGUGACACACCAGAUUCGAGUCUAACUUCUAGGCCAAGUUUGGGGUGUUACAUCUGGAACUGUGCUUCUGUUUAGUAAUGUCUCAUAACCCAUUCCGACGACGAAUACGGGUUAGGGGUGUUACAGCUAGAAAUGGAUAGAUCAUGCUUCAAGGAUCUCAAAAAUGCAAAUAACCUCAAAAAUGGGGCUUGGGAGCACUUACAAUCAAGCUUGAAAAGAAGAACAAAAACCCUAGCUAUGGCUCUUGGAAAUUUCGGCUAGCACUUAGAGAAGAUUAGCAAAUUUUGACUUAUUUUUCCCUUUUUAUUCUUUUAUUAUCCAAAUGACUAAAAUGCCCAUUAAGCCUUUCGUUCAAAUUUUCCUAUCCAUGCCCAUUUUUGUCCAAAAUUAUAGGAAUUGGUCAAAUUUCUAUUUAAGACCUUCUAAUUUAUAAUCCAAUGCAAUUUCAUGCGUAAAGCUUCUAGAACACAUAAUUUUCAACUUAUUCAAUUUAGUCCCUAACUUCAGAUUUGACACUUUAGGCAUAGAAUUUCUUCAUGACAAUUUCACACAACAUGCAAUCAUAUCAUGGACCAUCAAAUAAUCAUAAGUUAAUUAUUUCUAUUUUGGAUUUGUGGUCUCGAAACCACUAUUCUGACUAGACCCUAAUUCAGGAUGUUAAAUUAUAUGCUUGUGUACUUCGAAUGAGAUCUCACUCCUAUCGGAUAUAUUGAUUCUAACUCAUCUACUUCACUAGGGUAAGUGGGAGACUAUUGGAUCUAGUGCCUUAAGUGUAGUAUUUUUGUCUAAAUACAUUUGUAAUUUUUUGAUAGAUUGUUUAAUAAAAUUAUUCAUGAAUUACAUUAAUAAUUUGUAUAUUAUCCUCACAUGGUUUUUGCAUGCAAAACAAAAUGAAAAAAAAUGUUACUCAUUGGUUGUCUACAAUUUAAACUAAUACUAAGCGGUAUCAUAUGGUUGAAUCAUGAUACAGAAAGGCAACUUGUUUUAGUAGACAAAUCUAAACAUAUCCUUAAUCUAAUCGAAAAUGAGAAAACCAAUUGAAAGAAUAAUAUUUCGUCUAUUAAGUCCAAUUAGGUAGAUGUUUAGUCUUGGGCAUCAGAACUAAUGACUCCCAGAAGACAGCGGCAUAGAUGGGACUGACUAGAUUGACAGUACAUCAAACUAAACCAAACAGAAUAGAUCCUGAUUUAAUUUAUGGACUUAUUCACUUGUGACAUUCAUAGUGUGACAUACUUAAAUCAUGAGUGGAUGGCGAAUUAUGUAUGUGUAACUCAUACAUUAUGAUGUAAGUAAAAGCUUGAGUUCGAAUAGAUAAGGAACCAAAAGUUGGCAUGUUGGGUGUACGACAUCUAUAGUACGUAGCGUCAUUCACAACAAUAGAAUUCAUAGCCUAAGAAUGAGUAAAUGAUAUCCUCUCAUUGGCAUUACAAGGUUGAUGAAAAGUAAAUAUGGCCACCGAUCGUUCGUCUUUUUGAUGAAUGACUUGAUCACUAUUUGAUAGUGAUUGACUUUUACUUUUACUGAAGAAUGAUCUAAUGUUUACCAUAAGAUAAAAUAGGAUCAUGUUGGAAGAAUGGAUAUUAUCCCGAAGAGAUCAAUGAUAUAUUAUGGGGGUAACACACUGUGACAGCCCAAAAUUGACCCUAGUCGGGAAGUGGUUUCGGGACCACAAAACCGAGUCAUAAAAAUAAUUGAUUUCCAUAUUCUAUGCUUAUUAUGUGUGUACAUGAGUAUGUGGAAGUUUCAUUCUCCAAUUUUGCCAAUUGCAUGAGAAAUUAUUAAAUAGGGAUUGAUAUGAGACAUGGUGAAAAUAUGAUAGGCUAAUUUAAAAUGGUCUAUUAAUGCAUGUUGUGAAAAUGAUGGGUUUGCAUGUCAAAUUACCCAAAAUUUGAGCUAGUGGUUGGCCAUGCUAUGGGUGGAAACAUGUUGGGAACAUGUUGGCCUAGUGAGGUAUGUAGGAAAAAAAUAAAAUAAGGGGCAUGGGCAUAAAAUAAUGAAAAGGAGUAUGAUGAAUACAAAAAAAAAAUGUGUGUAGUUGUUUGUUCCCCCCCCCAUUGCCGUGAGCUAAAGAAAAGAAAGGAGAGAAUUUUUGUUCAUCCUUUUCUCAUCCUUUGGUCCAUCCUUGGCCAAAAAUUUUAAGGAGGAAAGAAGAAGAAAGGUGAAGAGAUUCGGCCAUGCAUGUAGCUAGGCUAAGGUAUGUUGAUGAUGUUCCAUGAGAUGCAUGCAUGUUUUAGUUGUUAGCUUGAGUUCUACCUAGCCCAUGGUCUAAAUCUUGCUAUGUGAUGGAAAUGACAUUUGACCAUGGAUGCAUCAUUCUUGGUUGAUGUUUGAUGUGGUGGUGAUGAGGCAAGAGGAUGAGUUAAAAUUCGGCCUAGGUGGAGGUUGUGUUAAUGCCAUUGCAUGCUAAAUAUGAAGUUUGUUAAUGAUGCAUGUGAUGAUGACUUGAUGAUUCUUGAACCUCCUUUUUAGCAUUUUUGUGUGAGCACAUAUGUGCAUUGGUUGCUAAAUGGAGAAGAAUCGGCUAGCAAGUUGUGUGCUAAGGCCGAAUGUAACUUUGCAUGUUAAUGAGCAAUGCAUGUGUUAAAUUGAUGGAAAGGGGGAGGAUGCUUUACUAGUGUGUAUAUGUGUGUAUUAAGUGUUGAAAUCGACCCCAAAAAUAGACAUGCAUAUUCGGCCAAGGGGGAAAAAAAUUAGCUAAUAUGUUGUGUUGAUGCAUGAUUUCACAUGUAUGUGACUUUGAUGUCUAAUGUAUAAAUAUGGGCUAAGUGCUUCGUGUUCAUCUUUUUGAUGCCUAAAUGAUGAAAUCAAUUUAUUUGUUUAAUUAAGCUCAAGAGCAAAGGGGAAAUAGAUCCGAUAAAGGGAAGGAAAAAGUGGUCGAAUAGUUAGCGGAAUCGUUCGACAACACCCGAGGUAAGUUCUUGAGUAAGAGAGCUUAAAUUACGAUGUGAUUAAAUCAUGUUUUAAGCAAAUUAAAAUCAUGCUCUAUGUGUGGCUAUUGAGCCGAAUGUGCAAGGAUGGUAUGUGCCUUGUGUUUGAGUUUUGCUAAUGAAAAAGAAAUACGAAUGUGCCAUGAAUUAUUGUUAGAUGUGCAUGAUUAAUUGAAUGCUGUCCGGGCUAAGUCCCGAAGGCUUUGUGCUAAGUGACUAUAUCCGGACUAAGAUCCGAAGGUAUUUGUGCGAGUUAUUAAUUCCGGGUUAAGUCCCGAAGGCCUUUGUGCGAGAUACUAAUUCCGGGUUAAGUCCCGAAGGCAUUCGUGCGAGUUUUAAAAUCCGGGUUAAGUCCCGAAGGCAUUGAAUGAGUUAAUAUAACCGGGCUAUGUCCCGAAGGCACUUGAACGAGGAGCUAAAUUCGGUUAAAUUCCGAAGGUACGUGAUUUUGGUAAUGAAUGAGCUUGCUGUAAAAUUCCAGCUAAUACUCGAAAAACAUCCCAAUAUUGGGAUAUGUUACGUAUGUGUUGAAUUUAAUCGAGCCCUUACAAAUAAGUAUUCGCUCAGUUGAUAAACGAGCUACCGGCCUUUGGCUGAGUUGAUCUUUUGUGUAUGUACAUAAGGGUUGAUAAUGUGAAGCAAGUACGAUAUCGUAAAUUUGUGCAUAUGAAAUUAUCCGUUUAGCUAUAUGAAUGCUAUACUUUUGUUGUGCUGGAAUUCCUUGCUCAAAACUUACUAAGCAUAAAUUGCUUACUCCGUUUUAUUGCUCCUCUGUUUUAUAGAUUUGGUUCUCCAGCUAUCGGACUCGGGAUCUUGAAGUCAAAGUCGCCCACACUAUCAAAGCCCCCCCCUUUUUGGUACAAUUUUGGUUGAACUUCGAAAUGGCAUGUAUAGGACUACCCGUUUGUUGUGGGUCGUGGACCCUCUGGACUUGUAUAAAUUUUGGAUAGCCAUGCGAAAAUGGCUUAUAUGUGUUUGAGUAUAAUGUUAUAAUCAUUUGGUGUGGAUAUGCUUGACAAGGAUUGGCCACGGGGAUGGUUAAUCACUUUCAUAAAUUGUGCUAUGUAUGCAAAAAAGGCUAGUUGAACCAUGAAAUAGGUAAAGCCUACCAUAAAGGUAGAUGCUGACAGCAUCAGUGAUGUAGAUUUGGAAAAUCACUAAAAAUAGUAGGAUUGGAAUUAAAUAGUGAAUAAAUUAUGUAAACAAACCUUGAUGAAUCUACUUUCAUAGGAAAGUAACGAAACAAUCAUACGGACAGUAUGUUAAGAGAUAUUCAGGUUCUCGUGAGACAGGGCCAGAACGGUUUCUGGAUUCCCUGUUCCGACUUUGGAAAUUCAUUAUAAAUUAACCAGAGAUAAUUAGGAGUCAUACCAUAUAUCUAUAGAUUCCUCUCUGAGUCUAGUUUCUAUAGAAACAAACGGCAUCAGUAUUGGAGCCCUGUACAAGGAUAUAUCCAAGUCGUAAUGCGCAAAGGUCAGGGUAGUCGAUCCCUGUAACAUGGGAGACUUUGACUAAUAAACUGUACUAAUUUGCCCAACCAAAAAUUCUAGAAAAAAAUAUGUAGAUGGGCAUAUGAGUCUAGUUUCAGGGAAAAAUCACGAAACUGAUUUUUGAGUUGUGAAACUCAAGAUAUGAUUUUUAAAGCGACUAGUACACAGAUUGGGCAGUGUCUGGAAAUUUUUCAAAGUUUGUUAACACCUCGUGUUCGACUCCGGUGUCGGACUCGGGUUCGGGGUGUUACACACACUUAUGACAAGGUUAUUGGAUGAGCAUGGAAUUGUUGCUUUCGUAAUGGUAUUUUGUUAAUGAGAGCUCAGUCACGAUACUAUAAUAGAAUGACUUCGUGACCAAAUAAGUUUAUAAUUAAUAGGCGAAAAUUCAAAACUUAAUUAUAAAUCAUUUGAUCCCUAAUUACAUAUGUUCAAUCAGUCCCUCCUCUAUCUCGUUGAAACUAGAAAUGAAUUGAGUGUUUGAAUCAAAAUGAACAAAAUGAAUUGAAAUAGAGAAAUGGAAAACAUUCAAAAAUGAUUAUGGUUUUCCUCGAAAUGGAGAAAUGGAAUAAUUUAGAAAUGAAUGUGGGUUUCUCAAAGAAAACGGAACUGCAAAUACAAAUGCAAAUGAGAAAUGAUGCAUUUGCAAAUAUAUAUAUAUAUAUAGAUUACUCAGAAAUGAUCAGAAUAAUGAGUUUAUGUUUUUUAGCAGUUCUAAAGCCCAAAAAUGAAAAUAAAUCAUUUGGUCAUAGUGAACAAGUUGAGUUGUGAAAUAUUGAAUAUAUUUCUUUGGAAAUUUUAAUAGGGGUAAAUUCUUCAUAAUUUUACCGAGGGUAAAAUUGGGAUAAAAAAUUAUUUACUUGGAAAAUUAAUGUUUAUUUUGGAAAAUAGAAAAAUAUGUAUUGGGUUGGAUUAAAUUAUAAGUGUUGGUUUAAAAGUCCAGAAAGCACAUAUAAUUGGGCCCAAUACAAUAAGAGGCCUGAAUCUCAUCAUAGUACAUCUAAGGGGAAGCACACCCUAUUAGCCCCUCUCUUUCUCCUAUUUGGAAUAGGAAGUUUUUUUUUUCUAUUUGAAAUAAACCUCUACAAUUCAACAAAGAUUCUGUCUUCUCUCCCUAUAAAUAGAUGAUACCAGUAGAGCUAUUUACAUAACUUGGAGAGAUUGUACACAGUCGAAAAAUAGAAAUAAUUUAUUCUCAACUAUUAAAUAUAUUUUUUUAGAAUAACAAUUCUAUCGAUUUCUAUUAAAGAAGAGAGAAUUUUCAUUUUCACCUCAAAUAUAAAAAAAAACUUUUUCUAGAUCCGUGUUUUGAUUUAAUUUAUUCGAGCCCACACUCGAAACAGUUCAUGGUACAAGAUUAGCGGAAAAGAUCAUUUAGUUGAAAGCCGAAAAACGUCGAUGAUCCACUUAUCCAAAAACACGAGUAUGAUACCGAUUCAAGUUUUAUUCCUACAAAUAUCACAAACCAGGUUGGUUUUCAAAAUUUUAAUUUUAUGUUGUGCAAGAAAACCAUUUUCAAACUAAGAUUUUUCCAACAUUGUUUGUUGCAAAAUUGCAGGCAUCAUCACGACGAUGUGCGAACAUCAUCAAGGCAUAGGUUCAGUGUUGGGACAUCCUCAUCACAUUUUCAAGACAAGCAAGCCCCUCUAGGGCACAUUUUAACAUGCAAAAUUAUGGAUUGUUGAAUUUUUAUAUUUGGAUAAAUAUUUUGGUUUUGAUGUCAAUUUGUGGACUGUUGUAAUGAAUGUUUAGACUUGAAUAAAUGGGAUAUAUUUGGCAUGUGAUUGAACAUGAUUUUAUGCAUGUCAAAUGUGCACAAAUGAACCAAUUGCAUGAAAUGGUUUGGUUGAUUGAAAUAAGUACCAGAAGGCCUAUUUUGUGCCAAAAUAGAAUCCACGUCGUGAUGUCAAGCAAUGGUCGUCACGACGUGAUCUGGGUUUUGGACCACGGUGUGACAAGGAACCUUGUUGUCACAACGAGGAAAAAUAGACUAUAAUGUCAUGACAAGGAACUUCUCAAGUUGUAAUAUCACUUUGAAACUUUGGAAAUGUUGCAAUUUGGUUCUAAUAUGAUUUUGAGUUAACUUUAGAGCAUUCGUAGGCUAGUAUAAGGACCGAGAAAGAUUGUAUAAUGAACUUAUGAUCGGUAAUGGUUGUGUUUGCAUGUUUUAUAUUUUAAUGUGAAUGUUAAUUGCCCAUAGCUGCUCCGACAAAGACUAUAACAUUCAGUAGCUCAGACUUGGCGAUCGAGUUGGGGAGGGGUGUUAAAACAAUAUUUGUUAUUUUUUAUUUAAUUUUAGUGCACUCAAUUUUCUCUAAAAAACUAUGGUGGUUCUUGUUUCAGUUUACACUAUUGUGGUUUUUAUUUUUUUCCACUUAGUUUUCUCUAAAAUUUGUCAUGGUUCUUGUCUAUUCUAUUUUCUUGUCCAAUAUGUCUCAAGACGUGACCCUGAUACUGAUAAACAAUAAUAUAUACAUAUUUUACCCCAUGCUUGGCAUAUUUAUGGAUGAUUUUUCCUUGGUUUCAUUGAAUUUGAUGCUCCUAAUCCUUUAAAUUCAUGUUUUAUACUUAAGCAAACAUAGGAAGGUGAAAAGAGCAAGAAACCGGCCAAAAAUAGACAAAAUGGGCCUAAUUCAGUGUUUCACACGGCCUAGGCACUUCCACACGGGAAAUCCACAUGCCCGUGUGUGACACACGGGUAGGCCACACGCUUGUGUGUUAUGGCCAUGUCGACAUUAAACCAAGUCAAAAUUGCACAUGGCCUGAGCACCUUUACACGGUCGUGUCCCUGUCAAGUCCAAGUCUAAUUCUACUCGAAAAAGGCUAAUUUGGAGGGUUUUGAAGCAUUCCAAAGUCUAUAUAAACGCCCUAGAAGAGGAUUAAAGGGGACACGGAGAAUAGAAGGCAGAAAAUACUCAAGAAUAGCCAUCGGGAUCAGCUCAUAAGGAGGAUCUACAUCAAGACUGAGGAUUUCCAUCGAAUUUCCUAGAAGUUCUUUGGGUUUCUUAAUGUUUUGUUGUUUUCAAAUUUUUGAGAUGUUUUCCAUUAUUAUGAACUAAACUCCCUAAAUACCUAAGGGAGAUGAAACAUAAGACGAAUCUUAUUACUAAUUGAGUUAUAUGAUAAAUACUUGUUCUUAUUCUUAAUUGUGAGUUUAAUCCUUGUUUUAAUAUUCUAGGAUAUUAAUUUAGGUUUUUGAUGUGCUAAUUCAGUGGAGGAAAAGUCCCUGUUUAAGAGUAGAUCAUUCGUAAUUAAGCGGAGUUGCAUGCAAUCUUAGAGAUAGGACGACAUAAAUCUACCGGAUUAGAGUCAAAUCUAAUAAAGGAAUCCAUAGAUCGAGUUAAUGCAACAGUAGGGGGUUUUAAUUGGAAAAAGAUUUCGAUUAAUCAACCUAGAGUUAGUUUUUUUUAGUCUCGUGAAAGAUAUUAAAAUAAAUCAAGGAUUUCUACGGAUUAAGUCAAGUGAAUAAAUCAUCUAAUUCAAAUGUAAUAAGUGAAGUCUAGGUGGAUUCUUCCUUGGGUAUUGUCUUCCCCAUCGAUUUUCCAAAAGUAUUUGCCAACUUUAAUCUCUAUCACAAUCUUAGCUAAUUAGAUAAUUAGUGUUAGUUAAAAACAUUCUCUUAAUUGUUAGGCUAGAUAAUAAAAAGAUAGUAAUUACUAGUACUUUUAGUCCUCGUGGAUACGAUAUUUCCGGUCUCAUCAUAAUUAUACUACUGUUCGAUAGGUGCACUUGCCUUAGUCGAAUUUUUUUAGUUAGUUUAGUGACCUUCAAAUACUGUUGCUUUUUAGCUUCAAAGUUCUUAUAUAUCAAGACACAUUUCAUAUGUAAUAAUCAAAGUUGAAAAUUAUGUUCUCAAUUUCCUCCCAACCAUACCAAAAUUGUCCAUGAUCAUUCCCCAACAAUAAUAAAAGCUCAUAAACUAUGUAAUACCUUAUAUUUACUGUUCAAAAUACAUUAAACUCAAAUAUUAAAACAAUUAGACACUUUCUUUCUUACUUCACUAAAUCAACUAUGUACAUGUCAUACUCUAUGCCAUGAAAUAUAUUUCAUACCUCUUUUUUACCAAGCCUUGAUAAUGUGAUGAGAUGUGCUGAGGUCACUAAUUCAAAUGAGAACUUCAAUUUGAUCCUUCAACUACACAUUGAAAAAUAACUUGUUAAGCUCGUGAAAGUUUAGUAAGUACCCAUGAAUUUAGAACUUACCAUUUCUUUUAUUUUUAUUUAUUAUAAACAUUAUUACUAUUAUAAUUCAUGAAUAUAUCUUAAUAUUCAAUAGGUUAUUGCAUAUUUAAAAAAUUCAAUAAUACUUUGAUUUACAAAUUUCAUCAUUUCACAGAUUAAUAGGAACGAAACUUUUAUAAACAAAUCACUUACCAAAGCUUUUUUAGCCCAUGUUAGACACAUUUGAAUGAGAUGGGUACACAGAACAUAUCCCAAUACACGGAGUACAUAAGUGUUGGAAAUACAGGCACCGAAGUGUGAUAUCACGAAUAACACAGGAGCACUCAAGUUCUUUUGACAUGCUAUCUAUAUCUACGAAGUUCAACACUAGUCCACAUGGGCACUUGAAUACCACUGAAUUUAAAAUGAUUAAUCAUGAAUACUUUAUUCCACGAUUUUUACGAUUUAUUACACUUUCACAUUUCUUUCACCCUAGUUUAUUAUUUAAUAUUACACGAACAUGUAAUUUCAAACAUCAAAAUUUUCAAGAGCAUUUGAUCUAUACUUCCAUUCCAUGGCUAACCACGAUCUUUAUUCAUACCAAUAUUUAUUUCAUGAUUUUCACAAUUUAGCUACACUUUUGCACUUCUUCAAUUCAGUCCUUAUUUUUCCAUGAUUUAAAGAAUAAUUGUAAUUUCAUUUGUAAUAAUAACAGAACUUUAUUUAGUAAAUUCUUAAUUCAAAAUGCAUCUUAUGUUUCAUGUUCUCUACAAAAUUUUCAGUUAUCAAAUAAAAACACGUAAAAAUUUUACAUACUUUUCAAUUUAGUCCUUUUUAAUUGCUACACCCCGAUUUAUAGUUAUAUGUUGUUAGCAUUUUAACAAGAAUGAGUUAUUGGUUUGAUGGUUAAACGUUAGUUAAUUUAUCUUUAGGACCCAAGUUUGAAUCCAUCCCUAAGAAAAAAAUUCUUUUAUUUUCACCAUUCCUUCUUUCUAAACCAUAAUGUUGCCCUUGUAUUCUUAAAACUCCAGUAUUUAACAUAUUUUUCUCAGUUUGUGUUCACAUUGCCACCUUUUUCCAAAAUCCCUAAAAUCAUUUUCUCUCCAUCUUUUCUUUCCUCCUCUUUGUGUCAUCCAUCUCAUUUGUCCCUCUCAAUUUUACUUCUUUCUUUUGGCUUAUGUCGUCACCCCCUACCACCGUCGUUGCCUUCCUCACCACUUUGCAUUGUCGAUGCUGCCCAUUUGCUCCAUUUUCUCUUGUCGCCAUCUAUAUCUUCUCCUUCCCUCUCUUUUCUAUUAUUUUCUUUCUUCACUUCCUUCCUCCAUUGCGUUGUACCUAUUAUUUCACCCCCACCCCUUUCUUUUCAUUUUCCCCUUGCACCACCACUCCUUCACCAUAAUCACUGCAUCGCCGCCGCCAUUUAUGUAACAGCUCGAUUUUGGGCCUAGUCUAAAUAGUGGUUCGGGACCACAAAUUUAGAGUCAUAUAAAUCAUUUUAUUAUUAUUUUGGUUUUAUAUCAUGAUUAUAUGAGUGCAUGAAAAUUUUGGUAAAUUAAUUUUAGCGAUUGUGAGCUCAAUUACAAAAAAGGACUAAAUCGCAUAAAGUGCAAAAGUUUUGUUUUACUAGUUAUAUGUGUUAAAUAGAUAGAGAACCAUAAUUUGAGGUAUUUAAAGUGCAAUUAGACCCUUUUAAAAGAGGUGACCGGCCAUAGGGGACAAAGAGUGUCAUGUUGACUAGGUUAGGUGGACAUUUGGUGACUUAUUUGACUAAAAUAAAAAUAAAGAAAAGAGGGGCUAUAGUAUCAUCUUCUCCACCGAUUUUUUUAAGCAAAUAAGGGGGUUUAGAGAGCUAAAAAUAUCAUCCAUUUGUAUCUCUUGCAAGUAAGUCAUUUAGAAGGUUAUUCUUGAUGAUUUUUGUUUUUAUGGACCCCUUGUAGCAUGAGCUUUCUAAUAAGAGGACUAUUUUGCAAAAUGGAUGAAAUUAUAGGGUUUUUACAUGAAAUAAUUUAUGUUGUUAGCUGAAAUUUUAUGGAAAAAAAAUGAAUCUUGGUUGUUAAAUAAACAACUUUUGUGAAAGGGGUUUCAUGAAAACACCUAAAUGGGCUAGUUUGUAAAGUUUGUAAAAUAGGUGGUAAUUGUGUGAAAUGUUUGAAAUUGUGAGUUGAUAUAGAUGUAAAAAGAGUUCGGUUAGGCUUGGUUAAUGAGGAAACUCGAUAAAAAUUGAUUUACGAGCAUGAGGGCAAAAUCAUAAUUUUCACAAAGUCUAAGGGAAAAAAGGUCAUUUUGCCGAAUUGUGAAUUGUAAAAUGUUUUUAUUAAUGUAAUGACUAAAUGACUGAAAUUUUAUUAUUAAAGAUCAACAAAUAUGCAAUCUGGACCUAGACAGGGGAAAAGCCAAGUAGGCGGAUUAAAUACAAUUAGUCGUCUACAUUUUGUGUCCCGAGGUAAGUUGUACGUAAAUAAUGUAAGUUAUUUGUAUUUAUGUAUUGUACAAUUAAUAUGGCAUAAAUUGUGUACUAUUUUUGAGAAUGUGCAUGAUAAGAAUUGAUGUAGUAGAGACUCCCGGUUGAACCUUAGGAAUAAUUUGGAUAUCCAUACCAUGACAUUUGGGUGAUGUGUGUGCUAGUGUAAGACUUGUCUGGGAUAUGGCAUCAGCAUCGAUAGAUAAGAGCCAGUGUAAGACCUGUCUGGGACAUAGUAUCGGCCUCAAGAUAUGCAAGCUAGUGUAAGACCUGUCUGGGACAUGGCAUCGACACAGAUAAGUGAAAGCCAGUGUAAAACCUGUCUGGGACAUGGCAUCGACUUAAAUGUGAGAGCCAAAGUAAGACCAUGUUUGGAACAUGGCGUCGGCAUUGUACCCUAUGUUUGAGACUUAGUGAUUAUCCUGUAGUAUUCCAAAUGGUUCAACAAGAAAUUUACGGUUUAUGUCAAAAUGAUAGAGCUUAUGACCAUGUUGUGAGUGGUACAAGUACUUAUAUGAAAUUGAUGAAAUGUGAAAUCUAUUCUUAUUGUAUGAAUAGUGAAGAAUAAACAUAAGUAAGUCGUGUUAUGAACAUUUACUCUUUUGUGCGAGUUAUGAUAUGUUGGGAGUAUGAUCACAUGUGGUAACAUGGUUGUUAUUUCAAUAUUUACAUGCAACUUACUAAGCUUUGUGCUUACCCUUUUUCCUUUCCAUUUUCUUGUAGUGCCGCCAAAUUAGCCCGUGGAUCAAAGAACAUUGGAGGCAUCGCUCACACUAUGACUCGAAGCUUUUGGUAUAGUUAGAUUUAUUAUCUUGAGUAUGGCGUGUAUAGGGAUUGAGUCUUUUUGUUAUGUUUCAUAUUGUUAAGUUAGCCAAUUAUGUUGGCUUAGGACGAAAACCUUUUUUUUAUAAGGCCAUGAUUAGUGGUUAAUAUUCAUUAUUGAUAAUUGCAAAUAAUAAUGCUUCCCUGGAUGAACAAAAUGUAUGAAUGAUCAAAUGCAUGUUUGGUUUGUUAGAGUGUCAUGAGGUUUGCAUUUGAAUGUUAUGUUGUGGUUGAUUUAGUCUUAUAUUACUGUGUGGAUUGGAGAUAUUUGUUGUUGUGCAGGUUGGUACAAGUAAGGGUGGCAAAAAGGCUUGGUAGAUAGCUUUAUUUUUGUCCACACGGAUAGACACACGGAUAUGUGUCUAGGCCGUGUGCCACACACGGUCAGCCCCAUAAGCAUGUUUUCCGGCCGUCUGUCCCCUGCACCUUAAAAUUUCAAGUUAGUAUGCAUGGUAGUAAACACACGGGCAGAGACACGACCGUGUGCCUCUGCCGUGUGGAAGACAUAGCCUCUGGGCAUGGGCAUUAUGCCCAGGCCGUGUGAAGUCUACACCUUAAAUGUGGAAUUAAAUUCACCACACGGCCUAGCAUACAGGAGUGUGCCUUGGCCGUGUGCCCCUAAAUGGUUGCUGACGUCAGAAACAGAAUGUUAAGGUUUUUGGACAUGGGUUAAGACAUGGGCAUGUCAUGGCCGUGUAAGGGACAUGGGCCAUGGACACUAGCGUGUGCCAGGUUGUAUGAAAACCCUUGUAGGCUCAAAUUAGGAAUUAAUACCACACGGGUUAAGGACACGAGCGUGUCCCGAUGUGUUUAGGCCAUGUGAACUGCACGGGCCUUCAACACAGUCGUGUCAAGAAGGCCACAUGGGCGUGUGCCCCCGUUUCAAGAGUUAUUUUCCAGAGUUCUUUAAAGGACCCGGUUUGGUUUCGCAUCGUCCUUAAAGCUUAUUUUGGGCCUCGUAGGCCCAUAAUAAGGAAUUCUAGACAUGGUUUGAAAAGUUUAAAAUUUUCCUCAAGUUUUAUAAUUUGUAAAUGUUGCAAUACAUGUAUUUAUGUUUAGUAAUGCCUCGUACUCAGUCCCAGCCUCAGACUCGGGUAAGGGGUGUUACAAUUUAUUUCUUCUACUUUCCCUUCUAUUUCAUUUUGUUCCUUAUAGUCGAAUCUCCUAUUGUUUUUCUUUACUCUAUUUCUUUUCAUCUUUCUUGCUCCACCAGUGCUGAAUCAUCAUUACUAUGUGCGGAUCUAUCAAUUUAUAUCUAUAAGAUGGUGUUGUGUAAGUGUUUAUUCCAGAUCUCUAUUUUCAGAUGUAUAAUAUGUGUGUUAACAUCCUUUUUUUGAUUUAUCAUUCAGAUCUCACUAUUUUUCUUCUCAAAUUUUUAAGGCUAAUUUUAACAGUGUGUUUUAUGUGUGCUUCUUAUUAAGGUAUGAAUUUUGAAGGAGAUCAUUUUAGAUCUAAACUGUAGAAGCAUUGACAUGUCAGAUCUGUAGAUCAAUGAAAGAGUAUCUCUAAAAAUCUGAUCUAGUUUUUAGAUCACAUUUUCUAACUUGUUCGAACCUAUUAAUGGUGUUAGCUGAAUUUAAUGUGAUGAUUUUUGUGCAUUAUUGUUCUUUCACGGUUCAGAUUUGGAUGAGAUCUAAUCAGAUUUUUUCUAUGGAGUGCUUCAGUUUAGAUCUAAUGCCGAGUGGACGUGCUGACUAAGAUGUGUGCCUGACCUUGAAUGAUCUUUGUUUAAAUGAUGUGUGUUGAAUUAUUGUGAAAUUGACUGAAUAGUAUUAUGAUAUCACAGUGAUUGCUAAAUGUGCCAAUACGAUUUUCGAAGUGGGCGGAACAUAAGUAUCCCUAACUAUGACUUCUGUAACGAUUGAAAAUUGUGUAUGUUGUUACUACAUGAUUUGUUCCGACUCGUAUGUUUUGUGACUAUAUGGCAUCAAUCUGUUAUUGUCAUUCUUGACUCAUGAAAAGCCACGAUGACUAUUAUUUCCUUACUAAAUGCAAGAAAAAUCAUGCCUAUUGUUUCUAUUAAAAUUGAUUGUAUGUCAAAACAUGCCUAUUGUAUUGAUUUUAUUCUGAUAUGCCAUAUCACAUUGCAUGGGGUUGGGACGAAUAUGAAAGGAGAAAGUUCUAGCAGUAUAUCUGCAUAUAUGGUGGUUUAUCCAUAUAAUUCGAGCAGUUUAUCUACAAUUACUGGUGGCUUGUCGACAAUAGUUCUGGGGAACUCUUACUGUGGUUUGUAGUGGAUGUUAGGUAGGAACCUUUCUGAAUUAUGAAAAUAUUGCAUUUCCAUACAUGAACAUGCAUUUAUUCACUGAAAUAUGUGAUUCUAUAUUAUUAUGAAAUUUUGAAUAUCGCUUGUCUUGAAUGCCAUAUCUUAUUUAUUGAUUCUGAUCUCUUGAGUUACGACGCACGUUGAGCUUUGUACGCUCACCCUCUUAAUUUACUUUCUUACAGAUAACCAGUGAGGUUAGUAUUUGGAUUUAGCAAUUGGAUCACCAUCUCAGAUAUUUUCAAUGAAAAGUAUUUUAACUUAAUUUAUGUUUUUUCAUAUUUGGGACUGUAAUAAUUUUAUUUGGACUGUGGCAUAGGUUUGGAUUUGGUUUAUUUUGGCUUGUAUGACAUUAUAAUUUUAGUUUGGUUAAAUUUAGUAAUUAGAUUUAUGCAUGAAAUGUUGUUUUAAACAUUAAACUAUAAUAACCAUUUUUCCACUGCAAUAUUGGAAAUGAGCUUUGGAAAGAAAAUAAAAUUAAAAAUCAACCUAGUUUUUCAAAAUAAUUAAACUUUGCAAAUUAAAAAUUGAAUUCAAUCAGCUUUUGAAACUAAUAAGUUUUUCCAAAACUAAGUGAAUCACUCGAUUUUUAUUUUCUGAAAAAUACAAGAAAAUAAUUUUAAAACUAUGCUUUGAAAUCUGACGAUUUAGCUUAGCCAUAUAUUUGGUCUAUGUAACCUUCAGGAUCUAGCCAUAAUGUCUACGCCAGAUUGGGGAGGUUACAUUUGGUGGUAUCGAAGCCAUGUUCAAAACUCAGACUGUGGAUUUUUAAAUAAGUUUGCAUGUAUGUUUUAAAAAAGGAUUAUUGGGAAUCAUGCUACAAGUUUAGAAUAAUAUUUUGAAGGAAAUAAAAUCUGAGACUCUGACAUCGAUCCUAUUUAGUAACUAAUACUUCUGAAAUUGUAGACAAACACUAGAACUGCUGCUUUUGAAACUAUAGACGUAAAAUUGUAAAUUUUAGGCUGAAAACACUCAAGAAGAUAAUAAUAACUUUAUUAUUGAACUGUAGAUAAACAUAAGACUGUAGAUUCGAGAAUUCACUAUGAGCACCCGAGGUAGAUGACCCUGAGGUAGGUCAUGUCUAACUGCUCCUAUUGUGUUACCAAUAGCUUAGGACAACACUCCAAUUCUUGAGGUUGAUUAUGGUAAGGAUUCAUCUUCUAUAAGAGGUGAAAACUUUGAUAAGGAUGAUGAUGUAAUAUCCUAAUAUAUGUUCAUAGUUCUGCAACAAGUUGUUGGAGCCCAAUCAAGAACUAAGAGCCAAAUUUUUGUGAUUGAAAGGCUUUUGUCUAACAAAGUCAAAUUAUUUAAAGGUGUUGCUGGGAUGACUCUAACUUUAGCUAAAUAUUGGAUGGAGACUACCGAAAGGAUUCUGGACGAUAUGGACUAUACCUCAGAAUAGAAGUUGAAGUGUACAGUGUCAUUAUUGAGAGAAGAGGCCUACUGAUGGUGGCAGUCCGUUAUAAGAGGUACACAAACUGAGUGUCUGACUUGGGAGUACUUCUAGGAGGCUUUCUAUAAGAAGUAUGUGGCAUGAGGUAUCUGGAGGCCAGCAGGCUUGAGUUCAUUGAGCUUAAGCAAGGUGACAAUACGGUGGUCGAGUAUGAGGCCAAAUUUCUAAAGUUUAACUGGUAUGCUCAGGGUAUGGUUGCUACUGAGCAGGAUAAGUGUGUAAGGUUUGAGUAUGGGCUACGAUAUGAUUUGAAGAUUCAGGUCACUCCACAUCAUGAAAGGCUUUUCUAAACUUUAGUUGAGAAAACCAAGAUAGUUAAGGAAGUUAAGCGCUUGGAAUGAGAGAGGUGAGAAAAGACUAAGGUCAUGAUUAAGAGAGAUUUAGGUUUUCCUGGCUUAAAUUUGUGUCCCAUGAAAUGAGCCAAAGAGGGCAGGCCGCAAUAGAAUAUUGUUGCAGCUGGUAUUGGACAUACGACUCUUAAUUGUGCAUACAAGCAUCAUUCGGGAGAGUGAUAGAGGAAGCUGGGAACUUGUUUGAGGUGUUGGUCUACUAAGAACUAUAUUAAGAAUUGUCCUAGUAGGGGUGAUCAGAUGCAAGCUCUGAUUCAGAAUCAAAAUUAAAGAGCUGGACAGUUACCUUCGAGGGGUCGAGGUCAAAUUAAAGUUGGUAAUAAUGGUUAACGAGCAUCAAGUCAAGGUCCAAACAGGACUCAGGCUAGACAACCAAUUUUAGUUUAUGCAGUUAGGUGCAGAUAGGACCAAGACACAGCUAAUGUCAUUACAAGUACUUUUACAAUUCACUUUUUUCAAUACUUUACCUUGAUUAAUAUUGGAUCUACCCAUUCGUAUGCUGCUUGGGUAGAGGAAACUGUUAGUGAUGUAAUUAUAGUCAAUCAUAUAGGACAAUUUGUGAUUGUAAAUAAGAUCUAUAAAUGAUGUCUUUUGGAAGUCCAAGGUGAAAGGUUUUUGACCAAUUUGACGGAGUUACCUUCCAGAGAAUUUGACCUAAUUUUGGGAAUGGACUGGUUGGUUGAACACCAAGUUAAUCUUGAUUGUGCUGUUAAGAGGGUCACUUUAAAGAUAGUUGGUGGCAAGGAGAUUGUGAUGGUUGUUGAGCGUAGAGAUUACUUGUCUAAUGUGACAUCUGCUAUGUUUGCAGAAAGAUUGAUUCGAAAAGGGUAUGAGGCAUAUCUGGCUUAUGUUUCAGACACAAGUUCUAAUGGUUUAGCUAUGGACAGUAUUCGAAUUGUUAAGGAGUUUUCAGAUGUUUUUCUCGAGGAACUACCGAAAUACCAUUUAAUUGUGAUGUCAAAUUUGGGAUUGAACUGAUUAUCAGAACUGCUCUAGUGUCCAUUGCUCCCUAUCAAAUGGCACCUAAGGAGUAUAAGAAACUUAAGGUUCAAAUUUAGGAUCUUUUAGAUCGAUGGUGUUUCACCUUAGGGAGCUCCAGUUUUGUUUGUAAAGAAGAAAGACGGUACUAUGAGGUUGUCUAUUAAUUACCGAUAGUUGAACAAGCUUAUUAUUAAAAACAAGUAUCCUCUGCCAAGGACUGAUGACUUGUUCGAUCAGUUCUGAGGUGCAACUGUGUUUUCCAAUAUUGAUCUAAGUUUGGGUUAUUAUCAGCUCAAGGUGAAGAAGUCCAAUGUUCCCAUGACCACAUUCAAGACUCGUUAUGGCCAUUACGAGUUCCUAGUAAUGGCUUUUAGUCUAACUAAUACCCCUGUUUCAUUCAUGGACUUGAUGAAUAGGGUGUUUCAACCAUUUUUAGAUCAGUUUGUAUUUGUGUUCAUCGACAACAUUUUGUUUAACUUAAAAACUGAGACUGAUCAUGAUUAGCAUUUGAGGGUUGUUGAAUAGAUUCUCUAAGAGAAGAAGCUCUAUGCUAAGUUGAGUAAGUGUGAGUUGGCUUAGAAAAGUUAUGUUUCUAGGUCAUGUGUUAUCUGUAACAUCUCGACUGGUGAAGCCCUAGUAUUCAAUUGUUGUUUUAAAAGUAAGAAUUUUUUUUGAAUAAUUCUGAAUAAGUGACAGAUUUAUUUAAGAAAUAGAAGUUCACGAGUACGCUCUUGGGUGAAGUCUUGAAAGUUGAAAUAUAGCCAAUAAGAGUAAAGCUUAAAAGGAUAGUUUUAAGUUGUCCAAUGAUUGGAUUGGAUUAAGCAUAAGUUACUUUUUGAACGUGUUUAUAACACCUUAGUCUGGUGUAUUAUGGAGGUGCGAAACUUAUGGUUAAGUUAAGUACAAUGUUUCGAAGAAUAAUGGUAAGUGUAUAAGUCUCUGAAUUGGGCGUAUAGUUAUAUAGAAAAACAAUAAGUGAAAAAGUGUUAGCCCAAAUAAGCCCAUCUUGACGUAUUGAGUAGGCUAACUAAGAUGUUAUGUUUAUAAGGUCAUCUGUAAUAGGAUCCCUUAAGGGAUCAUUGGAGGAAUGACUGACUAAAUAGUAAUCGUCGCCCAAAUGCAUUCCUGGCGUAUAGGAUGGACGGACACUGAUAUUGAAAUAAGUAUACAAGGAUUCCUAUUUAGUUUAGGAUGAUAAGUGAAAUGAAAGUGAUGAUUAUGAAGAGAAUGGUUAUGAGGUAUGAAGCCACGCCAGAAUGCAUAGUACCUCCAGUGACCAAUGAGGUUCUGUACUAGUUGAUUUAAAGGAAAGCUAGUUGGGAACUAACCAAAUGUGAAUUAGAAGAGUCAAAGGCUGAAGGAGUAUCAAGUAAGUCUCCUAGACGUGGCAGAUUUUAAUAGGCCACUUAAUCUUGAAGUGGCCUUUAUCAAUUCCCUAUGAAAACUUGAGUUAAGUAAAAUGACAACUGAGUUAAGUUAAGGGGGUUAUCUUCUUUUUUAAAGAGGAGAGCCAUGAAUGGAUGAAAGCUGCCUCCCAAAAUAUGAGACUGGAACCCCUAUUUUUGCUAGUAAUUUCCCUUGCAACAAGGUACAUUUCAUGACUUUGUCUACUAAGGAAACGCAGAUUUAUAAGUAUACUUGAGGAAAUAAGGCUUAAUGAUACGUUUGAGUUAAAGUAGAGGUAAAAGGUUACUCAAAUGAGCUUUAAAAAGUGUCUAUGUUUGCUGAGGCGAGAAAGACAUAGUAUCUGGUUGAUUGAAGAAUCUGGAGCUCAAGCGAUCGAUUUCAAGAAAAAAAAGGCUAGAUCUAAAGUCUAAAUUGCCUUUGAGGUUAUAAGGUGAGUCUUCAAGCUGACUCUAGUAAAUUAUUAUGCAUGUUAGAACCUUCUAUGAAAAUAUGCUAAGAAAUUCAUGAUGUGAUCAUUCUGUGAGAAAUGCAUGCCUGAUGAACUUGCAUGAAUGAUUUGCAUGGAAUAUGGAUAUGAUUUCUGAAGAUAAUAUGUUUGAAUGAGUAAAGUGUGUAUAUGUGUGUUUUGAUGAUAUGAACAAGUCUGUUGUGAAUAAGUCUGUCAAGUAUGAGUUUGCAUGAAGAGUUUGUGCCUAUCUCUAAAGUUGUAUAAAGGGGUUCGUCGGGACUAAAAACAUGAAUCUCUAAAAGGAAAAGUCCAUGACAUUCUAAACACCAUAUAGUGUAAGACCCUGGUUGGGUUAGGACAUUUUAUGGAUUAUGUAAAGGAUGGUUGGGUGAGUACCAACAAUGAGGGGCAAACCUCACGAAGGUGAGUUUAGGCGAAUCACUAUCGUUAAAAACACCAAUUUUCGUAUCAGUGAGCCUUUUUGGCUAUCUCUAUUUUAAGGAAACCUUUGUGGCGAUCUAUGUUAAACGGAUGCAUUUGUUGGCUAUCUAUAAAUGGACCCUUUGUUGUUAUCUUUGAAAGGAAGCCUUUGUGGCGAUCUCUGUUAUAAGGAAGCAUUUGUGGAUAUUUUUGAAUGAAUAUCUUGUGGCAAACUCUAUUAAAAGGACGCCUUUGUGGCAAGACUCUGAAAGGAAAGUCCCUAUAGUUAUUUUUGGAUUUCAUGGAGGAAAUAUAAAGAACAGAUAUCAUGGUGACCAUCUAAAGAACAACGCCUUUGGGCAGACACUGGAUAGUGAACCACGUAUAGUUACAAAGGAUGAAUAGAAAGGCUAGUGCGUGACAGAGUACGUGGCGAGGCACAGAUAUGGGUUAAAAGUAAGAAUACAUAGUGCACUAAAGUAAAGAAGAUAUGGUCAAAUUCUAAUAUAAGUAUUGGGUGCAAUCUACCCUGCUCAUAGGUAUGAUAAGACUAGUGAUUAUGAAAUAAGUUAUUAAGUUUGAUAAUAAGGUAAGUGAAGAGGUUAAGGGUUAUGUAAAGAUAAGAGUUAAGAAAGGAUACAGAAGAUAAAGCGGUUUUAAGUAUAGUACACACAAGGAAGGAAAAUGGUUAUGAAGAAAGAAUAAAGAUGGUAGCCUCAGUAUUGUACCUGCCAAAGAAGGUAGAAAGGUCAAGAAACACUCCAAGGAUGUGCGAAAAAACAUAUGCAAUGUAGAAUGAAUGAAAAAGGUAUCUUGAGGUUUAGUUCACCAAGUUCUUACGAACUUACAAAAGUUAUUUCUAUUUUCAAGUCUGUAAAGAAAUGUACACUAAGAAACGAUGUCAGGGCUACGCCAAGGAAGCGGUGCAUUGGGCUGUUAUACAUACAGAGAAAUCAAGUGGCGUGUCAAAGUCUACGCCUAGAUAAAUAAGUAGAAUCCCAAAGCAUAUCCAGUAGACGAAAAGAUAAAGUACGAAAGUCUAAAAUCUUAUUGAGCCAAAACAAUAACUAUACUUUGUAUUUUUACAAUAAAAUCUAUAAUAGCCAUAGAUAGUCAAUUAUACACAGGUGAAAUGUAAGUGUAACCAUAUAAUGUAUGCCUAUAAGAAUUUUUGUUACAUAAAGAUAGACGUUUACGUUAAUGACUAAGAAAGAAAAGUUUCAAGUUACAUUUGUAUAAGGCGUGACAUCUAAGAUUCGGAUCUAGUAGAUCGAGUAGGGUCAAGUUUAGGGCGUUAAAAUAUCUAUUGAAGGUAUCCAUGGAGAUUCGAAGAAAACAAAGGCUAUUCUGGAAUGGAAACAGCCUAAAAACAUUUCUGUGAUCCAAAGGUUCUUGAGUUUAGCUAGUUAUUAUCAGAGGUUUGUUGAAGGGCUUUCUCUUAUUGUUGCCCCCUUUGACUAAGUUGCUUAAGAAGAAUAUUUUAUUCAAGUGGACUAUUGAUCAACAAGCAAGUUUUGAAAAGCUUAAGUCAGUGUUGACUCGAGCAUCAAUUUUGAUUUAGCCCGAAUCUGAGAAAGAUUAUGUGGUGUAUAGUGCUGCAUCUAAUAUCGGUCUUGGUUGGGUACUGAUGCAAGACAACAAGGUUGUAGCUUAUACAUCAAGACAACUUAAAUCGCAUAAGUGCAACUAUCCAACUCAUGAUCUGGAAUUGGCAGUUGUAGUAUUUGCACUAAAGAUUUGGAGGCACUACCUAUAUGGUGAGAUGUGUAUCAUUUACAUGGAUCACAAAAGUCUUAAGUAUCUUCUCUCCCAAAAAGAGUUGAACUUAAGGCAGUAGAGGUGGAUUGAGUUGAUUAAGGAUUUUAACUGUACCAUCGAGUAUCAUCCUGGGAAAUCCAAUGUUGUGGAAAAUGCUCUGAAUAGAAGAUUGAUGACUGACCUGAGGGAAAUGUUUGCAAGACUAAGUUUGUGUGAGGAUGGUGGCUUACUAGAAGAGUUACAAGUUAAUCCUACUUUGGUUGAUGAGAUUAAGGAUAAGUAGCCUUUAGUUGUGUCUUUUUUGUAUCGGGUUAAACAGGUUGAGAAAGGUAAGACUGUAGAUUUUAGUUCAAUUCAAAUGAUAUUCUGUGCUUUUGAGGAAGAUAUUAUGUGUUGAAUGAUAAGGAUCUAAAACAGCCUAUUCUUCGGAAAGUACAUAGUAUUCCUUAUGCUAUGUAUCUUGAAAGAAAUAAGAUGUAUCGUGAUCUAAGAGAACUAUAUUGGUGGCCUGAUCUACAAUAAGAGGUGACAGAUUAUGUGGCUAAGUGUCUGACGUACCUGCAAGUGAAAGCUAAGCACCAAUUUCCUUCUAGUCUAUUGUAGCCUAUUAGGAUUACUUAGUGGAAGUGGGAACGAGUCACUAUGGACUUUGUUAGUGGGUUACCCUUGACACCUACUAAGAAAGAUGUCUCCUAGAUAAUUAGGGAUUGGUUGACUAAGUCGGCUCACUUUCUGCUCUGGUUCGUACAGGUUACUCUCUACAGAAGCUAGUUAGAUUGUAUAUCUCUAAGAUUGUGAGACUACAUGGGGUGCUUGUAUCGACUAUUUCUUCUUGGGAUUCCCAUUUUACAUCUCUAUUUUGGAAGAAGUUACAUGAGGCACUUGGUACUCGAUUGGGCAUCAGUAUAGCAUACCAUCCACAAACUGAUGGAUAAUCAAAGAAGAUUAUUCAAAUUUUGGGGGAUAUGCUAAAGAGUUGUGUUAUGGGCUUCAUAGGUAGUUAGGACGAGAACUUGCCUUUGGUCGAGUUCACGUAUAAUAACAGCUUUUUAGUCAAGCAUACAAAUGGCACCUUACGAGGCUUUGUAUGGUCAUAAGUGUUGGACACAUUUGUGUUGGACUGGAUUAGGUGAAAAGAAGAUUUUGGGUUUAGAACUGGUUCAGGAAAGUAAGGGUAAAGUUAAACUAAUUCAAGACCAAUAGAAAGUGGCUUCGGAUAGAAAUAAGUAAUGGCUAAAUGUGCCAAUACGAUUUCCAGAGUGGACCGAACGUAAGUAUCCCUAACUAUGACUUUUUUGAUGACUGAAAAUUGUGUAUGCUAUUACUAUAUGAUUUGUUUUGACUCACAUGUUUUGUGACACUAUGGCAUAAAUCUGUUAUGUUAUACUAGACUCAUGAAAAUACAUUAUUACUGUUAUUGUCAUACUGAAUGCAUGAAAAAUCAUACCUGCUAUUUUUGUUAAAACUGAUCACAUGUCAAAACAUGCCUACUGUACUGAUUUUGUUCUAAUAUGCCAUAUCACAUUGCACAGGGUUGGGACGAAUAUGAAAGGAGGUAGUUAUGGUAGUAUAUCUAAAUAUCUGGUGGUUUAUCCACAUAAUUCUAGUAGUUUAUCUACAAUUUCUGGUGGCUUGUCCACAAUGUUGUGUGUAGGGAUGGAUGAAUUAUGGGGAACUCUUACUGUGGUGUGUAGCAGAUGUUAGGUAGGAUCCUUUCUGAAUUCUAAAUAUUGCAUUGCCAUACAUGAACAUGCAUUUAUUCACUGAACUCUGUGAUUUUGUAUUAUUAUGAAAUUUUGAAUAUCAGUUGUCUUGAAUGCUAUAUCUUAUUUUUUGAUUUUGAUCUCUUGAGUUAUGACUCAUAUUAAACUUUGUAAGCUCACCCUCUUAAUUUACUUUCUUACAAAAAACUAGUGAGGUUAGGAUUCGGAUUAAACAAUAGAAUGACCAUAUAAAAUAUUUUCAAUGAAAAGUAUUUUAACUUAAUUUAUUUUUUUUAAUUGUAAUAAUUUUAUUUGGGCCAUGACAUGGGUUUGGAUUUGGUUUAUUUUGGUUUGCAUGACAUUAGAACUUUACUGGUUAAAUUUAAUAAUUAGAUUUAUGCAUGAAAUAUAGUUUUAAACAUUAAACUAUAAUGACCAUUUUUCCGCUGCAAUAUUGGAAAUGAUUUUAGGAAAGUAAAUAAAAUUAGAAAUCAACAUGGUUUUUCAAAAUAAUUAAACUUUACAAAUUAAAUAUUGAAUUCAAUAAGCUUUUGAAACUAAUAAGUUUUUAUAAAACUAAGUGAAUCGCUCGAUUUUAUUUUUCCAGAGAAGACAAGCAAAUAAUUUUAAAAGUACAUUUUCAAAUCUGGCGAUUUAGUUUGGCCAUCUAUUUGGUUUAUGUAACCUUCAGGACUUGGUCAUAACAUCUAGGCUGGGUUGGGAAGGUUACAUUAACACGUAAUUCAAUAUUCACCAGCACAUAGCACUUCAAUUCAUUAAUUCAUCAUAAUAUCUUAUUCCACGUGUCUAGUUUAUAUGCUCUUCACUUUUCUUAUUUCAAUAUAAUCACCAAGUUAUGAUUUAGUCCUUAGCAUUAUGAACAUACUGUAACACCCAUAACCCAUAUCCGUCACUGGAACAGGGUUAUGGAGUACUAUCGGAGUUUACAGAUCAAAUAUAAUUAAAUUGUAUCAUUUACUAUUCAUGUCUGAAAUCAUACAUAAUCAAUCAUAUUAUCCUUUAAAUGGAUCCUCGAGGCCCAAUUUAUGCAAUAGAAACAAGUUGGGACCAAAUUGAGAACUCAGAUAAUUUUUCGCCAAAUUUCACAAUUUUUCUUAGGUGCAAAGGACACACGCCCACAUGGCAAGGCCGUGUGACUCACACAACCAAGUGACAUACCCGUGUCUCAGGCCAUGUGGGCAUUCGAUGUGAGGUACACGACUGUGUCCUAGCCCAUGUCCAUACCCGUGUAACUCUUGACCUAGGUCACACAGCCAACCACAUGCUCGUGUGUUAGGCUGUGUGAAUAAAUUAAAUUUUCAAUAAUUAAGUGUAGGGGUUACACGACCAAGUUACACGCCUAUGUGCUAAGCCGUGUGACACACACAGUUGAGACACAUGCCCAUGUCUCUGUCCGUGUGAGCAAUUCGAUGCAUCCUGUUUCUCAAAUUUAAGAUGUAAGGGACACACGGCCAAACCCCAUGCCCGUGUGCAUGGCCGUGUGUCACACACGAUUGAGACACAUGCCCGUGUCUCUACUCGUGUGGACAAAAUAGGUCACUUUUCUCACGCAAAUUGUCUUUCACCUACAACAUCAUUUAAGCACAUUCACAAGGCAAUUCAAAACUCUCAAACCAAGUCAAUACCUAAGUCUUUUACAAGAAAUAUCAUCACAUUUGUCCAAGUACCGGUUUUACCUAAUUGACUAUAUAAACAUAUAUGUAUGUAUUUUACCAAAUCUUGAAAACUCUUAGCAUACUUAUAUAACUUCCAUCAUUUAACCAUUUCAAUACACAAAACAAACAUGAUAAGGCCUUAUAUAUUUACAUCAAAAUAUGUCAAACACUAGCCGUUACAAUGGCUAGUUACAACUGUAACACCCCUUACCAGUAUUCGAUGCCGGAACAGGGUAUGAGGCAUUACCAGACUCAAACAUAAGCAAUCAUAUAAAACCGAGACAUAAAUCUCCAUCUAAUUUAAAACCUUUCACAUACAUUCCUAUCAUCCCUAUAAUGGGCCCACAAGUCCAAAACACGCAUCGGGAGUGGUUCGGGGCUAAACAGUAAAAUUUGGAAAAAUUUUCAUUAAACAGGGUCACACGCCCAUGUGGAAACAAGGACAUGCCCUUGUGCCCUUGACACACCCGUGUCACCAGGCUGUGUAACUCUCUGUUUAUGACAUCAGCAUCCAUUUAAGAUCACACGGCCAAGUCACAUGCAAGUGUGCUAGGCCGUGUGGUAAAUUUAAUUUACCCAUUUAAGGUGCAGACUUCACACGGCCUUAGCACACGCCCAUGUCCUAAGGCUAUGUCCUCUACAGGGCUGAGACACAUGGCCCUGUCUCUGCUUGUGUGUUUACUACCAUGCAUACUGACUUGAACAAUUUUGGUGCAGGGGAUACACGGUCGGACAACACUCCAAUGGGGCUCACCGUGUGUCAUACACGGCCUAGACACACGCCCGUGCAUCUACCCGGGUGGACAACUUUGAGGCUAUUUUCCAAUCCUUCUUGUCACCCUCAACAACCCAUACACACACUCCUGUGACAAUGGUGAUUAUCAUGGCAUAAAUGAACUACUUAGACAUCCAUAGCUUUAACUCAUGCAUGAUAAAUUUAUGUCAAGUAUACAUAAUUGGGACUCCAUGACUUGUUAAGUUCAUUCAAUCCAUCUCUUUGCCUUUAUUCAUAUUAUGAUCAUGCCAAUUAACACCCUUUAUCCAUCAAGCAUAAAUUCCACAUUUUAUCAUCCAUUGUUAACAACCAUUUUGUCACACACCACAAGAAUAAUAACACAUUUCAUGCAUGUAUCAAUAUUUAGGGAUUUCAACCCCAUAAUCAAUAUGAGCCAUAUUUCUUGGCCAUAUACAAAAUAGAAUAAUAUACCAAAAUGAGCCAUCACUUUGGCUAACAAUUAUGACACAUAUAACAAAAUACUAAGUCCCCAAUACAUGCCAUACUUAAAUGUAUCAAGUCAAAUAUACCAUAAAAGAGUUGUUGAUAGUGUGACUCGAACUCCAACGUCCACGAUCCCCGAGCUACCUUGGCGAUGCUAGGGGUAAGCAUAUAGACUAGUAAGUCGUGCACAAAUAAUAAACAACUUAGGUCAUGAAACUCAUGGAUUACACAAACUAUCAAUUACCACCAUAUUAUUAUAUUACACAUAAUGAACGUAUUGAGAUUUGAUAAUAAAUGUAUUUGAACAUCAUGCUUAUCUUACUCUUUCAUACAGGUACCAAAUUUCCCAACAUGAAUCGAGUCCAAAACUCAUGAGGUUUACGUACAUACCUAUACCAUGCAUUAUUACUCAUUCUACCCCAAAUUUUUAAUCAUAAUCUUUAAUGGUCUGUUGAAUUACCCAAAAUACUAAAGGACUUUUAGAAUCAACACACACCAUAUAAAAUGCCAAAGCCAUGUCCCCGACAUGGUCUUACAUGGGUUUACAUACCGAUGUCAUAUCCCAGAUAUGAUCUUAAAUGAAGUCUCAUGUCAGUGCCAAUGCCAUGUCCUAGACAUGGUCUUAUAUGGGACCUCAUAUCAAUGCCAUGUCCCAGAAAUGGUCUUACACGAAAUCUCAUAUCAACGCCAUAUCCGAGAUGUGGUCUUACAUGAAAUCACAUACUGAGGCCGAUAACAUAUCCCAGAUAUGGUCUUACACUGGCACACAUAUCAAUGUCGAUGCCAUGUCCUAGACAUGGUCUUACACUAGCUCUCAUACGCUGAUGCCAUGUCCCAGGCAUGGUCUUACAUGGGAUCUCAUAAAUCAUGGUGUCAUGAUAUCCGAAUCCUAAGCAUUCCUCAGGGUCACCUGGGACUUCAAGAUAUAAAGCUAUCAUCAAAAUUUCAUUAAAUCAUCACAAGCCAAUUUCAUUAAGGUGUACAUACAUAUAUCAUAGAAUACCAAUUAUUAAACGCAUAAUAAUGGAAUUGUUGAAUUACUUACACCCUACUUACCUCAGUGCAAAAUAUGACAAUUUGCGAUUUAAUCCACAACCUUGCCUUUUCCUCGGUCAAGGUCUAUCCCUUAUCCCUCUUGAUCUAUAAUAGCACAUUUAGCUCAUUUAAUACAUGCACUAUUCAAUUCAGUCCAAAAAUCAUGAUAUGGCAAAAUUACAAUUUUACCCCUAAAAUUUCACAAAAUUAUGAAAUUGCCCCUAGGCUCGUUAAAUGAAAAGUACCCAUUUUCUCAUUAUUCAAGCCUAGCCGCAUAAUUUUCUCUCUUAUACCAACCCACAUUUUUCAUUUAUUCACUCAUUUACACAUAUUUUGUACAACUUUUACAAUUAGGUCCUUUUUAUCAACUUCACCAAUAACCACCUAGUAAAAGUUGUUUAUCACCCAUCAAACUUUCAUAUUCUUUCAUUAGACAUCAAAGCACAAGCAUAUCAUUCAUGGGUAUAUUUUUGAACAUGAACCCUAGCUCAAAUUAAGGGUAGAAAUAGCUAAAUCGAGCUAUGAGGAUUUUAAAAAUAUAAAGAAUAUUAAAAACGGGGCUCGGAUGCACUUACUUUUAAGCUUGAAGAUUAAAACAACCCUAGCUAUGGCUUCCUUAUGAUAUUCGACCAAGGGGGAUGAAGAUGAAUACAAAUUUUGACUAUUUUCCCCUUUUAAUUCUUUAAAUAAUCAAUGGACCAAAAUGCCCUUCUAUUAAAACUUUGAUAUUUUAUCUCUCCUGUGUCCAUUUUUGUCCACAAUGACAUAUAAUGGUCUAACUGCCAAAUAAGGACUUCAAAUUUCUGAUCUCAUCACAAUUAAGCCCUUAAAUCAACUAGAACACAUGUUUUUCACUUAUUGCAAUUCAGUCCUAAUAACUCAAUUGGACACCUUAUUGGUAAAAUUUUUCGUUGAUAUUUUCACACAGGCAUGCAUAUAUAUCAUGGACCUCAUAACAUUCAUAAAAUAAUUAUAUCUAUUUCAGAUUUGUGGUCUCAAAACCACUGUUCUGACUAGGCCCUAAUUUGGGAUGUUACAAUUCUCCCCCUUAGGGAUUUUCGUCCCCGAAAAUCUUACUGGUAAACAAGUGUGGGUAUUGAUUUCUCAUGGCUUCCUCGGGCCCCCAUGUAGCCUCUUCUAUCCCAUGCCUAUGCUAUAACACUUUUACUAAGGUGAUAUUCUUGUUUCUCAACUGUUUGACUUCCCGAUCCAAAAUCUUAAUCAGCUCUUCACCAUAAGUCAUGUCCGGUUGAAUCUUAACUUCUAUCGAUGAUAUCAUAUGUGAGGGGUCCGAUAUAUAACGGUGCAACAUAGACACAUGGAAUACAUCAUGGAUCUUUUCCAAUUUCGGCGGUAAAGCCAACUGAUAAGCUACUAGUCCUAUACAUUCGGUAAUCUCAUAAGGUUCUAUGAAACGAGGACUUAACUUGCCCUUCUUGCUGAAUCUCAGAACCUUUUUCCAUGGUGAUACUUUUAAAAAUACCUUAUCACCCACUUGAAACUCAAUUUUUUUCUUUUUUAAAUCUGCGUAAGACUUUUUUCUAUCUGAUGCCGCUCUCAAACAAUCUUUAAUUACUUUCACUUUGUCUUCGAUUUCCUUAACCAAGUCAACCCCGUGCAAUUUAUUUUCCUUGAGCUUUGUCCAACACAAGGGAGUUCGACACUUCCGGCCAUACAGUGCUUCAUAAAGUGCCAUUUUUAGGCUCGUCUGAAAACUGUUGUUAUAGGCAAACUAAACCAAAGGUAAGUACUUUUCCCAACUACCUUAGAAUUCUAGGACACAACAUCUCAACAUGUCUUCUGGUUUGAAUCACUCUCUCAGAUUGGCUGUCAGUUUAUGGAUGGAAAGCGGUACUAAAAUUCACUCUCGUGCCUAAGGCUUCUUGCAACCUUUUCUAAAACCGUGAGGUAAACCUCGAAUAUCUAUCCGAUAUGAUUGAUAAAGGUAUUCCAUGAAGUCUCACAAUUUUAAAAAUAUAUAACUUAGCCAAUUUAUCAAGUGAGUAGUCAGUACGUACCAGGAUAAAAUGAGCCGACUUCGUCAAUUGAUCAACUAUAACCUACACCACAUCUUUCUUGCUCGGUGUCAAAGGUAAGCCCGAUACAAAUUCCAUGGUAAUUCAGUCCCAUUUCCACUGGGGAACCAUGAUAGGCUGUAGCAAUCCUGAAGGUACAUGGUGCUCAGCUUUUACUUGUUGACUAAUUAAGAAUCUCGCAACAAAUUCGGAAAUAUCUCUUUAUAGUGUUUCACCAAUAUAUUUUCUUCAAGUCUUUGUUCAUUUUCGUACUACCGGGGUGUACUGACAAACGACCAUUGUGUGCCUUAUUCAAAAUCUUAGGAAUCAACUUGGUAUCUUUAGGAACACAAAUCCUAUCUCGGAACAUCAAGCAACCAUCGGAAUCAACCCAAAAAUCAUAUUCAGAACCCGACUCACACUGAGUUCUCUUAGCUUACAAUUUAUUAUCGUUACUCUGAGCUUCAAAAAUUUCUUAAAGAAACAUCAGCCUAGCUCUUAAAUCUGCUACAACCACACCAUCAUUUUCUAAGCAAUCCAAGCAUCCAUGGCUCUCAAAGCAAACAAGGAUUUUCUACUUAAAGCAUCGACGACCACAUUUGCCUUUCCCGGAUGGUAGUCGAUUAUUAACUCAUAAUCUUUUAUCAAAUCUAACCAUAUCCAUUGCCUAAGAUUUAAAUCCUAUUGAGUCAUCAGAUAUUUCAAACACUUGUGAUCAGUGAAUAUUCGGCAGGUCUCACCAUACAAAUGGUGUCUCAAAAUCUUUAAUGCAAAUACAAUAGCAGCUAGUUCUAAAUCAUGUGUCAGGUAAUUUUUCUCAUGUAGUUUCAGUUGUCUAGAUGCAUAGGCUAUCACUUUGCCUUAUUGCAUAAGCACACAUCCCAAACCAUUCAAUGAUGCAUCACUAAAGAUCACGAACUCCUUUCCCGGCUCAGGUUGAACUAACACUGGAGCUUCAGUCAACAAUGCUUUCAUUUUCUCAAAACUCUGUUGGCACUUCUCUGUCCAUUUGAACUUAACAUCCUUUUGUAAAAACCUCGUCAUUGGAGUGGCAAUCAUCAAACAUCCUUUAACAAACUAUCUGUAAUAGCCGGCCAAGCCUAAAAAGCUUCUGACCUCUAUCACAUUCUUCGGCAGUUUCUAGUCAACAAUAGCUAAAAUCUUACUCGGGUCAACUCUAAUAUCGUCUCCCGAAAUAAUGUGUCUCAAAAACCCAACUUCACGAAGCAAAAAUUCACUUUUACUGAACUUGGCAUACAACUUCUUGUCCCUCAAAGUCUGUAAAACAGUUCUCAAGUGCCCGGCAUGCUCUGCCUCAUCUCUUGAAUAAAUCAAAAUAUCAUCGAUGAACACCACAAGAAAUUUAUCCAAAUAAGGCCGAAAUAUUCUAUUCAUCAAAUCCAUAAACACUGUAGGAGCAUUUGUUAACCUAAAUGGUAUAUUGAGGAAUUCGUAGUGGCCAUACCUCACUCUGAAGGCAGUCUUAGGCACAUCUGAUUCUUUAACCCACAGCUGAUAGUAAUUGGACCUCAUAUAACACCCCAUACCCGUAACCCACGCCGGAGUGGAAUAUGAGGCAUUACCUAACUCGAUCUCAUGCACACAAAUGUUCCCCAAGUCACCAAGACUUGGUCCAAUUUAUAAAAUUUUCAAUUUCUACUUUAAACUUCUUAUUAUGGGCCUACGAGUCCCAAAUCGACCAUUGAAAACUAUUCGGGAUCAACCCGGGUCCUUAAACCAUUUAUAGAAAAUGUGACUUUGAAACAGGGCACACUCCUGUGUAGAAGGGAAACACGCCGUGUGGCCAUUUCACCAUGGUAGUGUUGAUGGCCCAUGUGGCUCACACGGCCUAAACAAUACAGGGACAAGCCCGUGUCCUCCAUCCAUGUGGAAUAAAUUCUAAAUGCACACCUACAUGGGUUUUCACAUGGCUUGGCACAUGCCCGUGUCCCUGGCCCGUGUCCUUCACACAGCCAUGACACGCCCAUGUUCUAGCUCGUGUGCAAAAACAUGGACAUUCUGUUUCUGACGUCAGCAUCCCCAAAAUGUCACACGGCCAAGGCAUACAACCGUGUGCUAGGCCCUAUCCAUCACACGACUGAGACACACGACUGUGUCUCUGAUCAUGUGUUUACUACCAUGUAUACUGACUUAAAAUUUUUACGUGCAGGGGACACACAGCUAGACCACAUCCCCAUAAUGCAGAUCGUGUGUCACACACGGCCUAGACACACGCCCAUGUUUCUACCCGUGUGGACGAUAUAAGGCUAUGUCCAAGCCUCUUUGCCACCCUUACUUACAUAACCUGCAUAAGAUCACUCUAUACCAAUACAAGGGCACAUCAUAUGGCCAAAACAAACACAAUAGACAACAUUUCAAUUGUGCAAAUUUACUCUUCCAUAAAAGUAACAUCUUCUACGCAAUAUCAAAAUGGAUAUUGACCAUUAUCCAUAGCUUUAUACAAAAUGAAAGGAUUUAACCCAAGCCACACAUUUGGCCAGUUCUCAAUGACACAAAAGUAGUAAAGUCUAAGCCCUACACAUGCCAUAUUCAAAAAUAUAAAUCAAACUAUACCGAAUGCUUCGAUUGAUAGUGUGUUCAAUAUAUCUGACUUCCUUUGGUCCUUGAGCUAGAUAAGCGGCACUAUAAGAAAAUGAAAAAGGAGAGGGAGUAAGCAUAAAGCUUAGUAAGUUGCAUAUAAAUAAAUAUACAACAUAACUUUACCAUUCAUCAACAAAUAUCAUAAUACACAAGUGGCAUAAGCAAAACUUACUCAUCAAUAUUCAAUAUACCUCAUAUAGCAUAUAUUAAGCUUACAUUUCAGACAUACCAUAUAGGUACCUAUACCACUCACAACACGGUUAUACUUUCCUUGUUAACUUGAAAUCAUACUUUCACCGUUGAACCAUUUGGAACAUUAUCAGAUACUCAUUUAAUCUCAAACAUGGGGUUAGGUGCCAAUGCCAUGUCCCAGACAUGGUCUUACACAAGUUCUAGUAUAUCUGUGCUGAUGCCAUGUCUCAAACAUGGUCUUACACUGACACAUCUCGUAGCCGAUGCAUGUCACAGACAUGUCUUACACUGGCUUAAGUCUCGAGGCCGAUGCAUGUCCCAUACAUGUCUUACACUAGCACUCAUCUCAAUGUCGAUGCCAUGUCCCAGAUAUGAUUUUACACUAGUUCUCAUAAUGUGGUCGAUGCAUGUCUCAGCCAUGUCUUACACUAGCUCACAACCAGUGACCUAAACAUCAUGGCAUGAAUAUCCGAUUUAUUUCCUAAGGUUCAAUCGGGAAUUCUACUAUCUCUAUUCUCAUCACAUUUUCUCAUUUCCAAAAUCAAGAAAUUUAUGCUAUAAUAAUUUCAAUACAAUUCAAAUACAUAUAUUAUUAAUGUAGUUGUACUAUUUACAUACAACUUACCUCGGAUUACAAAAUGUGGCGACUAGUCGAUUUAAUCGAUUUGCUUGGCUUUCGGAUUUGGUAUUUCUUGAUCUAUAAUUGAAAAAUGCACUUAUUUAGUCACUAAAUAAAAUUAAGCAAUCGAAAAUUCAUAUCUUUUGUAAAAUGAACAUUUUGCCCUUAGACUUUGACAAAAUGACCAUUUUACCCCUAGGCCCGAAAAUCAAUUUUUAUCGAAUUUCUUCUUAUCUUAAGCCUAACCGAACCAUUUUUACUCUUAUAGAAACUCCAAAUUCUCACUAUAUCACAUAUUUAUCAUCUAUUUUAUAACUUAUGCAAAAUAGUCCUUUUAGGUGUUUUCAUGCUAACACAUUUCACAAAAGUUGUUUAUUAAACACCCAAGACUCAUUUUCUUCCUUAAAAACUCAGCAAACAUUACAAACCCUUUCUUGGAAAAACCCUACACUCUUGAUCAUUUUGCAAAAUAGCACCUUCAUUUGAAAGCUCAUGCUUCAAGGAUCUCAAAAGUACAAAAAUAUUCAAGAAAAGCCAUUAAAAUCACUUACUUGUGAAUGCUUAAAGUUGUUGAAAUUUCGAGCUCUUAAAACCCCAUUUCUUUGCUGAAAAUUUUGGUCAAAAGAAAGGAUGGAGAAGAAAAUGAUAGCUGGGCUUUUUGCCAUUAUAAUAAUACACAUUAUGUCAUCAACAUUACCUAAUGUUGACUUUACCAUACUUUUCAUCUCUCAUGGCUGGCCAAGCUAUCACAAUAGGGUCUAAUUACCCUUUAAAGACCCCUAAUUUUUAUUCUCUAGCUAUUUUACACUUUUAGCUAUCAAAAUAGAACUUUUGCAUUUUAUGCAAUUUAGUCCUUUUUUCACAAUUGGGCUCACAAACGUCACAAUUAACUCACCAAAUUUUUCAUGCACUCUUAGAAACAUGCUAUAACAUCUAAAUAAUUAUAAAAUAAUUUAUGCAACUCCAGAUUUGUGUUCUUGAGACCACUAUUCUGACUUGGCCCUAAAUCGGGCUGUUACACCUCAGGUCUAUCUUUGAAAAUACUGUGGCUCCCUUCAAUUUAUCAAAUAGAUCAUCAAUCCUUGACAAAGGAUACUUGUUCUUUAUUAUCACCUUGUUGAGCUGUUGAUAAUCUAUAUAUAAUUUCAUCAAACCAUAUUUCUUUUUCACAAAUAAUACGAGGGCACCCCAAGGUGAAACCCUUAUCAAUCAACUCCUGUAACUGAACCUUCAACUCUUUUAAUUCUAUUAGGGCCAUCUUAUACAGAGCAAUUGAAAUAGGUGCAGUACCAGGAGUCAAAUCAAUGCCAAACUCUACUUCCCUAAUAGGAGGUAACCCCGGCAAUUCUUCCGGGAACACAUCCAGAUAUUCACAUACUACCGAUACUGACUCAAUCUUUAACUCAGACUCUUUAGUGUUCAAUAUAAAGGCAAGUUAAGCUUCGUACCCCUUUCUUACACAUUUUUGCGUAGACAUGGAAGAAAUCACUACAGGCAUGCCAUUUAAUUCAUCUGGUUCAACCUGAAGAACAUUACCAUUCUCACAUUUCAGAUCAAUAAACUUUCUUCCACAAUUCACCACCAUAUUAUGAGUGGUCAACCAAUCCAUACCAGGAAUUACAUCAAAUUCAUCAAACAGUAAUAGCAUGAGAUUAGCCGGAAAACAAUGACCUCUAAUCAUUAAAAGGCAAUUUUUACACACUUUAUCAACUAACACAUACUUGCCUAACGGGUUUGACACCUUUAUUACGAACUUAGUAGAUUCAACAAACAAUUUCAUAUCAGACACCAACUUUUGCAAAUAUACAAAUGGGUAGACCCCAAGUCAAUCAAAGCAACAACAAAAGUUUCAUAGAUAGAAAAUGUACCCGUAAUUACAUUAGGAGACGAGGCCUCUUCGCGAGCGCGAAUGGCAUAGGUCCUCGCAGGUGCCCUGCCCUCAGGUCUCAUAGCAGACUCUCUAGGUUCACCCUUACUUCUUGUUCCACUACCCGGAUUCCUCUGAGGUCUUCCCUUAUUAGCAGUGCUAUCUAACCUUGUUCCUUGGAAAUUUCCUCUUUCUGUCCUCUUGGGGCAAUCCCUAACAAAGUGAUCAGGGGAACAGCACUUAAAACAAGUUCUAUCACUCCUUCGACACUCACCGAAGUGGCGUCUCCCACAUUGGGGACAUCCUGAUCUAUCAGGUCGAGUAUUUCCAACACUAGGAAUUGAAGUGGUAUAAGCUUUCGAAACUGAGUAUUGUUUACUCCUAUUCUUCCUUGAAUACCGAGCAGAGGCAUUAGAUCAAGUAGUAAACUCUCUCGACUUCUUAGAUGAAGAUUGAAAAGAUUUUCCCAGUUGCCUUUUUCUCGAGUCUCGAGAUUUCAGAUCAUUUUUCCGAUUUUCUUUAGCCAAUUCUUCAACCUUGCAUGCUCUCUCAACCAACACAAUAAACUCUUUCAACUCAAGGAUACUGACCAACAAUCAAAUGUCAUCAUUUAACUCGUCCUCAAAUCUUUUUCACAUGAUGGUUUUAGUAGAUACACAUUCCCAAGCGCAUUUGCUAAGCCUCACAAACUCACGCUCGUACUCGGUAACUGUCAUUUUACCCAGUUUCAACUCUAGGAACUCUUUCCUCUUUUGAUUUAUAAACCUUUGACUGAUAUAAUUCUUGCGAAAUUCCUCUUGGAAAAACUCCCAAGUCACUUUCUCUCUCAACACAACCGAUACGAGGGUGUCCCACCAUUGUAGGCCGAAUCUCUUAGAAGUGAUACUACGAACUUCAUGCACUCUUCCAGUGUGCAUGACAACUCAUAAAAGACUUAGAUGGUGUUCUCGAGCCAAAAUUCUGCUCUUUAUGGAUCACUAUCAAUGUUAGCUCGGAACUCUUUAGCUCCUUGCUUUCUAAUUCGAUCAACUAGAGGCCUUUCCCUUCUCACCAUCUCAAUAACUUGGGGAGCUAUAGGGGUAGGCUGAGGAGUAUGAGGGGGUGGGGGAGGUUGAACACUCGGGUUUCUCCGAACAAACUCAGUGUACCAAUUAUUCAUCAUGUGGGGAAAGGCUUCUCUACCUCCUUUUCCUCUACUAACUAUCUCGGGUCUACUAUCAGAUCGCAUUGCUCCUUCAGUGGGAGUAGGCCCGUUACUUUUUACAUCAUCGGCAACUACUCGUUUGGGAUCCAUUUACUAUAUAAAACACAAUUUCAAUUGUCAAGAGUUGUCACACUAUCAUAAUUACAUAUGGCAUGUAUAACUAGACUUCCACACUCGCUACAUCUCCUAGAACCGACUAAACCGUAGCUCUGAUACCAAUAAAUGUAACACCCAUUACCCGUAUUCGAUGCCGGAACAGGGUACGAAGCUUUACCGGACUCAAAUAUAAGCAAUUAUAUAAAACCGAGAUAUAAAUCUCCAUCCAAUUUCAGACCUUUUACAUACAUUCUUAUCGUCCCUGUAAUGGGCCUACAAGCCCAAAACAUGCAUUGGGGGUGGUUCAGGGCUAAACUGUGAAUUUUGGAAAAAAUUUCAUUAAACAGGGUCACACACCCAUAAGCCCUUGACACCCCCGUCUCCCCAGGCCAUGUAACUCUCUGUUUAUGACGUCAGGAUCCAUUCAAGAUCACACGGCCAAGUCACACGCCCGUGUGUUAGGCCCUGUGGCAAAUUUAAUUUUCGCAUUUAAGGUGCAAACUUCACAUGGCUUUGGCACACAGCCAUGUCCUAAAGUCGUGUCCUCUAUACAGCUGAGACACACUCCCCUGUCUCUGCCCGUGUGUUUACUACCAUGCAUACUGACUUGAACAAUUUGGGUGCAAGGGACACACGGUCGGACGACACGCCCAUGAGGCUCGCAGUGUGUCACACACGGCCUAGGCACACGCCCGUGCGUCUACUCGUGUAAACAACUUUGAGGCUAUUUUCUAAGCACUCUUGUCACCCUCAACAACCCAUACACACGCUAAUGUGGCAAUGGUGAUUAUCAUGGCAUAAAUGAACUACUUAGACAUCCAUAACUUUAACUCAUGCAUGAUAAAUUUAUGUCAAGUAUACAUAAUUGGGACUCCAUGACUUGUUAGGUUCAUUCAAUCCAUCUCUUUACCUUUAUUCAUAUCAUGACCAUGCCAAUUAACACCCUUUAUCCAUCAAGCAUAAAUUCCACAUUUCAUCAUCCAUUAUUAACAACCAAUUAGGCACACACCACAAGAAUAAUAACACAUUUCAUGCAUAUAUCAAUAUUUAGGGAUUUCAACCCCAUAAUCAAUAUGGGCCAUAUUUAUUGGCCAUAUACAAAAUGGAAUAAUAUACAAAAAUGAUCCAUCACUUUGGCUAACAAUUAUGACACAAAUAAAAAAAUACUAAGUCUCCUAUACAUGCCAUACUUAAAUGUAUCAAGUCAAAUAUACCCCAAAAGAGUCGUUGAUAGUGUGACUCGAACUCCGACGUCCACGAUCCCCGAGCUACCUUGGCGAUGCUAUAAGAAAAAGGAAAAGAAAGAGGGGUAAGCAUAUAGACUAGUAAGUCGUGCACAAAUAAUAAACAACUUAGGUCAUGAAACUCAUGGAUUACACAGACUAUCAAUUACCACCACAUUAUUAUAUUACACAUAAUGAACAUAUUGAGAUUUGAUAAUAAAUGUAUUUGAACAUCAUGCUUAUCUUACUCUUUCAUACAGGUACCAAAUUUUCCAACAUGAAUCGAGUCCAAAACUCAUAAGGUUUACGUACAUACCUGUACCAUGCAUUAUUACUCAUUCUACCCCAAAUUUUUAAUCAUAAUCUUUAAUGGUCUGUUGAAUUACCCAAAAUACUAAAAGAAUUUUAGAAUCAACACACACCAUAUAAAAUGCCAAAGCCAUGUCCCCGACAUGGUCUUACAUGGGUCUACAUACCGAUGUCAUAUCCUAGAUAUGAUCUUAAAUGAAGUCUCAUGUCAGUGCCAAUGCCAUGUCCUAGACAUGGUCUUAUACGGGACCUCAUAUCGAUGCUAUGUCCCAGACAUGGUCAUACAUGAAAUCUCAUAUCAACGCCAUAUCCCAGAUAUGGUCUUACAUGAAAUAACAUACCGAACUUGAUGCUAUAUCCUAGAUAUGGUCUUACACUGGCACACAUAUCAAUGCUGAUGCCAUGUCCCAGACAUGGUCUUACACUGGCUCUCAUAUCAAUGCCGAUGCCAUGUCCCAGACAUGGUCUUACACUGGAUCUCAUAAAUCGUGGUGUCAUGAUAUCCGAAUCCUAAGCAUUCCUUAAGGUCACCCGGAACUUUCGAGAUAUAAAGCUAUCAUCAAACUUUCAUUAAAUCGUCACAAGCCAAUUUCAUUAAGGCGUAUAUACAUGUAUCAUAGAAUAUCAAUUAUUAAAUGUAUAAUAAUUGAAUUGUUGAAUUACUUACACCCUACUUACCUCAGUGCAAAAUAUGACAAUUUGCGAUUUAAUCCACAACCUUGGCUUUUCCUCGGUCAACGUCCAUCCCUCGUCCCUCUUGAUCUAUAAUAGCACAUUUAGCUCAUUUAAUACACGCACUAUUCAAUUCAAUCCAAAAAUCAAGAUAUGGAAAAAUUAUAAUUUUGCCCCUAAAAUUUCACAAAAUUAUGAAAUUACCCCUAGGCUCAUAAAAUGAAAAGUACCCAUUUUCUCGUUAUUCAAGCCUAGCCGCAUAAUUUUCUCUCUUAUACUAACCCACAUUUUUCAUUUAUUCACACAUUUACACAUAUUAUUUACAACUUUCACAAUUAGGUCCUUUUUAUCCAUUUCACCAAUAACCACCUAGUAAAAGUUGUUUAUCACCCAUCAAACUUUCAUAUUCUUCCAUUAGACAUCAAAUCACAAGCAUGUCAUUCAUGGGUAUAUUUUUGAACAUGAGCCCUAGCUCAAAUUAAGGGUAGAAAUAGCUAAAUCGAGCUACGAGGAUUUUAAAAAUAUAAAGAACAUUAAAAACGGGGCUGGGAUGCACUUACUUCUAAGCUUGAAGAUGAAAGAAACCCUAGCUAUGGCUUCCUUAUGAUAUUCGGCCAAGGGGAAUGAAGAUGAACACAAAUUUUGACUACUUUUCCCUUUUAAUUCUUUUAAUAAUCAAUGGACCAAAAUUCCCUUCCAUUAAAACUUUGAUAUUUUAUCCCUCCUAUGUCCAUUUUUUUCCAUAAUGACAUAUAAUUGUCUAACUGCCAAAUAAGGACUUCAAAUUUCAAAUCUCAUCUCAAUUAAGCCCUUAAAUCAACUAGAACACAUGUUUUUCACUUAUUGCAAUUUAGUUCUAAUAACUCAAUUAGACACCUUACCGGUAAAAUUUUUCAUCGAUAUUUUCACAUAGGCAUGCAUAUAUAUCAUGGACCUCAUAACAUCUAUAAAAUAAUUAUUUUUAUCUCAAAUUUGUGGUCUCGAAACCAUUGCUCCGACUAGGCCCUAAUUCGAGAUAUUACAUUAACCAAAACAUUAUUGUGCCAACAUUGGCUAGUUAACCUAUACAUGCCAUUAUAUCUAAAAUAAAGUUUUCCAUUUUAUACCAAAAUAAGCUGAAGGAUAAUGUGAUUUUGAUUUGACCCACUUCUAACCUUUUCGAGCUUCCUAGUACUAUAAAAUAAAGAAUAUAAAACAAAGUAAGCAUUUACUGCUUAAUAAGUUCGCAUAACUGGAAAUUUAACUUGCCAUUCAUUUUUAUUAAAUAAACAUAUAAAUUGUAUCCUAACAAUUUUGGCUUAAAGCCUAAAACACACAACUUUACCAAUCAUGUUAGUCAAGUAAUUCACAUAAAUACCAAGAACAUGGAUGAGCUCAUCAUAUAAUAACUUUCAUAUACAUAUGCUUUCCAUAUCAUACUUCCAUAUUACAUGUACAUUUCCAUGACAAAUCAUUUUAAGUUCAAUUUAGCCAUGUCAAAACUUUACCCAUUGAAUUUAUUUAAAAUAUUGAUGGAUACACUCAUGUAGUACACUUAAAGUGUACAAAAUUGAAAAUCCGUCAAUUCAUAUCCAAGGGUACCCAUUAGGGCACAUAAUCAGGAAGCACUCUCUCGAGCCAUAUAAUAGGAUGCUCAUGUGAGCCAUGUAACAGGAAAUUUAUCCGGGCUAUAACAGGAAACUCAUAAGAGUUUAAAAUAGGAAGCUCAUUGAGCUUAACAAGUAACUUCGAAAAGUUAUUAUCAGAGAGCUUCGGAUAGCCAUAUAACAGGAAUAUAUGCGGGAUCACAACCGAUCAUAUAACAAAACGCUCACAAAGAGCUGUGAUAGUCUGUAACACAUGCAGGAUCACUACCAAUGAGGAUGCUCAUAGGAAGCAUAUAACAGGAUGCUCAACAGGGCUUAUAACAGGAUGCUCAUAAGAGCUAUGGCAUGUCCACAACAUUGCAAGUCCACAACCAACAUGUAACACCCCGGACCCGAGACCGUUUCCCGAGUCGAACACAAGGUGUAAACGGGUUUAAUUUAUUACUUAAACAGCUCAUGCAAUUCAUUUUAAAAUUUUCUAGACAAGCUGGCUAACUGCAUCACAGUUUCUUUAAAAAUCAUAUCUCGAGUUCUGAAACUCGAAAUCCAAUUCCGUAAAUUUUUCCUGAAACUAGACUCAUAUAUCUAUCUACUAAAAUUUUUCCAGAAUUUUUGGUCGGUCCAAUUAGUACAGUUUAUUAGUUAAAGUCUCCCCUGUUUCAGGGUUCGACUACUCUGACCUCUAUGUAUUACCAAUCAGAUAUCUCCCUGUACAGAGAUUCAAUGACUAUGCCGUUUGUCUCUAAUAAAACUAGACUCAAUAAGGAAUCUGUAGAUAUAAAGAAUGACUUCUAAUUAUCUUUGUAAAAUUUAUGGUGAAUUUCCAAAGUCAGAACAGGGGAUCCAGAAAUCGUUCUGGCCCUAUUUCACAAAAUUUUAAAUAUCUCAUACAAUAUAGCUCAUAUAUCUGUUUUACUUCUUCCAUAUGAAAAUAGACUCAUCAAGAUUCGAUUCCAUAAUUUAUCCAUUAUUUAAUUCCAUUUCUACUAUUUUUAGUGAUUUUUCAAAUUCACACCACUACUACUGUCUAAAUCUAUUUUAUGGUUUCCAUGGAUUAGCUAGUAAUUUGACAUACAUAACACCAAAUAUGAUCAGCCAUGGCAUACGGCAUAAUAAUCAAAUAGACUUAGACUACUACUCCAUCAAAACCGAAUUAUCAAGGCCAAAUCUACUGAACCUUAUAACUAAGCACCCAUAAGGCUAAAUUCAAACUUAGCAUUUAAGCCAUAUUCGCAUGGCUAAAAGUUUACAUAUUGGGGUUCAAACAAAACAUAAUAGCCUAUACAUGCCGAAAUGUUCUCUUAGGCCAACUAAGAAGAGGGUACCAAAAAGUUGAAAGCCGGUGUGAUGACUUCGACGAUGGUCCCAAGUACGCAAAAUGGUCAGAGAUAUCUAAAUAAGAAACAAACAAACACACCAAAUGAGUAUUCAACUCAGUAUUCCAUAAGCAAAAUAAUACAGGUUAUUUAUAAGAAAUUGAAAUAAAAGCCUUGCAAGUUCAGCUAAUUUAAUCACACCAAACUAGGCUACAACUACCUAGUUUAUUUAUCCAACCUCGAACCCAAGUUUUCGAUAUCGAAUCAAUUAUUAAACAACCAACCGUUUUAAAACUAUUCUCAAGGUAAGAAAUAAUUAUGAACUAGAUGUAUAUACACACAUACUUUUCAGUUAAUCAUUUUAGCACCUUAAUUCUUUACUUAUGCUCUUCGUAUCAUCAACCGCUUUUGCACACUUAGUGCUAAACAAAUUUGCACACUUAGUGCGGUACUAUCCCGCACACAUAGUGCCUUGAAAGUUUAUCUCAUAUGUUGACAUUCAAAUCAGCACACAUAGUGCUAUUCAACUCCGCACACAUAGUGCCAUACUACACCGCACACAUAGUGCCAAUGUACACUUUCUAUGAUAAAACAAUUUAAUUAAUUCAUUUGGCAUGUACAGCCACAACAAUAAACAUAUAUAAUUUCUCCAAGGAAAUACUUAAUAAAAAGAUUCUUUCAUGACAUGUUAAAGUCAUUUAUGUAUAAUUUAAAUUAACCCUAUGAUUGCUUAUGAACUUACCUUGUGUUGGGUAAAAUAGUUCCAAGUCGGCUACUCGAUGACCUUCGAUUUUCCCUUGUUGGACUCCUCUCCUUUAGGAUCUUGAGCUUAAACAAAUAAAUUAACUCAUUUAACCGCUUUGCUACAUAUAUUUGUAUCCACAUUUUAAUGAUUUUAUAGCAUACGGAACAACAUGGUAAAAUUUUUAUCUUUCUACCUUAUGCUCUUAAGCUAUUCGGCUUAUAUUUCAAUUUCUCCAAUGCUGAAUGCAACAUCACUUCCCAUCAUAUCAUCUUCUCAAUAUAUUUACAUCCAGUCAUAUAUAUGAAAUCAUGAAUCAAAUUCAACAUAUUAGCCAAUAUUCUCCUUUAGCCGAUUAUCUAAGUCAAGAUAAAAUCAUCAAUAUGCUUAACUAUAGCCGAAUGUGCAACAUCAAUCUAUCACUAUCAGCUAUAUACUUAAUUAAAGGCCGAAUAUAUGCAACAUCAAUCUAUGUAUUCAUUCAUGUGGUCGAAUAUACAUAUUCCAAUAUAAUAUCAUUUCCAUUUCAUUUAACACUUAACAUUUACCACAUAUCAAUUAACCAAUUUUUUUUUUAUAAUUACAAAACUCUUCAUCUAUUCAUGCUCUCAUAUUCGGUCAUCCAUACCUAUACUAACCAUAUAACUAAAUAAUUCUAAGUUUAAACACAAAUACAACAUUUUAGCACCAUGGCCGAACACUUCAUGAAGUUGCUAAGACCCAUCAUUUUCUAAUUCCCACACACACUCACAUCCAAUCCUUUUUAUUAAAUACUCAAACUCAAUCAUCUUCAUGCCUCAUCACAACAACAUCAAAACACCAACCAAGAAAGACAACAUCCAUGGCCGAAUAUCAUCUCCAUCAAAUAGCAAAAAUUUAAACCAUGGGCUAGGUAGAAUUCAAACUAACAACUAAAAAUAUGCAUGAAUUUCAAGGAAUAACAUCAAACAUACCUCAACCUAGUUACAAGCAUGGCCGAACUUCUUCAAACCUUUCUUUCUUUCUUUUACUUGGUUUUUCGGCUAAAGGAUAGCAAAGAUGAACACCCCUUUCUUUUUUUUUUCUCUUGUUCAUUUUAAUAUUUUUAUUAAUCCUUAUGUUAUGAAUAUUUUAUUUUCUUACCAAUUAAAUAUACUAAUCUAAUUUAAAUUAGUGAAAUGCAUCACUACUUGGCCGGCCAUUAAGUCAAAAAUGGGCAUUUUGACAUGCAAACCCAUGCUUCCUCUCUCUAUUAUUAUUUACUCCUUAUAAUUCAUCUAUCAUCUUUUCUAACUUCAUCAACUAGGUCCUUUCGAAUUAAUUCACAUUCCUAAAGCUAAUAUUAAGCAUUUAACUUUUCAUAUAUUCACUAUCACACAUAAAUUUAUGUAAUUAAAACACAAAAAAAAUAAAUUUUUGACUCGGUAAUGUGGUCCCGAAACCACUUUCCGACUAGGGUCAAUUUAGGGCUGUCACACAACAUGGGAAAUCUUGUAUCCAUCGAAUUUCAUUUAUUCAAACGGGACUUAGUACUUGUCAGAAAUUAUCGUAUAUGUGAUUUAUGUUUAAACGUGAAAAUCAUACAUUUCACAAUCAUAACAUUCAAUUUACACAUAUAAACAUACAUUUUAGUUACACGAACUUACCUCAUUACUUGCUCGUAUACGAAGAUCUACUAAUCCAAUACUUUUUCCUUUCCUCGAUCUAACUCCUAAUUUGAUUUUUUUGAAUCCAAUUAAGCUUGCUUGAAAUUCUCUCUCUUCACUAGGGUUUCCAUAAAAAUUUUGGGGAAGAUGAUGAUAUGAAAUUUUUUUAUUCAUUUAAUUAACUUAUCAUCCAUUAGUUUUUCAACUUUCCAAUUUAAUCUUUUUCUUUUUCCAAUUUUCCAUGGAUGAAUCAUCAUAAAUAUAUACUAACUUCUCUUAAUGGUCUAUUUGCCAUAUAAAGAUCUCAAAUUUUGUAUUCCAUAGCUAUUUGAUCCUUCUAGCUACUAGAAUUUAACUUUUACAUUUCAUACAAUUUGGUCCUUUUAUCAAUUAAACAUGUAAUCGAUAAAAUUUUCUUUUCGAAAUUUUCAUAUGGAUUUCCUAUCAUAAUACUGACCAUGCAAUAUUAUGCAAAUAAAUUUUCUUUUUGACUCAGAUUUGUGGUCCCGAAACCACUGUUUUGAUUUCAUUGAAAAUGGGCUAUUACAACUCUCCUCCUUAAAGAAUUUUCAUCCACGAAAAUCUUAACAAUAAAGAGGUUCAGGUAUUGCUUUCUCAUUGUUUCCUCCGGUUCCCAAAUAGCGUCUUCUAUUCCAUGUCGUUGUCAAAGAAGUUUCACUAAAGCUACCUUUUUAUUUCUUAACUCUUUUGUUUCACAUGCUAAAAUUUUGAUUUGUUCUUCACUGUAAGUCAUAUCAGGCUGAAUCUCAACUUCUAUCAGAGAAAUUAACAUGUGAAGGAUCUGACUAAUACCGUCGUAACAUAGAAACAUGGAAAACAUUAUGAAUUCUAUCAAGCUCUGGUGGUAAUGCCAAUCGAUAUGCAACAGGUCUGUUCUUUCAAUGACCUCAUAUAGUCUAACGAUUCGUGGACUCAAUUUUCCUUUACGACCAAACCGGAGAAAUUUUUUCCAAUGUGAUACUUUCAAGAAUACCUUAUCACCAACCUGAAAUUCUAUCUCUUUUUGUUUAAGAUCGACAUAAGACUUUUGACGAUCAGAGGUUUCUUUCAAGCUAUCUCGAAUUACUUUUUUCUUUUCUUCAAUUUCUCUGAUUAAAUCAACUUCGUGUAUCUUUUUCUCAUACAGAGCAUCGUACAGUGUCAUUUUAAUGUUGGACUGAUAACUAUUAUUAUAUGAAAAUUCAACUAAAGGUAGAUACUUUUCCUAGUUACUUUCAAAAUUCUAGUACACAUCACUAAAGCAUAUCUUCUAAAAUCUAUAUUAUACAUUUGGAUUGACCAUUUGUCUGAGGAUGGAAUGCAGUACUAAAAUGCAAUUGAAUACCCAGAGCUUCUUGCAACUUGCUCCAAAAUCGAGAUGUAAAUCGUGGAUCUAUAUCAGAAAUAAUGGAGACUGGUACCCAUGUAAUUUAACAAUCUCAGAAACAUAUAACUCAGCCAAUCUGUCUAAGGAAAAAUCCAUACGUACUGGAAUAAAGUGUGCAGACUUCGUCAAUAUAUCGAUGAUUACCUAAAUGGCAUCUUUCUUUUUCAGAGAUAGGGGUAAUCCCGAUACAAAAUCCAUAGUACGUCUUUCCCAUUUCCACUCUGAUAUUGUAAUUGGAUGUAAUAAUCCCGAAGGCACCUGAUGUUCAGCUUUAACUUGCUAACAUAUCAAACAUCUAGAUAUAAAUUUAGAAAUAUCACGUUUCAUUCCUGGUGAUCAACACAUCUUUUUCAAAUCAUUGUACAUUUUAUUACUCCCUAGAUGAAUAGACAUAGUAUCAUUAUGAGCUUCGUGUAAAAUAUUUUGUACAAGUUGUGAAUUCCUCGGUACACAUAUUCUACCUCUGAAUAAUAGACAAUUAUCAAACCCAAUCUGAAAUUCUAAAUCAGAACUUAACUCACAUUGAACUCGUUUAGCUUGUAGUUCAUCACCAUUUUUCUGAGCUUCACAGAUCUAUUGUAGAUAUGUCAGUUUGACUUUUAACUCAGCUAGGAUUGAAUUAUCAUCUGACAAUGACACCCAGGUAUUCAUUACUCGUAAAGAAAAUAAAGAUUUUCUGCUUAGAGUUUCAGCAACCACAUUGGCUUUUCCCAGAUGAUAGUCGAUAACCAGAUCAUAAUCUUUCAAUAACUCAAGUCACCUGCGCUAUCUCAAGUUCAAGUCUUUUUGUGACAUUAGAUACAUUAAAAUUUUAUGAUCAGUAAAUAUAUGUUUCACCAAACAAAUAGUGUCGCCAAAUUUUUAGUGCAAAAAAAAUGGUUACCAAUUCUAGAUCAUGUAUUGGGUAGUUCUUUUCAUGUGGCUUUAACUGUCUAGAAGAAUAGGCUAUUACUUUACCUUCUUGCAUCAAGACACAGCCUAAACCAUUUAAUAACGCAUCAAUGUAAAUUACAAAUUUCUUACCUGAUUCAGGCUGAACUAGUAUGGGUGCUUCAGUUAACAAGGCUUUCAACCUGUCAAAACUCUGCUAGCUUUUAUCAGUCCAUUCAAAUUUCAUAUCUUUUUGCAAAAAUCUUGUAAUCAGAGAAGCUAUCAUCGAGAACCCAUUUACAAACCUCUGAUAAUAUCUAGCUAAUCCCAGAAAACUUCUAACUUCUAGCUUAGAAAAUCUCUUGCAUCAAAGCUUCACACGCUAGUGUGGGUAUAGAGCACAUGCCCGUGUGCUACUACCAUGCAUACAAACUUGAAAAACUUAGGUGUAGGGGACACACGGUUGGACAACACGCCCAUGGGGGUAGACCGUAUGCCACACACGGUCUAGACACACGCCCAUGUGUCUAUCCGUGUGGACAAUUACAAGGCUAUUUUCCAAGCCAUUUGUCACCCUCGCAACAUGUGCACAUAUACUUAUCCAAUAACAUACAACAUGGCAUAAAUGUGCUCUUAAACAUCUACAAACGUUAUGCUCAAGUCAUUUUAUUAUGCAAUAAAUACCAUAGAAUUUGCUCACAUCACAAGAGAUAGUAUCAUACAUAUAUAUGAAUAAACAUUUAGGUCCACAACAUCAUUAGCCAACAUAGGCCAAUUCACAUGGCCAAAACACUUUACAAAUACAAGCCAACACCUUUGGCUAGAUUAUAAUAUCACAUACUCAACAUUAAAACCCUAUACAUGCCAUAGACUCGAAACACUAGGAUUUACUUACACCAAUAGCAUGAACUCGACAGUGUGAUAAUAUCUCUGAUGGCCUCCAACCCGAGCAAACCUGGCAACCCUAAAGAACAUGGGAAAGAAAGGGGUGAGCUUUACGCUUAGUAAGUUCUUAAGAAAACAAUUAGCAGCUCAUUUAUAUGUUUUAUCAAUGUUUACAACAUAUACUAAAGUUCACAACAAGCUAUCGUCCUGAGCAACAGUCACUAAAUUAUUUAUAACUGGAGCUACAAAACUCCAAAUCAAUUGAUGUUAAUUUUUCCUGAAAAAUAUCUUCUAUCCAUAAAAUUUUCAGAAUUUUUGGUUUGGCCAAUCAAUACCAAAUUUUUCUUGAAGUUUCCCCUGUUUCACUGUUUGACUAAUCUGACCACUCUUCACUACGAGUCCAAUUUCUCAUUGUACAGAAUUCAAAAUAUGUUCUCGUUGAUUUCAUUUGAAACUAGACUCAUUAAUGAGUCUAAGAAUAUAAACUUUAUCUUAUAACCAUUUUUUUACAAAUUAUAAUGAUUUUCUAAAAACAGAAUAGGGGAAUCCGAAGUCAUUUGAUUCUCUCCCACGCCACUUCAAAUAUCUCAUUAUCAGCUAUUCUUUUGCUUACACGGUUUCUUUUAUAAGAAACUAGAGUCAUUAAGCUUUAAUUAAAUAAUUUAUUCAGCUUCUAACUCAACUCCUACAAUUUAUGGUGAUUUUCCAAAAUCACAUUACUGUUGCUGUUCCAAGUAGAUUUAUUACAAAUUUACUCUUUCACACAUUCUUUACAUUCAUAUUAUUUAAACAUGUAUAUCACCAAUCAAUUUCAUACAUAUCUAUACUUUUACUUAAGAAUAAUCUCAAUACAAUACAUCAUGCUCAAUGAUUCGCAAACAACCAUUCAAAUUAGCAAUUAUAAGGUGGUUCCGCACAUAGCCCACCCUUAUCGAUAAUUUACGAUGGUUUUACCCUUACUCACAUAUAUGACAUAGGCAUUUUCACCUAUGCUUCUCAAUUCACAUUCGUGAUUCAAUUCCAAUUGAUCUAACAUGCAUAAGUACAUAUCGUAUACCUGGCCAACUUAAUGUAUUGAACGAAUUCAAUUGUCGAUUUAACACAAGGUCUUAUAGUUGAACAUAAACAUGAAACCAUUUCUCAUAUGUUCGAUUCACAUCAAUCAUCAAAUUCAUUUAACUCACAUGUACAUAAUUAGGUUGUUCGUACCUGAAUAAUUUACUUUAUGAAAUGAAUCCACAUAUCGUAUUAGCCUAUAGUCUUAUAGCACCACACUUUUAAUAGUUCACUGGCAAUUUGCCUGUUAGGUAAUAACCUGAUUUCAUCACCGGCCAUAAGCCUACUAGACCUUUAAGUCUGAAUUCAUUCACUGGCAUUUCCCCUGCUAGGCUUGAAGCCCGAUAUCAUUUCACCGGCAUUAUAGCCUACUAGGAUCGAGGCCCGAUAUUAUCUCACCAGCAUUAUAGCCUGCUAGGCCUGAAGCCCGAUAUCAUUUCACCGGCAUUAUAGCCUGCUAGGCCCGAAGCCCGUAUAUCACAUUUUGAUAAACAAUUCACCUGUUCUUUCACACUUUCAUAACUUAUACUUCAAUUACGUAUAACUAAAACACAAAUCUAUGAACAAAGAUUUUCAUCCUUUCAACCACAUAGGGUUUAAUUUCCACAUUGGAACACAUAUCUUAGUACAUCAUUUAAUAGUAUCAAAGUCGACUAGAUAUGCUAGUCACAUACGGCUCAUAACUUUAAUUUAAUAUUCAUUCAACACAAAGAAAAUAUGUAUAUAUAUACAUAUAUACAAUCAAACAUUUCUUAAUUAUGAUUAUUCAACUCUUAAGCAUAUAACAUGAUCAAACACAAACACUUAAGAACUUACCUUGGAUUUUAUCGAAUAACUACGGAUUGAAUAAUCGACUAGUUUCGCUUUCCCUUUAUCCAAAAUUGGCUCCUUAUGCUCUUAAGCUUAGUCUAUACAUUCCCCAUAGCCGAAUGCCUUAGCUUCAUUUUCUCUUCUUUUCUUUAUGGUUUUCGGCAAUAAUUGGGAGAAAGGAUGGGUGUAACUUUGUUUUUAUCACCAUUUUCUAUUAUAAAAAUUCAUAUUUCAUCCUAUUAAUCUAUUAAACAUUUAAUUCUUUAAUAUAAAAGACAUGAAAUGCCCAUCAUCCACUAACUAUUAUAAUGCUAAAAUAAAAUGCAUAUAUUAUUUGCACCAUACUUAAGUUAUAAUAUAAAAUGCACAUAUUGCUUAUCAUUCCCAUCAUGGCCGGCCACUACAAAUAAAGUGGGAAGUUUGACAUGCAAAUCCUCCUAUUUUGCACUACAAUUUAUUUGGCCACUACAAAUUAACCUAUCACAUUUUCAAGAAUUUUCUCAUAAGUCUUAUUUCAUAAUUUCACUCACAAAUGACAAAAUCAAAGCAUGAAAUUUUCACACAUGCACCUUCACAUAUAAUAAGCACAGAAUAUAACAUCUAAUUAUUUUUGUGACUCGGUUUUGUGGUCCCGAAACUACUUUCUGACUAGAGCCAAAUUAGGGCUGUCACAACAAGUAAUCAAUAAGAGGCAAUGGAUACUUAUUCUUUAUUAUGACUUUGUUGAGCUAUUUGUAAUCAAUACAUAACCUCAACGAUCCAUCUUUCUUUUUAACAAAUAAAACCAGUGCACCCCAAGGUGAUGAGCUGGGUCGAGCAAAACCUCUGUCAGUCAAUUCUUGCAACUGCGCUUUCAACUCUUUUAACUUCGUAGGGGCCAUCCUGUAAGGUGCUAUAGACAUCAGUGUUGUCCCUAAAACAAGAUCUAUGGAAAAUUCCACCUCUUUGACUGGUGGUAAUCUAGGUAAUUCUUCUAAAAACACAUAAGGAAAUUCACAAACAACCGGCACUAAUUUAAUCUUUGAUUCAGAUACUUUAGUGUCCAACACAUAUGCAAGAUAGGCAUCAUACCCUUUUCUGAUAUAUUUCUGUACUGAUAUAGCUGAGAUCACAUUUGACAACCCGUCUAGUUUAUCAGAUUCAAUACGAAGUAAUUCACCAUUCAGACAUUUUAAUACAAUAUAUUUUUGUUUACAAUUUACCACUACAUCUUGUUGAGUUAACCUGUCCAUACCCAUAAUUGCAUCAAAUUCAUCAAAUGGCAACAACAUUAAAUCAGCUGAGAAACAAUAACCCCGUACCAUUAAUAGAAAAUUUUUACAAACUUUAUCCACCAUUACAUACUGGCCUAGGGGGUUUGAAACUUUAACCACGAAUUUAGUGGACUCAACAGAUAAAUUUUUAACACACACUAAAUUUGUUCAUAUGUAUGAAUAUAUUGAACCAGGAUCAAUCAAAGUUGUAAUAUCAGUAUCAAGAAGAGAAAAUAUACCAGUAAUGACGUCUAGUGCAGAGGCAUCCUUUCUGACACGAAUAGCAUAUGUUAUUGCUGGUGCUCGUGCUUCAGAUUUAGUAGUUGAAUCUUUUAUUAUACCUCGGCUACCACCGAUAUUUUCAGGGUUACGAGGUGGUCUACCUCUCAAGGCAGGGUUGCUCAGCUUUGAAGUCUAGACAGUAUCUUUUUCAAUCCUUUUCGAGCAAUCUUUGAGAUAGUGGUCAAGAGAACCACAUCUAAAACAGGCUCUGCUUCUCAUGUGGCACUCACUAAAAUGAAACUUAUGACAAUGCUUACAUUUAGGUUUGGGAUUUCCGGCACUUCUAGCACUUGCUACUGAUGAGGCCAGAGAUCACGGAUUAGAGCGUUGAGCACUUUGGUCUCUUCCAAAGUACUCCACAGAUGUGGUAGAAGGAUCAUGAUAUUUUUUUGAUUUUUUUGAAGGUGACGGUUGUGACUUUCCAAUAAAUCUUUUACUUGAAGUCCGUGCUUCCAUCUCUGUCUCUCUUUUCUUUACUUAAUUUUUCUACUUUAUGUGCUUGAUCGACCAGUACCACAAAUUCUUUUUAUUCCAGAAUCCCAACUAACAACUUGAUGUCUUCAUUUAAUCCCUCUUCAAACCUUUUACACAUGGCAACUUCAGUCAGUAUACACUCUCUGGCAUAUUUGUUCAAUCUAACAAAUUCUCGUUCAUAUUCAAAUACUGUCAUAUUCCCCUGUUUAUGCUCUAAAAAUUCCUUCCUUUUCUGAUCCAAAAAUCUCUAACUGGUAUAUUUCUUUUUGAAUUCAGUUUGGAAAAAUUCUCAAGUAACCUGUUCUUUUGGCACAAUAGAAAUUAAAGUAUUCUACCACUAAUAAGCUGAAUCUUUUAACAAAGAUACAAUGCAUUUCAAACAUUCAUCAGGUGUGCAAGACAAUUCAUCCAAAACCCUGAUAGUACUUUUUAACUAGAAUUCAGCUCUUUUCAAAUCAUCUUUAGUAGUAACCCUAAAUUCUUCUGCCCUAUAUUUAUAGAUUUUAUCUACCAGAGGCUUACCAAAUCUAACAGGCUCUGUACCUUGUGGCAUAUUGGUGACCAGUUGAGAAACAGGAGGGGGAGGUUGUUGUACAGUGGGAUUUGUUCUCAAGUAUUCAGUGAACCAUUCAUUCAUCAUUUGAAAGAAGGUUUCUUUAUAUAGGCCUUCUACUAUUUGAUGCAGCUAUUUGAAUUGAAGCUUGAGCAUUGCUCUCAGCUUCCUUAGAGUCAGCUCGGUUAUACAACAUUACUAUAUAAAAAAAACAUAUUUAAAAGAAUCAGGAGAUAUCACACUAUCACAAUUUAUAUAAUGGCAUGUAUUGCUAAAAUCGUACUUGCUACGUUAGUCCAAGCAUCGGCUAAACCGUAGCUCUGAUUUCAAUAAAUGUAACACCCCUAACCCAUAUCCGUCAUUAGAACAGUGUUAUAGAGCACUACUAGAGUUUACAGAUCAAAUAUAAUUAAAUCGUAUCAUUUACUAUUCAUGUCUGAAAUCAUACAUAAUCAAUCAUAUUGUCCCUUAAAUGGACCCUCGAGGUCCAAUUUAUGCAAUAGAAACAAGUUGGAACCGAAUCGAGAACUUAGAGAAUUUUUCACGAAAUUUCAAAAUUUUUCUUAGGUGCAAGGGACGCACGCCCAUGUGGCUAGGCCACACCAAUGUCUCAGGCUGUGUGGGCAUUCAAUGUGAGGUAUAAGGCGGUGUCCUAGCCCGAGUCCAUACCAUGUAACUCUCUAACUUAGGUUACACGGCCAACCACACGCCCGUGUGCUAGGCCGUGUGAACAAAUUUAAUUUUCAAUAAUUAAGUGCAAGGGUCACAUGACCAAGUUACAUGCCCAUGUGCUAGGCCGUGUGACGCAGACGGCUGAGACAUACGUCCACGUCUCUACCCAUAUGAGCAAUUUGAUGCUUUUGUUUCUCAAAUUUAAGAUAUAGGGGACACACAGCAACACCACACGCCCGUGUCUCUGCCCAUGUGGACAAAAAUAGGUCAUUUUAUAAGCCACUUUUCUCACCCAAAUUUUCUUUCACCUACAACAUCAUUUAAGCACAUUCACAAGCCAAUUCACAACUCACAAACCAAGUCAAUAUCUAAGUCUUUUACAUGAAAUAUCAUCACAUUUAUCCAAGUAUUCAAUUUUACCUAAUUGACCAUAUAAACAUAUAUGUAUGUAUUUUACCAAUUCUUGAAAAUUCUUAACAUACUUAUAUAACUUCCAUCAUUUAACCAUUUCAAUACACACAACAAACAUGAUAAGGCCUUAUAUAUUUACAUCAAAAUAUGCCAAACACUAGCCAUUCCAAUGGCUAGUUACAUCCAAAAACAUUAUUGUGCCAACAUUGGCUAGUUAACCUAUACAUGCUAUUAUAUCUAAAAUAAAGUUUUCCGUUUUCUACCAAAAUGAGUUGAAGGAUAGUGUGAUUUUGCUUUGACCCGCUUCCAACCUUUUCGAGCUUCCGAGUACUAUAAAACAGAGAAGAUAAAACAAAGUAAGCAUUUACUGCUUAAUAAGUUUGCAUAACUGGAAAUUUAAUUUACCAUUCAUUUUUAUUAAAUAAAGAUAUAAAUUGUAUCCAAGCAAUUUUGCCUUAAAGCCUAAAACACACAACAUCAUCAAUCAUGUUAGUCAAGUAAUUGACAUAAAUAUCAAGAACAUGGAUGAGCUCAUCAUAUAAUAACUUUCAUAUACAUAUGCUUUCCAUAUCAUACUUCCAUAUUACAUGUAUAUUUCCAUGACAAAUCAUUUCAAGUUCAGCUUAGCCAUGUCAGGACUUUACCUAUUGAAUUUAUUUGAAAUAUCGAUGGAUACACUCAUGUAGUACACUUAAAGUGUACAAACUGAAAAUCCGUCAAUUCAUAUGCAGGGGGUACCCAUUAGGGCACAUAAUCAAGAAGCACUCUCUGGAGCCAUAUAACAGGAUAGUCAUGUGAGCCAUGUAACAGGAAACUUAUCCGAGCUAUAACAGGAAACUCAUAAGAGUUUAAAACAAGAAGCUCAUUAAGCUUAACAGGUAACUCCGAAGAGUUAUUAUCAGGGAGCUCCGGAUAGCCAUAUAACAGGAAGUUCAAGUGAACCAUAUCAAGAAACUCAUAAAGAGCCUAUAUUAGGACGCUCAUAAAGAGCUGCGUUUGUGUCCGCAAAAUAUGCAAGAUCACAAUCGAUCAUAUAACAGGACGCUCACAAAGAGCUGCGAUAGUCCGCAACACAUGCAAGAUCACUACCAAUCAGGAUGCUUGCAGGAACCAUAUAACGGGAAGCUCGAGAGGGCUUAUAACAGGGUGCUCAUAAGAGCUAUGGUGUGUCUGCAACAUAUGCAAGACCACAACCAGUAUAGGAAAUCCUGUAUCCAUCAAAUUUUAUUUAUUCAAAUGGACUUAGCACUUGUCAGACAUUAUCGGAUAUGUGAUUUAUGUUUAUACAUGGAAAUCAUACAUUUCACAAUCAUAACAUUCAAUUUAAACAUAUAAACAUACAUUUUAGUUACACAAACUUACCUUGUUACUUGUUCGUAUACGGAGAUCUACUAAUUCGAUACUUUUUCUUUUCCUCGAUCUAACUCCCUAUUUGAUCUUUCCGGAUCCAAUUAAGCUUGCUUGGAAUUCUUUCUCUUAGCUAGGGUUUUCAUAGAAAUUUUAGGGAAGAUGAUGAUAUGAAAUUUUUUUAUUCAUUUAAUUAGCUUAUCAUCAAUUAAUUUUUCAACUUUUCAAUUUAGUCCUUUUCUUUUUCUAAUUUUCCAUGGAUGAAUCAUCAUAAAUAUCUACUAACUUCUCUUAAUGGUCUAUUUGUCAUAUAAGGACCUCAAAUUUUGAUUUCCAUAGCUAUUUGAUCCUUCUAGCUACUAGAAUUCAACUUUUUCAUUUCAUACAAUUUAGUCCUUUUAUCAAUUAAACAUGUAAUCGGUAAAAUUUUCUUAACAAAAUCUUCAUGCGUCAUUCCUAUCAUAAUGCUGGCCAUGGAAUAUUAUUAAAAUAAAUUUUCUUUUUGACUCUGAUUUGUGGUCUUGAAACCACUGUUCCGAUUUCAUUGAAAACAGUCUGUUACACAUACAAUAUUUACUAUAAUCUCACUUCAACAUCACUUUAUGUCUAUUGUCAUUACCAUUUGUCACAUCAAUUAAGCUUUCUUUUAAAAUAUUCUAUUUCACAUGUCAAAUUAUUUUGCACUUUAUUUUACUAAUUUACUACAACUUUCACAAAGUUCACAUUUUAAUCUUUAGGUAAUAAGAGAAUUCAAGGGUACUUACCACUUUUCAACAUUUAAUCGUUUGUUUUUCUCUUUUCUUUUCCACUUGAAUCACUUCCUUUAUCUUUCUCUUUAAUAUCAUGUCAAGAACAUAAAACUUUCCAUGAAAAAUCUUUACUUUAACAUCAUUUCUAUACCUUUUUAACAAGAUUAAACUUGAAAACAUUAUGAAACCCUAAUAUUCAUACAUUGUUCUUUUGAUAUCAAACCUUAGUUUGAUUUUUUCUCUCCUCCAACAUGAACAUACAUCUUCCUCACUUAAAAAUCACCUUGUUGGUUUCACUAAAGAUUUCUAUGGAAAUUUGGUGGUUUUUAGCUUGAAUUUGAUGAUUAUGGUAGAAAGCGACUAAAUUGUAAAAGAAUGAAAACUCCAAUUAAAUGCAAAGGGAGUCUUGCGUGAGAAUGAAAGAAAUGUGAUGGAAAAUUGUACAUCUUUCUAUCCAAAUAUCCAACUAUUUAAUUAAUAAAAAAAUUUAACAUUAAAAUAAAAAUAAUAUUAAAAUAAUCAAAACAAUCAUCUUUCAACACUUUCCUUCCUUAAUUAUUAACAUGAUAAUUAUUUUUGAUUGGGAAAUGACCAUUUUGCCCUUGAAUUUUUUUAAUAUUCAAUUUUAGGCUAUUUUUGUAACACCCCGAACCCGAGACCGUCACCGGAGUCGAACACGAGGUGUUAACAGACUUUAAACCACUUAUAAAAAAAAUUUCCCAGACAUUGCCAAUCUGCGUACUAGUCGCUUUAAAAAUCAUAUCUUGAGUUCAGAAACUCGGAAUCCAGUUCCGUAAAUUUUCACUGAAACUAGCUUCAUAUGCCCAUCUACAUAUUUUUUUCUAGAAUUUUUGGUUGGGCCAAUUAGUACAUUUUAUUAGUCAAAGUCUCCCAUGUUACAGGGAUCGACUACACUGACCUUUGCGCAUUACGACUUGGAUAUCUCCCUGUACAGGGCUUCAAUACUGAUGUCGUUUGUUUCUAUAGAAACUAGACUCAAAUAGGAAUCUAUAAAUAUAUGGCAUGACUCCUAAUUAUCUCUGGUUAAUUUAUAAUGAAUUUCCAAAUUCGAAACAGGGAAUCCAGAAACCGUUCUGGCCCUGUCUUACGAGAACCUGAAUAUCUCUUAACAUACUAUCCAUAUGAUCGUUUCGUUACUUUCCUAUGAAAAUAGAUUCAUCAAGGUUCGUUUACAUAAUUUAUUCACUAUUUAAUUCCCUUCCUACUAUUUUUAGUGAUUUUCCAAAUCUACAUCACUGAUGCUGUCAGCAUCUGCCUUUAAGGUAGACUUUACCUAUUUCAUAGUUUCCAUGAUUCAACUAACCCUUUUAGCAUAAAUAGCACAAAUUAUGAUAGUGAUUAACCAUUCCCAUGGCCAAUCCUUGUUAAGCAUAUCCACACCUCUCAAUAACCAUAUCCAUACCAAAUGAUUAUAACAUUAUACUCAAACAUAUAUAAGCCAUUUUCGCAUGGCUAUCCAAAAUUAUACAAGUCCAAAGGGUCCAUGACCCCCAACAAAAAGGGUAGUCCUAUACAUGCCAUUUCGAAGUUCAACCAAAAUUGUACCAAAAAGGGGGGGGCUUUGAUAGUGUGGGCGACUUCGACUUCAAAAUCCCGAGUCCGAUAGCUGGAGAACCAAAAUCUAUAAAACAGAGAAUCAAGGAGACGGAGUAAGCAAUUUAUGCUUAGUAAGUUUUGAGCAAGGGAUUCCAGCACAACAAAAGUAUAGCAUUCAUGUAGCUAAACGGAUAAUUUCAUAUGCACAAUUUUUCAAUAUCAUACUUACUUCACAUUACCAACCCUUUUAUUCAUACACAAAGAUCAACUUAGCCAAACGCCGGUAGCUCAUUUAUCAACUGAGCGAAUACUUAUUUGUAAGGGCUCAACUAAUUCAAAGCACAUACGAAACAUACCUCAAUGUUGGGAUGUUUCAAGCGUAUUAACUGAAAUUUUUACAGCAAGAUCAUUCAUUCCCAAAUCACGUACCUUCGGAAUUUAACCGGAUAUAGCUACUCAUUCAAAUGCCUUCGGGACAUAGCCCGGUUAUAGUAACUCGUACAAAUGCCUUCGGGACUUAACCCGGAUUUAGUAACUCGCACAAAUGCCUUCGGGACUUAACCCGGAUUUAGUAACUCGCACAAAUGCCUUCGGAUCUUAGUCCGGAUAUGGUCACUUAGCACAAAGCCUUCGGGACUUAGCCCGGACAUCAUUCAAAUAACCAUGCACAUUUAACAAUAAAUCAUGGCACAUUCGUAUUUCGUUAGCAAAACUCAAACACAAGACACUUAUCAUUCUUGCAAUUUCGGCUCAAUAGCCACACACAAGGAGCAUGAUUUUGAUUUGCUUAAAACAUGAUCUAAUCAAAUCAUAAUUUAAGCUCUUUUACUCAAGAACUUACCUCGGAUGCUGUCGAACGAUUCCGAUGGCUAUUCGACCACUUUUUCCUUCCCUUUAUCGGAUUUAGUUCCCCUUUGCUCUUGAGCUUAAUUAAAUAAAUAAAUUGAUUUAAUCAUUUGAGCAUCGAAAAAAGGAACACAAGGCACUUAGCCCAUAUUUAUACAUUAGAAAUUAAAGUCACAUACAUAUGAAAUCAUGAAUCAACUCAACAUAUUAACCCACACUUCUUUUUAGCCGAUUGUCUAAGCCAAGAUAAAAGCAUCAAUACGCUUGCCUCUAACCGAAUACAUGCAACGCCAAUCUUCUUCCUAUGGCCGAAUAUGCAUGUCUAUGUUGAGGCCGAUUAUAUGCUUAAUACUUCCUACAAGUAUGGUUACUUGUAUUGAUUAUAUAUCAUCUUGUUUCAAGUUCAAAACUCGGCUAAUACACAUAUAUACACUAGUAAUCAAAUACUAUCAUUUUGCACUUCACCUUACUACCAUUUCACAUCUAUUUUCUACCAUGGCCGAAUGCAUCAAGACACCAUACCAUUCAAUUUUGGUCAUGGGUUACACAAAGAACUUAAUGUCUAACUCAAAAAUGUCAAAAAGAAAAUCCAAGAGUCAUCAAUCACCAUCACAUGUAUCAUUACAAAGCUUUACACUUAGCAUGCAAAUGACAUCAACACAAAUCCACCUUAGCCGAAACUUAACUCAUCUUCAUGCCUCAUCACCACAACAUCAAACAUCAACCAAGAAUGAUGCAUCCAUGGCCGAGUGUCAUUUCCAUCACAUAGCAAGAUUUAGACCAUGGGCUAGGUAGAACUCAAGCUAACAACUAAAACAUGCAUGCAUCUCAUGGAACAUCAUCAAACAUACCUUAGCCUAGUUACAUGCAUGGCCGAACCUCUUCAACCUUUCUUCUUCCUUCCUCCUUAAAAUUUUCUUUGGCCAAGGAUGAACCAAAGGAUGAACACUUUUUUUUUUGUUUUUCUUUCUAGUUUCGGCAAAAUGGGGGGGGGAACAACCACACACUUUUUUUUUUGUUUUCAUCAUAUUUCCUUUCAUUAUUUUAUGCCCAUGCUCCUUAUUUUAUCAUACUUCCCAUGAAACACUAACUCAACAUGUUUAUGACAUGUUCUUGCCCAUCACACUUGGUCUACCAUGCUUGUCAUGGCCGGCCACUACUAAUUAGGGGGGGGGGAAUUUGACAUGCAAGUCCCCCCUUUUUAUUUCAUGCACUAAUAGAUCCUUAUGCUUUGACCUAUCACAUUUCAAAAUUUUCUCACAUAAGUCCUAUUUACUAAAACUCACAUGCAAUCGACUAAAUCGAAGCUUGAAAUUUUCACACAUUCAUAAUUACAUAUUCUAGACAAUAAAUAUCACAUUCAAACAUUUCGGUGACUCGGUUUAGCGGUCCCGAAACCACUUCCCGACUAGGGUCAAUUUUGGGCUGUCACAAUUUUCUACUUAUAAAAAAUUACAAUUUAAUCCCUCUAAUUUAUCCUCUUAUUUGACUUGAUUUUUAUUCACCAAUUUAUUUUACUAUUUAGUCCUUUCUACCUUUGGGACAUUUUUACUAUCUGUCCUACAACUUUUUUGUAUUUAUGCCUUACCCCCAAAAUUUUUGAAUAUUUGCACUUAAGUCAAAAAGUUUUUCACAUCUUUUCAAUUUAGUCUCUGCCAUAAAUAAUUAUGUCACAACAUACUUCUUAAUUCAACUUUCUUUGGCAUCCACCAACCUUCUCUUUUAUCAUUUAUAUUUCUCAUUUUACUUUACCGAGAAAUUUAUUAUGCACGAUUUCCAAUUAAUACUACUUUCAAAUAAUAAUAAUAAUAAUAAUAAUAACAUAACGAUUUUAAGGAUGUUAUAGUUUGUACUAUGUGUCCAUGGUUCCUAUUAAUGACAAUGUUUUCUUUCCAAAAAAAAAGAGAUAAAAAGGAAUUAUAUUUGAUGCACGGUCGAUACAUAAGUCUCAUGUGCCAUUAAUAAAUAAUAGCAGAACACAUCAUCAUUAAAUUAAAAAAAAUAGAAGACUUGGAAAUAAAUACAAAUAAUUUUAUCUAAACAUAAUUGAGCAUUAAUUGUAACUAUUAUAAAUAAAUAUUAACAACUCUAGAUUUAGAAUCUUGGCAUAGAUUUUGUCAAUUUUACCCUUAUUCUUUUUUUUAUUAUCUAAAUUUGACCAUUAACCUUUCAAAAAGAGUCAAAUAACUUGCUUUUAACUAUGUUGGCAUGACAACCUUUGUGACAAUCAACGUGUACUUCAUGCUAAAAUAACACUAUUUGUCUUAUAUGUCACGUGAACAAAUAAUUUAAAAUUUAUAAAAAAAAUUAAAAAUUAUAAAAAGAAAAAAAAUGAAGCACACGUGGAUUGUCAUGUCUAAAAUUUUAAUAUUUUAGUCAAUAUCUCUGUUCAGAAAACAACAAUUCGACCCUUUUUGAAAGGUCACUAGUCAAAUUUGAUUACUUUUAAAAGGUUGAGGUUCAAAUUUAACUAAAAAUAAUAAUGGCCAAAUUGAAGAAAGAUAUAAACAUUGAGAGCUAAAUUUGGCAGAAGGCCUAUAAUAAAUAAUUUAAAACUUCUAACGUUAAAUAAUAAAGAGAUAAAUACAAAAAAAUAUACAUCAUCAACUUCAAUCAACAUCAAUCCAGUGUGUAAUUUGAUACAUAAAUUUUGAUUUUGCGCAAUUAUGCACAUUAAAAUUUUAAUUUGGCUCAAACAUAUAUAUAAAACUUUGAUUUUGAUUCAAUCGUAUAUAUUUAAAAAAAUGAAUAAUCAAUUUAUUUUUAUAUUAGAUAAGUAUAAUUAUUUGUAUAUGUAAUAUGUAAAUGUAAAAUGAUGCUUAUACCAAAAUGAUAUUAGUUGUUUAAGAAAAUUGAAUCAAAUUAAAAUGUCAUUUAUAAAAUUGCACAAAAUCAAAAUCUAUGUAUAACAUUACUCAUUGAACCAAAAUUCAUUUUUAUUUUAGGGAUUUAUCCCAUAAUAAAAUAUUAUAUAUGUUUUAAAUAAAUUUUAAAAUAUGUUUAUAUAAUACUAAAUUUUUUUUUUUUUUUAAAUUCAGAGCAACGGAACAGGAUAGACAGUGCAUAUGCAAACAUAGGUUGUAAGAAAAUAAAACGCUUAGCGGUUAGAAAGGAGAAGCGGAGCAAUGGCUUAACAUAUUUGUCGAGAAACCAUCCAUUUUUAGGCCAUUUCCAAAACAGCAACGAAAGCCUUCACAUCUCUUCCCUUAAAAUUCCUCUUCGAUUUCCAACCAAAUCAGAGAGCACAAAGAAAACAACAAAGGGGGAAGAGAGAAGUAGAAGUAGAAGAUAGAAGAACACAACAAUAGAUCUCUUUCUCUCUCUCUCUCUCUCUCUCUCUAGCUGGUGUUUUAGCGAUGUUUCGUUAAGAAUCAUUUGGAGGUUGAUGUAUGAAGUCCAACACUGGGGAAUAAUUGGUAAAAUAAUGGAGGUUCAGCGUAUGAAGGAAUUGUUGUUACUUUGGUCGAGCUUGCAAAGUAAUCGUGUGGCUCUCGUGGGUGGAAAUCACACUGCCGCUCGAUUUUGCACUCGCUAAGUUUUGCCUUCUUCGCUUCUCUCUUUCUCGCCUGUUAUAAUCUCUUCCUUGUUUUACUUUAAUAUGCUAUCUCUCGAUUUUCUUUUCCGGAAAAGUUUUCUAUUUUUCUUCUCGUACAAUAUACCUUGCCUUUGAUCACCUUUGUUUUCUGAAUUUUUGUGAUUGGAUCUGUAAGCCCUUUUUUGUUUGUGUUUUAAUCAAUCAUUUGGAUCAAUGGCUGUCCAUAUUAUUUAUGGACUUCUAAACAAAUUCCAUAAAAACAAGCAUAAAGCCUUGAAAAAUGGCAUUAAUUUGCAGUCUGGUGCACGACUGAUCGUCAAAGUUCCUCGCUCUAGGGUUUUUAAGCUUCUUGCUCGGUUCUUGACGGUUUUGGCUUUGACCUUAUUUUUGCUUCCUUGGUCGGGAAUAAGAUUUAUCGUCAACGACGAACCCGCUCUGCCUAUUUAUACAAUCAAGCCUGAAGUUGUCCCUGAGGCCGCUGAUCCCAUUAAUCUGGAAUCACUGCUAUUGCUGUACAAUGAUUUGAACAAUGAAGGUAUACUGAAACCGGGAAACAAAGGACUCUUGUUAAGCGAUGACUAUGAUGAAGAAUCCAUUCAGGGAAAUUCCUUCCUAACCAAAACUGAUAUGGAAUUCAGUUCUACAAAUGACUUUGAUCGACUAAUGUUAAUCCCUGACGAGUCCUUCGAUUUCAUCUUCACUGAAAACAUUCAAUCCGCCCUCGAAUUCAUCGACCGGAGUCUCAAAGUUGGCGGUACUGUUGCUGUUCAGCAGCUGGACUCAUCGCUUUCAUUCAACAAGCCGUCUAAUUACAAGAUUGUUUACUUCAGGAAAUUCAAUUCCAACCUUUUUGUGAUGAAAAAGGUUGAGAAUGCUCAACCGAUCCCAAGCUCGCAAAGGCGGCUUUUGGGGUAUAAUACAUCAGAAGCGAAACGGGCAGCAUUGA